AACUUAAAUAGAAGGCUGUCGGAUCAAUUGCUUGCAUUAUGAGCAUCCGGAGAAUCUCUUCAUAUGUUCCUUCGCCUCUCUCUUGUCAGAAAUAUGAUGUGUUCUUAAGCUUCAGAGGUGAAGACACCCGCAAAUUCACAGACCAUUUGUAUGCUGCUUUGGAUAGAACAGGAAUCUUUGUAUUCAAAGAUGACAAAGAACUUGAGAGAGGAAAAGCUAUUUCAUCAGAACUACUUGCAGCAAUUGAAGAAUCAAGAAUUUUGAUUAUUGUUUUCUCAAGAAACUAUGCUUUUUCAACUUGGUGCUUGGAUGAACUUGUUAAGAUUGUUGAAUGCAAGAAUACAAGUGAUCAUCAACAAAUGAUUUUUCCAAUAUUCUAUGACGUGGAACCAACUAUGGUGAGAAAACAGACGGCAAGUUUUCAGGAAGCAUUUUUAAAACAUGAAGAAGCUUUCAGGGAGAAUAUAGAAAAGGUACAAAAGUGGAGAGAUGCUUUGACGGAGGUGGCCAAUAUGUCUGGCUGGCAAUUGAAGGACAGGUACCAUUCUUAUUCUAAAAUACUAUCUUACCAAAGAUUGAGGUUAGUUAUUUUUGUUUGUCUUGCAUGAGUCAUAAGUAAUGGGUUGAUUUUGGGAUUCCUUCCCCAUCAAACAACUUCCAAAAUGUAUUGCUUUCAUUCAAUAUCAUUAAAAGGUCUUUGAGCCAUCUUAGAAUUUUUGAGAUUUCAGAAAUAAAAACAGUGUAGAAUGUAAAUGAAUUUAUUAACAUUAUAUGAUGUAAUUGAAAUAACAACUUGAUCACUGAAUUUUUGUAAAGGAAUUGUUAUGGAUGAACGUUGAUAUAUCUACUUGAAGAAGCAACAAGAGAUUUGAUCUAAUGAAUAUAAUAUUGCACAGUUUGUGUAUUACCCUUUUGUAGUUGAUUUGACAGUACAUUCAUGCUAAAUUCAAUUCAACAACACCAAUGUUAAUUUUCUUGUUCUUUUCAAUGUACAGGAACGAGCCGGAAUUUAUUGUGGAUAUUGUCAAGGAGAUAUCCUGUAAAAUUUCUGCAAAAUCUGAGACUCUUAAGGAACUAGUUGGACUAGAUUCACGCUUGGAGAAACUGAGGUUUCUUAUAAAUAAAGGGCCUACUGAUGUUCGUAUGAUAGGUAUCUGUGGUAUGGGAGGUAUAGGUAAGACAACUCUUGCAAGAGUUGUUUAUGACCUGAUCUCUCAUGAGUUUGAAGCCAGUUGUUUUCUUGCUAACGUUCGGGAAAUUUCAAAAAAAAGUGGCCUGGUCUUUUUGCAAAAGCAGCUUGUUUCCCAGUUACUAAACCUUCCAGAUAGUGGCGUAUGGAAUGUUUAUGAUGGUAUGAACAUGAUCAGAAGUAGGCUACGACGCAAAAAGGUUCUUCUUGUUAUUGAUGAUGUGAUUGAAUUACAACAAUUAGAAAGUCUAGCUGGAAAGCAUGAUUGGUUUGGUAUAGGCAGCAGGAUUUUCAUAACAUCAAGAGAUAAGCAUUUGUUGAUGGCACAUGGAGUGGAUGAAGUUUAUAUGCAGGAGCAUCUAAAUUAUGAUGAAGCUCUUGGACUAUUUUGCUUAAAAGCCUUUAAAUCCCAUAAGCCAUGGAAAGGAUACGAGCAACUGUCGAAAAGUGUUGUAAAGUAUGCCGGUGGUCUUCCAUUAGCUCUCAAGGUUUUGGGCUCCUUUUUGUUUGGUAGAACUAUAGCUGAAUGGGAAAGUGCACUACAAAGACUAGAGAGAGAUCCUGAAAAUGAAAUUCUUGAUGUACUUCAAAUAAGUUUUGAUGGGUUAAAAGAAACAGAGAAGAAGAUAUUUCUCGAUAUUGCAUGCUUCUAUAAAGGGAAGUAUAUAGAUUAUGUAACCAAAAUUCUCAACUACUGUGAUUUUGACCCAAUUAUUGGAAUUGGAGGUCUUGUUGAAAAAUCUCUAUUAACUGUAGAUGAUUUCAAUGGACUGUGGAUGCAUGAUUUAUUACAAGAAAUGGGUCGACAAAUUGUGAGGAGGCAAUCCCCUCAAGAGCCUGGAAAUCGCAGUAGAUUGUGGGAGGAAGCAGAUGUAUGCCAUGUAUUAUCACAAAAUACAGUAAGUGAUUAGUUAAGUUGAAAACUUGUGAUUUUAGGAUCAUGAUCAUAUCUUUAACUAAUUCAAUCUUUGCAUAGUUUUAUCAAGACUUUCUUUCUUUCAAUUUUUUUCCCACUUAUGUUUUGUUAAAAUGUUUAGGGAACUGAUGCAAUUGAAGUCAUCGUAUUUGAUUGCUUUAGCAACAAAGAGAUGCAUUUCAGUGCUAAAGCCUUUUCUAAUAUGACUAAUCUUAGAGUGCUCCAAAUCCUUUAUGUUCAACUUUUGGGAGACCUUGAAUACCUCUCCAACGAGUUACGGUUUCUUGAUUGGAAAAGAUAUCCAUCGAGAUCCUUGCCAUCAAAUUCGAGAUUAGAUAAACUCAUUGAACUUAACAUCCCUCAUAGCAGCAUUGAACAUCUGUGGAGCGGAAUCAAAGUAAGAUUGUUCAACUACAUAUUUAUAGUUUUCAGUGAAUACUUAUUGAUAAUUUCAUACUUUCAUUCUUUUAAGUUAUGUGAUAAUCUGAGAAAAUCAUGUUCUUUUGUAUCAUUUUGUUUCUUAUAGCCUUUGACCAGGUUGAAAACCAUGAGUCUCAAGCAUUCCGAGAACCUCAUAAGGACGCCAGAUUUCACAGGGGCACCAAAUUUAGAGCAGCUGAUUCUUGAAGGAUGUACAAGGUUGCAUGAGAUUCACCCAUCUUUGUUGGUUCACAGGAAGCUGAUUUUUUUGAAUUUGAAAGGUUGUACAAGUCUUACAACUCUUCCAGCCAAGAUCUUUAUGAAAUCUCUUGAAACACUUGUACUUUCUGGUUGCCUGAAAUUGAAGAAAUUUCCAGACAUUGUGGGAAGUAUGGAGUGUCUGCAGGAACUUCAUUUGGAUGAAACUGAUGUUAAAGAGCUGCCACCCUCAAUUGAACUUCUAUCUGGACUUGUUCGGUUGACUUUGUAUGGCUGCAAAAAUCUUGAGCGUAUUCCGAGUACCAUAAGUGCUCUAAAAUAUCUAUCAACUUUGAAUCUUUCUGGCCUUUUGAAGUUCAGAGAGUUCCCGGAGAUCGUGGAAAGUAUGGAGCAGCUGUUGGAGCUUCAUUUGGAAGGAACUGCUAUAAGAGGACUGCCAGCGUCUAUUGAAUUACUUUCUGGCCUUAUUUUGUUGAAUUUGAAAGAUUGCAAAAAUCUCAAGAGUCUUCCAAGAACUAUAAAUGGUUUGAGAUCUCUUAAAACGUUGCAUCUCUCUGGCUGCUCCAAACUUAAAAAUGUGCCAGAGAACUUGGGCAAAGUAGAAAGCUUGGAAGUACUUGAUAUAAGCGGGUGCAAAGGACUGGUGCAAUCAACAUCAUGGUUUCUGCACUUCCCCAUCACUUUGAUCCGAAGGAAUUCAGAUCCUGUGGCUUGGAGAUUCCCAUCUCUAUCAGGUUUGUGUUGUUUAAGAAAAUUAGAUAUCAGUGACUGUAAUCUAGGGGAAGGAGCAAUCCCAAGCGAUAUUGGCAACUUGUGCUCAUUAAAAGAGUUAUAUUUGAGUAGAAACAGUUUUGUUUCACUUCCAGCAAGCAUUAUCCAUCUUCCUAAGCUUCAGAAAAUGGUAUUGGAGGAUUGCAAGAGGCUUCAAUCUCUACCACGACCUCCACCCAGUAUUUUGUCAAUUAGAGUAGAUGGUUGUACUUCAUUGGAAAUGAUAUCAUGUGUGUUAAAAUCUUGCAAGUCAAACAGCACAUAUAUUCAUUGUAUGGACUGUUUGAAAUUCAACGGCUUGGCAUUUUCAAUGCUGAAAGAGUUCCUCGAGGUCAGUCUCUUACUCCAUGUCUCUCUACCAUGCCAAACAUAUUGCAGUAAAUUUAUGCAGAGGUAUGGUUUUAUUUUUUAUUUUUUCCUCUUAAUUUUUUGGUUGCAGGCUGUGUCACAUUCGCGACAGCGUUUAAGCAUUGUUGUUCCAGGAAGCGAAAUUCCAGAGUGGUUCAUGUAUCAGAACAAGGGUUCUUCAAUAACACUCAACAGGCCUCCCGAUUCAUUUAAUAAGAAUAAGGUGGCGGGAUAUGCUAUUUGCUGUGUGUUUCAUGUCAAUAAGCAUUCAACUAGAAUCAGAACUUUACGUUCAUAUCCCACAAAGUGUUUGACCUGGCGCUUGAAAGGUUCUAGAGUCGUUGAUAGUACUACUUUUAGGGAAAAGUUCGGUCAGGAUGGGUCAGCCCAUCUUUGGCUACUCUAUUUACCUUGUCAAGAACAAGAAUGCUAUGAACACAAUUGGCAUUUUGAAUUUCAACCCUUGUGGGGCCCAGGAUUGGAGGUGAAAAAGUGUGGUUUCCAUCCAGUUUUUGUGCACCAAGUGGAGGAGUUCAACCAAACAACAAACCAAUGGACUCGCUUUACUUCUUAUAAUCUAAAUGAAUUCCAUCGAAAUCUUGUUGGAUCAAAUAUGGAAGUAGCCACAACAUCAAAGCGAAGCCUUGCAGAACAUGUUGGGACAGCUGAGGCCAGUGGAAGUGGCUGCUGUGAUGAUGAGGAAUCUCAAGCUAAAAGAUUUAGACAGCUCGAUUGAAGGGAAAUAAACUAGUGAUUAUUCUCUGAAUUUAUGUGCAAGUACGCAUCUCAGAUUCUGAGUUCCAAUUUAUGUUCGCUGCAUAUGGCAAAUCAUUUAUAUUCUCUUUAUUUAUUUAAUGUAUCUAACCUUGCAAAAAAAAUUCUUGUUAAACUCCCAGAAGAUGCUCUGCUUGGAUCCAAAGUAAAGGACUGAAAUAAAUCCUCUGUUUUGGAUCUUACCAUCACUGUUUCAUUGCAUCAUUAUCUCUUGCAGCUUUCUCAUUUUUGUAUUUGUUAUUUCAUGCACGUGUGCACACCCAAUGUAUAAUUAAUAACUUUAUUUUUUAUUUUAGUACAGUGAAAGAAAAUGACUGGGGGGCUUUUGAACUCAAAUGAGAUGAGGACUUAACUAUAUCCAUUCCCUUCCUUUUGAGCAAAAGAUGCCAGAUCAGGAAGUGAUAAGGGCAAGUUCUUGGGUACACUUGAAUCCAUCUAUACCCAGUUCAGGUUAUUCGGAAAACCAAAGUUAAUGCAAAAUCAGAGAACAAACCAGAGGAAAGCUCUGUACUACAAUCACUCUGCCAAAACUACCACAAUGAUAUGUGGUGAUGAGCAGUAAACCAAGCAAGACUCCUGAUGCAAGCAAUUUAUUGAAGGCUUUUCCUUAAGUUCCUUACUGCAAAAAUGCAUGAAUCAGGCAGCUAUUUUAGCAGCCCAGGAUUAGGAUUGCUUGGUCAUUUUGAGACUACUUUGCAGACUCAUAUUCAUCUGGAGAGUAAACAAUUAAUGUUUCCAGGUUGAAGCAAAGACGCCUCUGAUCUGGUGCUAACCCAUAGUAUGAAAGUAUAAUUAUUAUUUUUAAAACAAACAAAAUUUUAAUAUGAUAUUCAUCAUUGAUUUAAUCGAUUUUAUCUAACAAAUUAUAUUAUAAUUAAUUUAUACACCCUACAUUACAUUAUAACCGAUUCCAUAAAAGGUGAGAUCGAUCAUCUGUCAUUUCCCUGCAAAUACACAGUCAUUCCUUGUCUAUUUUUCAUUUGCUCUGAACCCACAACAACAAGCAGGAAGAUAUUUAUCCGUCAUAUUUCGAAGCUUAAUCAUAAUCUCAAGUUAUGUGUUAAGUUCAUCAAUUUUCCAAAUCUUAAUAUCUGUUAACGGGUAGUAAACAAACAACAGCCACAGCAUCAGAAGGCACUAGUGCAGUUCAAGUAAAAUCUAUGUUCAUUCAGUAAGAAUAUAAACAAGCAAAAACUGUGUCAACUAGAACUCCAGAAGCUAUAGGCAACACAAGGAUAUUCAAUCAGAUUGCAAUCACCUAAUAUGUUUAUUGUUCAUUCAUUGCAAUGCAAUUCAUCGACUAUGAUACAAACCACUUUCGAGGCAACUUUGCAUCUGGUGUACUUUGCACUUCUUCAAGCUUCUUGUUCUUCAAAUUGUUGUUCAAUCCCUCACUGCUUAAAACAAGAUGUUCAUCUGGUUCAUGUAUUAAAUUUUGUGCAUAUUAAGUAUAGUUAAUUAACAUUAAUAUUAGGUUUAAAGUCUCUGAAUUUAUCAGUAAGUAUGCAAUUUCAAUUUCAGUUUUGUUCUUUUUGUCUGUUAUAUCUACUCAUGCAAAGUUUUAUUUUAAAUUACUAAAAAAUGCUCUGCUUCAAUCAGAAGCACAGAAUGUCUCCAAAGUUGCUUUCGCGCUCGAUCAGAUUAGCCCCUUACUGGAAUUUCUCGAAGGUUUGUUAAUAAAUCGUAGUUAAAUCCAAUGCCUGCUGAUAGAAACAAGCCGUUGAGUCGUAUUUCAAAUAGCAAAAGGAAUGGACGGCCCGUGGGAAAAAAAUUCAGCUAAUGCCGUACGAUGAGUCUUAUUUUCUUUAUUUUUUAUUUUAUUUAUUACUAUUAUUUUCUUUUUCGUUUUUCGUUUUUUGAGUUCAUUGUUAAAGAAGAGAAAAGAAAAUUUGAAGAUUUGAAUUUUAUGAAUUCUGAUGAGUUGAUAAUUAAAGAAAGAGAAAACACAAAGGACAGACCCCAACCAAAAAAAAAAAAAAAUUGGUUUCUUAUUCUAAUUAUCUCUGUUUUGAUUGGAGAAUCAUUUAUUCUGUUUUAAUUAAUGGUAUGUUUACUUCAUAGAAUGGGGAAUGGGAAUGAAGGAAUGUGAAUGAAAUCCAUGUUUACUUGGCAAAAUGUAAUUUGGGAAUAAGAAUAAAGGAAAAUGAUAAACGAACUCAAAAAAGACAAAAAGACGACAGAAACGCAGUGUUGAAUUGCUGUUUCACGCGUUGAGUUCUGCUUCUUUGAGUCUUGCAUGGACCCACAAGAAACGCACCUCCCCAACCACUCAUUUUCCUUUCCUUAGUUUAUUCCCCCUCCACUCAUUUUACUCCCCCUCCAUUUGCUUCAUUACCAGACUCCCCCUCCAUUUGCUUUGAUUUGCUUCGUUACCGGACUCCCCCUAGACGAUAGCUGCUUCUUGUUCUCGCCGAGCCCCUUCUUUUUUUUUUUUUCCUUCUCGCCCAGCCCCAUUUACUUUGUUACCGGACGACGUCCGCCACUCAUUUUACUCCCCCUCCAUUUGCUUCGUUACCGGACUCCCCCUAGACGACAGCCGCUUCUUGUUCUCGCCGAGCCCCUUCUUUUUUUUUCCUCGCCCAACCCCACUUGCUUCGUUAUCAAACGACGUCCGCUUCUUGUUCUCGCCCAGCCCGGAUCUACAACGGACACGAUCGACUCUUCUUCAUCUACGACGUCGCUACUUUGGAGACUUCUAGUUGUUGCUUGCUGCUGCAGUUGUAGUGACCCAUCCAUAAGCAUUUCUUUUUUUUUUUUAUCUUAUGGAUGAUGAAAUUUUGAGAUUGACAGUGUGAGCAUUUCUUCCAUAAGCAUGUUCAAUUCAAGCUCAUUUCAAUUCUCAGUGCUACCGAUUGGCAGUUUGAGAUCAUCUUUGUGUAUCAACUAGUAAUGGGUGCUGAACAGAUAAUCCUUUUUCUAAUUAAUCUUUUCCGAAUUCUAUUAAUCUUUUACUGCGAUUUGUCACACUGAUGAUAUAUUAAAAAAAUAAAAAAGUUGCACUUUUGAUAUAAAAGAAAAUUAUCUCUAAUUAAUUUUCAUUUUUGCUAUGAAAAGGUAAUUAUUCCCGAAAAUCUUUAUUCUCCUGUCCCCAUAAAAUUAACCCUUAAAUUGUUGUUACCUUUUGUUACUAUUUGAUGCAAGAAUAAUUUAGCAUCUAGAAUUUCCAUAUAUAAUUUGUUUUGCUUUAAAUAAUUUCCCAAAUUGUUUUUCUACUUCUGGGAGUUGUAUUUCUUGCAUUUGUUGUUACUUUUGGUUUUUAUUUUUCCUGCUACGAAUAGACUUGUUUCUUCUGACAAGCUUUGAAUAAUAUAUGCUUCAAAUCAUUCUCAUUGAAAUUAUUUUGUCUGUGGAAUUCUUGUGGUCAAUUCUAUUAUAGCACAACUUAAAUUUCUAUUGUUAUAUUCGAAUUAUAAAUUUCUAUUCUUAGGCCCCGUUUGGGAUUGCUUUUGGGAGGGUUAAAAGUGAUUUUAAAAAUCUAAAAGUUAAUUUUGGUGUUUGGUAAAAAAAAAUCAAAAUCACUUUUGCCAGAAUCAGCUCCUCAUAUAGCUAAUUUUGAAAAGCAGGGAAGGAGUAACUUUUAGAUUCUGAUUUUGAGAAUCAAUUUUAUCAUUUAAUAUAAUUCCAUAAAUAUUCUUACAAUUAUUACUUAAAUCCGAAAUUAUCCUUAUUUAAAUUGGAAACAAAAUCAAUAUUUUAAUAAUUUUUUAUUGUAAUUAACGCACACCUUUCGUUUACCCUAUUUCUUCAUAUUUUGUGUUCUAUCAAAACUUCUCUAGUGCAACAAAGCAAGAUCCAGUACAUGUUCCAUCACCAUAUUCAAUAACAGUAAGUGAUUCAUCACCCUUUUCAUGCAUAUUCAAUGUAAUUUUUAUUAUAAUAUUUGUUGUUUGUCUUAUUUGGGUUUGUUUAUAUAUAAACAAUUCUAUGCCUAUGUAAUUUUUAUUAUAAUAUUCAUUGUUUGUCUUAUUUGAAUUUUUUAUUAUAAAUGAUUCUAUGGCUAUGCAAUUAUUAUUAUUAUAAUAUUUGUUAUUUGUCAUUUAUUUUUUAGUCAUUUAUUUUUUUACAACAGUUUAACAAUAAGAUUUACCAAACACCCAUAACUGUUUUCAAAAUUCACAGUACUUUUGAAAAUAAAAUUUACCAAACACUUAACUGAUUCUCUUCACAGCUGAUUAUUUCUACAGCACAGCUAACAAUAAUUAUUUUAAAAGCUGCAGCAUUACCAAACUGGCCCUUAAUAUACAAUAUUUUGAGAGUUGAAGACUAGUCACUUUUUUCUGGAAAAAAAAAAUCAUAUUGGAGUACAUUGGGAAGAACAUAAUAAUCAGUUCAAUUUCAAUCCUAAGUUACGUGACUUAUUACAUUUAUUUUGAUUGACUAUUUGACGCCAUUGUUAGAUAAAAAUUUGGUUAUAAUAGAGAUGGCCGACUGCAGGUCCAUAAGAUCAGUGUAAGUGCAGGGCAGGGAAAUCAACAAAGUCCAUAAAAAUUUUAGUCUUACUUCCCUGUAUUGCAUAUCAAUAUAUAUUAUCAUUAGAAGUUUCUUAGCAUAAAUGUUUAAAAUAUUUAUUUGUGAUAAUAUUUUAUCUAAAUUUUUCCAAUGUAGAAUUCAAAUGCCUACUCAAAGCUGUUAUGUUGUUUUCAAAGGACGAAAGCCGGGCAUAUACAAUUCUUGGCGUGAAUGCCAGAUGCAAGUAAAUGGAUUCAAAGGGAAUUCUUAUAAAUUUUAUAAAUCUUUGUUGGAUGCCGAAAUAGCCUCCAAUGAUUACAUAAAAAGGCAUGAAAAAUUGCCAGAGACAUCCAAUAUGUUAAAAACUACAAAAUUUAUUGUGGAAACACUCGAAAAGGGUGCAAAUUGAAGUGUCUACAUGCGACAAAGCUGUGCAAACUGAUAAAGGCAGAAAUGAUUGUAUUAUUCUGCCUAUAUUAUCCAUUGUAUGUUGUAUUUUAGGGAUAAUCGUUGCUAUAUGUAUUUUGCAUAAAUGAAAUUGUACCCCAUGUUAUGUAUAAAUUUAAAUAACUUAAAUAAAAUAAUUGUUGUGUAUGAAUUGUUUUCCUCUAGACUCUAUGCAUAUGAGAUAUGAAUUCUGUAACAUAAGAAAAGUAAUUUUGUAAAAUUAUAUCCUUGCACACAUUUGUGCAACAUGGCUCUUUAAGUGAAUUUUAAUUCUUCGCACAGGGCCUCUAUUAUCUACUAGUGAAAACAAAGCCUCCAAUUUAUAUUAAUAUUGUAUCACACAUUAGCUUUGCAUUUUCAAGAGGAUACAAGAAUCUGAAACAGUGAUAAAUUGAAGAUGAUUAGAUUUGAUAACUUAAACAGAAUUGAGAACCUGAAGAAAGGCAUGGACAUAAGUAUAAAAGCAGAAAACAGUUCAAUUAAAGACGUGGACAUGAGUAUGAAAACAAAAUUUAAGAGGAAGAAUUAUUACCUUUCACAUAGCUGGAAAUAUUUGCACUGACUGCAAAACCAUCGGUGCCUAUACAAUAUCACUUCAUGACAGUGCGAGCAAACAAAUUGUAAGUGGACAACAUUAAAAAAAUCUAACAUAAUUUCAAAAAUUUAAAGUUCAAUUUAACACAAAACAUUAUUCCAUCACUACAAUUUCAAAGAUUUAAAGUCAAAUCUAACAUAAUUUUAAAAAUUUAAAGUUUAAUUUAACACAACAUUAUUUCAUCACUACAAUUUAAAGCCAAAAUACAAGUCAAGUAUCAUCAUUGUUAUCUUCAUUACGCUGCUGCUGCUAUAGUAACUGUUGGAAAUUCUCACUUUGAGAUCCUUGAUAAGUCAUCGAAGGAGAAGAAUAAUGCAACUGCGAAGUAUACGGUGGGACUGGUUGCUAUAAUACAUAAAAAUAAACAUCAUAGUACAUUACAGAAAUAUUAAAAUAUAUGUAUUCAUUAACGACUUAUAAACAACAACUUACUGUGUGCCAAUUAUAAGGAAAUGGCUGAUAAAUGUUGCUUCCACCGAAUUGGGAUUGGUACAUAGGUACCUAAUCAAAUAAUAAAAUAUAUGUAAAAUUCAUAUAAAAAUCUUAAAACUAAAAUUUAAAUAAUUUAAUUCUUACAUUAUAAUAGCCCAUAGUGCCGCAUUAGUUGAGAUUUCCGUAAAUAAUACUUCCUUCUUGUAGUGUCUAUAUAUGCGCAAUCUUAUACUUAAUUACAUAUCCUAGAAACAAAAGAAAAUUUUAAAAGAAAAAUUCACAAAAUUUACCAUGGCUAUGUUGCUCCCUUGUGUAGAGAUUUCAUUAGGCACAUGAUAAGAUGAUGGGGCAUUUUCUUGUAAAUCCUACAAGAUUAUUAAAGACAAUUAAACUAAGACCAAAUUAAUUAGAAAAUAGAUCUUUUUUUUUAAUCAUAGCAUAUUUUUUUGUGUGGACUUGUUCUUUUGAACGCAUUUCUUACGAAUCGAAGAUUCUUUUCUUAGGCAAGGUGGAUGACCUUUACGACAUGUCACUAUUGGAUUAUUCAGUGCAAGUUGAACAUUGUUGCUGCUACAACUUACUUCGCCAAUAACAGUUCUUUCCACACUCUCACUGUUAAUUUGUUUGUUGCUGCUACAACUUGUUCCACCAUUAUUAGUUUUUCCCACACUUGCACAGCGAAUUUGCUUGGGCAGAUCCUUCAUUGCUUUCUCAAUCCAAUCCAACACCGUUUUAUAGCUAUUUUCAUCAUCAGAGGCUAUGUCUGCAACCUCACUGAAAUCGUUACACAUUUUUUCAUAUCUUUCUUGCUGGAUGGUCAAAUUCUACACACCAUAACAAACUUUCAGCUUACUAUAACAUCUCCUCACAUCUUUCCUCCACCUUGAUAAAAUGUAUCUUUCUGGAUGUAAUUCAACUGAGUUACGUAUCAGCACUGCAAGGGCAUGCCUGCAAAGAAUCCCCCUAAAUUGGAACUUUGAACAUAUUCAAUUAACUUCACACUCAACUUCUUCAAAAACAACCUCAAAGAAGCCUCUCCGACCUUGCCCAAAUGAUUCAAUUAUUUGAUUUAUUGAUCCCACAGAAUCUGAGAUAUCACAAAAUAUCAGAGCAGUCAAUUCUUCUUGAAAUUCUUUAAACUUGGAAAUGGUGUACACUUCAACUUGCCUCUCCAUCUCAUAUCUUGAUACGCAUAGUGUCCUUUUACUGAAACACUUGGCAUCUGCUUGUCAUUCUAAUUCAGCUUUCCUCCUCAAUGCAUUUUCAUAUUGUUUUACAAACUGUUUCAGGUUUGUUUUUGAGUUAGCAAAUCCAUCAAAAAAUGCAUUCAUACUUUCACUUCGCUGAGUUGUUGACAUUCCUGCCCAAAAAUAGCCUUUUAAAUAGCAUGUGACCCAACGAUGCCUCUCAUCGUACAAACAUUUAACCAAUCAUUAUCUCAUAAAUCAUAUUUUGUAAUCAUGCAAUGCCAAGCUUCUUCAAAUGCAUUAGAACUCAGUGAAUCAUAAAUAGGAGAAAGCAGGGAAGAUAUAAUACCUUCACGUUCAUUAAAAGCCCCUAACUUCUCAGGCACCUUUUUCAUUAUGUGCCAUAAACACCAUCGAUGCCUAAUAGUAGGAAAAACGUUUCCAAUUGCCUUUUGCAUUGCCAUGUCUUGAUCUGUAAUGAUACCAAGGGGAGGAGAAUCAGAUAUGCAUGAUAGCCACACCUCAAAUAACCACGUAAAUGUCUCCGUAUCCUCGAGUGAAAUCAAUCCGCAUCCCAACAAAAUAGAUUGUCCAUGGUGAUUAACUCCAACAAAGGGCGCGAAUGGCAUGUCAUACUUGUUGGUCAGAUAUGUAGUAUCAAAUGUGAUGACAUCUCCAAAAUAUUUGUAAGCUGCCCUACUCCGCGAAUCUGACCAAAACACAUUCUUUAAUCGAUCCUCUUUAUCCAAAUCAAUGCUAAAAAAAAAUCCAUUACAUUCUGCUUGCUUUUUCUGGAAGUACUUUAAAAGCGCCAUAGCAUCUCCUUCCUCAAGCUGUAAUCGCCUUGUUUUGUCAACAAAAUUUCUACAAUCUUUUUCUAAGAAUGACACAUUUUCAUACCCACCAGCUCCAACAACAAUAGAAUUGAAAUUUUGGGCAAUUCUAAUUCCUGCACAAUCAUUCAUUUCAAUUUGCUUUUUAGCGCUUGCACUAAUUCUGCGAUUGCAUGGGAAAUACCUAGCUUUGUCUGGACUCAAUCCAUGGUUGUGUUGAAGAUUUAAAGUUUCGAAGAACCCAUUUUCCAUCUUCAUUUAGACAACCUCCAAUUUUUGCAUCACAACCAUUUUUCACAUUCUGUUUCGGCUUCACUGCAUUAGCAGAUUUACUUUCUGACUUGCCGCUAUGCCCACAUGCAAAUGUCGCAUAUUUUACAAUUCCAUCAGUCCCCUUCUUAGUACUUCGAACCUUCACAAAAAACCCCUCUUAUUUACCCUAAGCUUUGUAAAAUGCAAACAUUUCUUCAUGAUUAUCAAAUAACAUUCCAAGAGCUGGCUCACAUUUGUUCGGUUCCACAAUUUCAUUUACAUCGUUAGCUCUUGUUUCUUGCAACUCUUCAAAUGUAUGCUCAUUUUCCAAAUACUCCAUUUCUACAAAAUAAUUAACAUUUGUAUUAAGACUCUUAUAUAACAUUUUGUCCAGUAACGAAAAUUCCUAACAAUUUAAAUAUAUAAAACACAUCCACAAAUUUUUAUAAUUUAUUCCAUUAUCUCCAACAAUUUAAAUUAUAAAAUCCUAACAACUUAAAUAUAUAAAACACAUCCGGAAAUUGUUAUAAUUUAUUCCAUUAUUUUCAGCAAUUUAAAUUAAAAAAAUCCUAACAUAUAUAAAACACAUUUAGAAAUUGUUAUAAUUUAUUCCAUUAUUUCCAGCCAUUUAAAUUAAGAAAAAUCCUAACAUAUAUAAAACACAUUCAGAAAUUGUUAUAAUUUAUUUCAUUAUUACCAACCAUUUAAAUUUAAAAAAUCCUAACAUAUAUAAAACACAUUCAGAAAUUAUUAUAAUCUAUUCCAUUAUUUCCAGCCAUUUAAAUUAAAAAAAAAUCAUAACAAUUUAAAUAUAUAAAAAGCAAAAAUCUACAAAUUUUUACAAUUUAAAUUAAAUAUUCUAACCAUUUAAAUAUAUAGAAUACAAUAAAAAAUUUAUUUGAAUGUAGUGAGAGUCACCAACUUACCAAUUAAUCAGUACCAAAUUUAUCAAGACCUCUGUUUGUAGAUCUAGAUCUAACUUCUUCCUUGUGAUAAGCGAGAUGCAGAGACGGAACUGAUGAGAUACAGAGACGGAACUGGUUUUUCCUUCCUAAAUGCAGAUAGCUCGCGUUGAGUAAAUGAGAGGUGAGAGAUGGAGAGAGACUAAAGAUGGCCGUAAAAAAGUAAUCUCUUUUCGUUACUUUUCUUUCUUUCUUUUGAUUAUUUUAUUUUUUAAAUGAAAAAAGUAAUGGACAAAAGCUGGUGAGUACAGUUGAAGUAGCAGACAUUCACGUGCCAAUUUUUCUAUCGUCCCUUUGUCGUGGCGGAGUUCAAAUAGCAGAACUCAAGAAUAAAAUGUGUGGGUCCCACAUAAUUUGGGAAUAAUGAUAAUAAUAAUAAUAAUUAUUAUUAUUAUUAAAUUUUAUUAACUUAUUAUUUUAGUUAUUAUUAAUUAUUUUAUUAAUAUUAUCAUUAUUAACAAUAAAAAUAAUGAUAAAAAUAAUAAUUAAUAAAAAUAAUGAAUUUAUCAUUAUUAACGAUAUUAUCAUUAUUGUUGUUGUUGUUGUUGUUGUUGUUGUUGUAAUAAUAAUAAUUAUUAUAAUAAUAAUAAUAAUUAUUAUUAUUAUUAUUAUUAAAUUUUAUUAACUUUAUUAUUUUAGUUAUUAUUAAUUAUUUUUAUUAUUAUUUUUAUAAAUAAUAAUAAUAAUGUAAUUUUCAUUAUCUAGAUAUAAAAAUGAUAUUAAUUAAAAAUAAUAAUAAUAAUAAAUGUUAAUAAUGAUAAUAUUAAUAAAAAUAAUAAUAAAAAUAUUAAUAGUAACUAAAAUAAUAAAUUUAAUAAUAAUAAUAAAUGUUAAUAAUGAUAGUAUUAAUAAAAAUAAUUAAUAAUAACUAAAAUAAUAAAGUUAAUAAAAUUUAAUAAUAAUAAUAAUAGUAAUAAUAACAACAAUAAUGAUAAUAUUAUUAAUAAUGAUAAAUUAAUUAUUUUUAUUAAUUAUUAAUACUAUGGGUAUUUUGAUAAAUUGAUUCUCAUUCCUAUUUAUUUUGCCAAGUAAACACAUGAAUGACAUUCCAACAUAUUCUCAUUCCCAUUUAUUUUUCCCAAGUAAAUAUUGAAAUCUCAUUCUCAUUCCAGUCCAUUCACAUUCCCAGCCCUUUCUCAUUUCACCCAAUUCUCAUUUUAUGAAGUAAACGCACCAUAAAAGAUGAAAUUGUUACAAAUCUUCCUAGAAGGUUCAAAAAUAAUAAUGAUUGAAUACUAUCAGCUUUUAUUUAAUAGCUGAAACUUUCAUGUCAGAAAACGUAUAACUUAAAAGUGACAGAACCACUAUAUAUUAAACGAGACUUUAAAAUUUUUUUUGUUAUAGUUUUGUAUUCGUAGUUCACCUUUAUCCUACUUCCAUGGCAAUUUGGAUUCAAAAACAAAACACGUGUGCUUUAGGCAGAAUACUCUAUACUGAAAUGGCCUUAUUUUUUAUUAUAUUUUAUAUUUUAUAUUUUUUAAAGAUAAGACAGCGAACAAAGCUCAAAUCAAUUCGAGACCCUGUGGGAAUAGGUAAGUGAAAUUGUUGCUUUUCUACAUGCAGAGUUUUACAGCAACAAAUUCUAUUUUUCCAAGUAUGAGAUCAACUGCGCUUGAGUAAAUAAAGCAAGAGAAAACGCUUGCAGAAACCUCAUGUACAUACAAUUAGAGCUAGCAAUAUUUGACACGACCCGAUUACCCGACACGAACACGACAUAAAUAAAUGGGUAUAGGUCGUUAAAUUUAACACGAUUAUUAAAUGGGUCGGGUUCGGGUCAACAUGAUUUUUUUCUGUGUCGGGUUUGGGUUAAAAUUCUUGACCCAUUUACCCGAUCAAUGACCCGAUUAUAUUUUUUAUCUUAAAAUAAUUUACAUAUUCUUAUCAUUAAAACUCAAAUAUUAGAGAUGGUUUUCUCUUUUUUUAAUUCUUUAAAAAGGUGAAUAUAAACACAGUGUUUUAUUUAUAAAAUUUUAAAUACAUUUAGAGCUUCAAUAGUGUAAAUGUGUAAAAAUUGAUAGACAUGUAUAUUUUAUAAUAUUGAUAUAUAUAUAUUCACAUCGGCCUAAUUCAAGUCGGAAUAAAACCCUUAACCAAAGAAGGCUUGGAUACUUCUAUCCUUGCUGUCCUAAGAGAUGGGCGAUUCAUCUCUUUUGACUGGAAUUUAUGUUGUGUACUAAAAGCAGUGAUCAUUGCUUUAUAAGAGAUUUUAAAAAUCAAAGCAACUGGGAUGGAUCCCUCAAUCAUAUUGUAAUUAUGAGUCUUGAUUUGUAAAAUCAUGCUUUUCAAAAUAUUUUUAUCUUUAAGGGAGGUGCUUUGGGCUUUGGAUAGCUCUUUACUUGGGCCUAAGAAGCCAUUUGCCAUAUGCCAUAAGUGUGGCAUAAAAGGCCAUACUGCAAAGUAUUGCAGAAUGAACCGAAAACUUCAUGAGUUAGGACUCGAUGAAGAAAUCCUCUCUAAAGUUGCCUCUCUUCUUGUAGAGUCUUCUGACUCUGAGUCUUCCAUAUCGGGAGACAGUGACUCCCUCCAAGUCGAUGAGCUAAUUGAUUCAUAUAUAUAUAUAUAUAUAUAUAAUUAAAACCUCAAUAGUGUAAAUGUGUAAUAUAUUGGUAGAUAUGUAUAUUUUAUAAUAUCGAUAAAUUAUGUAUGUAUGUAUGUACAUACAUAUGUAUGAUAGUGUGUAAAUAUUGGAUGUAACUUUUGUUCAAUAUAUAGAUAUUAAACGGGUUAUUGGGUAACCCGAUUAUUUUUUCGUGUCGGGUUUGAGUCUUAAUAUUUUGACACGAUUAUUAAAUGGGUCGGGUUUGGGUCGACCUAAAUUUGACAUGACACGAAGCUGACACGACAUGAACACGACCCGAUGACCCGUUUUGCCAGCUCUACAUACAAUGGAAAAAAAUUGAAAGUUUUUUUGGUCCAAAAUGACCACUGUAUAAGUAACCAACUUUACCAUUAGGGACUCUCCAGCCACCCCUCAACCUGAGAUGAGACUCCCGCCGAAAAACAUUCUUCUUCCGACAGAACCUGCCACCAAGCUUUGACAAGUCGCUAACUUGCUCGGAAACAAUAUGUGAAAGAUUGAUAUCAAAUUUAAGCUUCUAUAGCGAAAGACGUUGUCGGUUUCUGAUUGUAUUGCUUACUGUUAUGUCGUCUUAAACGUGAUCGAGAUAACGGUUACUCCUUCAUUAUCAAUGUAUGAUCAUCAUGUAAUGUCGGUUACGAACAUUAUAGUAGAGCGCUUGUCUUGCGCGUGACAUAUGUUAAAGAUAAACUUAACUUGUCACUCCCCGGACACGUGCGCCGAGGCUGGUCAAAUGAUUAGUUGUUACAGCCGUUGGUUUUGGCGGGAAACGAAGUUGGCAAGUGGGGGAGGUCCCAGAAGGUUUUCGAGGCUAUAUUAAAUAGCGUUAGAAGCUGCAAUUUGUCAGCAUGUAAUCAGAUCAUCAUAAUUUUGACCUUGUUCUUGAAUUCCUGAUGAUUAAUGAAAUCCGUUCGCCUGUUCUGCACCAGGAACUAGGCCAUCUGGCUUAGCCUCGAAAAUCUGUGUUCGUUGUUUUCUGAUUACUGUUUUUGCUUUCAAUUAUGGUAUGAUUCCCAUUCCCAAAAAGUUGUUCGACAAAAUGCUCAAGAAGGAAAGGAACCGAGCAUCCCACCUGAUGUCUUGAACAAACAAAAGAGACGAUUCCCACCUGAUGCCAAUGGCUUUUACGAACCACGGAAAAAACAGAAUGGUUUCAACUCUGUGGAACAGAGUGCAGUUAAGCCAGUAACAGAUUUAGCAAAAGCAACACUUUGAUAAUACUCUCUGCUUGUGCGCUUUACAAAAUUCCUAAUUUCCUUUGUAACAUGCAAACUGUGUCAGUUCAUCAAUGUGCAUUCCUAUCAGUAUUGAUCAACAUAAUGGUUCAGACUCAUGGAGCAAGAAUGUUGAUAAGGGCAGCCACGAUGAAUAUCAGAACUGAUCUAUGUAAGCUCAGGCUCUGAUUUUCUAUCCCUUGUUUCACCAGUACUUCAACAAAUGGAAAAGUUAGGUUGAAUAACAGCUAAUCACAUCUUAGGUGGCCGCUUCUUCUUGCUUAGCAACAUCUAAUCUUCUGUAAGUUAAUUUCUUACAUUUUAUAUUAACUUGUCUCCUGUAUUUAAGCGUUUGCUUAUGUAAUAAGUGUUACGUUUCUCAUAAUUCAGUUAAUCAGUUUAAGAGGAGAUUUUGUUCUCUUGUAAUUGCAACUUUGCUGAUUAUGAUUAUUUAAGAACCAUUUACUUAUAACAUUUAAUUCCAAAUUAAUAGAUUUUUUUGACUGACAUAUUUUUGUAAUAAAUUUUUCAUAUAAUUUCAAAAAUCAAUUCUAGAGGAAAUUUCGUUCUAUUGUUGCCAAGGCAUAGAAACUGGUUGCAACUCUGCUGGUAGUUUGUGUUUCAUCGAUACAAAGGUUGGCAGUGCAGGUUUUGGACUAUUUCGGCACUUUAAUGUUAUGUUUAAAUGACAUUUUGAGUUUGCCGAUUUCUCAUAGCAUUGAUAUAGCAUCUAAUUCUAAAUUAAACUUUUAGGAACUCAGAGUGAGGCUGCUGUGGCAUUAAUUUCUUGCAUCAUGAGCAUCCAGGGAGUUUCUUCUUAUGUCCCUUAUCCUCUCCCUCAUUGGAAAUAUGAUGUCUUCUUAAGCUUCAGAGGAUAAGACACCCGCAAAAAUUUUACAGACCAUUUGUAUUCUGCCUUGGAUGAAAAGGGAAUCAUUGUAUUCAGGGUUGACAAAGAACUUGAGAGAGGAGAAUCCAUUUCACCCGGACUCUUUAAAGCAAUUGAAGAAUCCAAAAUUUCAAUUGUUGUUUUCUCCAGAAGCUAUGCUUUUUCGACUUGGUGCUUGGAUGAACUUGUUCAUAUUCUUGAGUGCAAAAACACAAAUAAUCAACAAAUGGUUUAUCCAAUUUUCUAUGACGUGGAACCGGCUGUUAUAAGGAAACAGACAGAAACUUUUCAAGAAGCAUUUGCUCAAUAUGAAGAAGUUUUUAGGGAGAAUAUAGAAAAGGUACAAAAGCGGAGAGACGCUUUGAGAGAAGUGGCUAGGCUAAUUUAUUGGGCUGGGAAUUGAAGGACGUGAUCUUUCUUAUUGUCAAAGAUUUAUAAUUUCCUAUUCAAUGAUUCGAUUUGAAACUAUGUCCUCACGCACUUCAAUUCAACGACACGAAUCUUUUCUUAUCUUUUUCAAUCUGCAGGAAUGAAUCUGAAUUUAUUUUGGAGGUUGUUAAGGUGAUACCAAGAACUAUUUUUUACUAUAAUAUGUUUUAAUAGAGUAUGUCUACUCAUUUUAAAUAUUACUAUAGUAUAAUAUAUUAUGUCUAACAUAUUAUAAAAUAUUUUUUAAAUAUUGAAAUUAUUUUAAAAAUAUAUGUUAUUAUACUUAGUUUAAUAUUAUAUUUUUAUUUAUUAUAAAACAUUAAUGAUAUUUUAUUGGAUUUAUAGAGUUAAAGGAUAUCAUAAUUAAAAAAGAGUUUGGUGUUCUUUAUUAAAAAUUUAAAGAUCGGUGGGAUCAUUUUUCUAAGCAUUGGGGUAUAGAUAUCAUUUUCCUUCUAUAGUUGUUUGACAAAUUAAUUAUGACAAAGUGGAAGUUUAUAAGGAAUAAUUAAUUAUGCUAGUGGAUUAUAACGAAUAACCGAUUAUGCAAGUCAAUUUUCACUAAGACUUGCUUUUGGAAUACAAACACACAGAUUUACUUAAGUAGAGGUCGGCGCACACCCUCCAAUCGAGAUCCGAAGAAAUUUUACAAUUACAUUUUGGGAUUUAUUAAAGAUAAUUUUUUUCUUUUUGGUAAUAAAGUAAAUAAGAAGCUGUGGUGAAGUCUUGUAAUUCAAUUAUUAAAGAGAGUUAUCAUUAAGAGGAAGUUUCAUUGAAUGGUAAUUUCAUCGCGCGAGGUAAAGACUGGAGAGCGACCCUUUUUGACCAAGACUUGCUUUUGGAAUAUACAAUGCAACAACGCAACUGAGGAGCUGGAAACUGUGUAAUCGCUUUAAUUUUCCAAAUUUAGUAAAAAUCCUCAGAUUUCCCUCAAAAGAUAGAUGCACAAGGAAAAUUUUAUGAUGUCAUAUUUAACUACGGGAUUAGCAUGGAAUAAACAAAAAUUUUAUAAAUGAUAUAAGACCAAUAAAUAAAAAGCAAAACAAGUAAAUUAUUAGAAGAGUGGUAAAUUGAUGUUUUAAAAUUGAAAAUAAAAAUGACACUUGUAAAAUUAAGAUAAAACUUAUAAAUCAACAUUAAACUUUAACUCAACCAAAAAGAAGUUUAUUAAUUGAAUUUAAUUAAACAAAAAAAGCACUAAUUAAGCAAAGGAAAAACACCACUCAUUAAUUGAAAACAAAAAAAUUGUAUUGAAAAUAAUUAGAAUAAGUUUUAUUUAAUUGGUUUAACCAUGAAUACUAUAUUCAUCCUAGGACAUUUAUAAUUUUUUUUUCCAUUUUCUAUUAUAGUAUUUGUUUACUACAUAUGUUAAUCAAGCAAAAUUAUUUUUCUUAUUGUGGAUCAAACCAAAACAAAAUAAAAAGAUAUUUUUAUAUUACUAAAUAUAUAUGAAAUAUCAACAAAAUUGGAUCUAAUUUUCAGUUUUACACAUACUUUAUAUAGUUUCAAACUUUACUUCUUUUACUUAAAAAUCAUUUGGCCUUAUUGUCGAGAAGAUUUAGAAGAAUGUAGAAUCACCUUAUCUUAUAAACAGAUUUAAAAACCAUGAAAUGAAUUUUUUUUCUUAAUAAAAUUUCACAUAUAUUAUCACUUGUAUUAUAUAAACCCAAAACUAUAAUUAUUUCAUUUAGAAACAAAAUCAAUAAAUAUAUAGGAUAGUCAUUAUUAUAAUAAGCUUUUAAUUUACAUUUGUAAGUUUUUAUUUUUUUAAUAACUCUUAUAUUAAUUUACUUAUUUAACCUUCCUUUUAUAAGUUUUAUGUUUCAUUUACAUAAUUUAUAUUUUAUUUUAGGCUGAAUGUGUUGUGCAAAUUUUAAUAUAUUUAUAAGCACAUGAGUCUAUUGAAGUAUAGACUAAAAAUAAUUUAGAUUGAAUCCAUAGGGACUGUCAAUUUUUAGGAAAGUAAAAUUUAAUCUAAGUCCAUUAUAACUCUGCCCUAGUUGAAUAAAAAACAUUUUGUUUGAGAAAAUUAAAGCUAAGGAUGCAAUUAAAAUUAAAACAAGUAAACUAACACAACAAUUCAAGAGAUUGAGCAUACCAUGAUUUCAAAAUCUACCCAAUUUACGAGUAAAUUAACACAACAAUUCAAGAGAUUGAAGGUACCAGGAUUUCAAAAUCUACCCAAUUCAAUUAACAAUUAUCUAAUUACUAAUCAAUUCUCAAUUUUAGUAUAACUACUUGAAGUCAAUCUAUGUCUACUCAUGAAUAUAAUAAUUAAGCCCCAUUAAAAUUAAUCUUAUGUAAGUUCUUUUUCUAUUUAAUAGUAUGAUAUCUAAGCAUCCAUCUAAUCAUAUUGAAUAACAAAUAGUUAAAGUUUACCUAAGCACUCUAUGCAAAUAAUUUAAUGAAAGACACAAAAUCAAAGAUAAUCACAUAUAAGUUUUAUGGAUCCAAGCAUAAAAUAUUAGUCCUAACAAUCAAUAAUACACGACACAAUUGAUGAAACGAUUUAAUUGUACUCAACCAAAUAUGUGAAACAAGAGCUAUAAACAUUAAAGCGCUCAUGUAAGAAAUUAAUUGAAUAAUAAAAAGCAAUUUAUUUCAUUGAAUAGGGUUUUAUCCUUAGUCCUAGUAUAGAAGAUUUAGUUACACAUAAUUGAAUUGGGGAUAAAAGAGUAGAUAAAACCAGUCAUGGGAAAUAAAUCCAAGUGACUGGCUCUUUCUCCAAGCUGUAGCUACUGUUCUGCUUCAAUUCCUCCUGGCGGCUGCAAUUCCCCUCUUUAAUAUGUAAUUAGAGGGGAAAUAUAUCGAUAUAUUAUGCCCAUCAUAAUGCUGAUUUAUAAACUUUAUGUUACAUUUGUAAGUUUUUAUUUUAUUUACAAGUAAUACAUCAAUUCACCACUUGUUAGUUUAUUGUUUUACCUUUCAUUUAUAAGUCUUAUUUUUCAUUUACUUAAUUUAUAUUUUUUUUAUACUUAUUGUUGAUUUACAAAUUUUAUGUUAUAGUGGUAAAUUUUUAUUUUAUUUACCAAUGAUACACCAAUUUAUCACUUCUUUAUUAAUUUAUUAAUUUUACCUUCCAUUAGCAAGUCUUAUAUUCUAUUUACAUAUUUUAUGUUUUAUUUUACUCUUAAUGUUGAUUUAUAAGUUUUAUAUUACAUUUGUAAGCCUUUGUUUUGUUACUAAUAAUACACUAACUUUCCUAUGUUAAGAAACUUGUUUUAUAUUCCAUUCACAAAUCUUAUGUUUCACUUACAUUAUUUAUGUUUGGCAAGCCUCCCUUUAGACUUGCUUCUUUUUCCAGGUUUGCGGCUUUGUGAAUGACCUAUCGCUGUCAAUGCUUCUGCUACUGUAUCUUUGUGAUCCUUUCUGUCUUUCUUUCUGAUCUCAGAGUUGUACAAUGCACUGCAUACAGCAUCGAAUGUGACAUUGUCCUUCCCAUGAAGCAAAGUAGUGGUGAGAUGAUCAUAUUCAUCAGGAAGGGAAUUCAACAACAAUAAUGCCUUAUCUUCAUCUUCAAAUUGCUCAUCCAAAUUUAGCAAAUCUACUAAUAUUUUGUUGAAUGAGUUCAAAUGGUCAUUCAUUGACAUGCCAGGUGUAUAUGUGAAACGAUAGAGUUUUUUUUUUUUCAUAUAAAGCCUAUUUUCAAGGCUUUUCUUCAUAUACUUUCUUCCAGUGUCUCCCACAAUUUUUUUGCCGAUGUCUCCCUCAUGACAGAGUAUUUCUGAUCUUUAGCCAAACAUAGGGGAAUAGUACCACAUGCCUGUCUGUUGAGUUUUAUCCAUUCCUUGUCAUUCAUCAUGUCAGUCUUUUCUUCAAGAGCAACGUCCAACUCUUGUUGACAUAAGACAUCAAACACCUCACAUUGCCACAUACCAAAAUUAUUGGUACCAUCAAAUUUCUUCACUUCAAACUUUGCAUUAGUCACAGUAGUCCUCGCUGAUGAAGACGACGACAAUGCCUCUGCUAUCAUUUUUAUCUCAAAUGAUCAAUUUCUUCAACAACUAUUUACACUGAAAAAACAGCCUCUAUGAUGUUUAUUUCGCGUGAAUAAAUGCACCAGGAAAGUUCCCAAGAGACUGGACGGGAACUCCGUCCCAAUUAAAAAUCAGAAUCCUUAGACUCUUAUCGUCUUGUUGACAGAACUUUCCUAGACAUACAAAAAUAUACACUACUUACAAUAGACUGUCCCCCAAAGUAUAAAUGACCGUCUCUACCGUAUUUGUGAACAGUACCAUAUAGGAGAAUAGUACUGUAUACGUGAAUAGUAUAGUAUCCCCCCAAAUACGAACCGUCGGCUCUGAUACCACUUGUUACGGAAACGCGGGCUGAGCAAUUACUAAUAUUGUAACUUUUGGAGAAAUAUAAAUGUGGUGAUAAACAAAUGCAAAGAAAAUAUGACACAAUAAUUUACGUGGUUCGGCGUAAUGCCUAUGUCCACAGACAAAAACUGGAAGAUAAUUUUACUAACAAAUGGGAAUUUACAAAAGUGGAAAAAACUCACAAAACCCACAACCCCAAUACACCCAAAUGGAACCUCACUAGAACACUCAAGUGGAAGCUCUCUCAAAUUCUCUCAAAGAACUCAUUUGCAAUUGCUCUCUACCUCUCUCAAAUUGGGAUGCAUCACAAAUGAACAAUAGCCCUUCUAUUUAUAUGAAUCGUAGCUCACCUACCACUUUCAAUUUGGCUACAACUUGCCAAAUUGACAAAUUAAAUUUAGAAUGGAAAAUCAAUUUGGUGGGCAACAAAAUCUACAAUUUUGAAAAAAAAAAUCAAUUGGCUUCUAGAAAACCAUCACAUUUUUUCUCCAUGCAACUUCAACAAAAUCGUGCCACCAACCUUGCCUUUUGAAAUUGGCAAGCCCACCAACUUUGUCUUUCGAAAUUUGCAAGCCAUUCUUUGACUUUUCAACACAGUACAACCAUUUCUUGUAACCGACAAUGUCAUCUCAUCUGGAUUACAAAUUCUUGUUCAUUUUUAAACCCUAAUAAUAAUACUUCUCUGUUUAGUAGAGCUUGUGUAAGCAAAACAGAGCAUUAUGUAAUUUAAGUUAUUAGCAAUUUGUUCAGAAGAUUUCUGUCUCUCUGAAUUUGGAAAAAUGUAAAAAAGAAUGGAGACGAGUGCUCAAUGCGAAUCCGCAGGUCUAUGAUAUGAUAUGUAAGUUGUUAAUUACUUCAUUGUCUUUCACAUAGGAAGGCCAAAAAAAUCUGAAUAAUGGAAACUUUAAAGUUGUGGAUAACAAAGAUGGAAACUUUAAUUUUUGUUUUUUUUUUGGGAAACUGUGUUUCCUUUAAUCAAAUUAAUUUUUUUAAAAGUCUUUAGAUUUUUCUAAUUAAAUUAAGACCAAAAACAAGGUGUUAACCAUUAUAUAUUUUAGAAGAGUAAUAGAUCUUGUAAGAAUAUUUAACUAACUAUUUGGGAAAAGGAUAUCUAUACCUCAAGGUUUGAAAGGUUUGGGGAAAUGGUCAUGCAAACCCCCAAGUUUAAAAAAAAGGACUUCAAGACUCCAUUUUGACUGUAUUAUGCUUUGAAAUAUUAACUAAAAAAUUAACUUUAAAAUUUUUAAUAAAUACAAAUACUAUAUAAAUAAUGUAAUCUAUCUAGUAGACUAAUAAUAUUUAAAUAUUUAAAUAUUUAAAUAAAUUUAAAUAUGUAUAUUAUUAUAUUUAUAUUAAUAAUAUAUUUGUCUUUAUUGUAGAGAUUUUUAAUAAAUAUUUGCGCUAAAUACAUUUAAGAAUUAAAAAGAAUCUCAUAUACUAAAAAUGUUGAAAUUAUUAUUUUACAUUAAUAUUCAAAAUAAUUUAAAUUUAACACAUUUAUUUUAAUGUUAUGUUUCUCUUUAUUAUAAAAUUUACUUUAACAUAAGUAAAUAUAUCUAAUAGGUUGUAAAAUAUUAAAAUAUUUUUAAAUACAUUGAAAUUAUUUUAAAACAUUGAAAUUAUUUUAAAAUGUAUAUAUUGUUAUAUUUAUUUUUAUAUUAUAUUUCUAUUUACUAUAUAAAUUUUUUAAAAAUAAUAGAGACAAAGGAUAUUAUGAUCAAAAUGGAGUUUUAGUAUCUCUUUUCAAAAGUUUGAAAGUGUUGGUGACCCUUUUUUCAAAUUUUGAAGUGUAAAUGUCAUUUUCCCUUACAAUAUUUUAUAAUCUUAGAUAAAUCUGAUUCCAAACCCCACUUGCACGGCCCUUUGUUGCAUAUAUUGUAUAAUUUUUUUUUUUUUAUUACAUGAGACUAUUGCUCAGAUUACAACUCAUAUACAUGAGACUAUUACUGAUAUUUACAAAUCAGACUAUUACUGGGACCAACUGACAUCAAUGCUAAUGGAGCUCUGCCCAGAUUUUAACCCUCACAAAUAUUCGAGGGAUGUCUAUGUUGGGAAAAUAUGCUCUUUAAAAGCAUAUGUGUUUAUUUAAUUGUAAUAAACAAUUUUUCUGAUUAAUAAAAUAAAUGAGGUAUUUUAUUCAAAUAUUUUAAUUGCAUUAAUAUUUGUAUUAAAGUCCAUUUAAUCAUAUUAUAUGUAUUUAUGUGAUCACCAUGUGGAUUCACAGAAGACAUAAAUACAAGUUAUCUUAUGAUUAAAUAAAUUUAGUUCGCAGUUGAUAAAUAAAGUUGGGCACUUUAUUUAGGUAUAGACUGUAAUAAAUUCAUUGAAUGAUUUGUCUUAAUCAUGUAUGAAUUUAUUGAUGUAGUACGACUACAUUGAACAGGAUCACAUAUGAGAUUUAAUUAACUUUGUAAUAACUGUCAGACUUAUUAAAUCUCAUAGGCGUUGAUUUUACUGUAAUCUUAAUCUUGAGUUAAUUAUGAUUUCAUGAUUGUGAUUGUUAUUUCAUUUGAGUUAUCAAUGGGCACGACACAUCCUUGUGGUCAAGAUUACCCGGUAUCUUGGUGGGAGCAAUUAUGAGUAUUGGAGUUAUGGAUUAACAAUAUAGAAUUUGUACAACACAUCUCUUGAUAGGUUUUCGGUACUUGAUCAUAGAAUUCUCUGGCCAGAGUGUGUCAACAUAUUUAGUAUGUUGAAAAUGAUCAUUAGAGAAAACCAGUAAGGAUCAAGGAAUAAGAUGUUAUUAAAUUGAUUGGACAGUUGAGAUAUCAAUUUAAUUAACGAUGUGGUACAAAGGAUUGUGCAGUAAAGAAAUCAAUGUGGCUUGGGACGAAUUAUUAUUCGAGCAUACAAUUAUGGAAGUCAGUUCCAAUCUUUUAGUGGAGUAGAUUUGGAAUUAAAUAAUUGGGUUAGUUUAAUUACAGGCCUAAUUAUUGUAGCCACUAUUGUAUGUUCCCAAAUGAUCCCCGGGUUAGCUCAUUUAAUUGACUGCACCACUACUGGACUAAUAAGUAAGAUAACUAGCUAUUUGGGUCAAAAACCUAAAUAUAUCAUUUAGUGGGAGGCUCCAUUUAAUUAGCUUUUGUAUAAGGGGCCUUAUGUUAUUUUACAAGGUGGGUCCCUUAUUGAAAAAGCAAAUAACGUGGGUUUUGUUUUUUGGAUUAUUUGGAGCCUAGGGUUUUCACUAAAGGGUGAUAUAAAAGGCUUAUUUUCUCAAAAGAAAAAUGGGGAAGCCACUUUAUACAGAUCGGAGAAUAAGAUUUUUCUCUCGAUUGUUGAGAGAAAAAUUUUCUCGUGCUAGUUGCUUUGGUAGUGAUAACGGCGCCCACACGUCAAGUGCAGAUCGAACCUGAGUCAUAACCUGGAAGAUCAUUGGUGACAGUUCGUGAUCUAACAAGCGUGGUGGUGACGGAUCGUGAUCUAACAGGAGUGGUGGUGGCGGAUCGUGAUCUAGGAGCCUAAAUCACUUCAACGGAAAAAGCCAACUCGAAAUUUCAAGGUACGAUUUCUGGAUUACGUAUUCCUAUAUAUUAUAUGAGAGCGGUCCUUAAAAGGUUUUAUAAAAAUUUAAAAACCGGAUUUUUCCCCAACAAUUGGUAUCAGAGCAGCCUCAUAUUAAUAUAUAAGAAUAUUGUAUGAAAUCAAUCUUGAAAUUUAUGUAUUAGAGUGGCACAAUUUAUUCAGAUAUAUAUCAUUUGUUUAAUAUAUGAAUAAAGCAUGUUAUGGUUUGUCUUAAUUCAUGGUUAGAUUUUCCGAUGUAUUUUUUCUUUGGAUCUGUAACAAGAGGGGUGGUUUUUUAUCACCAUAAUUCCCUCUUGAUUUAUUUUACUGUAAUUGAAAUUUUGUAAGCCAAAAUUUGCGUUGAAAAUUUGUAAAUCACCGAAGCAUCAUCACUGGAAAACGAGUGCAAACAAUCGAGGCCGGAAAUUUCAGCAACGAGGGGCCAGCAGCACACGCUGCUGCGCGAGCAGCGCGCGGCCAGCAGCACAUGCUGCCAGCAGCGCGCGCUGCAACGCAAGCGUGCACGCAGCAGCAGCGCGCAGCAGCUAGCGCGCGCGGGAAGCGUGGCUUGUGCGCGCAGCACGCGAUGGCACAGGCUGCUCGCGCAGCAAACAGCGCGUACGGCCAGCGUGGCCAGCAGUGCGCGCGAGUUUGAUGCGUUUCCGGCGACGCGGUGGCAGGUGGUUCGAUGUCGGAGAUGCGUCAGAGGUCGGCUGGCAUCUGAACAGUGGUGGAGGUUUUUGGAGAUGGCGGCUGGGGAAGAGAGAAAGAAAAAUAUGGAUUUAGGGUUUCAUGGUUUUUAUCAUUGAGGUCCCUAUGGCUCCAUAAUUUUUCUUUUGGGUAGACACGUUUAAAUUUUUUGCAUUUAAGUCCAAAAAUAGUUUUUGGGCUUUGUGAAUCCUAGCUUUAGGCCCAAUUUCAAUUGGGUUUAAUGGAUUAUAAUGCAUAGAUAAAAUUGAACACAUUAAAUCUAUUUUUGGUCCAAAAGUUUUAUUUUAAUAAAAUUAUUUAUUUAUUUCCUUUUAAAAUUAAAAAUUGGACCAAUUAUAAAUUUAAAAGCCCAAUUUCCCCUAGUCCAUUAACAAAAACAAGAUUAUGAAAGAUGGACAUUGACAAGAAGCCCAAUGAAGAUUAGGCUUAGGGUUAAUGUAUUUUUCAUUAUUAGGAAAGCCAUGAAUUAAGAUUAUUUAAUUGUUUUUCUAUAUGUUUUGUUAUGGAUGAUAACAUGCCAUGAUAACAUGUCAUAUAGAAUAGGUAGUGCCACUCUAUGCAUAAUGAUACAUGUCAUUCAUUAAUUAUGAAUUUCAUUAUAUUGUUUGAAAUUUGCACAUGCUUAAUAAUAUUUGAUAUCAUCUAGAUAAUAUUAUAGGAAGCAUGCAAUUAACAAUAUGUAUGUUUUAAAAAGGAAAAACCAAUUUUAAAAUAUUGAGUGGGAGAGGGAAAAUUCAAGAUAAUUUUCCCACGGGCUCCAUUGUUAGUUCAAUAAUAAAAUUAUAUAUAUACCUCGACUUCAUGAUACGGUGAUGCUCCCUUCGAAGGGUAUAUAUAUUAGAUAUUUUAUUUGAUGAACUUCAUCAAAGAUAAAAUUGAAAUAUUUUUCAAUCGAUUGUUCACCCCAACGGUGACUAUUGAUAUGAAAAAUACGUAGAUUGAAACAAUGGUUAUACACUCAACUAAAGUUUGUUAUUAACCUUCCCAACGAAGCUCUGUUAACAAAUUUAGGUCCAAAGGGAUAACGAUAAUUAUUUAUCAUGUCUCUACAUGAAAGUAAAUAAUCCAAUGGAUAAUUGGGUCUAGUAAGUGAAGACAUGACUUCCCCAACGGAUAGCUUGUCAAAGCGGUACUAGAUUAUCGUUACAAUAAAUUAAAAUGCAUUUAUGGUUUUUUGCAUUUUUGUCAUUUAUUGUGAAUAUUAUUUCAAAGUAUUUAUGCAUGUGUAUUUUGUUUUUUCAGAAAAUGUCUUCCAUCAACCCAUUAUUAUUUAUCCUUGUUAAAAAUGAACUCACUGGCGAAAAUUAUUUAGAUUGGAAACGCAAUCUAUUUAAUAUUCUCACUGCUAAGGGAAGCAAAUAUGUGUUGACCCAGCCUUGCCCUCCUGAACCAUCGUUAUACGAUUAUAGAAAUCAGAGGAGCCUUAUGAGAAAUGGUGCGAAGCUAACAAAAUGGCUAAGCGCUAUAUAUUGGCUUCGAUUUCUGUGGAACUGCAUAAGAAACAUCGGAGCAUGGAAACAGCCACUGAAAUAAUGGCUAGUCUUCAUCAGAUGUUUGGGCAAAAUACCCAUUUUGCCAGAGAAGCAGCAUUAAAACGUAUUACGGAUACUCAGAUGGAAGAGGACACAAAAGUUCGUGAUCAUGUCCUCAAAAUGAUGGACUAUUUGAAUGAGGUAGAGAUUCAUGGUGUUCAAAUCAAUGAUACAUCAAAGAUUAACAUGGUGAUUGAAUCUUUACCUGAUACAUUCAAAGAGUUUAAGGUUAGCUAUAUCUUAAACAAUAAAGAUAUGACCUUAAUUGAAUUAAUGCACGAACUACAUGCUAUAGAAGAAUUUUAUCAUAGCAGAAAACUUCCUGAAAAAGGAUUCUCUUCAAGGCUUAAGUCGAAAGACAAGAAUGAGCAAGCAAGAGUUGGGAUCGGCGAACUGUCCACUAAAAGAAGUGGCAAGCCAAAAGGCAAGUGUUACAAAUGUGGACAGAAGGGUCACUGGAAGAAAGAUUGUCCUAAGAUUAUUAAAAUCAGGUAUAGGAAAUCUUUAAGCUUCCUAAUUAGUUCAGAUUUCUAUUGAUUCAUACAAUAAUGAAUUCUGAGAUAACUAAUCUUAUUUGUAAUUCAUUUAUUUGGUUUUCAGGAAACCAAGAGAUUAAGUGAAGAAAGCUUCAAACAGCAGUUGAGGACAUGCUAGUUUAUAUCAAUUGAAAGACUAGAUCAAUUUUACAAGACUUUAGUUUUGAUAUUUGUCUUUAUUUUUCAAAAUAUUAGAGGAAUUUAAUUUCGGUGGCUUGUUUUAAUAAACAGGAGUACACUGUUAUUUUUGGAUCCUCUAUUUAUUACUUAUUUUGGUUAUUUAUAAAGACAAUUUAUAUCAUAGAAGUACAUUGAUCUAUUCAAAGUAAGAUAUAAUGAUAAAAAGUGUAUGCAUUUAUCUAAGAAAAGAAAUGUUUCUUCUAAACCAAAAAUCACCUCUGAUACUUAUGCUUAAGUCAUAUAAACUAUAAUAAGAUUUUAAGAAAAUGAUUAAUGAUAGACUUGUUGGCCUAUUAAGAUUGAUCAUUGUAACUCUAUAAAUCUUAUUUAGAAAAGUAAUAUGACAAGGAUGCUCUUUUUGAGCUAAAAGCAGAACAUUGUAUUUGAUGAUUUAGCGCAUACAAAUGUAUACGGACUAAUCAGUUUACAUGUUAUAAGAGGUUAUGAGUAUUCUAUCAAUCUUGUUGAUGAAUAUUCAUUUCAUUUAUGUUUGUCUAAAUGCGUCAUGAUUCCAUUACUUUUGAAAUUCAAAAGAGUACGCGGAUAAGACAGAAGCAAUUAGACAGGAACAUAAAAGAACUUCGAUAUGAUCGAAACAAAGAAUAUCUCUAUGGAGAAUUCAAGCACUAUUUGGUUGUCAAUGAACACUAUGAUACAAUAGUGUAAUUAAAUGGAGAAACAAGAUUCUUUUGGAUAAGACAAGAUAUAUACUAAGUGGUUUAUCAUUUACCUUUUUGAUUCCAGAUACUAGUAUUUGAAACUACAAAGUUUAUUGAACUUAGUUUCAUCUAUCUCGGUGUCCACUACUCCAAGAAAUUAUGAAAAAGUCACAAACAUGGUUUGAGACACAUUCGUAUUUGGAGUUUACUAGUAUUUCUACUAGAAUCAGAGAUAGAGAAGAUGGAUUCAUGUUCAGAAGCUUGCAUGUUUUAGGUAUCUUAAAGGAAUAAGGGAAAGUCUGAAUUAUAGUCCUCAAGACAGGAAUGUAUUUAUAGAAAUAUUCUUUACUUUCUUUGAGGAAGACUAUAUAAUGACUUAUAACCUAAGAGUAAGGUAAAACUAGAGAAAUAAAAGAGAUCAGGUUGAUGCUCAGCUUUCAACACCUGUUAUAGAACAGGAAGAACAGCAACAACCAGCUGAUCAGUACAGGAUUAUCCUUGAACAACCAUCACUUUUAGAACCUCGUCGUAGUGGGAGGGUAACUAGGUUACCUGCGAGAUACAUGCUUUUGGGAGAAACCUAUACGGCUAUCUCAGAUGAACAUGUACAAGAUCCCACUAGUUACAACGAAGCUCUAAUAGAUAGAGAUGUUGAAUUUUAGAAAAAAAGGCCAUGAAUCAAGAAAUGGAAUCUAUGUAUUCCAAUAAAGUCUGGGAACUUGUAGAGGCACCAAAUGGGGUAAAACCUAUAGGGUGCAAGUAGAUCUACAAGAGAAAAAAUAGGAGUAGUCGGAAGGGUGGAAACAUUUAAAGCAAGAUUAGUAGCCGAAGGGUUUACUCAGAAAGAAGGAAUCGAUUAUAAGGAAACCUUUUCUCCGGUUGCUAUGCUUAAAUCCAUCAGGAUUCUGCUCUCCAUUGCUGCAGUGCUAGAUUAUGAAAUUUGGCAAAUGGAUGUCAAGACUGCCUUUCUCAACGGGCAUCUUGAAGAAAACAUCUACAUGCAGCAACCAGAUGGAUUUAUACAAAAAGGCCAAGAACACAUGGUAUGUAAGUUGCAGAGAUCCAUUUAUGGAUUGAAGCAAGCAUCCCGGUCAUGGAACAUCAGAUUUGAUCAAGCGAUAAAAUCGUUUGGAUUCAUUCAGAACAUUGAUGAACCAUGUUUGUACAAGAAAAUUCAAGAAAAAUUUGUAGCCUUCCUAAUUCUUUAUGUAGACGAUAUUCUCCUAAUUGGAAACAAUAUAGGAGUAUUGACUACAAUAAAGAGUUGGUUAGCAAAACAAUUUGAUAUGAAAGACCUAUGAGAGGCAAGUUAUAUUCUUGGUAUCAAGUUACUUCGAGACCGGAAGAAUAAAACUUUAGCCUUGUCUCAAGCGGUCUAUAUCGAUAAGAUAUUGGCUAGAUUUAGCAUGGAAAAUUCCAAGACUGGUUUAUUACCAUUCAGACAUGGAAUUACAUUCUCUAAGGAUCAAUCACCUAAAACAUCUGAAGAGAUAGAGAGAAUGAGACGAGUUCCCUAUGCAGACGCUGUGGGAAGUCUCAUGUAUGCCAUGCUUUGCACUAGGCCAGACAUCUGUUUUGCGGUAUGGAUGGUUAGCAGAUAUCAAUUUAAUCCUGGACCUCAAUACUGGACUGCGGUCAAGCAUAUAAUGAAGUAUCUGAAAAGAACUUAAAAUUAUAUGCUUGUGUAUUCUGGUGAUAAACUUAUUCUAGUGGGUUAUACUAAUUCUGAUUUUUUGUCAGAUAAGGAUUUUAGAAAAUCAACUUCCGGCUAUGUGUUUACAUUGGGAAGUGGAGCUACUAGUUGGAUGAGUGUGAAACAAUCUUGUAUCACAGACUCAACAACUAAAGCUGAAUAUGUGGCUACAUCUGAAACUGCAAAAGAAGCUAUAUGGCUCUGCAAGUUCCUACGAAAUCUUGAGGUGGUACCUGUUGUAACUGCACCCCUUAAACUAUUUUGUGAUAAUGGUGGUGCGGUAGCUCAAUCUAAGGAACCAAGGAACCACAAGAAACAAAACAUAUUGAAAGGAAGUAUCAUCUUAUAAGGGAAUAGUGUAGAAAGGUUAUAUGACAGUACCCCAAAUGGCAUUAGAUGCUAAAUGGCAGAUCUUAUUACAAUGGCCAUUAGUGGGAAACCUUUAUAACCUGCACUUAGAGCCCUAGAGCAUGUGCAAUAUGCCAGAUAUGCUUUGAGAGCUAGUGGGAGAUUGUUGGGAAAAUAUGCUCUUUAAAAGCAUAUGUGUUUAUUUAAUUGUAAUAAACAAUUUUUCUGAUUAAUAAAAUAAAUGAGGUAUUUUAUUCAAAUAUUUUAAUUGCAUUAAUAUUUGUAUUAAAGUCCAUUUAAUCAUAUUAUAUGUAUUUAUGUGAUCACCAUGUGGAUUCACAGAAGACAUAAAUACAAGUUAUCUUAUGAUUAAAUAAAUUUAGUUCGCAGUUGAUAAAUAAAGUUGGGCACUUUAUUUAGGUAUAGACUGUAAUAAAUUCAUUGAAUGAUUUGUCUUAAUCAUGUAUGAAUUUAUUGAUGUAGUACGACUACAUUGAACAGGAUCACAUAUGAGAUUUAAUUAACUUUGUAAUAACUGUCAGACUUAUUAAAUCUCAUAGGCGUUGAUUUUACUGUAAUCUUAAUCUUGAGUUAAUUAUGAUUUCAUGAUUGUGAUUGUUAUUUCAUUUGAGUUAUCAAUGGGCACGACACAUCCUUGUGGUCAAGAUUACCCGGUAUCUUGGUGGGAGCAAUUAUGAGUAUUGGAGUUAUGGAUUAACAAUAUAGAAUUUGUACAACACAUCUCUUGAUAGGUUUUCGGUACUUGAUCAUAGAAUUCUCUGGCCAGAGUGUGUCAACAUAUUUAGUAUGUUGAAAAUGAUCAUUAGAGAAAACCAGUAAGGAUCAAGGAAUAAGAUGUUAUUAAAUUGAUUGGACAGUUGAGAUAUCAAUUUAAUUAACGAUGUGGUACAAAGGAUUGUGCAGUAAAGAAAUCAAUGUGGCUUGGGACGAAUUAUUAUUCGAGCAUACAAUUAUGGAAGUCAGUUCCAAUCUUUUAGUGGAGUAGAUUUGGAAUUAAAUAAUUGGGUUAGUUUAAUUACAGGCCUAAUUAUUGUAGCCACUAUUGUAUGUUCCCAAAUGAUCCCCGGGUUAGCUCAUUUAAUUGACUGCACCACUACUGGACUAAUAAGUAAGAUAACUAGCUAUUUGGGUCAAAAACCUAAAUAUAUCAUUUAGUGGGAGGCUCCAUUUAAUUAGCUUUUGUAUAAGGGGCCUUAUGUUAUUUUACAAGGUGGGUCCCUUAUUGAAAAAGCAAAUAACGUGGGUUUUGUUUUUUGGAUUAUUUGGAGCCUAGGGUUUUCACUAAAGGGUGAUAUAAAAGGCUUAUUUUCUCAAAAGAAAAAUGGGGAAGCCACUUUAUACAGAUCGGAGAAUAAGAUUUUUCUCUCGAUUGUUGAGAGAAAAAUUUUCUCGUGCUAGUUGCUUUGGUAGUGAUAACGGCGCCCACACGUCAAGUGCAGAUCGAACCUGAGUCAUAACCUGGAAGAUCAUUGGUGACAGUUCGUGAUCUAACAAGCGUGGUGGUGACGGAUCGUGAUCUAACAGGAGUGGUGGUGGCGGAUCGUGAUCUAGGAGCCUAAAUCACUUCAACGGAAAAAGCCAACUCGAAAUUUCAAGGUACGAUUUCUGGAUUACGUAUUCCUAUAUAUUAUAUGAGAGUGGUCCUUAAAAGGUUUUAUAAAAAUUUAAAAACCGGAUUUUUCCCCAACAGUCUACUCCUCACUCAUGAGUAAGGGAGAAGACUACCUUCACUCAAAUUAAUUGAAGAAGGAAAUACCCCCACAAUGCUUUUGUGGGGGUUCGAACUGCUGCCCUCCAAGUUGGAGGGCAGCAGCCCUGGCCACUCGGGCUACUGCCCGAGUGGUUAUAUAUUGUAUAAUUAGUUAUUAGUAACUUUCCACCAAUAUGCUGCAAUUAAUUUCCUAGCAGUUUCUUUACUGUCUUAUUACUAAGUACUCUGGUUCUAAUCGUUGGAUAUUAUCCAACGGUCAUUUAGGUAAAGGACAAACAAUGGGUUUUGUUUACCCCUAAUGCAACGUAGUUGUGGUUACAUAUAUAUAUAUAUAUAUAUAUAUAUAUAUAUAUAUAUAUAUAUAUAUGUUUCAGUCCAUAAUUUUAAAGUGCAGGAAAAUGUGGGAAAAUUUUAAAAUCGCAUGGUUUUAAAGAUUUUUCAGACUUUCCUGCUUAUAUAUUUGCACAACUAUGAUAUUUUAAAUUAAAAUUUUUACUUAAAAUUUUGACAUAAAUCUUGAGAAAUUGGUUCUAAGAAAUCUAAUAGUGGAUGAAGAAUCAAUAUUAAAUACUACUUUAACUUUCAAUAUCUAUAAUUAGAUUGCUUGAAAUUAAUAGUCUAUCAAAUUUUUAAGUAAAAAAUUUAACUUGAAACAACACCACCAUGUUUAUUACUAUAUUUAUAUUUCUAUUUCAUAAACAAUUUCUUGGAAAAUGGUCGAACGACAGUUCUGUUGACUAUUUAACAAACUAAAGAAGAACAUUAUUUUCAAUGAUAGCGAAUGCUAUUGGAAGAAUUUUAUGAUAUUUAAUAAGGAAAAAGACAGCUAAACCAUCAAGAUUUGUGGAAAUGUUAUGGAUGUCCCCAAUUUUCAAAAUGGAAUAACAAGAUUCAUUUUUAACAAUAAAAUUCUUUGAAUAUAGCAAUUAGAAAAUUGACUUUAAAUUUUUUAAUAAAUACAAAUAAAUAUGAGUAAUAUAAUUUGUCUUAUAGACUAAUAGUAUUAAAAUAUUUCUUAAUAUUUAAAAUAAUUUUAAAUUUUUUAAUUAUUAUAUUUAUUUUAGAAUAUAUUUUUAUUUAUUAGAAAGAUUUUAAAUAAAUCUUAGCGUUAGAUAGAAAUUACACCUAGUAAAAUAUCUCGCGUAUUAAUUAUAUUAAAAUUAUUAUUUUACAUAUUAUUGAAAAUAAUUUAAAUUUAAAUUUGUUUUUAAAUAUUAUGUUUCUUUUUAUUAUAAAAUUGACUUUAAUUCAAUAAAAUAUAUUUGUAAAAUAUUAAAAUAUUUUUAAAAUUUGAAAUUAUUUUAAAAAAUAUAUAUUAUCACAUUUAUUUUAAUAUUGUAUUUCUAUUUAUUAUAAAAUAUUGGAGAUAGUUUUUUUAGUUUAUAAAACUAGUGGGUAUUAUGGUGAAAAUGAAAUCUUGGUAUCACAGGGUGAGUAUUUUGCACAACAAACCUGUGUGUACCUAUAUAAUAUUUUUCUCGAAAGUUGUUAAGUAAGCUUUGAUAUUCUUGACUAAUUAAGCUAAGAUGCUUGUGAAAGAGCUAAAGAGAAAUUGAGCAAUUGAGACAAAGAGAACAUAUAUUAUUCACAAGAGUAUAUGUACAAGAGAGCUUUGAUAGCUUGUCUAUAAGUGCUCAAGUCGCUUAUUGCUCUUACUUGUUGCAAAUGCUUAGUGUCAUGCCCUAUUUAUAAGGAGGUUUGCCUUAUUAUUCUAAGUCUAGAGAGUUCUCAUGGCUUGUAGAGAGCUCUUAUGUCUAACAAUGCCUACAUUAUCCUAGAGAAUUCUACGUACAAGCUGCAUGCUAAGACACUCUAGCAAAUUCUGAAGAAAUCCUAACCAGGUACAAGUGUGGAAUGCAAUAGAGAUGGAGCAUUCUAGAGACAAGGCAAAAAGUUAAAAGGCUGGAAAAUUUGGACGGUCCAUGACACUUAGUAUCCUUUUUCUUAACAGUUCUUUGAAUAAUUAAUUGCAACAAGUGGAAAUUUAUAAUGAAUAAUUAGUUAUGCGAGUAGAAGUCUAUGACGAGUAAUGCGCAAGUCAAUUUUCACUAAGUCUUGCUUUUGGAAUACAAACAUACUACAGAGCUGAGGAUGAAAAACUAGCUAGAAGUUGCGCCAUUUUAUUAACUUCUUUCCUUUGGGAAAAUACUUCAUUGGAGUUCAAAUAAGCUGUAAGUUUUAUCUUGUAUAUUUAUCUUUUAUUUUCAGAAUUAAUUUGCAGAUCCUGUAUGUUUAAAUAUUGAAAGAAAGCUUGAAUGUUAAUUUUGUAUGAACUUAAAGGCCGGCAUACGCACUCUACAAUCAGUAUCUGAAAAAAAUUUCUAAUUACAUUUUGGGAUUUAUUAAGUAUAAUUUUUCUUUUGGGAGUAAAGAAAGCUUUUUUUUUUUUUUAGGGUAAAGAAAGCAAAUAAGAAGCUGUGGAUCUGUUUAUUUUGUUUAAGAAGAAGAUCAUUGAUUUCCAAAUCAGAAGCAUUCUCUUAUUAAGUUUUUAUAUUAGUGAUUUGUUGUCUUUAAACAAUAUUUUGGUACAAUUUAUUGUCAACUAAUUUUAAUUAAUAAAAUUCCCUCGCACCAUUGCACAAAAUAAAAAAAGAAAAGAAAAAAUCAGUAUAAUUUAUAUAUGUUUGUCUAUUACUCUAUUGUGGAAGUGAUGAGGUGCAGUAGGCGAAAAAAGAAAGGCAAAAUUUCAGUUUCUGUCAGAUUCUUUCUCUAACUUGAAAAUCAAGAUCUUUGUGCAAAGAAUUUUUUGAAAGUACUUAUUUGCUUAUAUGUAACUUGUACCCUUAAUGUUCCUCUUAAUUCUUUCUAAAUGAUAUAUGGGUUUGUCUGGCACACUAUUUAUUUAAUUAUAUGAAAUAUUUUAUUUUACUUUUAUUAUUUACUAAUAUAAAAAGUACUACUUUAUUGAUAAUAUUUUAAAAUUUUUAUUGAGAAAGAUAAAUCAUAAAUUUAGUUAUAAGUAAUAGUUUAAAAUAUUAAAAUUCUAAUAAAAAAUUUUAUUUAAUGCAGGGAGCUUAUGCAACUGAAUACGACGCACCAACGGCCAAACACACCCUAAAUUAAUUAUACUACUUGACACUUUUUUUUUCCUCUUUUUUGGUGCCCAUAAUUUUGGAUGAAUCUUGUUGCUUGCAUGGUGUUGUCGGUAAGACUCACAUGACUAUAAUGCAUAUAUGGCAAGGAUUGAUUACCCACUUUUAUAUUAUCGAAUAUUUUGUGUAAAUUAGGUUUUGGAGCCCUUUGAAAUGAACAAGAGUUGGAAUUUCUAUUUUCUCUAUGAUUUCAGAACGGGUUUGAGAGUCUUCAAAUCUGUGGGUGUUUAGUUAGCAUGUCGAUGAUCAGUUUCCAAACAUGGUGGGUUGUGGGUGUGAUAUAUAUGUGAAUUUUUUUAUUUAAAAAAAAUGUCAAAACCAGGUUUUCUCACCCUCUUUCCUGGUGGAGUUUUAGAGGGUCUUUAGGUUAGGUUUAAGCCCAUUAAAAAAAAAAAGGCUACAAGAUUUCAUCACAUCUUUCAGCAAGAAAAUCUGUAAUUUGGAUUACAAUUCUACACAAGUUGGGAGUCCAAAAAAAAAGACAUUUUCCUCACCAACUUAAGAGGUGGUGAUAAGAAUUACAUGAAUGUAAUGCGUAUGUGGAAAGGAUGAAAUCCGUAAUGUGAUGCAUACAUGACAAAGAUCAAGACCAUCACGACAUGCACAGGUGGCAAGAAUCAAGCCCAUUAUGUGAUAAUUGGAUGACAAGAAUCAAGACCAUUAUGGCAUUCACAUAUGGCAAUAAUCAAGGCCAUUAUAGUCAUACACAUAAGAAAAGUAUUACAACUAUUAUUAUUUUUUAAUAUGGAUCCUUGAUUUAUGAUGAUUGAUUACUUUUAUGUUAUUGAAUAUUUUAUCUAAAUUAGGCUUGAGAGCCAUUUGAAAUUAAUAAGAAUGAAUUUUCUCUAUAAUUCUAAAAAGUAUCAGUUGUUCCUAGCAAGACUUACUUUAUUCUAAAUUUUCAGGAACAAAUAAAAUGACUUCAGUAAGCAACCAAAAUGUCUCUCACUGGACAUAUGAUGUCUUCCUAAACUUUAGAGGAGCAGACACCCGUAAAAGCUUCAUAAGUCAUCUAUAUGCUGCUUUGAAUGGGAAAGGAAUUUAUGUAUUCAAGGAUGACGAAGAACUUGAGAAAGGAGAGUCCAUUUCUCCUCGUCUCCUUAAAUCAAUUGAAGCAUCAAGAAUUGCAAUUAUUGUUUUCUCAAAAAAUUAUGCUUCUUCCACUUGGUGCUUAGAUGAACUUGUUCAAAUUCUUGAUUGCAAAAACAAAAAUGCUCAACGAAUGGUUUACCCAAUUUUCUAUGACGUGGAACCAACAGUUGUAAGGAAUCAGACCGGAAAUUUUCAAGAAGCAUUUGCUAAACAUGUAGAAGUUUUUAAGAAGAGUAUAGAAAAGGUACAGAAGUGGAGAGAAUCUUUGAAAGAGGUGGCUAAUAUCUCAGGCUGGGAACUAAAGGAGUACAGGUAGCUCUUCUGAUUAAUAUGUUUAUUAGUUUAAUCAAACAACAUUUAAUAUACUAUUUUCAGCUAAAAUUCUUCUGAUUAUUAUGUCUACCUUAUGAUGUGCAGUAAAUGAAAUAAUAGCUCCAUAUAUGUAUAUUUGCAAAUGAAUAGGUACAGAUGAAUGUAGAUAUUUCGCUAGAACAUACCUAAAGGUUAGCCAUAUAUAAUAACGUGUUACUUAGCCAUAUGUAAUAACAUGUUACGUGCAUUACUUCAAUUUGAUCUAAUGAAUAUUGCAUGGUUUGGAUUUUAUUCAUAAUAUGGAAUUUAUUUUUUACCACGUUCAUAAUAAAUUUAAUUUAACAACACCAAUCUUUCUUUGUUCUUUUCAAACUACAGGAACGAGUCAAAAUUUAUUUCCGAUAUUGUCAAUCCAAUAUCAAGUCAAAUUCGUGUAAAAUCAAAGAUUCUUAAGAAGCUAGUAGGAAUAGACUCACGCUUGGAGGAACUGAGGUUUCUUAUGGAUAAAGGUCCUAGUGCUGAUGUUCGUAUGAUAGGGAUAUGCGGCAUGGGAGGUUUAGGUAAGACGACUCUUGCAAGAGUUAUUUAUGACUUGAUCUCUCAUGAAUUUGAAGGAAGCAGUUUUCUUGCUAAUGUUAGAGAAAAAUCUGAAAGGGAAGGUGGUGUAAUCUCUUUUCAAAGGCAACUCGUUUCCCAAUUACUAAAGCUUACAGAUAAUAGGAUAUGGAAUGAGGAUGAUGGCAUUAACAUUUUAGGGAGUAGGCUGCAACACAAGAAGGUUCUUCUUGUUAUUGAUGAUGUGGUUGAUUCAAAGCAAUUAGAAUAUUUAGCUGGAAAGCAUGGGUGGUAUGGUUCAGGCAGUAGGAUCAUCAUAACAUCAAGAGAUGAAGGUUUGUUAAAGACAAAUGGUGUGGCUGAAGUGUAUAAGCCUAAUGGACUAAACUACAAUGAAGCUCUUCAACUCUUCAACAUGAAAGCUUUUAAAACCAAUCAGCCUUUGGAAGAACGUGUGCAGCUAUCUGAACGUUUUGUAAAUUAUGCUGGUGGUAUUCCAUUAGCUAUCGAAGUUUUAGGUUCCUUUUUGAAUGUUAGAUCUGUGGAUCAAUAGAGAAGUACCAUGGAAAGACUUCAAAUAGAUCCUCCAAAUAAGAUUAUGAGUAUAUUUGAAGUUUUGACCGACUACAAGAUUCUGAGAAGAAAAUAUUUCUUGAUAUUGCAUGUUUCUUUAAAGGGAAGGAUAGAGAUUAUGUAACAAAAAUUCUAGAGGGAUGUGGUUUUUUCCCUGUCAUUGGAAUAGAAGUUCUUAUUGAAAGAUCUCUUUUAAUAGUUGAUGACGACAACACACUGGGGAUGCAUGAUUUGUUACAAGAAUUGGGACAACUGAUUGUCACGAGACAAUCCCCCGAAGAACCUGGGAAACGCAGCAGAUUAUGGAAGGAAAAAGAAGUACGCCAGGUUUUGAUAGAAAACACAGUAAGUGAAUUAUUAAAUGAAAAACUUGUUGAUGCUUGCUACUUUAUUUUUCCCAAUUACAUCUCUAACGAAUUUUCAACAUCUUGACAUUAUGUUUUUUAUUUACUUAUUGUUUGCUUAUAAUUUUUAGGGAGGUGAAGUAAUGGAAGGAAUAAUAGUUAAUGCCUACUUUCCUGAAAAUGAGGUUUACUUAAGUGCAAGUGCUAAAGCAUUUUCGCAGAUGACCAACCUAAGACUGCUCAAAAUUAGUAAUGUGCAACUUCCUGGAGGCCUAGAAUACCUCUCUAACAGGUUGCGAUUACUUGAUUGGCAUCGGUAUCCUUUGAAACCUUUGCCAUCAAAUCUGCAAUUGGAUAAAAUUGUUGAAUUUAAAAUGUGCUACAGCCGCAUUGAAGAAUUAUGGAAGGGAAUCAAAGUAAGAUCAAUUAUUUUGUCAAUAAUUUGAAUUUUUUCUGUGAAUAAUUGUUGAUAGUAUUACAGUUGUAUAUAAAUUAAGAAUUAUCAUUUUUUUCCUGCUUUUGUUUUCAACAGCCUUUAAACAUGCUGAAAGUCAUGAAACUCAGCCAUUCACAGGACUUGAUUAAAACACCGAACUUCACAGAGGUCUCAAAUUUAGAGGAGCUGGAUCUUGAAGGAUGUACAAGGCUGCAUGAAAUUCACCCAUCUUUACUGCUUCACAGUAAGCUUAUCAUAUUGAACCUGAAAGAUUGUACAAGUCUUACAACUCUUCCAGGCAAGAUUUCUAUGAAAUCGCUUAAAAUACUCGUUCUUUCUAGUUGCUCGAAACUGAUAAAGAAGUUUCUAGGGUUUGAUGGAAAUAUGAAUGAUUUGUCAGAACUCUGUUUAGACAGAACAACUAUUGAAGAGUUGCCAUUAUCAAUUCAACAUCUAACUGGACUUACUUUGUUGAAUUUGAAAGAUUGCAAAAAUAUCAAGAGUCUUUCAAUUUCUUUAACAAGAUUAAAAUGCCUAAGAACUCUUAAGCUCUCUGGUUGCUCAAAGUUUAGGAAGUUUCCAGAGAUUUGGGGAGGUAUGAAAGAUCUGACGGAGCUCUUCUUAGAUGGAACUUCCAUUACAGAAGUGCCAUCUUCUAUAGAACUUUUGACCGGACUUCAAUUGUUAAAUUUGAAUAACUGCAACAAUCUAGUGAGACUUCCCAGCGGUAUAAAUGGUUUGAAAUCUCUUCAAACUUUAAAUCUCUCAGGAUGCUCCAAACUUGAAAAUGUGCCAGAGACGCUUGGGCAAAUAGAAAGUCUGGAAGAACUUGAUAUAAGCGGAACAGCUAUAAGACGACCUGCAUCCUCCAUUUUUCUUAUGAAGAAUCUUAAAACACUAUCUUUUUCUGGGUCCUAUGGACAACCGUCGUCUACAUCAUGGCAUUUGCAAUUUCUCUUCAAUUGGAUGCGGAGGAGUUCAGACCUAGGGGCUUUAAGGUUGAUUUCUCUGUCAGGUUUGUGCUCUAUAAGCAAAAUUAGAUCUCAGUUACUGUGAUCUACGGGAAGGAACAAUCCCGAGUGAUAUUGGCAACUUAUACUCAUUAAAAAAAUUGUAUCUGAGCGGAAACAAUUUUGUUUCGCAACCGGAAAGCAUUAAUCGUCUUUUUAAGCUUGAAAUAUUGGUGUUGGAAGAUUGUAAAUGUUGGGGAAAAAUCAGGUUUUUAAUUUUAUUUUUAUUAAACCUUUUAAGGACCGCUCUCAUAUAAUAUAUAGGAAUACGUAAUCCAGAAAUCGUACCUUGAAAAUUCGAGUUGGCUUUUUCCGCUGAAGUGAUUUAGGCUUCUAGAUCACGAUCCGCCACCACCACUCCUGUUAGAUCACGAUCCGUCACCACCACGCUUGUUAGAUCACGAACUGUCACCAAUGAUCUUCCAGGUUAUGACUCAGGUUCGAUCUGCACUUGACGUGUGGGCGCCUUUAUCACUACCAAAGCAACUAGUACGAGAAAAUUUUUCUCUCAACCAUGGAGAGAAAAAUCUUAUUCUCUGAUUUGUAUAAAGUGGCUUCACCUUUUCCUUUUUGGGAAAAUAAGCCUUAUAUAUCUCCCUUUAGUGAAAACCCUAGGCUCCAAAGAUUCCCCAAAAUAAAGCUCACGUUACUUUUCAUUUAAUAGGGGACCCACCAUGUAAAAUAACAUAAGGCCCCUUACACAUAAGCUUAUUAAAUGGAGCCUCCCACUAAAUGAUAUAUUUAGGCUUUUGACCCAAAUAGCUAGUUAUCUUGCUUAUUAGUCCAGCAGUGGUGCAAUCAAUUAAAUGAGCUAACCCGGGGAUCAUUUGGGAACAUACAAUAGUGGCUACAAUAAUUAGGCCUGUAAUUAAACUAGCCCAAUUAUUUAAUUCCAAAUCUACUCCACUAAAAGAUUGGAACUGACUUCCAUAAUUGUAUGCUCGAAUAAUAAUUCGUCCCAAGCCACAUUGAUUUCUUUACUGCACAAUCCUUUGUACCACAUCGUUAAUUAAAUUGAUAUCUCAACUGUCCAAUCAAUUUAAUAACAUCUUAUUCCUUGAUCCUUACUGGUUUUCUCUAAUGAUCAUUUUCAACAUACUAAAUAUGUUGACACACUCUGGCCAGAGAAUUCUAUGAUCAAGUACCGAAAAACCCAUCAAGAGAUGUGUUGUACAAAUUCUAUAUUGUUAAUCCAUAACUCCAAUACUCAUAAUUGUUCCCACCAAGAUACCGGGUAAUCUAGACUACAAGUAUGUGUCAUGCCCAUUGGUAACUCAAAUGGAAUAACAAUUACAAUCAUGAAAUCAUAAUUAACUCAAGAUUAAGAUUACAGUAAAAUCAACGCCUAUGAGAUUUAAUAAGUCUGACAGUUAUUACAAAGUUAAUUAAAUCUCAUAUGUGAUCCUGUUCAAUGUAGUCGUACUACAUCAAUAAAUUCAUACAUGAUUAAGACAAAUCAUUCAAUGAAUUUAUUACAGUCUAUACCUAAAUAAAGUGCCCAACUUUAUUUAUCAACUGCGAACUAAAUUUAUUUAAUCAUAAGAUAACUUGUAUUUAUGUCUUCUGUGAAUCCACAUGGUGAUCACAUAAAUACAUAUAAUAUGAUUAAAUGGACUUUAAUACAAGUAUUAAUGCAAUUAAGAUAUUUGAAUAAAAUACCUCAUUUAUUUUAUUAAUCAGAAAAACUGUUUAUUACAAUUAAAUAAACACAUAUGCUUUUAAAGAGCAUAUUUUCCCAACAAUCUCCCACUAGCUCUCAAAGCAUAUUUGGCAUCUCACGCAUGCCCAUGGAUUCUAAGUGCAAGUUAAAAGGUUUCCCAGGUAUGGCCUUAGUAAAAGGAUCUGCCAAGUUUUGCUGUGACGCAAUCUGAGUAACCUCCACAUCACCUCUCUGCACUAUAUCCCUUAUAAGAUGAUACUUCCUCUCAAUAUGUUUUUGUUUCUUGUGGUUCCUUGGUUCCUUAGAUUGAGCUACCGCACCACUAUUAUCGCAAAAUAGUUUAAGGGGUGCAGUUACAGCAGGUACCACCUCAAGAUCUUGUAGGAACUUGCGGAGCCAUACAGCUUCUUUUGCAGCUUCGGAUGCAGCCACAUAUUCAGCUUCAGUUGUGGAGUCUGCGAUACAAUAUUGUUUCACACUCCUCCAACUAAUAGCUCCACUUCCCAAUGUAAACACAUAGCCGGAAGUUGAUUUUCUGGAAUCCUUAUCUGACAUAAAGUCAGAAUCAGUAUAACCCACUGGAAUGAGUUCAUCACCAGAAUACACAAGCAUAUAAUUUUUAGUUCUUUUCAGAUACUUCAUUAUAUGCUUGACCGCAGUCCAGUGUUUAGGUCCAGGAUUAGAUUGAUAUCUACUAACCAUCCCUACCGCAAAACAGAUGUCUGGCCUAGUGCAAAGCAUGGCAUACAUGAGACUUCCCACAGCUUCUGCAUAGGGAACUCGUCUCAUUCUCUCUAUCUCUUCAGAUGUUUUAGGUGAUUGAUCCUUAGAGAAUGUAAUUCCAUGUCUGAAUGGUAAUAAACCAGUCUUGGAAUUUUCCAUGCUAAAUCUAGCCAAUAUCUUAUCGAUAUAGACCGCUUGAGACAAGGCUAAAGUUUUAUUCUUCCGGUCUCGAAGUAACUUGAUACCAAGAAUAUAACUUGCCUCUCCCAGGUCUUUCAUAUCAAAUUGUUUUGCUAACCAACUCUUUAUUGUAGUCAAUACUCCUAUAUUGUUUCCAAUUAGGAGAAUAUCGUCUACAUAAAGAAUUAGGAAGGCUACAGAUUUUUCUUGAAUUUUCUUGUACACACAUGGUUCAUCAAUGUUCUGAAUGAAUCCAAACGAUUUUAUCGCUUGAUCAAAUCUGAUGUUCCAUGACCGGGAUGCUUGCUUCAAUCCAUAAAUGGAUCUCUGCAACUUACAUACCAUGUGUUCUUGGCCUUUUUGUAUAAAUCCAUCUGGUUGCUGCAUGUAGAUGUUUUCUUCAAGAUGCCCGUUGAGAAAGGCAGUCUUGACAUCCAUUUGCCAAAUUUCAUAAUCUAGCACUGCAGCAAUGGAGAGCAGGAUCCUGAUAGAUUUAAGCAUAGCAACCGGAGAAAAAGUUUCCUCAUAAUCGAUUCCCUCUUUCUGAGUAAACCCUUUGGCUACUAAUCUUGCUUUAAAUGUUUCCACCCUUCCGUCUACUCCUCUUUUUCUCUUGUAGAUCCACUUGCAUCCUAUAGGUUUUACCCCAUUUGGUGCCUCUACAAGUUCCCAGACUUUAUUGGAAUACAUAGAUUCCAUUUCUUGAUUCAUGGCCUUUUUCCAAAAUUCAACAUCUCUAUCUAUUAGAGCUUCGUUGUAACUAGUGGGAUCUUGUACAUGUUCAUCUGAGAUAGCCGUAUAGGUUUCUCCCAAAAGCAUGUAUCUCGCAGGUAACCUAGUUACCCUCCCACUACGACGAGGUUCUAAAAGUGAUGGUUGUUCAGGGUUAAUCCUGUGUUGAUCAUCUGGUUGUUGCUGUUCUUCCUGUUCUGUAACAGGCAUUGAAAGCUGAGCAUCAACCUGAUCACCUGACAGUUCUUCAAGUAUUACCUUACUCUUAGGUUUGAAGUUAUUCAUAUAGUCUUCCUCGAGGGAAGUGAAAUGUGUGCUCACUAUCACUUUCCUAUCUUGAGGACUAUAAAAUAAACCUCCCCUUGUUCCUUUGGGAUACCCCACAAACAUACAAACCUCAGAACGUGAAUCCAUUUUGUCUGCCUUUGGUUUCAGCACAUGUGCUGGUGAUCCCCAAAUACGGACAUGUCGUAAACUUGGUUUACGACCUGACCAUAAUUCUAUUGGGGUUUUAGGCACUGACUUAGAUGGAACUAAGUUCAAAAGGUAAACUGCAGUUUCCAGUGCUAAUCCCCAAAAAGAGAUUGGUAAUGACGAAUAACUAAGCAUAGAUCUCACCAUAUCCAAAAGAGUUCUAUUUCUUCUUUCAGCUACCCCAUUUUGUUGUGGUGUUCCCGGGGCAGUCAAUUGAGAUAUAAUCCCAUUUUCAACCAGAUACUCUUUGAAAUCUCCUGAGAGAAAUUCACCACCUCGAUCAGAUCGAAGUUUCUUUAUGUUCUUAUCUAAUUGCUUUUCUGUCUCAGCCCUAUACUCUUUGAAUUUCUCAAGAGCUUCAGACUUAUGACGCAUCAGAUAAACAUAACCGUAUCUUGAGUAAUCAUCAGUAAAAGUGAUGAAAUACUCAUAACCUCCUCGAGCUUGUACAUUGAUUGGUCCACAUACAUCUGUAUGUACCAAUUCAAGUGGUACUGUUGCACGUACUCCUUUUGCCGAGAAUGGCCUUUUGGUCAUUUUCCCUUCUAAACAGGAUUCACAGAGUGGCAAUGAUUCAUUUUCUAAUGGACCCAAGAGCCCAUCUUUGAUCAUUCUCUGUAUCCUAUUUUGGUUUAUAUGACCCAAGCGUAAAUGCCAGAGGUAACAUUGGUUGGAAGAAAUAUUUCUUUUCUUAGAUAAAUGUGUAUGCUCAUCAUUAUUUAUCACUGUGUCAUGCAUAGAAUGGAUCAGUGGACUUAAAUGAUAUAAAUUAUCUUCCAAUGUACCAGAACAAAUAAGUCUCUUAUUUUGAAAAAUAGAAACAGAGGAUCCAAAAUUUACAGUGUACCCUUGCUUUGACAAACAAGCUACUGAAAUUAAAUUCCUCUUAAUGUCUGGAACAUAAAGACAAUUAUUCAAAACUAAAGUCUCAUUAUUAAAAGAUAAUAAAACAGAUCCAGUCUUCACUGCUGACACGAACUGUCCUGUCCCUAACUGCAGCUUGACGCUUCCUUCACUUAUUUUCCUGGUUUCCUGAAACCAAUAAAGUGAAUUACAAAUAUGAUUAGUUGCUCCUGAAUCCAACACCCAAGUGUCAAUAGGAUUCUGAACUAAACAGGCCUCAAUUAUAAAAAGAUUUCCCUCACCUGAUUUCACAAUCUUAGGGCAAUCCUUUUUCCAGUGACCUUUCUGUCCACACUUGAAGCAUUUGCCUUUCGGCUUGCCAUCUUGCUUGGUAGACGGUCUCUUUUUCCCAGCUUUCUUCUUACCUUUGCCUUUCGGCUUAGGCCCAGAAGAUGAACUUUUUUCAGUAAUAUUUAUGCUUCCCAGAGAUUUCUCAGCACGAUAGAUCUCUUCAGCAGAAUGAAGUUCGUUCAUCAAUUCAGUUAAGGUCAUGUUUCUUUUGUUCAUGUUAUAAUUGACCUUAAACUCCUUGAAUGUUUCUGGCAGAGAUUCUAGCACCAUGUCAAUCUUUGAGUUAUCAUCGAUUUGUGCUCCCUGAAUCUCAGCCUCAUUCAAAUAGUCCAUCAUUUUGAGGACAUGAUCACGAACUCUUGUGCCCUUCCCCAUUUUACUGUUCAUAAUUCCUUUCAGCGCUGCUUGUCUCGCAGAGCGAGUACUCUGCCCGAACAUCUGUUGGAGACUAUCCAUUAUUUCAGUGGCAGUCUCCAAGUUCUGAUGUUUGGUCUGCAGAAUAUUAGAAAUCGAGGCUAAAAUGUAGCACUUUGCCAUUUCAUUGGCCUUUUGCCAUUUCUCAUAAAGCCUCCUCUGAUUUCUAUGAGCAUCAUCUGCUGGAACUGGAGGGCAUGGCUGGGUUAAGACAUAUUUAUAAUUUUCAGCAGUCAGGACAAUGAAUAGAUUUCUUUUCCAAUCUAUAUAGUUCUCUCCAGUGAGUUUGUUUUGACUCAGAAUAAUAGUAAGUGGGCUCAGGGAAGACAUUUUCUGAAAAAUAAAACAUCCAUGCAUAAAUAAUUUGAAAUAAUAUUCACAAUAAAUGACAAAAAUGCAAAAAACCAUAAAUGCAUUUUAAUUUAUUGUAACGAUAAUCUAGUACCGCUUUGACAAGCUAUCCGUUGGGGAAGUCAUGUCUACACUUACUAGACCCAAUUAUCCAUUGGAUUAUUUACUUUCAUGUAGAGACAUGAUAAAUAAUUAUCGUUAUCCUUUUGGGCCUAAAUUUGUUAACAGAGCUUCGUUGGGAAGGUUAAUAACAAAUUUUAGUUGAGUGUAUAACCAUUAUUUCAAUCUACAUAUUUUUCAUAUCAAUAGUCACCGUUGGGGUGAACAAUCGAUUGAAAAAUAUUUCAAUUUUAUCUUUGAAGAAGUUCAUCAAAUAAAAUAUCUAAUAUAUAUACCCUCCGUAGGGAGCAUCACCGUAUCAUGAAGUCGAGGUAUAUAUAUAAUUUUAUUAUUGAACUAACAAUGGAGCCCGUGGGAAAAAUUAUCUUGAAUUUUCCCUCUCCCACUCAAUAUUUUAAAAUUGGUUUUUCCUUUUUAAAACAUACAUAUUGUUAAUUGCAUGCUUCCUAUAAUAUUAUCUAGAUGAUAUCAAAUAUUAUUAAGCAUAUGCAAAUUUCAAACAAUAUAAUGAAAUUCAUUAUUAAUGAAUGACAUGUAUCAGUAUGCAUAGAGUGGCACUACCUAUUCUAUAUGACAUGUUAUCAUGGCAUGUUAUCAUCCAAAACAUAACAUAUAGAAAAACAAUUAAAUAAUCUUAAUUCAUGGCUUUCCUAAUAAUGAAAAAUACAUUAACCCUAAGCCUAAUCUUCAUUGGGCUUCUUGUCAAUGUCCAUCUUUCAUAAGCUUGUUUUUGUUAAUGGACUAGGGGAAAUUGAGCUUUUAAAUUUAUAAUUGGUCCAAUUUUAAUUUUGAAAGGAAAUAAAUAAAUAAAUUAUUUUAUUUUUUUUUAUUUUUUUAUUUUUUUAUUAAAAUAAAACUUUUGGACCAAAAAUAAAUUUAAUGUAUUUAAUUUUGUCUAUGCAUUUUUAAUCCAUUAAGCCCAAAUAUCAAUUGGGCCUAAAACUAGGAUUCUUUAAGCCCAAAACUGUUUUUAGACUUAAAUGCAAAAAAUUAAAACUUGACUGCCCAAGUGAAAAAUUAUGGAACCAUAGGGACCUCCAUGAUAAAAGCCAUGAAACCCUAAAUCCAUAUUUUUCUUUCUUUCUUCUUCCCCAGCCGCCAUCUCCAAAAUCCUCCUUCACUGUUCAGACGCCAGCCGACCUCCGACGCCGACGCCGACGCCAAACCAACUGCUGCCGCCUGGCCGGAAAACGUGCCAAAACCCGCGCGCAACUUUCUGCUGGCCUCGGCAGCGUUGCUUCCAGCUGCAGCACAUGCAGCGCGCGCUGCUGGCCACGCUGGCCGCGCGCGCUGCUUGCUGCUCACAGCGCAGCGCGCGCCGCUGGCCAAUGUUGGCCGCGCGCGCUGCUUUGCUGCGCACAGCGCAGCGCGCGAUGCUGGCCAUUGCUGGCCGCGCACGCUGCUGCAGCAUGCCCUGGUUUGCUGCCGCUGUCAUAAUUUCCGGCCUCCGUCGCUCCGAUCUUGAAAAUCUGAGAUUAAUUUACAAAUUUCCUAGACCAAUUUUGGCUUACAAAAAUUCUAUAACUGUAAAAUAAAUCAAGAGGGAAACAUGGUGAUAAAAAACCACCCCUCUUGUUACAGAUCCAAAGAACAAUACAAAAGAAAAUCUAACCAUGAAUUAAGACAAACCAUAAGCAUGCUUUAUUCAUAUAUUAAAUAAAUAAUAUACAUCUGAAUAAAUUGUGCCACUCUAAUACAUAAAUUUCAAGAUUAAUUUCAUACGAAAUUCUUAUAUAUUAAUAUGAGAUGGCUCUGAUACCAAUUGUUGGGGAAAAAUCAGGUUUUUAAUUUUAUUUUUAUUAAACCUUUUAAGGACCGCUCUCAUAUAAUAUAUAGGAAUACGUAAUCCAGAAAUCGUACCUUGAAAAUUCGAGUUGGCUUUUUCCGCUGAAGUGAUUUAGGCUUCUAGAUCACGAUCCGCCACCACCACUCCUGUUAGAUCACGAUCCGUCACCACCACGCUUGUUAGAUCACGAACUGUCACCAAUGAUCUUCCAGGUUAUGACUCAGGUUCGAUCUGCACUUGACGUGUGGGCGCCUUUAUCACUACCAAAGCAACUAGCACGAGAAAAUUUUUCUCUCAACCAUGGAGAGAAAAAUCUUAUUCUCUGAUUUGUAUAAAGUGGCUUCACCUUUUCCUUUUUGGGAAAAUAAGCCUUAUAUAUCUCCCUUUAGUGAAAACCCUAGGCUCCAAAGAUUCCCCAAAAUAAAGCUCACGUUACUUUUCAUUUAAUAGGGGACCCACCAUGUAAAAUAACAUAAGGCCCCUUACACAUAAGCUUAUUAAAUGGAGCCUCCCACUAAAUGAUAUAUUUAGGCUUUUGACCCAAAUAGCUAGUUAUCUUGCUUAUUAGUCCAGCAGUGGUGCAAUCAAUUAAAUGAGCUAACCCGGGGAUCAUUUGGGAACAUACAAUAGUGGCUACAAUAAUUAGGCCUGUAAUUAAACUAGCCCAAUUAUUUAAUUCCAAAUCUACUCCACUAAAAGAUUGGAACUGACUUCCAUAAUUGUAUGCUCGAAUAAUAAUUCGUCCCAAGCCACAUUGAUUUCUUUACUGCACAAUCCUUUGUACCACAUCGUUAAUUAAAUUGAUAUCUCAACUGUCCAAUCAAUUUAAUAACAUCUUAUUCCUUGAUCCUUACUGGUUUUCUCUAAUGAUCAUUUUCAACAUACUAAAUAUGUUGACACACUCUGGCCAGAGAAUUCUAUGAUCAAGUACCGAAAAACCCAUCAAGAGAUGUGUUGUACAAAUUCUAUAUUGUUAAUCCAUAACUCCAAUACUCAUAAUUGUUCCCACCAAGAUACCGGGUAAUCUAGACUACAAGUAUGUGUCAUGCCCAUUGGUAACUCAAAUGGAAUAACAAUUACAAUCAUGAAAUCAUAAUUAACUCAAGAUUAAGAUUACAGUAAAAUCAACGCCUAUGAGAUUUAAUAAGUCUGACAGUUAUUACAAAGUUAAUUAAAUCUCAUAUGUGAUCCUGUUCAAUGUAGUCGUACUACAUCAAUAAAUUCAUACAUGAUUAAGACAAAUCAUUCAAUGAAUUUAUUACAGUCUAUACCUAAAUAAAGUGCCCAACUUUAUUUAUCAACUGCGAACUAAAUUUAUUUAAUCAUAAGAUAACUUGUAUUUAUGUCUUCUGUGAAUCCACAUGGUGAUCACAUAAAUACAUAUAAUAUGAUUAAAUGGACUUUAAUACAAGUAUUAAUGCAAUUAAGAUAUUUGAAUAAAAUACCUCAUUUAUUUUAUUAAUCAGAAAAACUGUUUAUUACAAUUAAAUAAACACAUAUGCUUUUAAAGAGCAUAUUUUCCCAACAGUAAAAGGCUUCAAUCUCUGGCACAACUUCCACCCAACGUAAAGAAAGUUAAAGUGAAUGGUUGUGCUUCGUUGGUGACAUUGUUAGGUGCAUUAAAACUGCGCAAGUCCUAUUGCACAUUAAUUAAUUGUAUAGGCAGCUUGAAAUUGCUUGGAAACAACAGUCUGGAAUUUUCAAUGCUACAAGAGUACCUUGUUGGUAGUUGAAUUUGUAGGGAAUGACAACUGUAGAGAAAUACAACAAUAAUGGUGGAACUUUAUUACGUAAAGUAAUGUGUUUACAACUAACUCUGUAUGUAGGAAGAAAAAUAAUAGUAAUAAGUAAACUGCAGAAAUUUUGUGUGCUUCAAGGCACCUUACAAAUGUCGCUUUCCUUAAGACGUUAUUUGCCCCCACCAAUUGAGUGAUGCACAUGGGUUAAGCAAACACGCCUCCAGGAUACAAUGAAGCACUUGUUUGUUUGCUUGCGUUGUGCAUCGAUGAAUGCAAACUAGAAUACUUUUGAAUGUAGCAAGCCUGCCAAGAAACAAUAUAUUGUUCCUGUAGAAAACAAUAUAUUGGAUUGUGAAUGCACAAAAGAAAUUGGUGUUUUGUGUUGAAAUUCGUACUAUAUAAAGGAAUGCUAAGAAAAGAGUGGUGUAGGAUCAUUGAUUUCAUAUCUAAAUGGCUUAAACAUGACCCCUAUUUAUAGAUAUACUUGUGCUCCCUUAUUUGGGUUGUCAUCUUUCAUGAUACCUCUUCAUUCAUGGCCAUUGGAUCUAGAUUUGAUUUUAAUCAAUGGUCCAAAUUGAACCAUCACCAUUUCAAAUGAAAUGUCACCAUGAAAUGAUGUAUCUCUAAGUGAAAUGUUGCCAUGAAAAGUUAUAUUAUUUAGUAAAAAGAUACAUUUUCUACAAGACACAAUUAAAUGGACAUGUCCUUACAACAAGAUAUCAUUUAAUUAGACAUGUCUUUAGUGAAAGGUACCUUUCUAUAAGGCACAAUUAAUAGGACAUGUCUUUACCAUAAGACACAUUUAUUUUGAAAAUUUUCCAACAAUCCCCCACCAUUUUCAAAAUAAAUGAAUUUUGAAAAAUUAUCUUGCACAUGCUUGGAAAACUUAUGCAUAAAUGAAGGUGUCUUUUGGACUUGAACCUUCACUUGGUGACAAUACAUCAAAGUUAAUCAAGGUGGCGUGGUAGGCAAGCUUUGAACCAGCGACCUUAAUCGACUAACUGGAUAUAUCUCACACAUAAGUUUUCCAAUACUCAAGUAUUCCUUAGCCGACACGUGGAUUGGCCCUGUGUCUAUAUCCUGUUUUCAUGAGUUUUUAAUAACCAGCCAAGUUACAUAGGAAGCGGCACCACCUCCUAUACUCACAUAGGUAGACUUAUCUAGAAUGUCCUUGUAACUAAAACAUUUAUAAGUCUAUUAAAAGCUAAGUAGAUUAACCUUUUCCAUAUGUUACAGGUAUCAAGCACUAACCUUUGGGACGCAUCUAAAAAUAUUAUAGUGCUUGCUAUCACAACAUAUGAUGUACUUUUGCUCAUUGAACCCAAGAUCUUGAUAUUUCAAGUGUUGGGUUGAGUUUCCAUCAUUGGUGAUAAGAUGAUGCUGGCUUUAGUCCCAUCCCCUUAGAAGUUUUAAAUACAAUAUCCCUUGCAAGGCCUUUAGUUAAGGGGUCCGCCAAAUUUUGGCAUGAUUUCACAAAGUCAAUUGUGAUUACUCCAUAUGUAAGUAAUUGUCUUACAUAACUAUGUCUUAGACCAAUGUGCCUAGACUUUCCAUUAUAGAUUUGACUCUAUACUCUUGAUAAAGUUGCCUCACUAUCACAGUGAAUAGAUACAGGAGGAAUUGGUUUAGGCCAAAUAGGAAUUUCUAUAAGCAAAUUCCUUAACCAUUCAGCUUCCUUGCACCAUGAAGCCAAAGCUACAAAUUCUGCACCCAUGGUGGAGUCUGCUAUACAAGUUUGCUUCUUUAAGCCCCAUGAAAUAGCUCCUCCACAAAGAUUAAAAAUCCAACCACUUGUGGAUGUAUGAUCAUCUCGACCAAUAAUCCAACUAGCAUCCGAAAAUCCUUCCAAAACUGAAGGAUCUCCAGUGUAGUAUAUAUCAUAAUCCAUUGUAUGUUUUAAAUAUUUUAGAAUUCUGUACACUACUUGCCAGUGUGCUUGGCUUGGAUUACUAGUAUAUCUACUGAGCUUUCCAACAGCGAAAGCAACAUCAGGCCUAGUACAAGUCAUCACAUACAUAAGACACCCAAUAACAUGUGCAAAUUCUAAUUGGGACACUGAUCUGCCAGUGUUAGGAUACAGUCUUAUGUUUGAAUUAAAAAGUGUUGACACAGGCUUACAAUCAUAAUAAUUAAAUUUCUUUAAAAUUUAAUCAAUAUAAUGUGAUUGGGUUAAUAUUAGGCCAUUCUCAUUUUUUUUUAAUUUUAAUCCCCAAAAUCACAUCAGCAAGUCUCAUGUCUUUCAUAUCAAAAUUAGAUGACAAUAAUGAUUUAGUGAGUUCAAUGCACUCACUAUCAGUACCAAAAAUUAACAUGUCAUCCACAUAUAAACAAAUAAUCACACCUUUAUUUCCAUUGAAUCUGCUAUAGACACAUUUAUCAGAUUCAUGAAUAUUAAAUCCAUUUGAGACAAUCACUUUGUCAAACUUUUCAUGCCACUGCUUUAGAGCUUGUUAAAGACCAUAUAAAGACUUGACUAGUUUACAAACUUUAUGUUCUUGUCCUGGCAUAACAAACCCUUCUGGUUGUUUCAUGUAAAUUUCCUCAUCUAAUUCUCCAUUUAAGAAAGCUAUUUUUACAUCCAUUUGAUGGAUUUCAAAAUGAUAAAUUGAAGCCAAAGCAAUCAAGACUCUAAUAGUAGCAAUUCUUGCAACAGGGGCAUAAAUAUCAAAAUAAUCAAGGCCUUCUUUUUGUGUAAAGCCUUUUGCUACUAGUCUUGCUUUAAAUCUUUCAAUUGUUCCAUCAACUUUCUUCUUCUUUUUGAAAAUCCAUUUACAACCUAUAGGAUUAGAGCUAGGUGGUAAAUCAACUAAUUUCCAAGUCUUAAUACCCACAAUAGAGUCCAUUUCAUCAUUAAUGGCCACUUUCCGAAAAGCAGCAUCUUGAGACUUCAUUGCCUCUUCAUAGGUGAGGGGAUCAGACUCUAUAAUAGGUGUGAUCAUGGUCUGUUUUGAUUGUGAGUCUCUUGUCCCUUCAACUAAAUAGACUAUAAAAUCUGGUCCAAAAGAUUUUAUAGUCCUUAUUCUUUUACUUCUUCUCAAAUGAUUUUGCUCAUUAUUAACAUCACGCUUUUGACCAAUUUCUAUUUGUUUAUCAUUCUCUUGAGAAUCAAUACUUUUUGGUAUAGUGGAAAAUCUAUUUUCAUAGAAUAUUGCAUCUCUAGAUUCCACUAUAGUGUUGAUCUCAACAAAGCUAUUAGGUUCUGUUACAAGAAACCUAUAAGCUUUACUAUGCUCAGCAUAUCCCAAGAAUAUGCAUUCAAUGCCCCUUUCUCCUAAUUUCUUUAUCUUAGGUUUUGGUAGUCUUACAAUGGCUCGACAACCCCAAACUCUUAGAUAAGAAAGAUUAGGCUUUCUUUUUUUCUAUAAUUCAUAUGGGGUCACAUUUGUUUUCUUAUUAGGCACUCUAUUUAAGAUAUGACAUGCAAUUAAAAUAGCUUCACCCCAAAAACUUUUACCAAGCCCAGCAUUAAAAAGCAUAGCAUUAACCAUUUCUAUUAAUGUCCUAUUUUUCCUUUCAGCUACGUCAUCUUGUUGUGGAGUAUAUGAAGUGCUAGUUUCAUGUACAAUGCCAACAUAUUCACAAAAUUCAGAAAAAGCAUAUUCACCUCCUUUAUCACUUCUAAGGCAUUUAAUUUUAGUGUUUCAAAAAUUCUCAACUUCAUUUUUAUAAGUUUUAAAUUUUUCUAACACUUGAUCUUUAGAAUGUAAUAAAUAAACAUAGCAAUAUUUUAAAAAAUCAUCAAUAAAUAUUACAAAAUAUUUUUUACCACCUUUAGAAGGAUUACUAUGCAUAUCACACACAUCGCUAUGAAUUAAAUGCAAUAAAGAAGAUGUUUUUUCAAUUUUUGGAAAAGGAGAUCUUGUGAUUUUAGUCCGUGCACAUACUUUACAUUUUUCACGCAUAUCAUUUUCAUGCUUAGGAAUUAACUCUAAAUUAGCCAUAUCAUGCAAUCUUCUAAUAUUCACAUGUCCUAAAUGAUCAUACCACAAAGAUAAUCAAUCAACCAUAUAAGCAGAAGAAACAUUCAUAUUAUUGAUAUUGAGUUUAAACAUUCCUUCAUACAUGUAUCCUUUCCCAACAAAGGUACCACCCUUAGAUAAUAUAAAUUUGUUUGACUCAAAAAUAAACUCAAAAAUAAGUUUGAAGCCAAACUUAUUAAGAAGGCUACUAGAUACAAGGUUUUUCCUAACUUCAGGAACAUGAUAAACAUCAGUAAGAGUUAAAGUUUUUCCAGAAGUAAAAUCUAGUUGCACAUUGCCUUUUCCUUUAACUAUUGCAGUGGAGGAAUUUCCCAUGUAACGAACACUUCCAUCAUCCAUUGCUUUAUAAGAUUUGAAAAGGCUACGAUCCUUCCAUACAUGCUUGGUUGCACCAGAAUCUAUCCACCAUGCAUUAUCAUCUUCAAGAACAUUAAUCUCAGAUAUCAUGGCCACAAAAUUUGUGUUCGAAACUUCCUUUUGUUUCUUCAAAAGUCGACAAUCUCUUUUGAAGUGGCCAGGUUUUCCGCAGUGGUGGCAUACACCCUUCUUUUUCUUCUUAUUGUUUUGAUUCUCUUUGGAAUCAAACUUUCUCUUUUGGUUAUUCUUAGGGUGAUUAGAAUGCUUAAACUCAUUCCCCUCCUCCACGACAUUAAUUUUAGAGGACAUAGCAGUCUGGUCCUCAAGACUAUUAAGCUUGAGUUCCUCUUCAAUACGAAGACUUUGACCUAAGCCAUCUAGACUAAUUUCCUCUUUGUUAUGUUUAAAACUUUUCUUAUAGUCUUUCCAAGAGGGAGGAAGUUUAUCAAUAAUUGAAGAGACAAUAAUAGACUCAUCCAUUUUCAUGUUGUGUUGGUUGAAUUGAUCAAGAAUAUGCAAAAUCUCAUUAUAUUGUUCAAUUACAAGUCUAUUAUCAACCAUUCUAUAAUUAAAAAAUUUAGAAGCCAAGAAUUUCUUACUUGUGGCAUCUUCCAUCAUGUACUUAGCCUCUAAUGAGUCCCAUAUCUCUUUUGCUAUAGGUUUGUUGUGAUAUUGAUCAAACAAAGUAUCGGACAUGGCAUUGCAAAUGUGUCCCUUGCACACGUAGUCAUCUUGCUCCCACUUCUGCCGCACUCUGGUUUCUGCUAAUGUCUUGAUGAGCAUAUAAUAUAUGUAUAUUUUACCCUUCAUUAAAUAAUUACUAGUUAUAUUUAUUUGUUAUUUUUAAUUAAUUGAAUUGUUUUAUUGAAUAGGGAAUUAAUUGGAGAUUAUGGAUAAAAAAAGCAUAAAGGAGUUCAAUUUGUGAGCAUUAAAGAUUAAUUAACUUGGAAGCAAUUAUGCUUAUAUGCAUGUUAAUUCAAGCCAAGGAAACCGAACUCAACAAAUGCAUUCACCAUCCAUAUGCGGACAAAGAGGAGAAAGUGAUAUUAGCUUUAAAAGUGGCCAGCACAUGAGGAUUAAAUGAAGCUUGAUUAGGCUUUGCAUAAGUGGGCUCGUGUUGAGCAAUUAAAAGAGGAAACAAUUUAUGGCUUAUGGUGGGCACGUGUGAGAGCUAAAGCAAAUAAAACGGCAAGCCUUUUGGCUUUAGGAUUUAAGAGGUGGGGCCUAUUUUAAAGAUUAUAAAAGGGAGUUUUGGCUUUUGGAGAAGGGGGAGCCGCUGGACGGAAACAGAAGAGUGCAGACGCAAUUCGGGCAGAGGAGAAUCGGCAACCAAAAGAAACUGAACAAUUUGCAGCCGCAAAGGAGAAGAAAAAAAAUCAGCAGCCAGAAUUAAAUUAAAGCAAAGGCAGCCGCUUGAAUUAAUCUCCAUGACUGGUUUUAUCAAUUCUCUUAUUCCCAAUUCAAUUAUGUUAGGCUAGAUUUUUAUUUGGUUGAGGGUGAAUUCAAAACCCUAAACAUGCUAUGCAAUUAAAUUUAAAUUCUAUCAUUCAAUUUAUUUAAUUGAGAUUUUUUAUGUUCUUUUAUAAUUAAUGUUUAUGAUUUUAUUCUCGUCUUGUUUAAGUGGCCAAUUAGAUAGGACUUGAAUAAAUUCUAUUGCUAGAUUAAAAUUCUUGAUCCGUAAUUGUCUUGAUAUUUUAAUCAUUAGUAGUAGAUUGGAAUCAGUGAUUUCUAUUGGAGAACAUAACUUAGGUUAAAUAAUCCGAGCUUGUGUGUUUAUUGCCUAGAUCAACCUAAUAUCGUUCUUUGUUUAAAUGCUUCCAUUAUCUUAAAUUUAAAGAGCUUAUUUUAAAUUAUUUAAUGGUUAGAGAUUAGGUGAAGAGCUUGUUUUGCCUAACGAUACACUAAAGAAAGAUUGAGACUAACAGAGCUUAUUGUUGUCUACGGUUGAUAGUUUCAAUAUAAAUUGAUGAUAGAAUUGAUAUAUUAUGUGCAUGUUUGGUGGUGGCGAAUGAUCCUUUAACCAAAGUUUUCAUCAUUAUUAUUUCUUUCUCCUUUAAUUAAAGUUUUUAUUAAAUUCUUGUUCGUAGUUUUAAUUUCUUUAUUUCUUACUAUUUAGUUAAAAAUUCAUAAACCCCCCUUUUUAUUUAUAAUUGGCAUUUUCUUUAGUUAGAUUAAUUUAUAUUAUUAUUACUAUUAUUAUUACUACUAUUAUUUUAUUUUAAAUCUUGCUUUAGAGUUGAUAAUAAAUAUAACUAGUAUAGUCUCUGUGGGAUCGAUCCUUACUCGCUCUGUACUAAUUAUUUAUACUAGUGGUAAGGUUUUAAAUUUGGUGCACCUUAACGACACUACCAUGUCUCAUCCUCAUGUUCUUGAGGCUUUGGUGUUGUGAGAACAUAGACCACAUUGAGGCUUGUCAACAAGAAAUGCAACUUUUUCUGCCAACGAAUAAAGUUGCCACCAUCGAACCGCUCCAAUUUGACAAAAUCUACUGCAAAUUGUCGAAGAGAUGAACUUGGUGCCAUUGUUGUAGAAAUAACGUCUUAAGAUUGUUGGUAGUUGAAUUUGUGGGGAAUGGAAAAUAUAGAGAAAUACAACAAUAAUGGUGGAACUUUAUUACGUAAAGUAAUGUGUUUACAACUAACUCUGUAUGUAGGAAGAAAAAUAGUAAUAAGUAAACUGUAGAAAUUUUGUGUGCUUCAAGGCACGUUACAAAUGUCGUAAGACGUUAUUUGCCCCCACCAAUUGAGUGAUGCACAUGGGUUAAGCAAAUACGCCUCCAGGAUACAAUGAAGCACUUGUUUGUUUGCUUGCAUUGUGCAUCGACGAAAGCAAACCAGAAUACUCUUGAAUGUUGCAAGCCUGCCAAGAAACAAUAUAUUGUUCCUGCAGAAAACAAUAUAUUGGAUUAUGAAUGCACAAAAAAAAUUGGUGUUUUGUGUUGAAAUUCAUACUAGAAAAGAAUGCUAAGAAAAGAGUGGUGUAAGAUCAUUGAUUUCAUGUCUAAAUGGCUUAAACAUGACCCAUAUUUAUAGAUAUACUUGUGCCCCCUCAUUUGGGUUGUCAUCUUUCAUGAUAUCCCUUCAUUCAUAGUCAUUGGAUCUAGAUUUGAUUUUAAUCAAUGGUCCAAAUUGAACCAUCACCAUUUCAAAUGAAAUGUCACCAUGAAAUGAUGCAUCUCUAAGUGAAAUGUUGCCAUGAAAAGUUAUAUCAUUUAGUAAAAAGAUACAUUUUUUAUAAGACACAAUUAAAUGGAUAUGUCCUUACAGUAAGACAUCAUUUAAUUAAACAUUUCUUUAGUGAAAGGUACCUUUUCUAUAAAGCACAAUUAAUAGGACAUGUCUUUCCAUAAGACAAAUUUAUUUUGAAAAUUUUCCAACAUACCUUAAGGUCAGUCUCUCACUCCGUGUCUUCCAGCUAUGCCGUAAUUAUGCCCGAAAAUUAAGUAAUGAUAUGGACUCCUUAAUUUUUUAUAUUUUGGUUGCAGGAAGUGUCAGAUCAAAGAAAUUUUUUCUUCAUUGUUGUUCCAGGAAGCGAAAUUCCCAAGUGGUUCAUGUAUCAGAAUGAGGGUUCAUCAAUUACUAUCAGAAGGCCUUCAUAUUUGUAUAAUAAGAAUAGGGUUGUGGGAUAUGCUAUUUGCUCUGUUUUUCAUGUCCCUAAACAUUCAACUGGUAUCAAAUUAUGGCAUUCAUAUCCCACACAUCAAUUGCACUGCGAAAUGGUCGGUUCUAAUACCUUUUACUUUGUAGAUUUUAGAGAGAAAUUCGGUUAUUGUGGGUCAGACCAUCUUUGGCUACUCUAUUUGUCUCGUCAACGCUGCUAUGAUACUAAUUGGCAUUUUGAAUCUGAUCAUAUUGAGUUGUCAUUUAAACCUCAGUCAGGUCCUGGAUUGAAGGUGAGGAGGUGCGGUUUCCAUCCAGUUUAUAUGCAUGAAGUCGAGGAGUUUGACCAAACAACAAAGAAAUGGACUCGCUUUACUUCUUAUAAUCUGAACGAAUUCCAUCACAAUUUUGUUGGAUCAAAUUUGGUAGCCACAGCAUCAAAGCGAAGCCGUGCAGAAAAUAUUGGGGCAACUGAAGCCAGUGGCAGUGGCUGCUGUGAUGAUGUUUAAGAACCACUUCUUAAAAGAUUUAGACAACUCGAAUGAAGGGCAAAGCCUACUUGUUACUUAUUCUCUGCAUUUAUGUGAAAGUAUGCAUCUCGAUUUCAAUAAUUUAUUUUCUUUUCAUAUGGUAUUUCAUUUGCUUUCUUUUUAUUUAUUUACUAUAUCUUCUCUUGCAUUUUUUUUUUUUUUUUGGUUAAAUCACAAGAAAAUGCUCGACUAGGGUGAAAUAGUUGGUCAGAAACAAAAUAUGUCUUGCAAGAAUCAAAAUUGCUUUCGUGCACGAUCAAAUUGAAGCUUUGAAUUUUGUGAUUUCUCAUGAGCUGAAAAUUAAAGAAAGGAAAAAAAAAAUAAAGGACUGAAGUAAACCUCUGCUUUAUAUUCUUACUAUGCCUGUUUCAUUGCAGCAUUGUCUCUUCUUGAAGCUCUCUCAUUUUUUGAAUACAUAAUUGACGAAUUGUAGCAUCGAUACAAGUAAACAGUAAACUAAUUAGGCCAUCUCAAUCUGAUUGAUUUUUUUCUUUAGUACAGUUGUAUUAGAUUAGAUUCGUCUCAUUGUAAGCUUUGAAAGAGUAUUAUAUGUCUCAAACGGACACUUAGAGCGUAUGACUUUGGAAAGAUACUCUAUUUAUCCUACACAGCUAUCCUACAUCAAUUGCAUUGCUACGAGUGAACAAUAAACUAAUAAUUAGGUCAUUGCAAUCUGAUUAUUAUUAUUAUUACUCUUGGCAUGCAGCUUCUGCUGUUCUUUCUAUUUGAGUAGCUCAGCUACGCUUAUUCUAUAUUAUAUAGCACUUGAAACUGAUAUGGAUUUUCCUUUGUUGAGAUUCUUACUUAAUUUUUUUAGAUUUUACUUGAAUAGCUCCAGCGCCUUCUGAGUUUUAGUUAUCAACAUUAUAAAUUAAACCAAUACCAAGUGUGACAAAAUGCUGCAAAUUAAAUAAACUGUACAAAUUAAAUUGUUAAACAAACUGUAUAAAUUAAAUUGAUUUAUAGAGGAAAAUGAGAUUGAAUGACCAGUGUAUAGAUUAAAUUUACUCUUGUUAGUUUCAGAGAUGGAUGAAGUGAAAUUAUCAAUACUACUUAUAUUUUAUGUAAGGAUCGUAUCACAUAUAUGACCAAAAAUAUAUUCGGCAAAAAAUUAUUGUUCAUAGCCGCUGACAGGUAGUGUCACAACAUCUUAGCAUCCCCAAGGCCCAUUUCCAUCUGAUGAUAUUGGAAUUUUGUUGAAUUUUACUGUGCUUAGUUAAUUUGGGCUUUUCGACUUUCGUUGAGCUUUGGCACCCCUGUAAUCUUCUCAUAAAGCCACGCAUUGGGAGGAUGAAAGACAAAUAUGUAUGUAGAUGAUCGAUCUCGAGUUAUAUAUUACAUGGAAUUGCAGGCCAAGCUCAAGAGAGGAACUGGCGAAUGGAGCCUGAUCCAAUAAUAUAAAUUGAGGGGGGUGUUUAAAAUAUUUGUAAACUCGCAGAGGUUAGCUCGUAAUAACUCGAAAGUUGUCAGGCGUGUAUUUGCUUAAACUGAGACUUCUGUAUUUAGCGGGAAAAGCUGUUAUUGGCGUUGCCGUCUUGGUCAAAAGAAUUGGUUAGAAAAAGUGCUGGUUGACUUUUCUGGGUUUGUUAGCUGAGCGUUAGGCAAUCUUUCUAGGCUUGAUGACUCUGUAAGUACUGUGAUUUAGGAAGCAAAUGAGGUAUAGUUUUAAAGAUUGUCGGUUGAUUUCUUUAGGAAAGAAAGAGCAUGAAACUCUCUUCUUGUUCUUCAAUUUUUCUAGUUUGUGCUCUGUUCUUGAUCAAGGGUAUUGAUUGGUCAUUAACCAAUCAUCGUGCGGUGCUAUAAAAUCUGAUAUUACGACAGUUUUGCUUUAAGAGAAGAUUUAUGUGCACAUAACAGAGGCCUACUACUCUAUGGAGCAGAAUGCAUUUAAGACAGUGACAAAGCUAGAAAAUGCAAAAAUUGCUUCAGGGAUGCCAUUGGCUCAAGUACUUUAACAUCAUAUGCCAUUUGCUCAAGUACUUUACAAAAUUCAUAAUUUCCUUUUUAACAUGCAAACUGUAUUACUUCCAUAUGCAUCCCUUUCAUGUCAAACAAAUGAGCUAUCUAGAUGGUCAACACCAUCUUUAGUUGAAAAGAAAACAAAAGAAGAAUGGAGAAUGAGGAGUCGCAAUCUAGAAGCUGUAAAUGUUUGAAGAAGAAAUAAGAGGCACACGGCUUUGACAAAAGAAAGAAGAAAAAAAAUAAUAUAUAAUUGAUGAAUAGUGCCAAAGCUUUCUCUAUAAAUAGAAACGAAGAGAAUGAGCAAAUUCAAUUCCAUUUUGAGAGGCAUUCAAUUUUGUAGAGAGAGUCGAGAGUUGUGAGAAAUAAUUCUUGCAGAGCAGAGAGUCUAGUGAGUGAGAGAUUGGGUGUAUUGGGGUUUUGGGUUGUGAGCCAAAAUAUUACAAUACUUGUAAUCCUUAUUUCACUAGUAAAAUAUUUCCUUCUGUUUUCGCCCGUGGACGUAGGCUAAAAGCCGAACCACGUAAUUUCUGGUAUUCUCUUUUGUGCUUGUUCUUUAUUUUCUUACAAUUUUACUUUAGCUGCGUGUCUGCUUCACCCACCAAUUUCCUAACAGUGGUAUCAGAGCUAUUGGUUGUAUUUUUUUUUUUUUGGAGUCAGGAACUGUUCACGUAAGGGGUACUAUUCACGUAUACGGCACCGUACACGUAUACGAUACUAUUCACGUAUACGGUACUGUUCAUGUAUACGGUGUUGUUCACAUAGACUGAACUAUUCACGUAUACGGUACUAUUCACGUGAAACGGUGGGAGCGAUCCAAGAAUUUUGCGGUGCAAAUAAGGGAAUAGUGGUGUGAGUAAAGCAACUGUGUGGUUUUGUACAUGUCUAGGAAAGUUCUGUCACAAAGGCGAUAAGAGCUUAAGGAGUCUGGGUUUUAAGUGGGACCAUUGUGACCCCUCCAGUCUUUCCUGGGAACUUUCCUGGUGUGCAUUCUCACACAUACUCAUAACUAUUCAAGGUGGUAUACUAGCUUGUGUGCAGUAUUUAUCAACAAAAUGGCGGCAAAGUAUGAAAUUGAGAAAUUUAACGGAAAUAAUUUUUCGUUGUGGAAAAUGAAGAUGAAAGCUGUAUUGAGGAAAAAUAAUUGCUUGGCAGCAAUUGGAGAAAGACCCAUGGAGAUAACUGAUGACAAGUGGAACGAGGUAGACGGCAACGCCAUUUCUGAUCUACACUUGGCACUUGCAGACGGAGUAUUAUCCAGUGUGGCAGAGAAAAACACAGCGAAGGAAAUUUGGGAUACUCUCACAAAAUUGUACGAGGCCAAGUCACUACACAACAAAAUCUUCUUGAAGAGGAAACUCUAUAUUCUUCGAAUGGCGGAAUCUACAAUGGUGACCGACCACAUCAACACAUUGAAGACUCUAUUUUCACAACUCACAACGUUGGGUCAUAAUAUAGAGGAAAAUGAACGUGCAGAACUUCUACUUCAAAGUCUACCAGAUUCGUAUGAUCAACUCAUCAUCAACCUGACGAACAACAAUCCAGUGGACAGUCUAGUUUUCGACGAUGUUGCGGCCUCCGUAUUAAAUGAGGAGAGCAGGCGGAAAAAUAAGGAAAACAGACAAGCAAGUUCGCAGUAAGCGGAGGCGCUAUCGGUGACGAGAGGGAGAUCAACGGAACGUGGCCCCAGUGGGAGUCAAAAUCAUGGUAGAUCAAAAUCCAGAAGUAAGAAGAAUGUUAAAUGCUACAACUGUGGCAAGAAAGGGCACGUCAAGAAAGAGUGUUGGAGUAACCAGAAGAGAAGAGAGGGCAAAGAACCUGAGUCAUCAAAUGCUCAGGGUUGUGUAGCAAGUACCUCGGAUGAUGGCGAAAUUCUAUACAGUGAGGCAACAACUAUUUCAGAAGGCAGAAAACGACUUUCUAAUGUCUGGCUUAUAGACUCAGGAGCUACCUGGCACAUGACCUCUAGGAGAGAAUGGUUCCACACAUAUGAACCUAUCUCAGGAGGAUCUGUAUAUAUGGGUAACGAUCACGCCUUGGAGAUCGCUGGUAUUGGUACUAUCAAAAUAAAAAUGUUUGAUGGUACAAUUCGCACAAUUGGGGAGGUACGACAUGUCAACGGCCUGAAGAAAAAUCUAUUGUCUUUGGGACAAAUGGAUAGUCAUGGGUACAAAACUCUAUGGAAUUAUGAAGAUCGUUAAAGGAGCGCUUGUAUUGAUGAAGGCAGAAAAGAUCAGUGCUAAUCUAUUCAUGCUUAAAGGAGAAACACUACAGGAGGCUGAUGCGUAUGUCGCAUCAAAUGGAGAAGAGUCAACGAUGAUGUGGCAUCUCAAACUUGGUCACAUGUCAGAACAAGGUUUGAAGAUUCUCUCUGAACAAAAAUUACUUCCGGGGCUCAAAUCGGUAAGUUUACCAUUUUACGAGCAUUGUGUUAUAAGUAAGCAGCAUAGAUUAAAAUUCAGUAGAUCUAUUGCUAGAAGUAAAUGCAUUCUAGACUUGAUUCAUUCUGAUGUUUGGGAAUCACCGGAUAUAUCUAUGGGAGGUGCAAAGUACAUGGUGACUUUCAUUGAUGAUUAUUCCAGAAGAUGUUGGGUGUAUCCGAUUAAGAAAAAGUCAGAUGUAUUUUCAGUAUUUAAAGAAUACAAAGCGCGGGUGGAACUUGAAUCUAGUAAAAAGAUCAAGUGCUUGAGGACAGACAAUAGUGGAGAAUAUACAGACGGUGAGUUUCUUGCUUUCUGUAAGCAAGAAGGUAUUCAGAGGCAGUUCACGGUGGCAUACACUCCUCAACAAAAUGGAGUGGCAGAGCGGAUGAACAGAACUCUUACAGAACGGAUAAGAGCUAUGUUGAGGACUGCUGGUCUACCCAAUUCAUUCUGGGCAGAAGCAGCCAAAACUGCAUGUUAUAUAGUAAAUCGGUCGCCAUCUACAACAAUUGGGUUGAAGACGGCGAUGGAGAUGUGGACUGGAAAGCCAACUGAUUAUUCCUACCUACAUGCAUUUGGAUGUCCUGUGUACGUGAUGUACAAUGCCCAAGAAAGAACAAAGCUGGAUGCAAAAUCUAGAAGAUGUAUCUUCUUGGGAUAUGUUGAUGGAGUAAAGGGGUAUCGUCUGUGGGACCCCACUGCCCACAAGAUCGUCAUCAGCAGAGAUGUUAUCUUUGUAGAAGAUCAACUGCAAAGAAAAGAUGGAGAUGAUGGCACUGUAAAAGAAAAGUCAGAAACUAUACCAGUAUAUGUGGAAAAUAAUCCAGAAGAUUCAGAUUCUUCUGAAGCAGCACCAGAGCACGAGGAACAAGAACCAGUCGAAUCCGAGGCUCCAGAAGUUCGUCGGUCAACUCGUGAGAGACGACCGCCAACGUGGCACUCGGAGUAUGUUACAGAGAUCAACGUUGCAUAUUGUCUUCUAACAGAGGAUGGAGAGCCUUCAACUUUCCAUGAAGCUUUAAACAGCUUAGAUGUUGCUUUGUGGAUGACAGCAAUGCAGGAAGAAAUUGAAGCUCUACACAAGAACAAGACAUGGGAACUUGUACCACUACCACAUGGAAGAAAAGCCAUUGGAAACAAAUGGGUCUACAAGAUCAAACGUGAUGGCAAUGACCAAGUGGAGCGGUAUCGUGCAAGAUUGGUGGUGAAAGGAUAUGCUCAGAAAGAAGGUAUUGACUUUAACGAAAUAUUUUCUCCGGUAGUUCGACUCACAACAGUCAGAAUAGUCUUGGCAAUGUGUGCUACAUUUGACCUACAUCUAGAGCAGUUAGAUGUUAAAACUGCAUUUAUUCAUGGAGAACUUGAAGAAGAAAUAUAUAUGCUCAAACCAGAAGGUUUUGCAGAAACAGGAAAGGAGAACUUGGUUUACAAGUUGAACAAAUCUCUAUACGGUCUCAAACAGGUGCCGAGGUGUUGGUAUAAGAGAUUUGAUUCCUUCAUUAUGAGCCUUGGAUACAACAGACUCAGUUCAGACCAUUGUGCAUAUUACAAGAGGUUUGAAGAUAAUGAUUUCAUCAUUUUGCUGUUGUAUGUGGAUGACAUGUUGGUAGCAGGUCCCAACAAAGUUCGAAUCCAAGAAUUGAAGGCACAGUUGGCUAGGGAGUUUGAAAUGAAGGACUUGGGCCCAGCAAACAAGAUUCUAGGGAUGCAAAUUCACCGAGACAGAAAUAACAGGAAGAUUUGGCUUUCACAGAAGAACUACUUGAAGAAAAUCUUGCGGCGCUUCAACAUGCAAGAUUGUAAGUCAAUUUCUACCCCACUUCCUGUUAAUUUCAAAUUAUCCUCAAGUAUGUGUCCUAGCAAUGAAGCAGAGAGAAAGGAGAUGUCUCGAGUUCCGUAUGCAUCAGCAGUGGGAAGUUUGAUGUUCGCUAUGAUAUGUACUAGACCAGACAUUGGACAAGCGGUGGGAGCAGUCAGUCGAUACAUGGCGAAUCCUGGUGGAGAACAUUGGAUAGUUGUGAAGAGGAUUCUGAGAUACAUCAGAGGAACUUCAGAUGUUGCAUUAUGUUAUGGAGGAUCAGAAUUUACUGUCAGGGGUUAUGUGGAUUCAGAUUUUGCAGGAGAUCUUGAUAAAAGGAAAUCCACUACUGGUUAUGUGUUUACACUUGCGGGAGCAGCUGUAAGCUGGGUUUCGAAACUGCAGAUCGUUGUGGCAUUAUCUACAACAGAAGCAGAGUACAUGGCAGCUACACAAGCUUGCAAGGAAGCUAUUUGGAUACAAAGGUUAUUGGAGGAGCUCGGGCACAAACAACAGAAAAUUCCUGUGUUUUGUGACAGUCAGAGUGCCUUGCACAUUGCAAGGAAUCCUGCCUUUCAUUCCAGGACAAAGCACAUAGGAGUUCAAUAUCACUUUGUUCGAGAAGUAGUGGAAGAUGGAAGUGUGGAUUUACAGAAAAUUCAUACGAAGGAGAACCUAGCAGAUGUUUUGACCAAGCCAAUAAAUACUGAUAAGUUUGUCUGGAGUAGAUCCUCUUGUGGCCUAGCAGCAACGUAGGCAACAUGACUAUGGCGAAGCAGAAAGGAUGGUGUGGAGAUUGAUUGGUCCUUAAUCGAAUCUCCAAGUGGGAGAAAUGUCAAACAAAUGAGCUAUCUAGAUGGUCAACACCAUCUUUAGUUGGAAAAGAAAACAAAAGAAGAAUGGAGAAUGAGGAGUCGCAAUCUAGAAGCUGUAAAUGUUUGAAGAAGAAAUAAGAGGCACACGGCUUUGACAAAAGAAAGAAGAAAAAAAAUAAUAUAUAAUUGAUGAAUAGUGCCAAAGCUUUCUCUAUAAAUAGAAACGAAGAGAAUGAGCAAAUUCAAUUCCAUUUUGAGAGGCAUUCAAUUUUGUAGAGAGAGUCGAGAGUUGUGAGAAAUAAUUCUUGCAGAGCAGAGAGUCUAGUGAGUGAGAGAUUGGGUGUAUUGGGGUUUUGGGUUGUGAGCCAAAAUAUUACAAUACUUGUAAUCCUUAUUUCACUAGUAAAAUAUUUCCUUCUGUUUUCGCCCGUGGACGUAGGCUAAAAGCCGAACCACGUAAUUUCUGGUAUUCUCUUUUGUGCUUGUUCUUUAUUUUCUUACAAUUUUACUUUAGCUGCGUGUCUGCUUCACCCACCAAUUUCCUAACAUUUCAUUGUUGUUUCUCACCACCAUUGUCUCCCCAAUGCGGCUGACUUCUAAAAGCAGUUGUUCCAAACAUGUUAUAUGGCUUCAGAUCAGGCCAACCAUUAAUAUGUGCCAAAAGUUUAUCCACUUGAGGCAGCGUAUCAGGCCACUUUCUUGAAUUCUUCCAUUUGACGGCCAGAGGUUUAUCCAACUCUAACUCAAGACGUUCAGUACAGACGUCUGCCCGAGGUUCAGUUGGAAGGUUAAUUCCACAUAAAGACGGACUCUCCCAAUCAUACCAAAUUCGCGAAACAUGGGCUGGUCUUAAUGACAAAGAAGGUAUUACUAGUUGCUCUAUGCUAGCUCGACGCCCAAUCAACUCCAAGCGAGGAUCAGCUGGGUCCUGGAAGUCGGAAAUGGGAUUAAUAGAUGCCGUUCUGAUUAACAUAUGGAAUGUCUGCGAUGGUAUUGACAUAAUUGGAAGUAGGCUGCGAUGGAAAAAAGUUCUUCUCAUGAUCGAUCAUGUGUCUGAUGUUGAACAGCUACAAAGUUUAGCUGGAAAGCGUGAUUGGUUCGGUCCAGGCAGCAGAAUUCUAAUAACAACGAGAGAUCAACAGUUGUUGGUGGCGCAUGAAGUGGAUGAAGAGCAUAUUCUGAACCCUGAUGUACUAAAUAACGAUAAAGCUCUUCAACUCCUUAGUAUGAAAGCUUUUAAAACCCAUCAGCCUGUGGGAGAGUAUGUGGAGCUGUCUGAACGUGUUCUGGAGUAUGCUGGUGGUCUUCCAUUAGCUCUAAAAGUUUUGGGAUCCUUUCUAAUUGGUAGAUCUGCGGAUCUAUGGAGAAGUGCCAUUUGGCGUGUUUGAUAAAAUCUUUUAGGGCAUACGAAGAAGAUGAAGAAAAAGCUGUUGACAGGUAAUAUUUGUCAAAUUAAAAAGUCAUCGUGAUUUUUAUUUUUAUAUUUUAUUUUUGUCCAAACCAAUAAAUUUCUCGGAAAUUACUUGUGGUGUAAGGUAACCAACACAACAAUGAAUGACGUAAGACGCGACGCAUGCUCCUUUCAAAAGUUAUAGCAAACCGUAUACAAGAAAUUCAACCGAAUCCCAUCAUUUAAUUAUUAAUAAAUACACAAUUUGCUUUUGUCAAGAUUUACUUAAAUGGUCACAUAAAUUCUCUUAAUUUCACAAAUAUUCAUUAAGAUCAUUUUUUAACAAUUAUCCCUUGGAUUAUAACAACACAAAAAUUUAUUUUAAAUAAACUUCUAGAAUAAGUAUAUAUAUAACAUUAAAAUAAUCUAAUAUAUAAUAUUAUAAAUUUUAAAAAUUAUUUUUGAAUUUUAAGCAAAAUUAUUUUUAUAUUAUUAUUCUAUUUUUCGCAUACUAAUAAUAUAAAGUCAAUAUACAUUUAACAUUCAAAAUAACUUACAAAUUCUAUGUUAUAUAUUUUGUUUAUAAUUUUUUAUAUUACCUUUUUUUAUAUCAUGUAUAUAUUAGCAUAAAUUUAAAGUUAAUUUUUGGAUUAAUGGAUUGAAGUAUUAGUUAAAACUAUCAAGAUAUAUUGAUAAUAGCAAAAUACUAAAAAUAAUUUACAUGACAUAUAUGUGUUAAUUUAGCUAACUAUAUUUAUUUUAAUAUUUUAUUUGUCUUUAUAUCCAAAGAUAUAAUGAUUAAAAAGGGGUAUGUAUGACCAUUUAUGAAAUCAAAGAGGUACAUGUGACCAUUUAAGCAAAUUUUGAGGGGAUGUUAGGCAUUUUCCCUUAUUUUAAUCUUUGACCUCUCUCUUAGAUGCUCUAUUUAAGAUUUCCUUGAGUGCACUCUCCACUCUGAGUCGGAAAAAUUAAAUUUAAAUUAUCUGCUACAACUUUUGGGAUUUGUUUAUUAUGAUUUUUCCUUUUUGGUAAAGUAAGGAUAAUAAGUUACGCAAAGAUAAAAGUAGAAAUUUAGUUCAUAUGUAACAUAAACUUAAGUGAUCACGUUAAAUAAUUGACUUCUAGUUACAACUUUGACAUGCACAUUUCAUUUUUGAGAAGCCCGUAAUUUUGGAUUAGUUUUGUUGCUUUCAUAGUAUUGAUGGGCAAUUGUUCCGAGGAUUUCACGUGAGUUAUAUUAAAUUUUUAGGAGUAAAUUAAUAGAUAAUGGCUUCUACGACACUACAACAAAUACCACCUUUUGUACCAUUUUACGAUAGCAUUUUCUUUUAAACGUUACCAAAUAUAAUGCUAUUGUAGCAUUUUAUACAAGAAAGCUACAAUUAGUCAUUGAAUAAUAUUAUUUAUUUUUUAAUUGUAUUUCACAUUUAAUUUGUAGCACUUUCUAAAUGCUAUAUUUAAUUUUUAAUAUCGUAGCACUUAGAAAUGCUACAAAACAAUGUUACAUUAAAUAAUAUCUAAUAUAGUAGCAUAUUUAUAUGUGCUACAUAUAAUAUUGAAUAAUAUAGCAUUAUAAAAAUGGUACAAGUUAACAACAAUUUUGUGGCACCAGAAAAAUGCUACGAAAAGGUAAAAAUACUCCCGCGGGAAAAUUUUGUCUACCGCCAAACAUUUAGAAAUUGCCUCCAUAUUUUUAUUUUAUAAUUUUCUUUUUACCUAAAACUCUUAUUUGACUACAAAAUCCCAAAAGCUUUUUAUUUUUUAUUUUUCUCUCAACCAUCCAACAAUGUCGAACUUGCUGAAGUCACAAGUCUUCCAUGCUUGGUCUGCAAUGGUAUAUAUGCAACACUUCAUAUGUCUCUUUUUUUAAUAUAAUAAUUAAACGAAUUUUUUUUUUUCAUUCUUGGGAUUUGGCAGUUCAAAAACUAGUUUAGUUGAGGUUUAUAUUGUUUGGCUUGUGCUUUUAUUUAGGUGUGCUUGGAUGAUGCCUGAUUUGGGAUUUUUUAAAUUUGAAUGUGCUUGUGGGUUUGUAUUGAUGAUUAAAUUCUUGUCAAUUGUGUAUUAGUUCUUUUUAAAGUGUCACUUGUAUUUGCAUAUUAUUGAUGUGACUUUAUUUGUAGUGUUUGUGGGGCUACUAGAUCAUUGUAAUUUUUAUUUGUCAUGAUCAAUUUUGGGUUAUUUUGUUUGAACUUUUGAGACUUUUAUACUAUCUGGUUCAAUCAUUUCAAGAUGAGAACAUCAAGCAAGAUUAUUAUAUGGACUUAGCUAGUUUGAGUUUAGGUUUUAGAGUCUAUGAGUACUUCAAAUUCCGCAUGGAGUGAAUGAUUUUGGGAUUGGUAUAUUCAUCUCUUUCUCUGUGUAAAAGCAAACUAUUGUACUACACUUAUGAGAAUGAAAAUACUAUUGCCUAAAACUUAUUUUUGAGCAAUUAUUAGUUUAGUUAAAUAUUGGUGGUUACUAUUCAUGUAUUCCCAAAAUGUUUAAUAUCUUGGCUUGAUAUUGUAUUGACAGUUUCAGUUUAAUAUCAAUUUUACUAGUUGCUUGAUAAAAAAAUGUUUGGUGGACUUGCGACCACCACCUAACAUUGUAUUACUUUUUUCAAUGUUGUUUUAAUUUUUGUUUGAUUGACUAUUUGUGUGCUAUUUCAAUUGUGCUUAUUGCUCAUUAGUGAUGGUAGGUAACUAUAGCAAGUAAGUGAGCUAGAAGCAGGGUAUUCAGCUGAUUAAAGGAAAGUAUUAUUUAUUGGGAACACAACAAAUGUGGGUGAUAGAUUUUUGGUACUUAUCCUAAUUUUUUUAAACAUGACUGUGGAUGAUAUUUCUUUCAGCAUCUUUAUGUUAAAAAUAUAAAAGCUUAUUUUCCUGAUCAGAUUCAGGAGCUCUCGAGCAAAGGGGUUUUUAUAUAUGGAUCAUAAGUGCAGUUUAUGGAAAUCGAGGUAGGCUAUUUUAUCUCCAUAGAGCUUAACUGAAUUACCCAAACGAGUAUUGCCUGUGAGAAAACAAUUUUGGUGAUGCAUAAAAAAAGAGAUACAUUUUGAAUCAAAUACCAUAAAUGUCUGCCAUUAACUACUGCAACUCUCUUUAUUGUAUUGUUCUUGAAAGUAAAUUGCCUUCUAUUUGCUUCAUUUUUUACUUCAGUUCCAUGUUUGCGUUGUUACCCUCUUACAACUACAAUGGUCUAGAGCUACAAGUCGAAAAGAAAGUUCUUAGGACCAAAAUUUUACUAUUAUUUAAACAUUAUGCUUAAAAUUCUUAUAUAUAAAACUCAUGACAAUAAAUUUAUUUAAAUUUAUAUAUCUAAAUGCUUACACAAAUUUUUCUCUUUAUUUAUUUCUUUUACGAUGGUACACACUUAUCUUUUUAUUUUCUCAAUUUAUAAUAAUGCAGGUCAUGAUGAUAAAUACAAGUGAAAAAGUUUUGGCCACAUUCUGAAGAUGAAGCAUUAGUUUUUGUUUAUUGUUUUUCUAUUUUAAAAGUAGCAUAUUUGUUAAUAGUCAAGCAUAAUUUUUAUUUGGAGUUGAUAUUUAUCUUCAACUUAUGAAAUUAUGCAUUGUUACCUUGAUGCAAUAUUUGAUAUAAUAGAUGGUACUUUUUGUUCAUUUGGAUUCUAAGCUUGCAUUUGUGAAAGUUUUGUAUUGUUAUCAAGAUGAAUAAUAUAAAUAUUUAAGCUAAUUACCAAUUUCUUUAAAUUUAUGAUGACAACGUUGAUACAUUGUUAUCAGAUAUAAUAACAAUGUUUAAAUGCUACUAAAUAUUUAAUUUUAAGCGAUAUAAAAAAUGUUAUAAAUCAUAAGAGAUUGCUUCAUUUUUAUUAUGCUAUGACUUAGGAUUUGGUAGCACUUAUAAAUGCUUAUAAAUGCUAUGGCAAGGUAUUUAGUAGCAUUUUAUGAAUGCUACGAGUCAUGAAAUAGUAACAUCUAUCUAAAGCUACUGAAAAUACAUAUGUAGCUUUUAUUGUAUGCUACAAAAAUGUAAUUUAUAGCAUUCCAUAACUGCUGCCAAAAGAUAUACUUUUAGUAACAUGGGCUAACAUAGCACUUUUAAAAGUGCUACCUUUUACUUUUAGUAGCACAUUUGAGAUGUUUCUAUAGCUCAAUUUUGUUGUAGUGCGAGCAUCCAAAAGGUCUCUCAUGGGAAAUAUGAUGUCUUCUUAAGCUUUAGAGGAGAAGACACCCGUAAAAGCUUCACGGGUCAUCUCUAUGCUGCUUUGAAAAAUAAAGGCAUUUAUGUAUUUAGGGAUGACAAAGAACUUGAGAAAGGAGGAUCCAUUUCACCUGAACUCCUUAAAGCAAUUGAAGAAUCAAGAAUUUCAAUUAUUGUUCUCUCCAAAAACUAUGCUUCUUCCACUUGGUGCUUGGAUGAACUAGCUAAGAUUGUUGAAUGUAAAAAUAGAGAAGAUCAAAUUCUUCCAAUUUUUAUGAUGUGGAACCAACUGUGGUAAGGAAACAGACAGCAAGUUUUGGAGAAGCUUUUGCUAAACACGAAGAAGCUUUUAGGAAUAAUGUAGAAAAGGUGCAAACAUGGAGAGAUGCUUUAAAAAUUGUGGCCAAUAAAUCUGGCUGGGAAUUGAAGGACAGGUAAUCAUUCUUAUUCUAUAUUAUCAAUUCUUUUUUUUUUUUUUUUGGUUUUGCAUGAUUAGUAACUAUGAAACAGAUUUUAGUAUUCAUGAUUCAACACUGUUUUCAAUUACCAUAGUAGUAUUAUUAAUGAAUUAAUAUUUGCAAACGAAGAGAUAUGGAUGUUGAUAUGUUAAAUUAUUGUAUUUUGAACUUUUGAAGACUGUAUAAUAUGUUGUGAUGCUUUGUGCUCUAUUAAUCAGAUUAAAAAAAAUGAAAUUUUAUUCUUAGAUUGACUCUUGAGCUAGAUUGUUAAAUACUAAUAACAACAAUGACAACAGUUGCAACACCAAUGAUAGAUCAAUAUCAUUACAUAUUUAGCUAAUCUAAUUGAUUUCAUGUGUGUAACAAAUGAUCUUAUCAAAAACUGAUCUUAAAUCUCUUUCAAUCUAAUUUGUCCUAUUUUUUCCCAAUCAUUAGCAGAAGAAAUUAAAUAAUUUAUUGGGUUGGGUUUGAAUUUUCUCAUUCCAAUUGUUUCCUACUUAACUAUAUGACUUCAAUUUGAUGAAAUGAAUAUUGCAAAGUUUGGAUUUUAUAUAUAACAUGAAAUUGAUUUGCUACUACGUUCGCACCAACUUUAAUUUAACUGUGCCAAUAUUUUCUUGUUGCUUUCAAUGUGCAGAAAUGAGUCAGAAUUUGAGGAAAUUGUCAAUGUGAUAUCAAGUAAAAUUCAUACAGAACCAGAGACUAUUAAGGAGUUGGUAGGAAUAGAAUCACGCUUGGAGAAAAUCAGGUUUCUUAUGGGUACAGGGUCUAGUGACGUUUGAAUGAUCGGGAUAUGGGGUAUGGGAGGUCUAGGAAAGACAACUCUUGCAAGAGUUGUUUAUGACUUGAUGUCCGUUGAGUUUGAUGGGAGUAGUUUUCUUGCCAAUGUUAGAGAAAAAUCUGAAAAAGAAGGGAGUGUAAUCUCUUUACAAAAGCAACUCCUUUCCAAUUUACUGAAGCUUGGAGAUAUUAGCAUAUGGCAUGUAGAAGAUGGUAUUAAUAUAAUUGGAAGUAGGCUGCGACAGAAGAAAGUUCUUCUCAUAAUCGAUGAUGUCGCUGAUGUUGAACAGCUACAAAGUUUAGCUGGAAAGCGUGCUUGGUUCGGUCCAGGCAGCAGGAUUCUAAUAACAACGAGAGAUAAACAGUUGUUGGUGGCGCAUGAAGUGGAUGAAGAGCAUAUUCUGAACCUUGAUGUACUAAAUAACGAUGAAGCUCUUCAACUCUUUAGUAUGAAAGCUUUUAAAACCCAUCAGCUCGUGGGAGAAUAUGUGGAGCUGUCUGAACAUGUUCUGGAGUAUGCUGGUGGUCUUCCAUUAGCUCUAAAAGUUUUGGGAUCCUUUCUAAUUGGUAGAUAUGUGGAUCUAUGGAGAAGUGCCCUAGAAAGACUAAAAAGAGAUCCUUCAUAUAAGAUUAUGAGUAUACUUCAAAUAAGUUUUGAUGGACUACAAGUUUCAGAGAAGAAAAUAUUUCUCGAUGUUGCAUGUUUCUUUAAACGAUGGGAUAGAGAUUACGUGACAGAAAUUCUAGAGGGAUGUGGUUUUUCCCCAGUCAUUGGAUUGGAAGUUCUUAUUGAAAGAUCUCUGUUAACGGUUGAUGACGACAACACAUUGGGGAUGCAUGAUUUGUUAUAGGAAUUGGGACAACUGAUUGUUGCAAGACAAUCCCCCGAAGAACCUGGGAAACGCAGUAGAAUAUGGAGGGGAGAAGAAGUGCGCCAUGUGCUGACAAAAAACACAGUAAGUGAAUUAUUAAAUGGAAAACAUGCUGUGCUCAUUAAUUUCUUUUACCCAAUUGUAUCUAUGUUGAAUUUUCAACAUUUUUACUUUAUUUUUUUAAUCAGUCGUACAAUUAUUUUUUUCUUACAAUUUUCAGGGAAGUGAAGUAGUUGAAGGAAUAAUAAUUGAUCAACGUUACUUUCUUGAAAAUGAUGUGUAUUUAUGGGCAAGUGCUAAGGCAUUUUCGAAGAUGACCAAUCUAAGAUUGCUAGGAAUUUGUAGUCUGAAACUUCCCGAAGGCCUUGAAUGCCUCUCUAACAAGUUGCGGUUACUUGACUGGCCUGGUUAUCCUUUGAAAUCUUUGCCGCCCAAUUUGCAAUUGGAUAAAACAAUUGAAUUUAAAAUGUUAUGCAGCCGCAUUGAAGAAUUGUGGAAAGGAAUCAAAGUAAGACCAAUAUUUUUGUCACUGAUUUAUAAUUUUUUGGUGAAAAGUUGUUGAUAAUAAUUUUAUUAUUAUACCCGUAAAUGAAUUAAUUGCUCCUUUUGGUUUUCAACAGUCUUUAAACAUGUUGAAAGUCAUGAAAGUCAGCUAUUCGCAGAGCCUGAUUAAGAUACCAGAUUUCACUGGAGUCCCAAAUUCAGAGAAGUUGUAUCUUAAAGGAUGUACGAGGUUGCAUGAAAUUCACCCGUCUUUGCUGCUUCACAGUAAGCUUGUCAUACUGAACUUGACAGGUUGUACAUGUUGAAGUCAAUAAAUUGUUGGUGCAAAUUUGUUGAAGUCAACAAAUUGUUGGUGCAACCAACAAUUGUAGAGAAGCAAAAUCAAAUUGAUUUUGUAAGCCGAAAAGAAAGAAUGGACAAAGGGGAUAGAUUUGAAAAAUAAUAAUAAUUAAAUAGCUAAGGAUUUCAUUAUAUUUUUAAUUAUUUUAUUCUUUGCAUAGUAAUUCAUUUCUUCUAUAAAUAGCUAAGGAUUUCAUUCAUUUGAAAGCAUUCCAAAAUUGUUAAGUUUAUAAGUUUUUAAGCUUUUGAGAAAAGUGAGAAAAGUGAGAAAAGUGUGUCUGGGGAAUUUAUCUUUCCUGCAGAGUGUGAGAGUACUGGAUAUAUUUGGGUUUCUGGAAAGUGAGAUUCGUUACUCAAAUAUUUGUACUCUAUUAAUUGUUAAAUAAACAAUUAUUCUUUUUUGCCUCCGUGGAUGUAGGUUUAAUUACUGAACCAUAUUAAAUUCUUGUGUCCUUUAUUUUUCAGUAAUUAUUUAGUGCGCUUGAUUCCGCAUUCCGCGCACAACAAGUGGUAUCAGAGCCGACGGUUUGUACUUGGGGGAUACGGUACUGUUCACAUAUACGUACUGUUCACGUAUACGGUACUGUUCACAUAUACGGUACUGUUCACGUAUACGGUACUGUUUACAAAUAUGGUGGAGACGACCAUUUGUACUUGGGAGACAGUCUAUUGUAAGUAGUGUGUAUUUUUGCAUGUCUAGGAAAGUUCUGUCAACAAAGGCGAUAAGAGUCUAAGGAUUCUGGUUUUUAAUUGGGACCGAGUUCUUGUCCAGUCUCCUGGGAAUUUUCCUGGUGCAUUUAUUCACGCGAAAUUAACAUCAUAGAGACUGUUUUUCAAGUGAAAAUAGUUCGUUCAGAAAAUGGUAGAAGGUGAAACUUUCAGAAUUGAGGAGAGAUCUACCGAGACUAUUUCAGGAGACACUUCAGGUGGGAGGCAAGAUUUGUCAAAUCGGUAUUCAGUGUUGAGUGUUAGAAAAUGCAUAUUUAUAAAGGAGAAAACCGUCAUUUUACAUUUCAAGUCUUAUUAACAACCCUUACUUUUAUGUAUUUAACCUUCUUGUGAUUUAAUUACAUGUGUUUUAUUUUAAUUAAGUAUUUUAUGUAUUUUAGGGGCAUUAUAGUCAUUUCACAAUAAAGGAGAGAUCAGAUGGAAAAACAGACAUCACUUUUGAACUCAGGACGGUCGAAAACCUUAGCAGGGGCAUAAAAGGAAAAAUGGCACUAUUCACAUGUACGGUACUAUUCACGUAUACGGUACUGUAUAUGUUACUGUUCACGGCACUGUUCACAUAGACGGAUCGAUGACGUGGCAUUGACCAAUGAUGUGGCAUUGACUGAUGAGGUGUCACGAUCCUGUUGGACUAAAAUUCUUAUGUACUGUUGAUGGUGACGUGGCAGCAUAUCAGUGGACGAAAAAUCUCGCGUACGGUGCAUGCAUCACACAGGAUUAUUUUCAACCAAACCGUGUUACUGUUCAUCCACGUGGUCAAACCGUGGACUGUUGACUGAUGACGUGGCGCAAUCCUGAGCGUCCAAACUGUUUUUAAUCCGAUGGCCAUGAUUUACUCCAUGUAUCUAUAAAAAGGGGGCCUCUCCCCCUAAUUUGAUAGCUCUGAAUCCAUUUUUGGGAUCCAUUUUCUGCAAUUCCUUCUCCAUCUUGUAUUUUCUUUGUAUUUUAAUAAAUUCCCAUUUUGCCCUUAGUUCAAUUAUGAGUAGCUAAUUUCCUUUCAAGCUUGGGUUGAAGGUGAAGUCUCAACAUGUGUCAUGGGCUUUAUUUGGUAAAUUUAUUUUCUUUUUCCCUCUAGUUUUUGUGGAUGAUUUGACUUAUCGUCGACAAAUAAUACUGAUCUUGUCUAGAUACCGCCUUGGUUACACCGGCUCUCUAGUAUAAGGUUAUAAUUAUUUGGCACGAUAAGCCCUUAGCACCAUAUUGAUUAGAGCGUGGUUCGGAUUCCCCCCUCAUGAUUUAAUUGGCAUUAAUACGGAUUAUUUAGCCCAUGAUGCAUGUUGAUACGGAUCCAGAUACCCAAGUACGUCAUUUCAAUACAUUUCUCUUCAAUUUAUUCUCGCCAUUGCAAUUCCAAUUUUAGAAUUUAUUCUCGCCAUUUUAAUUUAAGUUUUAGCAUAUUCCAAAUCAUUUCUACCACAGAUCCAAUCAACCAUUUGCAAAAUUAAUUCUAUACACAAUUAAAAUCUACCUCCUCGUGGGAUCGACACUCGUCACCAUUGAUCUAUACUACAAUAGAUUCGUGCGCUUGCGAGUACAUUAAAAUUUGCACAACAAGUUUUUGGCGCCGUUGCAGGGGAAGUAAGUAAUUUUAAUUCAUAGAAUUAAUUUUUGUGAAUAAUUUCUUUUAUUUGUUUUCUUGUAUUUUUUAUUAAAAAAAAAAAGUAAAUCUACAUUUAAAGGUUAGUAUUUCUUUUCUUUUUCUCUUCUUUAAAAUUCUGUAAUUUAAUUUUCAAUUUAUUUUUUCUUUGUAAUUUUUGUUUAUUUUAUUAAUUUAAUUUUUAGUUAAUUUAUUUCACGUAUUUGUUUUUGUGUAUUUUUAUAGAAAGGUUGUAAUAGCGCAAUAAGGUUAGUAUCGUAAUUUCUCCCUCUUCUUUAUUUUUAUUUGUUUUGUUCCCAUCGUUAUUUUUAUUUUAUUUGUUUUGCAUGCAUGGUCGUAGGUCAUUAUUACCUAAUCUUGAACCUAUAGACAUUGAACUAGAAAAAACACUUCGCACACAAAAGCACAUUAAAAAUAAAUUUGGAAUGGAUUUACAAGCACCACAAGAGAGGCCAUUCAAGGACUAUUUUAGUCCUUUAGCUAAUUUGAGCACAUCAUGCAUAAGAUACCCAAAUGUAGCUGCUAGGAGCUUUGAACUAAAACCUAGUGUGCUAAAUUGUCUCCCCACAUUCUAUGGCCUAGAAAAUGAGGACCCAUAUAAUCAUCUGAAUGAUUUUCAUGCCAUUUGUCAAACUUUUAAAUAUGAAAAUUUUUCAGACGAUGAUGUUAAACUUAGAUUAUUCCCAUUUUCUUUAAAGGAUAAAGCUCGUUCAUGGUUAAAUACUUUGCCUGCUAAUAGCAUUGCAUCAUGGGAGCAAAUGGUUACAAAAUUUCUAAAUAAAUAUUUCCCAGUGCAUAAAACCAAUUCUAUUCGCAGGGAAAUUUCAGAGUUUACACAAAGAGAGGACGAGCAGUUUUUCGAAACUUGGGAGCGAUUCAAUGGGCUACUCUUGAAGUGUCCACAUCAUGGGUACGAGAAAUGGCACCAAUGCCAAUACUUUUUGGAGGGAUUAUUGCCGAAUGUGCAAGAAUGGCUAAUGGCAACAAGUGGAGGAGAGCUAAUGUCAAAAAGUGCAACAGAGAUUUGGGAAUUCUUCCAGCGACAAGCGGAUAAUUCCCAACAACAGAGUCGAUCACUCAGGAAUACUAGAAGAAUUAAAGGAGUAAAUGAGGUUCAAAUUGGAGAGUCAACUUCGGAAAUCAAAGAAGUCAAGGAGAUGGUUGAAGGUCUUGCUCGACAAAUAGCAUCGUUGUCGACUGCUAAAUCAACAGAACCACAUGACCAUGACUCAUACUCCGAUCAAGCCAAUGCCAUAGGUGUAAUGAGAAAACCAUCGAAUUACAACCCAUACUCCAACACAUAUAACCCUGGAUGGAGAGACCGCCCCAAUUUUUUAUGGUCUCAAGGAUUCCAACAGAAUGGACCAGCAGCUCCAACUCCACCAAUGCAACAAAUUCCUUAAAAUCCUCAAGCCUCUCAGCCACCAUUCAGACCAUACAAUCAGAACCAGAACUACUCUCAACCCAGACCAUGGGAGGAUGCAUUCCAGAAUUUCAAGAAUGUUACUCACUCUACGAUUGAGCAACAGAAUCGCACCAUUGAUGGACUACGAAAUGAAUUGAGAGCGGGCUUCAACUCACAAGCCCAAUCAGUUUCAAGCCUCGAGAAGAUGGUGGGACAACUUGCUUCUUCAGUUCAGACCUUGGCGAUGACUGUUGCGAAAGGCAAGUUUCCAAGUCAACCAGUGCCUAACCCUAAAGGAGUACAUGAAGCAAGUACCAGUUCACCACAGCAGCAUGGAGAGGUCAAAGCAGUCAUGACCUUACGAAAAGGAAAAGAAGUCGACAACAAAGUGGAGAUGCCGGUGACAAAAGAAAAUCAAAUUGUACCUGUAAAUGCUGAGGACUCACCACCGGAGGAGAAAGAAGAAACCAACCCACGAGAGUACAUUCCCAAGGCUCCAUUUUCUCAUAGGUUAGCUAAAGGAAAAAAAGAGAAAAUCCACAGGUGAGAUUCUCGAAAUCUUCAAACAGGUAAGUGUUAACAUCCCUUUACUUGAUGCUAUAAAGCAAGUUUCAUCUUAUGCCAAGUUUCUUAAAGACCUUUGUACUAAAAAGAGAAAUAUGUAUGUUCAAAAGAAGGCAUUUUUAACAGAAAACAUUAGUUCUAUACUCCAACAUAAAAUUCCUUUAAAAUGCAAAGACCCAGGCUCCCCCACUAUCUCAUGUAGUAUAGGGAACCACACAAUUGAGAAUGCUUUGUUGGAUUUAGGAGCUAGUGUAAAUCUAUUGCCUUACUCAGUAUUUUUGAAACUUGGACUGGGAGAAUUACACCCAACUCCAGUGGUGUUACAGCUUGCAGAUCGGUCAACGAAAAUACCUCGUGGUAUUGUGGAGGACGUGCUUAUCCAGGUAGACAAGUUUUAUUUUCCUGUUGAUUUCAUUGUAAUUGACACUCAACCAAUACAGGACUCAAGGAAGCACAUCCCCAUUAUUCUAGGCCGACCUUUCUUGGCAACUGCAGAUGCUCAUAUUCAAUGUAGGACCGGAAAUAUGCAAUUGUCCUUCGGCAACAUGACUAUGGAGCUAAAUAUUUUCAACAUUGCCAAACAACCUCACAGUGCAGAUGAUGGAAUUGUUGAUGUGGAUUUAAUAGAAACAAUAGUUGAUAAUACUUUUCUUUCAAACCUUAGUGAUGAUCCUUUACAAACAUGUUUAACUCACUUUGGUUUGGAUUUUGAUAUUGACAGAUCGGUUGAUGAGGUCAACGCUCUACUUGACUCAGCACCAUCCAUGGACACUAAUAAAUGGAAGUCAAGAGUUGAACAACUAGCACCAUCAGAGAAGAAACUCAUUCCAUCAUCAGAAUCACCACCGAAACUCGAGCUCAAACCAUUACCCAACACAUUGGAAUAUGCAUUUUUGGGGGAAGAAAGUACUCUACCGGUAAUCAUCUCAUCAUCCCUUAAUGACGAACAAAAAGGUAAGUUGUUGGAUGUUUUGAAAGAGCACAAAGGGGCAUUAGGAUGGACCAUAGCAGACAUAAAAGGUAUAAACCCUGCAGAUUGCAUGCAUUACAUUCACCUUGAUGAAAAUGCUAAAUCUACUAGGGAAAUGCAACGUCGGUUAAAUCCUAAUAUGAAAGAAGUUGUUAGAACAGAAGUCCUUAAGCUAUUAGACGCAGGUAUCAUUUACCCAAUUUCUGAUAGUUCAUGGGUCAGUCCUGUACAAGUUGUCCCCAAAAAGUAAGGAGUCACAGUAGUUACCAAUGCUGAUAAUGAAUUGAUACCAACUAGAGUAACUACAGGAUGGCGUGUAUGCAUUGAUUAUAGAAAGUUGAAUUCUGUCACACGUAAAGACCAUUUUCCUUUACCAUUUAUUGAUCAAAUGCUUGAUAGAUUAGCAGGCCAUGAAUUUUAUUGCUUUCUAGAUGGCUACUCAGGAUAUAAUCAGAUUCCCAUAGCACCAAAAGAUCAAGAGAAAACUACUUUCACUUGCCCUUUUGGCACUUUUGCAUAUAGGAGAAUGCCAUUUGGAUUAUGUAAUGCACCUGCUACAUUCCAACGAUGCAUGUUGAGCAUUUUUUCUGAUAUGGUUGAAUGAUUCCUUGAAGUCUUUAUGGAUGAUUUUUCUGUCUUUGGUGACUCGUUUGAUCAAUGUUUACAUCAUCUAACAUUAGUUCUGCAGAGAUGUAUCGAGAAGAGCUUAGUCUUAAAUUGGGAGAAGUGUCAUUUUAUGGUAAAAUAAGGUAUUGUUCUCGGUCACAUCAUUUCGAGCAAAGGUAUUGAGGUUGACAAAGCCAAGGUGGAUCUCAUUUCUAAUCUUCCUCCACCCAAAACAGUCAGGGAAGUAAGAUCUUUCUUUGGGCAUGCUGGUUUUUAUAGACGUUUUAUUAAAGAUUUUAGCAAAGUUUCUAGAACCUUAUGCAAUCUACUUGCUAAGGAUGUACCUUUUGUCUUUAAUGAUUCAUGUCUUGUUGCGUUUGAAAAAUUAAAGCAUUUGUUGACAUCAUCACCCAUCAUUCAGCCCCCAAACUGGAGCUUACCAUUUGAGCUCAUGUGUGAUGCAUCUGAUUAUGCAGUAGGAGCAGUAUUAGGACAAAGAGUUGAUCGAGUUCCCCAUGUUAUUUACUAUGCUAGUAUGACAUUGAAUGAUGCACAGUUGAACUAUUCAACUACUGAAAAAGAAAUGCUAGCAGUAGUGUUUGCAUUGGAAAAAUUUCGAUCUUAUCUCAUUGGUUGUAAAAUAAUUAUAUUCACAGAUCAUGCUGCUCUUAAAUAUCUUCUCACAAAGAAAGAUGCAAAAGCUAGACUAAUUCGUUGGGUGUUACUUUUGCAGGAAUUUGACUUGGAAUUCAAAGAUAAGAAAGGGACAGAAAAUGUUGUGGCGGACCACCUCUCUCGUCUCCAUUUUGACACAAUAACAGAGCCAUUAAUAUUGAAUGAGUCAUUCCCAGAUGAACAAUUAAUGAGUGUGGAAGUAUUACCUUGGUAUGCUGAUAUAGUUAAUUAUCUUGUUACAGGUAAACUUCCAGAGCAUUGGACCAAGCAAGACAAGGCUAAAUUCUUUGCAAAGAUAAAGAAUUUCUUUUGGGAUGACCCAUAUUUGUUCAAGUAUUGUGCAGACCAAAUUGUUAGACGAUGUGUCCCUGAAAAUGAAAUUCAGAAUAUUCUUUCAUUCUGCCAUGAACAAGCUUGUGGAGGCCAUUUCAGUGCUAAGAAAACGGCAACUAAAGUUUUACAAUGUGGUUUUUAUUGGCCAACUAUAUUUUGAGACGCUUACACUUUCUGUUCUUCAUGUGAUAGGUGUCAACGAAUGGUGAGCAUUACGCGAAGGAACAUGAUGCCACUAAAUCCAAUUUUAGUGGUUGAGAUUUUUGACGUCUGGGGUAUCGACUUCAUGGGACCCUUUCCCUCUUCUUUUGGCCAUCAAUACAUAUUGGUUGGUGUUGACUACGUAUCGAAAUGGGUGGAAGCAAUUCCAUGCAGAACCAAUGAUCACAAAGUGGUGAUAGGAUUUUUGAAAAGCAACAUUGUUUCACGCUUUGGAUUCCCUCGAGCGAUAAUCAGUGAUGGUGGUGCCCACUUUUGUAACAAAGCAUUCAAGGCUCUUUUGACAAAGUAUUCAAUCACACACAAAGUGGCGACCCCGUAUCAUCCGCAAACCAGUGGCCAAGUUGAGAUCUCCAAUCGAGAAAUAAAGCACAUAUUAGAAAAGACGGUGAGGCCAGACAGAAAGAGAUUGGUCAUUAAGACUUGGUGAUGCAUUAUGGGCAUAUAGAACGGCUUUCAAGACCGCGAUUGGGAUGUCACCCUAUAGGCUAGUGUAUGGAAAAGCUUGCCACCUAUCUGUGGAACUCGAGCAUCUUGCAUAUUGGGCCAUCAAGAAAUUCAACUUUGACAUGCAGCAAGCCAGCUCAGAAAGAAGAUUACAACUGGCAGAACUUGAAGAAAUUCGCAAUGAUGCAUACGAAAAUGCCAAAAUUUACAAGCAACGAAUGAAAGUCUUUCAUGACAAGCACAUUAUGAGAAAAUCUUUCACUCCAGGUCAGAAAGUGCUUUUAUUCAAUUCUCGCUUGCACCUAUUCCCAGGUAAGUUACGCUCUCGAUGGUCUGGUCCCUUUAUUGUUCAUACUGUUUUUCCACAUGGGGCAAUUGAAAUUAAAGACCCAAAGAACGGUGUCACGUUUAAAGUUAAUGGUCAAAGAUUAAAGCCAUAUCUAGAAUACUAACCACAUGGAGAAGACACCGAAAUAAAUUUGAGUGACCCACCAGAUUUGAAUUGAUUUUUAUUCUUCUUUUCGUUGAUUUGAUUUUUCUUUCUUUCUUUUUAUUAUUCUUUUGCUAAUUGAAAUUAUUUUUGCAUAAGUGUGUUUGUUUAACAAUUAAGUUUUCUCUUAUCAUUUUUAAUCAUGAGUACCUUACUUAGACCGUUCCUCCUGAACAUUCUUAAACCACUUCAACGUGUCAAAACUCAUCUCAAACGGCAAAUUCAAUUUUGUAAAACACAUCGUAUUUGGGCUCUACAACCACCAGAGUUAGUAGCCUAUGUUGAGGGUUUAGAACGCCAACUCAGAGACAUUGAGAGAAGUGUUUACGACAUCCAGUUGGAGCUUGAGGUAAAUUCAAUAAGAGGACGAUUUUAAUUUUCUUUGUGUGUUUUAAUUUGUUUUUCUGUUUGUGUGCUUUAGUUUGUUACCCCGGUGAAAUGGCGGAUAACGGUACUCCGUGACAAUCAAGUCGAUUACUUCAGUUUCCCACAAUAACUGACAUUCUGAGGCGAAAGUAUGGACAGAAACGAGAUUCUAGCGAAGCUUCACAAGCGAUUCCCUUCACUUCCUCAGAAUGCCCUCCUUACGAUCUAUAAAGCUCGGUCCGAACGCAUGCGAUUACUCAUGAAGAAUAACAUACCUGCUGACAUCCGUUGGUUAAUCGAGGCUAAAGUACGAUCGGCAGGUGAGUUACCUCCAAAAUUUAUUGCAUUCAUGCCUGGUUGUGGUAAAGGAAAUUAUGCAAGAAAACGACGAGCUCGAAGAAUUUCUGUUGCUUGUCAUAAGUGUGCCAGAAUGAGUUGCGAUAGAAACCCAUGUUCUUUAGGAAUGGUGUCUGAUAACAGGGAAGAUAAGAUUCAAUUCAUUAGGGAUGGCUUGAAUAAGGAGUCAUUGGAUGAUAUCCUUUUGUCUCUUGAAACGCAUCCCAGUGGAUAUGUGCAAGGAGCGAUUCUCCGGUUAUGGCCAUUAUUCCAGAAAGAGCAUGCACGAUAUAGUCUCGGGAAUCUGACUAUAAACGACCCUGUUUGUCAGUUUAUAAGAAAAAUGGAUGGGAAGCCGAUCCUCGACCCAUAGAGGGCGUUCAAGCCGUUUCUGGACGUAAAACCAGAGGAAGAUGUGAGCCAUAGUCGCAACUACGUGUAAAUAUCUUUUACUUUACUGUUAUUUUAUUUCAUUUCACUGUUGUUUUAUUGUUUGCAUUAUUGUCUUUAAUAAUUUUAUUACUGUUUGCUUUGUCCUUUUUACUGUUUCCUUUUUGACUCGCGAGCCACGUGCUUUACGCGUUAUUUGACACUGAUAUGUUACCUCAUUCACAGCUGUGAUCCAUUGUCACCAAGAUUCUUAAAUGUGAUUUAUCUUUUGUCAAGCACUCACAAAUUAUUUUUGAGAAGUAUCACAAUGGCAGCUACUCCCAAUAGACAAUUCAAGAACAUUUGUGUGCUUUCUGGAUUUACCUAUGGCAAACAUAAAGAGUUCGUGGAGGCAGCCAUAGAUCUUGGUCGAAGCAUAGCAGCGAGAAAAUUACACUUGGUGUAUGGAGGAGGUAACCGAGGGCUAUCAAAAAUGGUCUCAGAAGCAGCUUUUAUCAGAGGAAGUCAAGUGUUAGGCAUCAUCCCAAGAGUCCUAAAACCAUUGGGCAGUUCGUCUGACUCAUCAACUGGAGAAGAGUUAGUUGUCUCAGGUAUGCAAGAAAGAAUAACUGAAAUGCUUAAUCAUGCUGAUGCUUUUAUUUUCCUUCCAGGAGAUCUUGCAACACUAGAGGCACUUAUCACACUAGCAUCUUGGGCCCAUCUGCACAUCCACCAGAAACCCAUCGAUUUGUUAAAUGUCAAUAACUUUUAUGAUGGCUUUAUCGCAUUUCUUAACCAUGCAAUAAAAAACUAUUUCAUUCCUUCUAAUGUGAAAAAACUCUUUAUUUGUGCUCACACUGCUAAUGAGCUACUUGAUAUGUUACAAGCUUAUAAACCGGAGCCAGACCCCUGGACCUUUGUGUUGGAGCGACCAAAUAAUGAUGGUAAUAGUAGCCGCAGUAAGAAGUACAAAUUAGAUUUAACUGUCCGCCUGUAAAUAUUUUCUUCUGUGUUGCACCACCCAGGUGAUGUCUUCUAAACUCUACUUAUUUCCUUUAAAACAUUGAGGACAAUGUUUCGUUCUGGUUGGGGGGAGGAACUAGUCGACAAUUGUGGAAUCUUGGUUAAGUUUUUACUGAUUUUUUGUUGUAGAAACUAACUGUUGCUAACAUUUUGUGUUGAAGAUGGUUGAAUAUGGAGUGUAGUUACUCUAGAAACGCAUCUUCAUCGUUUUAAAAAAAAAAAAAAAAACCUUUUUCUUCCUCUUUCUCCUUUAUAAAUAUAUAUUUUCAAAUUUUUGAGUCGAAGAUGGCUGAAUAUGGAGUGUAGUGCCUCUAGAAACGCAUCUUCUUAGUUUAAAAAAAAAAUUCUUUUUUCUAAUAAAUUUUUCUACAUCAUUUUCACAUUUCUGCAUGCAUAUUUUUCUUUCAUAUUUAGAAUAGGUUGGGGGGUAGAAUGUUGUUUAAAAAAAAAAAUUGUGUUAUUUGUUUUAACAUUGGAUGACAUGAUUAAUUUCAAAUUUUAGUAUUUGUAUUAUCUUUGGUCUUAAGUGAUGUUACGCUAUGUUUGCUACUUUACAUGUUGAUGUCGGAGACAAAUAUGAGUUGCUUGAAGGAAUGAACAUGUCAUAAAUAAGUGCCAAGUGAGUUGUUGAGCCUAUCAUUUUCUUGGAGAGUAACCAUUUUGCCCAUUCUCUAUACAGCUUAGCAGUUUAUUAUUUUAUACACGAUCUCUAGAUUUCUUUUAAGUUAACCCUUUAAAAAAAAAUGGUAAAAUUAAAAAAAAAAGAAAAAAGAAAAAAAAUGUGUGUUGCUACAUUGGGAGGCCCAUCUAACUAGUAGAUAUGGAUAAUUAUUUAGAGCCCUAAAAGACGAUGGAAAUGCCAUCUUUGAUCCGUUUGAGCCUUUCUAGCCAUCCGUUUUAUUAAAUAUCCAUAGUUACCCCUUUUGAGCCUUUAAAAAAAAAAAAAAAAAAAACCUUUUCUUUGUCAACUUAUCAUCUUGACCCACUCCGAUUUGGAGUAUUACCCAAUGUCUUUUAAGUUCCAUCACCUAUUUAUGUUUGAGAAAAUGUAAAUAAUUAUGUUGUUCAGUGAAGUUAUGCCAAAUAAAAGCAAAAAGAAAAAAAAAAACAAAAACAAAAGUUGUUGUUUCAAACGAAUAAAAAUAACAAUAAUAGGUGAAAUCCACCUUGCAAGUUCCAAAAAAAAAAAAAAAAAUUCUGCAUGUUUCUCAAACAUACACUUUGUUUUCCUUAUUUCCUUUCUUUGUUAGCCAUAUCCCUAGCCUACGUUACGUCCUAAUAAAAGUCCUUCUUGAUUUUAGGGAACUAUAGUUUGAAGUAGAAGCUAGUUAUAUGGGCUAAAAAGAUGUAGUGAUGCAUAAUAAUAAAAAAAAAAAGAUAAAUAAAGUGGGUUGACUAACAUUUUAUUUGACUUGAGAUCGUAUUAUUUCUAAGCUGAGGGCAUAUUUAUUUCAUCUUGGUGAGAGCAUGUGAUAUCAUUUCUUUAUUAUUUUCUCUCUCAAUUACCAUUCAUUGGAGUGACUAUGUUUUUUGGGGUUUGACAUGUCAUUCUUGAAAGUAGCUAUAACAAAGUCUACUGGCUAAUUCAUGUGGAUGGUUGAUGUGGGUGUGAUGUUGCUUUAGACUGGAGAUAAUGCUUAUACUUUUAUUUGAUUACUAUCAUUAAUCUGAUUGAAUAAACACGAGUGUUUCUAAAAAAAAAAAAAAAAAAAUCAUUUUGAAUUUGAAUUUUGUUUUCGCUUUAUUUGCUAGGGACUAGCAAUAAGCUGGUUGGGGGGUGUGUUGAGUGUUAGAAAAUGCAUAUUUAUAAAGGAGAAAACCGUCAUUUUACAUUUCAAGUCUUAUUAACAACCCUUACUUUUAUGUAUUUAACCUUCUUGUGAUUUAAUUACAUGUGUUUUAUUUUAAUUAAGUAUUUUAUGUAUUUUAGGGGCAUCAUAGCCAUUUCACAAUAAAGGAGAGAUCAGAUGGCAAAACGGACAUCACUUUUGAACUCAGGAUGGUCGAAAACCUUAGGAGGGGCAUAAAAGAAAAAAUGGCACUAUUCACAUGUACGGUACUAUUCACGUAUACGGUACUGUAUAUGUUACUGUUCACGGCACUGUUCACAUAGACGGAUCGAUGACGUGGCAUUGACCGAUGAUGUGGCAUUGACUGAUGAGGUGUCACGAUCCUGUUGGACUAAAAUUCUUAUGUACUGUUGAUGGUGACGUGGCAGCAUAUCAGUGGACGAAAAAUCUCGCGUACGGUGCAUGCAUCACACAGGAUUAUUUUCAACCAAACCGCGUUACUGUUCAUCCAGGUCAAACCGUGUUACUGUUCAUCCGCGUGGUCAAACCGUGGACUGUUGACUGAUGACGUGGUGCAAUCCUGAGCGUCCAAACUGUUUUUAAUCCGAUGGCCAUGAUUUACUCCAUGUAUCUAUAAAAAGGGGGCCUCUCCCCCCUAAUUUGAUAGCUCUGAAUCCAUUUUCUGUAAUUCCUUCUCCAUCUUGUAUUUUCUUUGUAUUUUAAUAAAUUUCCAUUUUGCCCCUAGUUCAAUUAUGAGUAGCUAAUUUCCUUUCAAGCUUGGGUUGAAGGUGAAGUCUCAACAUGUGUCAUGGGCUUUAUUUGGUAAAUUUAUUUUCUUUUUCCCUCUAGUUUUUGUGGAUGAUUUGACUUAUCGUCGACAAAUAAUACUGAUCUUGUCUAGAUACCACCUUGGUUACACCGGCUCUCUAGUAUAAGGUUAUUAUUAUUUGGCACGAUAAGCCCUUAGCACCAUAUUGAUUAGAGCGUGGUUCAUGAGGUGUGGAUUCCCCCCUCAUGAUUUAAUUGGCAUUAAUACGGAUUAUUUAGCCCAUGAUGCAUGUUGAUACGGAUCCAGAUACCCAACUACGUCAUUUCAAUACAUUUCUCUUCAAUUUAUUCUCGCCAUUGCAAUUCCAAUUUUAGAAUUUAUUCUCGCCAUUUUAAUUUAAGUUUUAGCAUAUUCCAAAUCAUUUCCACCACAUAUCCAAUCAACCAUUUGCAAAAUUAAUUUUAUACACAAUUAAAAUCUACCUCCUCGUGGGAUCGACACUCAUCACCAUUGAUCUAUACUACAAUAGAUUCGUGCGCUUGUGAGUACAUUAAAAUUUGCACAACAUUCAGCACCUGUUAUAGGAGGUCACAAGAUCGAUGUUGAAAAGUUUGAUGGGAAAAUCAACUUCGGCAUGUGGAGGCGCGAAGUUAUGGAUGCUCUUAUUCAAAUCGAUCUUGAUGUUGUUCUGAAAAAUAAAAGACACUUGUAUGAUGAAGAAAUUUGGGAUCGUAUGAACGAGAAAGCUUGUGGUCAGAUCAGAUCUUGUUUGACCAAGGAGGUGAAAUACUUGGUGAAAGAUGAGGAGUGUGCGGUGACUUUGUGGCGUACAUUGGAGGAGAAGUACCUAGUGAAAAGUCCUGAAAAUCGCCUUCAUGCAAUGAGCCAAGUAUAUGGUUUUCGAAUGAAGCCUGGGGUGUCAAUGCACGAUCAUGUUUCAAGAUUUGAAAAGUUAUUUGCUGAUUUGAAGAAUCUUGAUGAAGAUAUUAAGGAUGAAGUUAAGGCUAUGAUUCUGUUACACUCAUUACCAGAGGAAUAUAGCCAUUUUGUGACUAUUUUGAUAUAUGGGAAAAGUGUGAUAGUCUUUAAAGAUGUUUGCACAGCAUUGACUAGCUUAGAGAUUCAGAAUAAUAAUAAAAAUUCUGAACGAGCAUCGUCUGAAGCUUUGGUGAGCAGAGAUUGGGCGAUGGAGAAACAAAAGAAGCGUGGUGGAAAGAAUUCUCGAUCCAAAUCGAGAAGCAGAAAUAUAGCUCGAGAUGAGUGUGCCUUUUGUCAUGAAAAGGGCCAUUGGAGGAAAGAUUGUCCAAAGGCUCAAAAGAGAGAUGGGAAGAAACCAGCAGCAGCAAACAUGGCACGGAAAGAUGAGGGCUCUGAUUAUUCACUAAGUAUUACUUCUGCAGCAUACGUGGCUAGUUCGAGCGAGUGGAUACUUGAUACUGGAGCAACCUAUCAUUUGUGUCCUAUUAAGAAAUGGUUUACAGAUUUUCGUAAUCUGGAAUCUGGUGCAGUUGUGAUGGAGAAUAAUCAACCUUGUCGCACAAUGGGGAUAGGAACAAUUCGGCUCAAAAUGUUUGAUGGAAUGGUAAGAGAACUCAAAGAGGUUAGAUUUGUUCCAGCUUUAAAGAAAAAUCUAAUUUCUGUGGGUACUUUGGAAGCUAAAGGCUACAAGGUUACCAUUGAAGAUGGUAUAAUGAAGUUUACACAUGGGACUAUGGUGAUUCUGCAAGGGGUCCGGCGUCAUAAUCUGUACUAUUUGAAGGGAGGUACAACUGAUGAAGCAAAUGUUGUUGAGGCGCACAGUGACACCACCAAGCUAUGGCAUGUACGACUGGGACAUGCUGGAGAGAAGUCUUUGCAAACUCUGAUGAGGCAUGGACUCUUAAAAGGUACCAAAACCUGUAAAUUAAAUUUCUGUGAGCAUUGUGUAGUAGGCAAGAAAACAAGGGUCAAGUUUAGUACAGCUAAUCACGAUACUCGUGAGAUCCUUGAAUAUGUUCAUAGUGAUGUAUGGGGACCAACCAAGACUGCAUCAAUUGGUGGAAGCCAUUAUUUUGUUACAUUUGUUGAUGAUUUCUCUAGACGUAUGUGCGUGGACACCAUGCGAGCAAAAGAUGAGGUUCUAGAGAUUUUCGUGAAAUGGAAGAAAUUGAUGGAGACUCAAACUGGCAGAUAUAUCAAAGUAUUACGAUCUGAUAAUGGGGGUGAAUAUACUUCUGAUUCAUUCUUGCAAGUAUGCUAGAAUGAGGGUAUUAAAAGACAUUUCACGGUGAGACAUACUCCGCAACAGAACGGUGUGGCUGAGCGUAUGAAUCGUACUUUACUGGAGAAGGUACGAUGUAUGUUAUCUAAUGUUGGUUUAGAUAAAAAGUUUUGGGCUGAAGCUGUGAGCUACGCAAGUCACUUGGUAAACCGGUUGCCUUCUGCUGCAAUUGGAGGUAAAACUCCUAUGGAAAUGUGGUUUGGAAAGCAUGCACAAGACUAUGAUUCCCUUCGUGUAUUCGGGUGUCCAACUUAUUAUCAUGUCAAAGAUGGUAAAUUGGAUCCUCGUGCUAGAAAAGCUAUCUUUGUGGGAUUCAAAGGUGGAGUAAAGGGCUUCAAGCUUUGGGAUCUCGAAGACAAAAAGUUUGUGUGUAGUAGAGAUGUCACAUUUGGUGAAGCUUCAAUGAUGAAAGCUUUAAGUUCUCAGCAGGUGGAGAACAAGACCAAAGAAGUAUUGCAGCGGGUGGAGUUUAAUGCAACUCCAUAUGUACCAGUUAGUUCUACAUCAAAGAAGAGUUCAACUAUGGAGGUGACACCUAGAGUUGAAGAAGUUGUUUCUUCUGAUGUCCCACAAAAUGAAGAGACAACUGAUGAUGUAGAUAAUGAUGAUUUUAUAGCAACAAUGAGGCCAAGAAGAGAGAUAAAGAAACCCGGAUGGCUUACUAAAGAUAUGGUGGUAGCCUAUGCACUUCCAGUUAUUGAUGAUGACAUCCCCAACACUUUCGGUGAAGCAUUACGCAGCAGUAAAAGUGAUCAAUGGAAGCUAGUUGUUGUGCAAAUUUUAAUGUACUCGCAAGCACACGAAUCUAUUGUAGAAUAGACUAAUGGUGACGAGUGUCGAUCCCACGAGGAGGUGGAUUUUAAUUAUAUGUAGAAUUAAUUUUGUAAAUGGGUGGUUGGAAUUGUGGUGGAAGUGAUUUAAAUUAUCCUAAAAUUGGAAUUGAAAUGGCGAUAAUAAAUUCUAAAAUUGGAUUUGCAAUGGCGAGAAUAAAUUGAAGAGAAAUCUAUUGAAAUGACGUACUUGGGUAUCUGGAUCCGUAUCAACAUGCAUCAUGGGCUAAAUAAUCCUUAUUAAUGCCAAUUAAAUCAUGAGGGGGGAAUCCACACCUCACGAACUACGCUCUAAUCAAUAUGGUGCUAAGGGCUUAUCGUGCCAAAUAAUAAUAACCUUGUACUAGAGAGCAGGUGUAAAAAAUGCGGUAUCUAGACAAGAUUAUUAUUAUUUGUCGACGAAAAGUCAAAUCAUCCACAAAAAUUAGAGGGGAAAAGAAAAUAAAUUUACCAAAUAAAGCCCAUGACACAUGUUGAAACUUCACUUUCAACCCAAGCUUGAAAGAAAAUUAGCCACUCAUAAUUGAACUAGGGGCAAAAUGAGAAUUUAUUAAAAUACGUAGAAAAUACAAGAUGGAGAAGGAAUUACAGAGAAUGGAUCCCAAAAAUGGAUUCAGAGCUAUCAAAUUAGGGGGGAGAGGCCCCCUUUUUAUAGAUACAUGGAGUAAAUCAUGGCCAUCGGAUUAAAAACAGUUUGGACGCUCAGGAUUGCGCCACGUCAUCAGUCAACAGUACGCGGUUUGACCACGCAGAUGAACAGUAACACGGUUUGACCCGGGUUGAACAGUAACGCGGUUUGGUUGAAAAUAAUCCUGUGUGAUGCAUGUAUCGUACGCGAGAUUUUUCGUCUACUGAUAUGCUGCCACGUCACCAUCAACAGUACAUAAGAAUUUUAGCCCAACAGGAUCGUGACACCUCAUCAGUAAAUGCCACGUCAUCGGUCAAUGCCACAUCAUCGUCCAUCUAUGUGAACAGUGCCGUGAACAGUAAUGUAUACAGUACCGUACACGUGAAUAGUACCGUACAUGUGAAUAGUAUCAUUUUUCCUUUUAUGCUCCUCCUAAGGUUUUUGACCGUCCUGAGUUCAAAAGUGAUGUCCGUUUUGCCAUCUGAUCUCUCGUUUAUUGUGAAAUGACUAUGAUGCCCCUAAAAUACAUAAAAUACUUAAUUAAAAUAAAACACACGGAAUUAAAUCAAAAGAAUGUUAAAUUCAUAAAAGUAAAGGUCUUAGUAAAACUUGUAGUGUAAAAUGACGAUUUUCUCCUUUAUAAAUAUACAUUUUCUAACACUCAACACUAGCCAUGGAGGAAGAGAUGAAAUCUCUCCAUCAAAACCAGACUUGGGAACUUGUAAAGUUACCAAAGGGGAAAAGGGCUAUUCGCAAUAAAUGAGUCUACACCAAAAAACAAGGAUCUCCGAAUCAAACAACUCUUCGAUACAAGGCAAGACUCGUGGCAAAAGGUUUUGCUCAAAAGGAAGGUAUUGACUACAAUGAAAUUUUCUCUCCAGUUGUAAAACAUACUUCCAUUCGUAUCCUACUUGCCUUAGUUGCAGAAUAUGAGUUAGAGUUGGCGCAAUUGGAUGUUAAGACGGCGUUCUUACAUGGAGAUUUGGAGGAGGAAAUCUAUAUGAUUCAGCCUUGUGGUUUCAAAGUUGCUGGAAAGGAGAAUCAUGUGUGUAGGUUGAUUAAAUCUUUGUACGGACUGAAGCAAUCGCCAAGGCAGUGGUACAAAAGAUUUGAUCAAUUUAUACAAGGGCAGAAAUUCACCAUAAGUGAACACGAUCAUUGUGUUUACUUUAGAAGACUACUAGAUGGAGCCUUCAUCUAUGUAUUACUCUAUGUCGACGAUAUACUUAUAGCUUCGAAGAAUAGAGAUGAGAUCGAAAGAUUAAAGAAGCAGCUGGCUUCUUCUGAGUUCGAGAUGAAAGACUUGGGUGAUGCACAGAGAAUACUUGGGAUGGAGAUUCGUAGAGACAAGAAGAAUGGGAGCAUAUGGUUGACUCAAAAAUCUUAUUUGAAGAAAGUGCUAGAAAGAUUUGGUAUGGAUGACAAAACUAAAUCGGUAUGUACACCUCUAGCUCCUCAUUUCAAAUUAAGCUCUUCUUCAUGUCUUAGAUCUCAAGAGGAGCGCGAUUACAUGGCUCGUGUUCCAUAUGCUAGUGCUGUGGGUAGUCUUAUGUAUGCUAUGGUAUGCACAAGGUCCGAUAUAUCUCAAGCAGUGAGCAUGGUUAGUAGAUACAUGCACAAUCCGGGUAAAAAUCAAUGGCUUGCGGUAAAGUGGAUUCUCCGAUAUCUGUAUGGGACAGUUGACGUUGGGUUAUUGUUCAAGAAGGAUUGUGGCCAACAAUGUGUUGGGUAUUGUGAUUCUGAUUUCGCUGGAGACCUUAACAAGCGAAGAUCAACAACGGGCUACGUAUUCACAUUGGGUGGAGGUCCGGUUAGCUGGAGGUCGAUUCUACAAUCGAAAAUUGCUCUGUCCACUACGGAAGCAGAGUAUAUGGCAGCAACUGAAGCUGUAAAAGAAGCUAUCUGGUUGAAAGGCUUGUUAGGUGAUUUGGGAGUAAUCCAGGAGAACAUUGCGGUCUUCUGUGAUAAUCAAAGUGCGAUAUUCCUUGCGAAGAAUCAAACAUAUCACCUUCAGACGAAGCACAUAGAUGUGAAAUAUCAUUAUGUGAGAGAGGUUAUCGAGAGCGGUGUUGUGUUGUUGAGAAAGAUCAAUACCAAAGAUAAUCCAUCAGAUAUGUUGACGAAGGUAGUUUCUGGAGUUAAGUUUCAACAUUGCUUGAAACUAAUUCAAAUCCUUCGAUUGUGUUAAGUUAUGUCCUUCGGGAAUUUUUGAAUUACGGUUGGCUUGAUCCCAAAUUUUGGGUACGUAGGCAAUCAUAGAGAUGCAGCCACUUUGGGGAUGAUGGCUCGUUAGUAGUCGGCUCAGAUUUGAAAAAUUUUCGCCGAGGUGGAGAUUUGUUGAAGUCAACAAAUUGUUGGUGCAACCAACAAUUGUAGAGAAGCAAAAUCAAAUUGAUUUUGUAAGCCGAAAAGAAAGAAUGGACAAAGGGGAUAGAUUUGAAAAAUAAUAAUAAUUAAAAAUUAUAUUUUUAAUUAUUUUAUUAUUUGCAUAGUAAUUCAUUUCUUCUAUAAAUAGUUAAGGAUUUCAUUCAUUUGAAAGCAUCCCAAAAUUGUUAAGCUUAUAAGUUUCUAAGCUUUUGAGAAAAGUGAGAGAAGGGUGUCUGGGGAAUUUAUCUUUCCUGCAGAGUGUGAGAGUACUUGAUAUAUUUGGGUUUCUGGGAAGUGAGAUUCGUUACUCAAAUAUUUGUACUCUAUUAAUUGUUAAAUAAACAAUUAUUCUUUUUUGCCUCCGUGGAUGUAGGUUUAAUUACCGAACCACGUUAAAUUCUUGUGUCCUUUAUUUUUCAGUAAUUAUUUGGUGCGCUUGAUUCCGCAUUCCGCGCACAACAGUACAAGUCUUGCAACUCUUCCAGGCAAGAUUUUUAUGAAAUCUGUUAAAAAACUUGUUCUUUCUGGUUGCUCGAAAUUGAAGAAAUUUCCCAAAAUUGUGGGAAAUAUGGAGUGUUUGUCGAAGCUUUUGUUGGAUGGAACAGCUAUUGGAGAACUGCCACUAUCUAUUGAACUUCUAUCUAAACUUGUCUCAUUGGAUCUAAAUAAUUGCAAGAAUUUCAAGAAUCUUCCGGUUACCAUAAGCAGUUUAAAAUGUCUAAGAAGUCUGGUGCUCUCUGGUUGCUCGAAACUGAAGAAGUUUCCAGAGAUUGUGGAAAGUAUGGAAGAUCUGUCGGAGCUCUUUUUAGAUGGAACUUCUAUUACAGAAGUGCCAUCAUCUAUAGAACUUUUGACUGGACUUAACGUGUUGAAUUUGAAUGACUGCAAAAACCUGGUGAGAAUUCCCAACAGUAUAAAUGGUUUGAAAUCACUCCAAACUCUAAAUCUAUCAGGCUGCUUCAAACUUGAAAAUGUGCCUGAGACGCUUGGGCAAGUAGAAAGUUUGGAAGAACUUCAUAUAAGUGGUACAGCUAUAAGGCAGCCUCCAUCCAGGAUUUUUCAUAUGAAGAAUCUUAAAGCACUAUAUUUUCGUGGGUGCAAAGGAUCACCAUCAUCUACAUCAUGGUCACGACACAUUCCCUUCAAUUUGAUAAAGAGGAGUUUGGAUCCGGUGGCUUUCAAUUUUCCGCCUUCUCUGUCGGGUUUGUAUUCCUUAACGAAAUUGGAUCUCAGUGACUGUGAUCUUGGGGAAGGAUUUAUCCCAAAUGAUAUUGGCAACUUACGCUCGUUAAAAGUUCUAUGUUUGAGUAACAACAGUUUUGUUUCGCUGCCAGCAAGCAUUAGCCAUCUUUCUAAGCUUGAAUGCCUAAAUUUGAAUGGUUGCAAGAAGCUUCAAUCUCUGCCUCCACUUCCAGCCAGAAUGAGAAUCGCAGUGUAAAUGGUUGUACUUCAUUGGAGACAUUGUCAGAUCCAUUAGAAUUAAACAAGCUAAAGGACUUAGAAAUUCAAUGUAUAGACUGCGUGAAACUGCUGGGCAACAAUGAUUUGGCGCUUUCACUGCUGAAGAGCACAUGGAACAGUAUGAGGUCAGUCUCUCACUAUCUCUCACCUGUUGCUAACAUUAUGCCUAAAUUAAAAAUUAUGCAAUGGUAUGGCUUUUUAUAUUAUUUAUUUAUUUUUUGUGGGGUUGCAGGAUAUGUCAGAUUAUCACAAAUAUUGUAGCAUUGUUGUUCCUGGAAGUAAAAUCCCAGAGUGGUUCGAGCAUCGUAAUAAUGAGGGUUCUUCAAUAAGAAUAAGCAGGUCUUCAAAGACGUAUAAGAACAAUAAGCUUGUGGGAUAUGCUAUGUGCUGUGUUUUUCAAGUCCAUAAGCAUUCACCUCCUUAUCUAGAGUGGUUUAGUCAUCUUCAUAAGCUGGACUGCAAAAUCAAAUGUGAUGGUGGUGAUACUUGGAUUUCUACUCCUAUGUUCAGAAAGCAAUUCGGUCAGGCUGUGUCAGAACAUUUUUGGCUACACUAUGAGCCUAAUGUACACUUGUUUGGAAUGAAUAAUGGGGUGUUGUCAUUUGAAUCUUCGUCGGGAUUGGAGGUGAAGAGGUGUGGUUUCCAUCCAGUAUAUGAGAUUCAAGUGGAGAAGUUCAACAAAACAACUCCUGUUUGGAAUUUGAACGACUUUAAUCACGAUUCUUCAGGAUCAAAAACACUGUUUGAGAGAAGCCUCAUUGAUAAAUAUGACAGGGCAGAGACCAGUGAAAGCGGCAGCCGGGAUGAUGAAAAAUUCAGUCAAAUAAUUAGCUUCAGCCUUAAUGAUGAAGAACACAUCCAAAGCUUCAUCAUUGAGUGUAGGGAUGGCAACUUAACCAAAACCCGGAUAAACCCGGAUGAUCCGGACUGGGUUUAAUGCUAAAAUAAUGCAGAUCCGAAAGUUGUAUUUUGAACCCGUGCAUAUCUGAUUCCGGUUUCACGUUUACCUGAACCCGGGAAUCCAGAACUUGCAUCUGGAUAGUUUUUAUUUUAAAAUUCACUAAAUAAUUAGUUUUUGGUUAUUAAUUAAUUUAAUUUUAAGUAUAAAAGAAAAAAAAUUGGAAAAAGAAACCCCAAAGGCCUAAACAUAUUGCAGCCGCCAUUUAUCCUCUCCCCUUUUCUUCUUAAUGAUAUUUUUGGGUUGGAUCAAUUUAAAAAUGCGUCCAUUAUUGGGAUUUGAAAGUUAGUGAAGUUUAACAAACUAUUAGUUUUGGUCUAUUUAACACAUAUUAGCCAGUACUUCACUUUACCAAUUUAAUAUGCCUCCAUUAUAACGGUAAAAAAAAAUUUAUUAUUAUUAUGCUCUUGACAACAGUAACACAAAUUUAAUAUUAUAUUUUUAAAAUAAAAUAUAAAUAUAGUAUUAAUAUAAAUAAACUAAAUAUGCUUUUGGAAUAGAAGCUAGUGGAAUGGCUGUUGUGAUUAGGGGUGGGCAUUUGGUUCGGUUCAGUAUAAACCGAACCGAACUGAACCAUAUUAUGACAAUUUGGUUCGGAGUAAAAAACCAAAUUCUGAACCAUUUGGUUUUUUAUUUGGUUCAGUUCAAAACCGAACCAAAUUACCAAACCAAAUGGUUUAAGAAAAAAUUAAAAUUAAAAUUAAAAAAUAGUUCAUAAUUUAUCUUUUUUAUUUUUGUUUGUUAAUUAAUACAUAAUAUUAUAUAUAUCAUAGCAUACACUUAUAUUUUAUUGUUGAACUUUGUUAUUUUAAUUUAUUAUUAUUAGAUUUAAUUAUAUUAGUUAUUAUUUAUGAAUUUCUAGAUUAUUUUUAGAAUUUAUUAUGUUAAUUUACUAUUGUUAAAUUUUAUUAUGUUGUUUAUUGUUUGCUAAUAUAUAGACUCAAGAUUAUUGUUGUAUUAAUAGUGUAUUAUUAUAUUAUAUUUUUUUAUUAAAUAAUAAAUAUAUAGGAUAAAAUCAAAUGGAACCGAACCGAACCGAACUAAAUUAAUUUAGUUCGGUUCGGUUCGAUUCUAUAAUUUAGUUCGCAUUUAAUUCAUAAAUUCAUAAACCAUUUAAUUUCAAUUUGGUUCGGUUCAGCCGAACCAAGCUGAAUAGUGCCCACCCCUAGUUGUGAUGACGAGAAACCACAACCUCAAAGAGUCAAAGACGAACUCAAAUAAUGGGGAAAGGCAAUUUAUUAUUCUCUGAAUUUAUCAGUAAGCAGGCAUCUCAAAUAAUGGGGUAGUGACGUGGCAUUCUGUCUAGAUGGGUGUCCAAGUUUGUUCACCGUGGUUAGCAGCGUCUAAAUAUAAACGCGGGCUGAUUUAUUGGCAGUCUUUAAUGUGUCCGUUUGAAGAGUUAAAAAGUGUUACUGAGCUUACUCUCUUCCUUGUCAUUUCCUCUGUGAUUUUAACAUAAAAUCCUCCAUUAAUAAUAUCUCUUCAAGCCAUUAUCGGCCAUGGAUGUAGGUGUAGGAUUUGAAUAAUAUACCUAUAAUUAAAUGUACUUCUGUGAUUUUCAGAGAAUUUUUAGGGGUUUAAAUAGUUGAAACUAGGGAUUGAGGCUAUAAAGCUUGGGGGGCAAAUGUUGAGGAUUUUAAGAAGAAUAAAAAAUGUGAAUAUGAUCGAUCUCAGCUUGAUUUAGCUUCAGAACAAACAAAAAUAGAGAAAGGAAUGAUUAUAUGGAAUUUUGCAGGCCAGGUUCAAGAGAGAAAUUGAGGAGGAAUUAUGGUAUAAUUCUCAUGCCUAGGACAUGUUCGAUAAUAUGACCAAGAAGGAAAAUGCAUCCCACCUGGUGUGUUGCAUCAACUCUAUGGUUUCCCAAGCAAAAGCAAUCAAUCAAUAUGGUCAAUUUGUGAAGGUCUGGGUGCAGACAACGGAGGCCAAAAAGCAGAAUGAUUUCAACUCUGUGGAAAAGAGUGCAGUUGAGACAGUAAAUAGGUUAGCAAAAGCAAAAAUUGCAGCGAGGGAUGCCGCACAAUCGCGAAACUAUGAUAUUGAUAUACCCCCUUGCUCAUGUGCUUUACAAACUUCAUAAUUUCCUUUAUAACAUGCAAUACUGUUUUACUUGUAUGUGCAUUCCUUUCAGUGUUGUUCGAGAGAAUGAUUCAGAUUCAUGCAACAAGAAUGUGGAUGAGGGCGGCUAGCAAUGAAUAGCAGAACUGAUCUAGGUACGAAACUCUGACUCAGAUUUUCUACCCCUUCUUCACCAGUACUACAACAAUGGAAGAGACUGAAAAAGAGCAGCAGCUAUCUUCAACAGCAACAUCAGCUUGUGUCUGUCAAGGAGGAACAGGCAACCGUGGCUUAUACAGUCCAAACAAACCAAUGCUUGGAGUUUGGGAGCUCAAAGAUAGCAAAUGGCAAAUUGGUCUGUGUCACCUUGAGGUUCGUUUUGAAUUAAUUUAUUUUACCUUUUUUUGGUAGAAAAAUAUGAUCAUUGGAAACACCACCGUAGACCACAGAUCCUUUAGUAUUAUCUUUUGCGAACACUUUUGCUAGACUUGCUGUAGCUACCAAAAGAGGAUAAAUUAAUAACUAGAACGCAUAAAAUCCUCUUAUCGAUUUAUUUGAAACAAACUUAAUUGAAUUCAAGUAAAACUUCAUCUUGCAGUGGAACAAUGCACUCAAAGCUGUAAGUUAUUUUCUUACAUUUUAGUAUUUACUUACUCUUGUAUUUCAGUGAUGUUUGACUUUUCAUAUUUUACUUCACAUAAUUCGAUUUACGAGGAAAUUUUAAUCUCUUGUUGCCAAGGCUCGAACUUGUUGCAAAUUUUCUGGUAGUGUGGGUUUUCCAUUUUCGGCUCCACAUUGAAUUUUGUUUGCCUUCAUAACUCUUUUUUUUUUUUUUUUUGUCGAUUACCAUUAUAUAAGCGACAAUUAUCUAUUGCAAAAUCAAUUUUCUGGUACUUGUUGCAACUUUGUUGUGGAAUCAAUUGCUUGAAUCAUGAGCAUCCAGUUAUUGCUUGAAUCAUGAGCAUCCAGGGAGUUUCUUCUUAUGUUCCAUCUCCUCUCUGUAAUUGGAAAUACAAUGUGUUCUUGAGCUUCAGAGGCAAGGACACCUGCAAAAAUUUCGCAGACCAUUUAUAUGCUGCUUUUGGAUAAAAAAGGAAUCAUUGUAUUCAGCAAUGACAGAAUGUGACAGAGGAAAAUCCAUUUCACCAGAACUAUUUGAAGCAAUUGAAAAAUCAAGAAUUUCAGUUAUAUUUUCUCAAGAAACUAUGCUUUUUUGACUUGGUGCUUGGAUGAACUUGUUAAGAUUGUUGAAUGGAAGAACACAAGUGAUCAUCAACAAAUGAUGUUUCCAAUUUUCUACCAAGUACUGUGAUAAGGAAACAAACAGGAAGCUUUCAAGAAGCUUUUUCUAAAAAUGAAGAAGCUUUCAAGAGUGGAGAGACGCUUUCAAGAGGUGGCUAAUAUCUCUGGCUGGGAGUUGAAGGACAGGUAACCAUUCUUAUCCUCAAAAAUUGAUUUUCUAACACUAAGGUUUUUCACCUAGUGAACAGUGAGCAGGUAUUUUAAGAUUCCUUCACUAUCAAUUUGUAUUGUUUUGAUCCAAUAUAUCUAAAAGAGUCACUGAGGCAGUUAAUUUCAUAUUUUCAGCGACUCAGUAAUUUAUGUAUACAUGUCUUUAACAGAAUUUUACGCAAACACAGUGCAAACCCAGUGUUUUAUCAAUUAGUUAUUCCAACAACUAACUUUAUUGAUUUCCUCAAUAAAAUCAGCUUUUUUGCGAUAUAGUUUUCAGUAAAUGCUUAUUGAUAAUUUUAAGUAAUGUGACAAAUUGAGAAAAGCACGUAUUUGUUGUGCCAUUUUGUUUCUUAUAGCCUUUGAGCAAGUUGAAAAUCAUGAGUCUCAAGCAUUCUGAGAACCUCAUAAGGACACCAGACUUCACAGGGGUACCAAAUUUGGAGGAUCUGAUUCUCGAAGAAUGUACAAGGUUGCGUGAGAUACACUCAUCUUUGCUGCUUCAAAGAAGCUGAUUUUGUUAAAUUUGAAAGGUUGUGCAAAUCUUACAACUCUUCUAGGCAAGAUUUUUAUGAAAUCUCUUAAGACACUUGUUCUUCCUGGUUGCUUGAAAUUGAAGAAAUUUCCAGACAUUGUGGGAAGUUCUUUUGGAUGGAACUAGUAUUAAAGAACUGCCAUUAUCAAUUGAACUUCUAUUUGGACUUGUUCAUUGACUUUGAAUGGCUGCAAAACUUCCAAGUACCAUAAGUGCUCUAAAGCAUCUAUAAUCUUCUGGCCUUUGGAAAUUCAGAUAGAGAUAACUUCAAGCAGGGAGCAGCUGUUGAAGCUUCAUUUGGAAGGAACUGUAAGUUGCCAGCAUCUAUUGAACGUCUUUCUGGCCUUGUCUUGUUGAAUUUGAAAGAUUGGAAAAAUCUAGAGAGUCUUCCAAGUACCAUAAAUGGUUUGAGAUCUCUUAGAACGUUGCAUCUUUUUGACUGCUCCACACUUGAAAAUGUGCCAGAGAGCUUGGGGAAAGUUGAAAGCUUGGAAGUUAGGUUGUCUUGUUAGAGUCGGGCCAAAAGGCAGAAAGAUUUCGACUGUGGAACAGAAUGCAGUUAAAACAGUAACAAAGUCAGCAAAAGCAAAAUUUGCUAAGGUACUUUACAAAAUUCAUAAUUUCCUUUAUAACAAGAAAUACCGUAUUACUUCUAUGUGCAUUCCUUUCAAUGUUGUUCUACUGUAAUAUGGAAGAUGAAUGUAAAUAAGGGCAGCAAGCUAUCUACGACAGCAGCAUCAGCUUGCUCACUUGGCCGCCAUAGGCUGAUUCAAACGGCAAAAGCCAUGCCGAAAAGUCAAAUCAAAUAACAGCAAAUUCACAUCCUAGGUGGCCUUUUCUUCCUGCUCAGUCACUCAUCAGUUUUGAGAGCAGGUUCGUUCUAUAAUAAUCUAAUAUGCACAUAUCAUGAUCUUUAAUUCUUUAUUCUAUCAUGCUUUUAUGAUUUAUUUACUUCUGCCACAGUGCCAUACACACUCACAGAUUCAGGAAUCAGUAUAACAAGGUUUCUCUAUUUUGCAUGACUACAAUACAUUUAAGUAGAAAUUAAUUUCUGAAUAUGCUCUUAUCCUUUAUUAAUCAUGUAAAAAGUUCAGACGUCAGGCUAUAUGAUUAUUUACAGUUGCCUUGCGGAUGGAUUCGUAAUCUUAGUAAGUAAUAUUAUCAAAAAAAAUUUAGAUUUGCUGAUCUAUAUUCAUCAAUUGCAUACAACUGUAGCAUUUACUUGAUUUUAGAGCCUGGCGUAGAUGAAUAAUGCAUUGACAAAUACAGAAAUGAUCAAAAUACAAGCCUCACAAGUUGCUAUGUCGUUGAAUGAUGAUUCAAAUUCGUUAUGUUUAUUAGUUUUUGUUUGGGCGGGACAUUCAGAUGCUCAAGCGGCUGACGUGGACUACAUUAACAAGUUUUAUCUGAGUUUGACUCUCCUUGACCAAUUCUUUGUAUAAAAAAUCUGAAAAAUAACUUACAACUGGUGAGGCUUGUAACCAAAAGAUGCCUAAAACCAAUUAUUUAAGGGAAAUGGACGGCCUUCUUCCCAAGAUUUAAGCAACUUCAAAGAAAAAUUUCAAGCCUUCAACCUUUACUUUCCAAUCUUUAUUUAUUUUAAUGAGAAAAUACUAUAAUUUUUUUAAAAAAAUGAAAGAUUGUAGUGGAAUUAUUCCAAAAAAUAUUUUACUCAUUUUUCCCUAAAAAAUGCAAUUACAUUUGAAGAUGCCCUUAAUAAAAUACAUAAAGAAAUCAUUGCUUUUGGUGUGUAGAUUAUUAAAGCUAGCUGUUGUCAACAUCAGACAGACCAUGUCUUUCUCCACUAAACACCAAAAUCAUUCUUCAUCAUUACUGUCGGCACACAUUUUAGACUAAACUUGUUUGUUGUUUGACAAAUUAAUUGUAAUGCAUAAAAAUCCUUGCAUUGAUUUCUUUGAAACAAACUUAAUUGGAAAUUCAGGUAAAAUUUUGUCAUCUUUCAGUGCUUCCAAUAAUUUCAAUUAAGUGGCUUCCUGCAAUGCAAUCAGAAACUAAAAUUCUUUAUCUUAUACGAAUUGCUCUUUUAUUUUCAGAAUUAAUUCGCGUAUCUUGAUAUUUAAUUAAAUAUUGAUAUCAACCGUUGGAUUCCAUUCCAUUUUAGUUGAAUACAAUGGUUUCAACAUGGCUAAUGGGUAGAGUGGAGAAGACGCGUAAUCAAUUGAAACACCAGAUAAUUUUCGUUCAGAUUCCUUGAAGCUCCCACGAAGUUUGAUGCGACCUUCAUCGUGUGAGUAAUCAGUCACUUUUGGACCAAGACUUGCGAAAGGAGGAUCCAUUUUCCCAGAACUUUUUAUAGCAAUUGAAGAAGAAUUUCGAUUAUUUUUCUCUAAAAGAACUGCUCUUUUUCUACUUGGUGUUUGGAUGAACUUGUUAGGAUUGUUAAAUGCAGAAACAGAAAGGAUCAAAUUUUUUCAAUUUUCUAUGAUGUGAAACCAACUGUUGUAAGAAAACAGACAACAAUUUUUCCAAUUUUCUAAAUGAUAUAUGGGUGUAUCUGGCAUACUAUUUUAAACUCAAGCAAAAUCAAUUCACUAGGUCAGCGUCCCUUGCAUCAAACAUAAACAAACUGCAGUUAUGUUUUGGGAACUGCAUCACAGGAAACUUUGACCUCACAUGCCUGCCAUUAUUUUCUUCAAACCCAUUCUGUGAAAUUUGCUUGGAAUUCCUAGCCAGUUACUGCCAACAGCAGCGAUGGAGUCAACAUAACACUAGCAGCACAGGGCAAGGAUUACUAGCAGUAAGUGGAAGCCGACGUACAGAGGCUCAAAGGUUUAACUUCCUUUAACUAUUAUCAGCUCACAACAAGCUGCCAUUUGCCAAUAAUAUGCAAUCAGAAAGCUUAAGCUGAUGGGCAAAGACUUAAUACUAAUAUUAAAGAUAAAUCUACACAAUCCGACGCAAGUGAUUGCGACUGAAUUCCUCAGGGUUGCAUCUUCAUAGUCAAUGAGUUAAUGAUUACAAAUUAUUAGAACAUUAGCGGAUGAAGACAUGAUUACACUCGAACAAGGCCGAGUGGCGAAGACGUGUAAUACAAUUAAAGAGAGUUAUCAUUAAGAGGAAGUCAAUGAGUUAUGUGGGGUAAAGACUAAACGGUGACACUUUUGACCAUGACUUGCUUUCGGAAUGUACAACACAACUGAGGAGCUGGAAACUGUGUACUCGCUUCUGCUUUCCCUUGAAAGAUAGAUCCACAAAGAAAAUUCUAUGAUACCGAAAUUAAUUACGGUACUAAAAUAUAAUGAACAUAAAUUUUAUAAAUUAUAUAUAAGAUUAAUAAAUAAAAAAUAAAAUAAGUAAAUUAAUGUAAAAGCAGUAAAUUAGUAUUUUAAAAUAGAAAAUAAAAUAAAUACUUGUAAAGUAGCCUAAAACUUACACAUCAACAUUAAACUUUAAUUUAAUUAAGCAAAAACAUCACUAAUUAAGCAAAGAAAAAAUAACUCAUUAAUUGAAAACAAAAAAAAAUUGUAUUGAAAAUAAUAAGAAUAAGUUUUAUUGAAUUGGUUUAACCAUAAAUUCUAUAUUCAUCAUAGGAAAUCCAUAACUUUUUAUUUUUCAUUUUCUAUCAUAGUAUUUAUUUACUAUAUAGGUUAAUUAAGCAAAAUUAUUUUUCUUGAUGUGGGUCAAGCCAAAAAGAAAACAAAAAGAUAUUUUUAUAUUUUUAGAAAUAUAUGAUAUAUCAAUAAAAUUGGAUCUAAUUUCCAUUUUUAUACAUUUUCAAACUUUAUUUCUUGUACUUAAAGAUCAUUGGAGAUUAUUACCGAAGAUGUUUAGAAAGAUGUAAAAUCAUCUUAUCUUGAAAAACAUGAAAAAAGAUUUUUAUUCUUAAUAAAAUUUCACAUAUAAUCACAUGUAUUACAUAAAUUCAAAAUUAUCGUUUAGAAACAAAAUCAGUAAAUAUAUAAGGUAGUCACUAUUAUAAUGAGCUUUUUAUUUAUAUUUGUAGUUUUUGUUCAAUAAUUCUUUUAUUAAUUUACUUUUGACUUGGUAUAUCCAUAUUUCUAAGAGAAAUGGACAGCCCUAAACCUUUCUUAACAAGCUUUAAGCACCUUCAAAUAAAAUGUCAAGCCUUUAACCUUUAGUUUCCAAUCUUUACUUAUUUUAAUGAGAAAUUGUACAAUUAAAAAAAAAUGAAAGAUUGUAGUGGAAUUAUUCCAAAAGAAUAUUUUAUUCUUUUUCCCCCCAAAAAAACUGCAAUUACAUAGAAGAUGCCCUUAAUAAAAUAAAUAAAGAAAUCCCUUCUUUCGGUGCGUAGAUUAUUGAAGCCAGCUUUUGUCAACAUCAAAUAGUAUCAACAUCGAAUUGACCAUGUCUUUUCUCCGCUAAAAACCAAAAUCAUUCUUCAUUAUUACUUUCGGCACACACUUUAGACUAAACUUCUUGUUUGAGAAAUUAAUUAGAACACAUGAAAAUCUUCUCAUUAAUUUCUCUGAGACAAACUUAGUUGGAAAUUCAGGUAAAAAUUUAUCAUCUUUCAGUGCUUCCUAUAAGUUCAAUUAAGUGGCUUCCUGCAUUACAAUCAAAAGCUGUAAGUUUUUUUUCUUAUACAUAUUUCUCUUUUAUUUUCAAAACUAAUUUGUAUAUCUUGAUGUUUAAUUAAUUGUUAAUAUCAACUGUUGGAUUCCAUUCCAUUUUAAUGGAGUGCAAUGGUUUCAACAUGGGUAACGGGCAAAGUGGCGAAGCCGCUUAAUCAAUCAUUUACAGUUUUACAACUGUUGAAAAAUAAAAUUUACCAAACACAUACGACUAUUUUUAAAAUUUACAGAACUUUUAAAAGUAAAUUUGUCAAACAUUUAAUUAAUCACCUUUACAAAUGAUUAUUUAUACAACACAAUUUAUGACAAUUAUCGUAAAACUACAACAUUAUUAAAUUGAUCCAACAUCUCCUAAAGUCUCGGAUGAAAUUUUACUAAUAAAAGGUUUCUAAUAAAAGAUUUACCAUUCCUAUAGAUUGCGGCAAUUUAACUAUUUUUAUCAAUUAUUGAUCUCAACCGUUGGAUUCCAUUCAAUUUUAAUGAAAGCCAACGUGGCUAAUGGGCAGAGUGGCUUGGACGCGUCAUCAAUUGAAAAGUCAGAUAAUCUUCGCUCAGUUUCCUCGAAGCCUCCAGGAAGUUUGAUGGUAACUCCAUCAUGUGAGUAAACAGUGACAAAUGUCUAUUAAUUAUUAAGAAAGUCACUUUUUGACGAAGACUUGCUUUUGGAAAUACAUACAGAUUUGCUGAUUGCUUUAUUUUUUUUUCCAAAAGAAUAUAUUUGCAUGAUUAAAUUCUUUGAAUCAAAUACUGCAUUGGAGUUCAUUUAAGUGGCUUCCUGCAAUACACCCAAAAGCUGUAAGUUCUAUCUCAUACAUUUCUCUCUUUUACUUUCAUAAUUAAUUUGCAUAUCUUGAUGUUUAAAAACAAAUAAAUAAUGAUAAAAUUGAAAGAAUUUUUUUAAUGUUAAUUUUGUACAAGCUGUAAAUUGAAAGAAAUCUUUUAAUGUUAAUUUGGCACAAUCUCUUUGCCUUCUCUAAGAGGCUUUAAUCAAGAUUUUCUCAAGUAGAGAUCGGUGUACGCACUCUCCAAUCGGCACUUGAAAAAAUUUUGGGAUUUAAUAUUAUAAUUCUAUUUAUUACAAAUGUUUCUAAUAGAUAUUGUUACAUUUAUUUAAUAUCAUAUUUAUAUUAAUUAUAAAACAUUGAAAUUAAUUUUUUUGAGUUAUUAGAGCUAAAUGGUAUCAUAGUCAAAAGAGGAUUUUAGUGUUUCUUAUUGAAAAUAUGCCAUCUAAGUGUCAUUUUACCUAAAUUUAAAUAAGAUUUUUAAAUCAAAUAAUAAAAUUAAAUAUAAAUAAAUCCAUAUAAUAUGAAUUUAAUAUAAAUAAUUGCGUACUUUUUUACUUUUAUGAUAUAAAAUCAUUUUUAUUAUUUUACUUUUAUUAUGUAAAAAUAAUUUUAAUCAAUUAUUUUAUUACCUAACACAUUUAUAAUUUACUUUUUUAGAGAGAUUUAUAAUUUACUUAAAUAGAAAUAGUACUACUUCAUUAAUGAAUUUUUUAUUUUAAUAAUGAAUUUAACCAAUAAAUUUAAUAAAAUAAUAUUAUAAAAAAAUUUAGAUAAACAAGAUCAUGCAUAUACCGCACUAAAUAUGGCACUGUUUUAAAGGUUAAUGUAAUAUUGCUACGCAAUAAAGCUCAAGCAAUAUAAUUAAGUAUUAUUUAUUAAUAAAUUUUUAAAUUUUAUUUGUCAAAUAAUAAAUUUUGAUAAUAAUAUUAGUAUAAAAUAUUUCAAUAAACACUAUUGUACAUACUACACUAAAACAUAGUACUGCGAUAUAAUGUAGUACACCACACACUCCCUACGCUAGUGUAUACGACUUUGACACUUUGAGAUAAUCCAUAACUCUAGAUGAAUUUUGUUGUUUACAUAGUAUUGUUCCUAGGCAAUCAUUUCUUGCUUUUUUUUCAAAAUUUUCAGAACAAAUUAAUAUUGUGAUGGCUUCAUCGAGCAUACAAAAUGUGUCUCAUUGGCCAUAUGAUGCCUUCUUAAGCUUUAGAGGAGCAGACACCCGUAAAAGCUUCAUAAGUCAUCUCUAUGCUGCUUUGAAUGGAAAAGGAAUUUAUGUAUUCAAGGAUGACAAAGAACUUGAGAGAGGAGCAUCCAUUUCACCUGGACUUCUUAAGGCAAUUGAAGAUUCUAGAAUUUCAAUUAUUGUUUUCUCUCAAAACUAUGCUUCCUCCACUUGGUGCUUGGAUGAACUUGUUAAGAUUGUUCAAUGCAAGAACAAAAACGAUCAUCAACAAAUGGUUUUUCCAGUUUUCUAUGAUGUUGAACCCACUGUGGUAAGGAAACAAACGGGAAGUUUUCGAGAAGCUUUUUCUAAACAUGAAGAAGCUUUUAGGGAGAAUCUAGAAAAAGUGAAAAAUUGGAGAGACGCUUUGAAAGAGGUGGCUAAUAUUUCUGGCUGGGAAUUGAAAGAGUACAGGUACCCAUUCUUAUUAUUAUGUAUAUCAUUUUAAAUAGCUUUAAUCAGCAUCCUGUUGUCAGUUAAACAACUUUCAUUCAAUAUGUGUAUGAUAUGAUGUGCACUAAUUGAAACAAUAUCUCCACAUACGAAUAUUUGCAAACAAAAGUGGUACAAAUGGAUGCAGAUAUUUACAUGAACGCACCUAAAGAUUACCCAUAUGUAACAACAUCUUACAUUACUUCAAUUUUUUCCAACGAAUAUUGCAUAUUUUGGGUUUUUUCUAUUACUAAAUUUAUUAAAUACCGCAUUCAGGCUAACUGUAAUUUAACCAUACUGAUCUUUGUUUGUUCUUUAACUGCAGGAGUGAGUCGGAAUUUAUUUGGGAUAUUGUCAAGGCGAUAUCAAGUAAAAUUCCUGUAAAAUCAGAGACUCUUAAGAAUCUAGUGGGAAUAGAUUCACGCUUGGAAGAACUGAGGUCUCUUAUGAACAAAGGGCCUAAUGAUGAUGUUCGUAUGAUAGGGAUUUGUGGUAUGGGAGGUUUAGGUAAGACGACUCUUGCAAGAGUUGUUUAUGACUUGAUCUCUCAUGAAUUUGAAGGGAGUAGUUUUCUUGCCGAUGUUAGAGAAAAAUUUGAAAACAAAGGCAGUGUAAUCUCUUUUCAAAGGCAACUCCUUUUCGAAAUAUUGAAGCUCGAAAAAGAUAGCAUAUGGAAUGUCGGUGAUGGCAUCAACAUUUUAGGAAGCAGGCUGCAACACAAAAAGGUUCUUCUUGUUAUUGAUGAUGUGGUUGACAUAAAGCAAUUAGAGUAUUUAGCUGGAAAGCGUGAGUGGUUUGGUUCAGGCAGUAGGAUCAUUGUAACAUCGCGAGAUGAACAUCUAUUAAAGACACAUGGAAUGGAUGAAAUAUAUAAGCCUAAUGAAAUAAAUUACCAUGAUGCUCUUCAACUUUUCAACAUGAAAGCUUUUAAAAUCCAAAAGCCUCUUGAAGAAUGUGUGCAGCUGUCAGAAGGUGUUCUACGGUAUGUCGGUGGUCUUCCAUUAGCUCUCGAAGUUUUGGGUUCCUUUUUGAAUGGUAGAUCCGUGGAUCAAUGGAGAAGCACCUUGGAAAGGCUACAAAUAGAGCCUCCCAAUAAGAUUAUGAGUAUACUUCAAAUAAGUUUUGACGGACUACAAGAAUUAGAGAAGAAAAUAUUUCUCGAUAUUGCAUGUUUCUUUAAAUGGAAGACUAGAGAUUAUGUAUUGAAAAUUCUAGAGGGAUGUGGUUUUUCCCCAGUCGUUGGAAUAGAAGUUCUUAUAGAAAAAUCUUUAUUAACAGUACAUGAGAAUAACAGAUUGUGGAUGCAUGAUUUGAUACAAGAAAUGGGUCACCAAAUUGUUAGGAGACAAUCCCCGACGAGCCUGGAAAACGCAGUAGAUUGUGGAAGGAAGCAGAUGUACACCAUUUAUUGUCACAAAAUACAGUAAGUGAAUAAUAAAGGGGAUCUAAAAGUAUUUAUUUCUAGCUCAGCUCACUUCUUUUAGCUAGUUAAAUUUCUAAUGAACGACUUUCUUUAUAAUUUUCAGGGAAGUGAAGUAGUUGAAGGAAUAAUGGUUGAUGAUGAUUUCUUUCGUGGAAAUGAUGUGCAUUUAAGUGCUAAAGCAUUUUCACUGAUGACCAACCUAAGAUUGCUCAAAAUCAAUAAUGUGCAACUUCCUAAAGGCCUAGAAUACCUCUCGAACAGGUUGCGAUUACUUGAUUGGCAUCGGUAUCCUUUGAAAUCUUUGCCAUCAAAUUUGCAAUUGGAUAAAACUGUUAAAUUUAAAAUGUGCUACAGCCGCAUUGAAGAAUUAUGGAAGGGAAUCAAAGUAAGAUCAAUUUUUUUUUUGGUCACUAAUUUAUAUUUUUCAGUGAAUAAUUGUUGAUAACAAUUUAUUAUUAUAGUAGUAUAUGAAUUAAGAAAUAUCAUUUUAGCUCCUUUUUUUGUUUUCAACAGCCUUUAAACAUGUUGAGAGUCUUGAAACUCAGCCAUUCGGAGAAUCUGAUUAAGACACCAGACUUCACAAAGGUCCCAAACUUAGAGGUGUUGGAUCUUGAAGGAUGUACAAGGUUGCGUGAAAUUCACCAGUCUUUGCUACGUCACAAUAAGCUGAUCUUGUUGAAUUUGAAAGGUUGUACAAGUCUUACAACUCUUCCGGGUGAGAUAUUUAUGAAAUCGCUUAAAACACUUGUUCUUUCUGGUUGCUUGAAAUUGAGGAAACUUCCACGCGUUGUGGGGAGUAUGGAGUGUCUACGGGAACUUCUUUUGGAUGAAACUGAUAUCAAAGAACUGCCAGUUUCAAUUGAGCUUAUGUCUGGCCUUGUUUCGUUGAAUUUGAAAGAUUGCAGAAAUCUUGCGACUCUUCCAAUUACAAUAGGCAAUUUAGAAUGUCUACAAACGCUCGUGCUAUCUGGUUGCUCGAAAAUAGUGAAAUUUCCAGAGACUGUGAUGAGUGUGGAAGAUCUGUCAAAGCUCUUUUUAGAUGGAACUUCUAUCACAGAAGUGCCAUCAUCUAUAGAGCUUUUGACCAAACUUCAAUGGUUGAAUUUGAAUGACUGCAGAAGUCUCGUGAGACUUCCUAGCAGUAUAAAUGGUUUGAAAUCCCUCAAAACUUUGAAUCUCUCAGGCUGCUUCAAACUUGAAAAUGUGCCUGAGACGCUUGGGCAAGUAGAAAGUUUGGAAAAACUUGAUAUAAGUGGUACAGCUAUAAGGCAACCUCCAUCGUCGAUUUUUCUUAUGAAGAAUCUUAAAGAACUAUCUUGUCGUGGGUGCAAAGGAUCACCAUCAUCUACAUCAUGGUUUCUGCGCUUUCCUAUCAAUUUGAUGCCAUGGAGUUCAGAUCCGGUGGCUUUGAGUUUGCCGUCUUCUCUGUCAGGUUUGUGUAGUUUAACAAAAUUGGAUAUCAGUUACUGUGAUCUAGGGGAAGGAGCAAUCCCAAGUAGUAUUGGCGACUUAUGCUCAUUAGAAGAGUUACAUCUGAGUGGAAACAAUUUUGUUACGCUGCCGGCAAGCAUCUACCGUCUUUCUAGUCUUCGGGGGAUUAAAUUAGAGGAAUGCAAAAUGCUUCAAAAUCUGCCUCGACUUCCAGCCAGUAUACAAGGCAUUUCGUUAGACGGUUGUGUUUCGUUGGAGACAUUAUCAGAUGUGUUAAAUUUAAACGAGCAUCAAAUCCCGAACAUACACGUUCAUUGUGUGGAUUGCUUGAAAUUGGCUGGCAACUAUGAUUUGGCGCUUUCACUGCUGAAAGAGUACAUUAAAAAUUCUGAGGUCAGUCUCUCACUCUCACCUGUGCUACAUUAUGCCUAAAACUGAUGCAAUACAUGUUACUGUCGGACAAGUACAUUGAACAGACUAAUGUCAGUUUCUUACACUGUCUCUCACCUGUUGCUAAAAUUAUGCCUAAAAAUUAUGCAUUGGUAUGGCUUUCUAAUAUAUAUAUAUAUAUAUAUAUAUAUAUAUAUAUAUAUAUAUAUAUAUAUAUAUAUGUAUGUAUAUAUUUUUUGGUGGGUUUCAGUGCAGUUGGAGAGAUUUUUGCAUUGUUGUUCCUGGAAGUGAAAUCCCAGAGUGGUUCGAGUAUCAGAAUAAUGAGGGUUCUUCAAUAACAAUAAGCACGCCUCCAAAGACGUAUAAGAAUAGUAAGCUUGUGGGAUAUGCUGCGUGCUGUGUUUUUCGUAUCCCUAAAUAUUCACUUCCAUAUCCCGAACAUGAUCUGUGUGUCUGGUCUACCGACGGGUAUGGACCGUAUGGUUAUCGAAUUUCGUUUGGAAAGCAAUUCGGUCAGGCUGUGUCAGACCAUCUUUUCCUAUGCUACAAGAAUAGGGAAGAUAUUAGUGAAGUGGAAUUUUCUUCGCGGUCGGGAUUGGAGUUGAAGAGGUGCGGUUUGCAUCCAAUAUAUGUGCAUCAAGGGGAUAAGUUCAACCAAACAAGUGAUCCGGUUUGGAAUUUGAACGAAUUCGGUCACGAUUGUUUAGGUUCAACAUCCUUUAUGCGUAGCCUUAAUGAUGACUUAGACAGGGCAGAAGGCAGUGGAAGUUGCUGCGGGGAUGAUGCAGGAGGAACGACGUCGUCUGAGCGAAGCUUUCUAAAGCGAAGUCUUGAAGGAUAUGUUGGGGCGGCUGAAGCUAGUGGAAGUGGCUGCUGUAAUGAUGAGGAGGAACCACAACCUAAAAGAUUUAGACAACUCGAAUGAAGGGCACAUAAUUUAUUUUUCUCUGCAGAUCGCAUUUCAUUUACUUUCUUUGUAUUUAUUUAUUGUAUCUGUUCUUGUUACUUAUUUCCCUGUUAAAUUACCAGAAAAUGCCUGGCUUGGGUCAAACAGUUGGACAGAUGUUUUAUUACUCUGUUUUUUCUGCUUUGCUUUAUUACUCUGUUUUUCCUGCAAAAGAUGUCGUACAUAGAUGCGGUGAGCGCGAGUUGUUUGGUAUACUUGAAGGGGCUCGCUCGGGACCACAAUGACUAAUUAUUUAAUGUUGUGUGUUAAAUAUUAAAAUAUGCGGAUAGCUUAUUGCUUUUGAGACCUAAGAGUCAUUGAUACUCUGUUUUUUCAACCUAAAAGUAUUUAUUUAAUCUUAGGGUGAUUGAAAACAAAUUGACGAAUUACCAUUAAACAAGCAACAAAAUAACAAAUUCUUUGAAAAGAAAGUAUAUAAUAGAAAGAAGAAAUUAUCACAUAAAAAAAAAAUGUUCCAGUUUUUGCCUUUAGCCUCUCCUCCCCAAGUUGUCGGGCAUGGACUUGCUUUCGCUUCCGAAAGGAAAAAAUAAAAUAAACAUAUGUAUAUUAACAUAAUUUUAAUCUUCAAAAAAUAUUUUAAUACUUUACAGUAUUAUAUUAUAUUAAACUAAAUUUUAUAAUGGAUAUAAACAUAAUAUUAAAAUAAAUAUAUAAAGAUUCAAUUAUUUUAAAUUUAUAUAAAAUAAUUUUAAUAUUAUCAAUACAUGAGAUAUUUUUUAUUAGUUGUAAAAUCUAUUUAACCCAAAUAUUUAUUUAAAAAUUUAAUAUUAACCAUUAGAUUGUGAAAGAUUAAUGGCUCAUUUUUUGUGUCAAAAUUUAAGUUAAAAUAUCCAAAACCAUGCUUUCAUAACGAGAAUAUAAAAUAAAUAGAUAAUAUUUCAUGAAUAUUAUUGGAGGUAAUAUUUACUUAUUAUAUUAAUUACCAUCAUAAAUGCAAUCAGCCUCUUGGUGACAUAAAAUUUUGUAACCACAAUCAAUUAAUAUCAACAAAACAAUCUUUCAUGAUUCAUAAACUAUAUAGCUAAUUAAGAAUUUAUGUUAAUUUCAACUUUACGAAAUCAACAAAGUGAUAUUGGAAAAUUAAAUGAAAAUAGGCUUGUAAAACUUAAACUUAUAUUCCUACCAUAUAAAAGUAUUCACUGUAACAUAAUCCAUAAUUUCAUGGUAUAGGUUGUGCUAAAUUGAUGUGAAAAAUAAUAUACACUUCAUGAUUAAUCAUCCAAUGAUCCUUAAUAAUAUACAAAAUAGUGAGCAUUAUGUUAAAUUUUAUUAAAGCAUGACAAAUGUGAAGAAUGACAGGGGCAGCAGCUGCAGACGGUGGACGUGAGGUGGCUUCGGGUUUUGCUAUUUUUCUAACUUUUUCUUCUUUUUUUUUUUUAUGAAAGUAAUGGAUGGUGGAGGGAGGAUUUGUGUAUGGGGAAUGGUUGAUGGUCAGGAAAGCUCUGCCUAAUACAAAGAAAGACUCUGAUACCACUUGACGCAUCGCAGAAGCGAUACUAAAUUUCAUUAUAACAUACGUUCUUGAAAAUUCAAGAAAAAAGGCUCUUACGAAGAAGAAAGUAUCUCAAUUAAGAAAUAUUAAAUAUUAUUGAUGAGAAGCUUAUGUAUGUUAUAAAGAACUAUCAGUAAGAAGCCUAUAUAUACUAAGUAGCCAACUUAAUCUUAAUCCUUCUUAAAUAAAAUAAAUAAUUUAAAAUCCUAAUUAGAUUAGAAUUCCAAACAUGAUCGAAUAAGUUUAAAAAAUAAGAUAAAUUCUAAUAAAAUACUAAAUACCCAAAUAUUAUAAUUCCUAAUAAAUUCUAAUUUAUUUUAUCUAAUAUGCUUCCUACAUUACUUUAUCGCUAUAUUGUCUGAAUCGAUGUCUCUUUUUACACUAGUAAAAAAAUGACCUUCUUUGAUACUAUUUUAGUAUCAAGAACUUGUUUUACUGACACCGAAUUCAGUGACACACCGAAUUUAGUGUCACUGAAUACGGUGCAAGAAACUUACUGACACAAGUUUUUUGUAUCAGCGAAUCUAUGUCACCGUAGUAUCAAAAAAAUAUUGAUGCUUGAACAUCACAUAUAUAACGAGACUAUGUUAUCAAACAAAUAAUGAUACAAAAGCAUAAUAAAUAUAACGAUACUUUGGUAUCAAUGUUUAUUUGAGAAAAAUUAAAAAAAAAAUUAGAAAUCCAUAUAAUAGAAAUUGAACAUUUGCAAUUGGCAUUUGAAUUGAAAUUUACAUUCAUCAAUAUGAAAGCUAUUACAUUGCAAUGAACAAUUUAAAAAUUAUUACAUUGUUUGAAACUUAUUACAUUGUUUACCAACUACAAAUAAUUUAUAAUCUGAUAUAUAGUAACAGCACAAUCUUCCAACACAUGUUUAUUGCUUCGCGGAUUCUUUCUUUCGGUAAUCGAAAUGAAGUCUUCUAUUAUUGUUUCCAUGUUCCAAUUUGACAUUUGCUCUGAUUAUUUAGUUUUGACCCACAUACAUGCUUUGGUUUAUUGUAAGUCAUCCGGCACCAUUCAAGACAUGCACAAUAAAAAAACUGAUAAAAUUUACAUGCUGCAAUCUACAUAGUUUCCUAAUGGCAUAUAAAUGCAUGCAAGACAAGCAUAUUAUAUUAACAAUAAAAAUUAUUUAACCGUUGUCCAAGAAAAAGAGGAGAAAUUAUUAACAACAUCAUGAGAGGAAGUCUAACAAUACAGUCAAACAAACAAAAGAAAACCCAUGCUUGGUUGUAUAACGAGCAUGGAAAGUUCAACACAAACACAAACACAAACACAGAGACCAAUGGAGUUAACCAAAGUAAUGAAGGAAUUUCUGUGCAACUGUCAGUGGACACACAGAGCAAUGGAGUUAACCAAAGUAGAGCAAUGGAGUUAACCAAAGUAAUGAAGGAAUUUCUGUGCAACUGUCAGUGGACACACAGAGCAAUGUGUGCAUAUGAGCAGGCACAAACAUGACAUCCAAGUGAAUAAAUUUAAAAUAUUAUAUCUGGCAAUUAAAUCAACACAAACAUGAGAAAGAAUAGAUCCAAUAAGGUAAAUCUAGACAACAAUGAUCAAAAAGCAACAAGACAAAAUUUGAGAAACAAAAGGUGAAAAUAAAAAUACCAGGCAUUUACUCCAGUAGCACCAUGGAUCAUAAAAAUUGACAGCUAAAAUAGGAUACCUGGAAAGGAAAUAUAAUACAAAUCAAAGAAGGCAUCAUUGCAAUUGCCACAUAGCAGAGAAAUAUUGUGAUCACAGAAUUGAAAAUAAAAAUUAUAAGUUGUGGUUCAGAGAAGGCUCACUUACUCGUGUGAAUAACUAUCAAAAUUAUUGGCAGUUAGCGUAUGAGAACCUUCAACAGAAUCAUCAUCAGCUUCCUCUCCAUGCUUAAGCGAAUGUAUAACAAGCAUUGAGUGGAAUUCAGAACCAGUGGGUCUUAAAUCAGGUCCUAUAGAAAAAUUGCGAAUAGUUUUUGUUAAAUUUAAUCUGUUCUAGAAACAAUGAAAAGCCAAAUAGAACUCCAUGAAAGCAUCAUGUUACACAAACAAUCCAGGUGGACGAUAAUAUACACUGAAUAUGCAAAAUGCACCCAUGAUAUCCAACAAAAGAGGCACAACUAUGUAAGCGGCAACCUACCAUUCCAAAUAAAAACAACAUAGAAAGGGCUGCUAUUAUGGAUAAUCCUGCACCAGAUAGUGAUGCCUCUGUCAAAUCCCUUGGAAUUUUCCUGCAAACAGAAAAGAAAUAAGUAACAAUAUAAACCCUGUGAUUUUAUCUAUGUGAUUUACUAAUACAAAGAUACGGGUUGGAUUUAUAAAUUACAUAGAAUCACCAACUUUCAAGUAUAAUGAGAUGGACGAAUUAUAAACAUUAUCAAACAAGUAAAAGCGAGUCGCUAACAAAGAGCAAUCAAAAUCCACUGUCACAAAUAGCAACAUGAAAGUGCAUAGUUUCAAAGCUUCGGAGUUUGUUCAAAAUUAUAAUAUUUUUAAUUCACAUACUAUUAUACUAAUAAAAGCUCGAACAUAUUUGUUGUCCCUACAGUCAAAUAUUUAAUUUCAUAUUCUUCUUAAAAUGCAUCAAAAUCCAUACAUUGUAAGUAUAAUGAAGAACAUAACUAUUAGUAUUAGAAUUUCUUAAGCAUUCAGCUGAUUCACUAAUAAUAAUAAUAAUAAAGCCUAUACAUAUAGAAGAAUACAAUCAUCAUACAGCCAAAAUCAGUGCAUUACAAGUAAUAAGUUAUAAAAGGCACAAUUACCUCUUUAGUUGCAGAUGAGUAGUUUCUCAAAGUGGAUACCACAGGGCGAAGUCUCUGGAUUAGAAACGCGUUCACAAGGAACAAUAGUCAGCAGUAAAAAAAAAAAAGGGCCAAAAUGAAUACUAUUUAGGCAUACUGAAAUAGAACCUCCUCCUGCAGCCACUUUCUACCUAAUAAACAUUAGCAAACAGAUAAAAGCGAGUCGCUAACAAAGAGCAAUCAAAAUCCACUGUCACGAAUAGCAACAUGAAAGUGCAUAGUUUCAAAGCUUCGGAGUUUGUUCAAAUUAUAAUAUUUUUAAUUCACAUACUAUUAUACUAAUAAAAGCUCGAACAUAUUUGUUGUCCCUACAGUCAAAUAUUUAAUUUCAUAUUCUUCUUAAACUGCAUCAAAAUCCAUACAUUGUAAGUAUAAUGAAGAACAUAACUAUUAGUAUUAGAAUUUCUUAAGCAUUCAGCUGAUUCACUAAUAAUAAUAAUAAAAGCCUAUACAUAUAGAAGAAUACAAUCAUCAUACAGCCAAAAUCAGUGCAUUACAAGUAAUAAGUUAUAAAAGGCACAAUUACCUUCUUAGUUGCAGAUUAGUUUCUCAAAGUGGAUACAACAGGGCGAAGUCUCUGGAUUAGAAACGCAUUCACAAGGAACAAUAGUCAGCAGUAAAAAAAAAAGGGGCAAAAUGAACACUAUUUAGGCAUACUGAAAUAGAAGAACCUCCUCCUGCAGCCACUUUCUACCUAAUAAUUCCCCAUAUCUUUAAUUGUUUCAAUUAAAAUACUGCCCUACUCACCAUAUAAACCGCCAAUAACAACACUAUAAAUAACACAAUCAGCAAACAGCCAAAAAAAAAAGGAUACAUAAUCAUAUCCUAUUUAAGUGAAUGUAAAUCGAAGUCUAUAAUUAGUUAGUAGACAAUAACAUCGUGUUUACGAUAUGCGAAUCAAAACAAAUAUUACAUAUAAUUAUUUUAAAAAAAAUUACUAACCGGCUUAUCUCAAGCAGACAUGUAAUAAAUCAUGCUUUCCAUCAAAUCAAGCAAAAUUUAUCAAAAUUAAUCAAACUACAGCUAUAGAAACAAUAAAAUCACAUUCGAAAUUAAGAGAAAAUUAGAAAAUUUUCAAAAAGAGAAAGAAAAUCGAUGAAAGAAAUAGAGCAAACACUAACAUUUGUUUCUCUGGUGUCCGCGUGUUUCAACACCUCGAACAGGGAGUUCUCAUAUAGAUUUGUGAAGCUAGUUUCUUUGACUUGCUCUUCCUCUUUCUUAUUCCUCCUCAUCUUGUUUGACUUUUUUCAUCCUUUGGUUGUCUUCGGUGGUGACCGAAGAAUCAAGACCCAUACGCUUCAUAAAGUAAAACUAGGAUGAUUUUAUUUUGUUGGGAGACUGAGAGUAAUUGUUUUGUUAAGACUGAAAAGGCUGGGUGAUUAGUUUUGUUUCAAUUUAGGGUUUCUUCAAAUGAGUGGGAAGGAUUUGGGAGAGAGGGAAGAUGAAGAGGGAAUAGUACUUUCGUCAAGGCCAAAAAAUUUCACGAGUGCUGAAUUUUAGACACCCUAAUUUUAAAAGUAAAACUACGUCGUUUGGAAUAAAAAAAAUUAAAAUUAAAAUUAAAAAUAUAUAUCUUAGUAUGAAUAAGAGUUUAUGAUACUAUAUUAUUAAUAACCACUGGCACUAAUACGUAAAACACACUAAAAGUUGCUUAGGUCAUCAAAUACUGAUAUUUUUUUAUUUAAAAUCAGCAACUUAAUAUCAGUGAAAGUCAUUUUUUUAGUAGUGUUAUUAAAAAAAAAACAUUUUCUCAUCAUCCAUUACUAAGGCCCCACUCAAUUGCUUGUCAAUUACUUCUUGAUCAACAAGUAAAUUUUUAAAAUUCUCAAUGGUUGGUUGAGUUGGACAACCUUAGAUAGUUGUAAAAAAGCUCUUAAGCUCAAGCCUCAAACCAUUGACAAUAAUUCUCUUUAUUCUAAAUUUAGAAAUUACAGUAGUAGAAUCUAACCCAGAAAUUUCAUGGCAUAGGGAUUUUAACUUGUUUAAGUACUCGUCAAUCGUCAUGUUUCAUUAUGAAAUUGAUAGUAGCUCAUUUUUCAAAAGUUGUAGCCAUAUGUUAUUCUUCUUUGAAAACUCAUUGUAGAAGUAUCCCAAUUUUUCUUAGGUAUUUUAACCUUUUUUAUGUGUUGUAGCAUUUCUUUUUCAAUUGUAGUCUUGAUGGCGAACAUGGCCUUCCAGCUAUAAUGCUUCACUUCUUUAAAGCGGCAUCCUCAGUUAGUGGUCUCAUAUUGUUACCACAAACAAUCUCCUAGAGAUCUUGACCCUGUAAGCAAGACUCCAUCAAUGUUGUCCACAUAUUGUAAUUUUCCUUGUCGAGCUUUUUAACUCUUCCAACUACUUGAAGGUCACCCGUCAUAUUUUCAAGACUUUAACAAUGCCAAGCAAGCUUGAUGUUCACUAACGAACUUGCAAAGUUCCAAACAAAGUACUCUAAUAAAGUACUCCACUUCAAAUUUGAACCCAACAGCCUUUUACUCAAUAGAUUUUGACAAGUUCAUUCAUUUAGAUUAAGAGAAAAGAAUUGAUGGUAUUGUGCCACAGGGAGGAAUCGGUUCCAAAGUCUUUUUUCCACGAUCCAAUCCCUAAGAUCAGGCAACAUAUCCUUCACCGAAAAAACAUAAUGAUCAUAUAUAAUGCCUAUUGGAAUAUGCCUCCACAUUAGCUUCGUUUUCGUUUUCAAUCUAUCAUGCAUUAGUAGCCAAAGAAAAGUACAAAUGCAUUGUGGACUGUGUCAUUGCCAAAUAUGGUAGUUUUCAGGUCUAAAAUUUUAAAGUGCGGGAAAGUCUGGGAACACUUUAAAACCAUGCGGUGGACUGUAAUAAAUAGAUAAUAUUUUUUCCAUUCAUUCCCAUGAAAAGUACAAAUGCUUUGUGGACUGUAAUCAUAAAUUAUGUAACUUCUCAGGGGUGUCUUCUGGCCAAGAUCAGAGGUGAGAGGUGUGAUAUCCACCCAGUUUAUAUGGAGGAGUUUGACAAAACUACAAUCCAAUGGAAUCACUUUACCACUUAUAAUAUGAAUGGAUCCCCUCAAAUUUUUUUUGCAUCAAAGAUGGUUGUAGCAACAAUGUCAAGGCGAAACCUUACUGCAUAUGUUGAGGUGAUGAGGAACCACAACCUCAAGGAUCCAUUUAGUGAACUCAAAUAAAGGGAGAAGCCUGCUUAGUAUUCUUUGAAUAUUUCAGUAAGCAUGCAUCUUCAAUUUCAGUUGGCAAUUUUUAUUUUAUAUAUGUUAAAUUACCACAAAACCAAAAUAUCAUCUCUAAAGUUGUUACCUUCCAUGAAUCGAAAAUGCUUUCAUGCUUGAUCAGAUUGUUUAAGUAUGCGUUCCUAAAAUAUACAAAAGUGCUCAGGAAAAUGGCACGGAAUAAUUAGUGUAUAAUAAAUUUUAUUUUUGGUAAUUUUUUAGAUGCAUAUGGUUUUAAAGUUCUCUUCAAAUAGCUGGACUUGCCAUAUACUAUAAUAUUGUUUAGUAAGGCAUUACUAUCAUAUCAUAUAUUUUGUUUAUCUAUCAUUAAUAUUUACAUUUUUAUUAUUUCAUUAAUCUUAUUUUAAUUUACUUUGUAUUCAUAGACAUAAUUUAAGAAUAUAAUAUUAUUGUUCUUAUGUUUCCGUUUUCGUAUAUAAAUUCCUGGAAGAUGCUCCAACAUCAAUUUUGUCGUUAUUGAAUAAACAAAAAAAAAAAAAAAGAUACAACAACUGAUGCUCUCAUUCACAAAGAACUAGAUAAUGUUCAGGCAUUAGAUGACUCCAGACAGCUGCAAGCUAUGAAAGAAGAAUAUGAUGUUUUGAUUAAGAAUAAUACAUGGACAUUAGUUCCAAGACAAGCUGUCAUCACGUUGCUGACAAUAAAUGGGUGUGAAGGAUCAAGUAUAACAAAGAUGGAAGUGUAGCUAAGUAUAAAUCCAAGCUUAUUGCAAAAGGAUUUUAGCAAGUGGCAGGGGUGAAUUACUUUAAAACAUUCAGUCAAGUGGUUAAAUUAGCUAUUAUUAGAGUGGUGUUGAGCCUAGGAGUGAUGAACUAAUGGAAAAUAAGACAAGUUAAUGUUAACAAUGCCUUUUUUAAUGGAGAGUUAAAUGAGGAGGUAUUCAUGUGUCAGCCGGAAAGGCUUUAUUAAUGUUGAGAAACUUGAAUUUGUGUGCAAAUUGUACAAAUGUCUAUAUAGACUCAAACAAGUUCCUAGAGCUUAAUUUGAUAAGCUAAAAAGUUGUUAAUUGCAUUAGGGUUUUAUUAAUACUAAUUUGGAUACCUCUCUUUUCAUAAGAAGAAACACUCAUUACAAGUCCAAGUACUAUAAAGUUAAAAAGUUUUAUAACUCAGUUUAGGAAAGCAUUUGCCUUAAAAGACUUAGGAAUAUUAUCUUAUUUCCUUGGAAUUAAAGUGUUGCAAGACGCACAUUGUGUAUAUUUAUCACAAAGAAAAUACAUAAGAGAUCUGUUGUCUAUAGUUGAAAUGGUUGAAUGCAAAGGCAUUGACACACUUAUGGUGUCAAUGCCUAUGUUGGCAUUGACACCCCAACAUAGGCAUUAAACCAACAUCAUAUAAAUUAGCAUUAAGUUCGAUCAAAUUCAUAUUGUCUUCAAUAAGAUUUGAAAGUAAGUGAAGUUUAACACACCAAUAGUUUUGGUGAUCUGUCUGAAACGUAAUAGACAACACCACUUAUUGGAUUUUAUUUCCUAAAAUACUUAUUGUUUAAUUUAUAAAAUAUAAACUCAUUUAUUAAAAUUAAAUAUCUUCUCAUAAAUAUAGAUAUAAAUUAUGAAAUGAUGUGGGUGUAAAUUAUUUAUUAAAACCUUAAUUUAUUUAAGUGUUUAAUUGAAAUCCCAUUUAAAAUUUUUUAAAAAUUAUUUAUUUAUAGUUAUUCAAGUAGUUUUAAUAGAAAAUGAAUUUUAUAAGAAAUUUUAAGGGAUGUCGAAAGGCUACUCUUGAAAUAAAUGACCCAAGUCCAUUUGGGCCCAUGUAUAAGGAACGAGGUCUCAGUUUAAAGGCCGGAUCGGGGUCGAGCCUCAACUCACGCUUACAUAAAAAGGAAUGAGAAAAAAUUAAAAAUAUAAAUGGAUUUCUCUAUGAUGCUGUAAUUUUUUUAUAGCAUCAAUAAUGUUUUAAUUGUGUACCAUUGGAUUAAAUCUAAUGGUAUACAAUAUUUGUACUAAAGAAAAAAAAUUAAAAAUAAUAGUAAACAGAUUGUUAACCGUUCAAGGGGUGGAUAAAUUUUGUAAAAUAAUUGUGAUCACCCUUAGAGUUUGAAGCAAUUUAACUUAAAUAGCAUAUUUUAUUUAAAAUUACUUUUCUACUCUCCUUUAAAUUUGUAUUGUGAUAAUCUUUUUUAAAAUAAAUCUUCCAAAAUCUAUUAUCAUUAAGUAUAAAAUAUAAUAUGAAGUAGGUUAUUUAACACAAAUCAAAUAAAUAAGUUGCAAUUGUAAAAUUAAUUAUAUAUAAUAUAACACUAGUAAAUAAUACAACUAAAUAAAUAUAUUUAAGUAAAUGUCAUAGGUACAUCAAUAAACUCACUGGUGAGAUUGCUUGUAAUCUAAAAAAGACUUAAUCACACAUAUUUUAAUAAAAUUUAAUAUCUUAUAUCAAAAUAUUCAUUAUUUUAUAUAAUUUUAAGGACCGUUGUAUAAUUGAUUAUGAAGUAUAUAUUAUUUUUAACACUUGUUUAACAUACCUAUUCUCUCAUCUUUUUGUUUAGGAUUUCUCUAUAAUAUUGUAUGAGUUUUUACAGCAUUGAUAAUAGGAUUGUUGUGGACUCUUAGAUGUUAGGGUUUUCAUGUUUAGUAUUCAUUUGAUAUAGUGAAUAAAAAAUUAGCUAUUUAAAUCAUAACAAGUAAUCUUCAUGCUGCAAGUAAAUAUAGAUUUUUUUAUUUUUAAUUAAUUGAUAAAAGAAAAUUUAUAUUAUGAUGGAUAAAAAUCCCAGAAUCAAUAAUGGGAUCAUUGGAUUUAAUAUUAGAAUCUUCACCCUUAAUUUAAUUUUAAUGGAUAAGUAAUUAUGUAACAAGUAAUAUGCAAGUUGUGAUAUUUCUUCAUAUUUUAAAUUAUUUUUUAUCUAAUCAAUCAAUAAAUAUUUUAAAUCAUUAAAAAAAGGAAAGAAAUACAAAUAAUUUUGGAAUUAAAAUUAUUAUAUAUUAAUCCUCUUACUUUACAAUUUUACAUUUUUAUUUUACUUUUACAUUUAGUAUUAGAAAUAUAUUUAAUAGCAUUAAAAUAAAUGUAAUUAACAAGUAAUGGUAUUUCAAUAAUACUUUAUAUAAAGUUAUUACAUAAAGUCUUAUAAUAAUUUGUAUUGUGUGAAUUUAAUUACAAACCAUUAAUACCUAAACAAUAAUGAUAAUAGAAGGCAUUGUAAUAAAAUAUUUUAUAUAUGUUUUAUUAGUAAUACUAUGAGUCACAACAAAUGAGAAAUAUUUUAUUCACCAAUGAAAAAAAAAUAUAUGGCUAUAUAAAUAUAUAGUGAGAAAUAUUUUGAUUUAAUUUUUUAACAAAAAAUUAAACUAUUAAUUUCAUGCAAUUCAAUGGUGGAGGAUAUGCCAAUAUGAAAUGCUGCUUUGAUAUGACAAUAUGAAAUGUUGCUUUGGCUUUUAAUAUUAACCAUUACACUAUAAGAAUAAGAUAUUAAUGGCUAAAAUAUUAUGUAAAAAUUUUAAGUUCAAGUAUCCCAAACCAUGUCUUUAUAAUGGAAAUAUAAAAACAUGCAAUGAAUUUUUUUCUCAUUUUGUCAUUAAAUAUUAUUGGAUGCAAUAUUUUAUUUAUUGUACUAUUACUUAUCAUAAUAAAAGUAAUGACUCUUAGUAACAUAAAAAUUUUAUAAUUACAAUCAAAGGAUGUCAAUAAAAUAAUCUUUCAUGAUUCAUAAACUAAAACUCAUUAGGAAUAUGUGUUAGAUUAAACUUUUAUGAAAUUAACAAAGUGACAUUUGAAAAUAAAAUGAAAAUAAGCUUGUGAAAGUUAAAUUUUAUAAAGCUUGAAUAAUUUUCUACCAUGUAAAUAAAAAUAUAAAAAUAAUCUUUCAUGAUUUUUUCCCUUUUUUCCACAUAAAUAUUAUUGGAGACAAUAUUUUAUUCAUUGUCACUAGUAAUUACCAUAAUAAAAGUAAUGGCUCUCAGUAACAUAAAAUUUUAUAAUUACAAUCAAAGGAUGUCAAUAAAAUAAUCUUUCAUGAUUCAUAAAAUAAAGUUAAUUAGGAAUAUAUAUUAGAUUUAACUUUUAUGAAAUUAACAAAGUGAUAUUUGAAAAUAAAAUGAAAAUAUAUAGGCUUGUAAAACUUAAAAUUUCUAUCAUGUAAGAAUAUUAAUUAUAAGAUAAACAAAAAUAAUAUAUAUUUUAUAAUCAAUUAUACAAUAGUCUUAGUAUUAUAUAAAAUAAUGAACAUUUUAAUUUGCGAUUUUAAAUUUUAUUAAAACAUGAGUGAUUAAGUAGUUUUUAAGUUACAAUCAAUCUCACCAAUUAGUUUAUUAAUGUAACUAUGACGUUUACUUAAGUAUAUGUACUUAGUUGUGUUAUUUAUUAGUAUUAUAUCAUAUAUAAAUUUUGUAAUUGCAAUUUAUUUAUUUGAUUUGUGUUAAAUAACAUACUUCAUAUUUAUUUUAUACUUAAUGGUAAUAGAUUUUGGAAGAUUUAUUUAGAAAAGAUUAUCACAAUACAAAUUUAAAGGAGAGUUGAAAAGUAAUUUUAAAUAAAAUAUGUUAUUUAAGUGAAAUUGCUUCAAACUCUAAGGGUGGUCAAUGUGAUUUUACAAAAAUUUCUCCACUCUUAAACCGUUAACAAACUGUUUACCAUUGUUUUUAUUAUUUUUUUUCUUUAGCAAAAAUAUUAUAUACCAUUAGAUUUAAUCCAAUGGUACACAAUUAAAACAUUAUUGAUGUUGUAAAAAAAAUUACAGCAUCAUAGAGGGACCUAAUAUAAAUACAUACAUAAAAUUAGUUAAAUCAUUAAUGCAUAUAUUAAAAUUAAAAAUCUGCUUACGUUUAUAGUCAAAAAUCGCUGAAGGUUCUUUGCAUGUUUUCGCUUGUGGGGCUGUGGUCAGAAACUGUGAGGGAGAAUUUCUGGGGGAUUUCUCAUGUCCAUUACAUGUUGAAACUGCUUUUGUUGCUGAACUGUUGGCUGUUAUCUUGGCGAUUGAGCAUACUUCUUUUGGAUGUUGGACUAUGCCGUGGAUCAAAUGUGAAUAUGCUUUAACUGUGCUUCAUCUUCGUAAAAAGCGGCUUCCGCCCAUGGUUUCUCAUUCAUCGAUGGAAUAAUUGUAUUGCUCUUAUGGAUUCCAUGACGUUGCACUUUUCUCGUGUCUUCAGGGAGGCUGAUGGGGUAGCUGGUUGUUUGAGCAAUUUAGGUGCCAUGGUGGAUUCCUUUACUUGGUGGGACUCUGCACCCCUCAUGUUGCUUCUCUUUUGCAUGAGGAUGCUUUUAGGCUGCCUAGCUAUCUGUUCAGCUAGCUUUUGUAAUUUUAGUUUGGCUGGUUUUCUUGCUAUAUUUUUAUUUUAUUUUAAUAAAACCUCCUCACUUUGGUGAGGAUUCAUCAAAAAACAAAAGGAAAAAAAGUUAGAACAACCUAGAUCAAGUAAAUUAUAUCGCAGGGAUUUUCGAAGAAAUUCAAGCAUUGGAAGGAUGAAAAACAAAUAUGUAGAUGAUCGAUCUCACCUUAUAUGGAAUUGCAGGCCAAGUUCAAGGAAGGAAUUUUUGAGAAAUUAUGUUCGAUAAAAUGCCCAAGAAGGAAUGCAUCCCACCUGAUGCGUUGAACAAUGAGACGAUACAUCUGUUGCUACAAUUUAUUCACAUAAGAAAUUCAAUUAAAGCAUUUGAAUGGGAAAAUUUUUUUUUCUCUUGUUGCCAGGAACCAAAACUGUUGCCACUUUACUGGUAUACUCCGGGUGUUUUCCGCUGUUUCAAUUUACUUGCUGGUAUUUUAUUUUCGUUUGCUGAAGUAUGAUUAUUUAACAGCCAGUUACUUAUUACAAUAAGAGGCUGUGGAGUCAAUUGCUUGCAUCAUGAGCAUCCCGGGAACUACGAUGUCUGCUUGAGCUUUAGAGGUGAAGACAAGACACCCGCACUGCAAGAACUUUUCAGAUCACCUCUAGUCCACUUUGAAUAAAAUUGGAAUUAAUGUAUUUAGUGAUGAAAAAGAACGUGAAAGGGGAAUAUCCAUUUCACCAGCACCGUCUAAAGUAAUUGAAGAAUCAAGAAUUUCAGUUAUUGUCUUCUUAAGAAACUGCGCUUCUUCAACUUGGUGCUUGGAUGAACUUGUUAAGACUAUUGAAUGGAAGAACACGUCAUGUUCGCCAACAAUUGGUUUUUCCAAUUUUCUAUGAUGUUGAACCAACAGUGGUAAGGAAACAUAUAGGAAGUUUUCAAGAAGCGAUUGCUAAUCAUGAAGAAGUUCUUAAAGGAGAAUAUAGAAAGGGUGCAAAAAUGGAGAGGCGCUCUGCAAGAGGUGGCUAAUAUCUUUGGCUAGGAAUUGAAAGAUAGGUAAUCAUUCUUAUUCUCAAUGAUUAAUUUUCUAAGAUGUGGAACAACUAAUUUUUGUUUGUUCUGCAUGAAUCAUAAUAAGUGAGAAGAUGUCUGGAUUUCUCCACUAUUAAAAAACUGCCAAUAUUUAUUCAGUAUAUUUAUUUACUAGUUUCAUGUUCAGUGUGUGCAUGCGCAUGUGUAUAUUUGUAUCAACAAUAAGAUUGCAACGACCAACUUGCCUACAAUUUUCCAAUAAACUUUACAUGACAAGAUUUUAUACUAUGUUGUUGGGUGAAUGAUGUGGUAGAGCAGAGGGAUUCUAGAACUUAUCAAGUUUUUAGGCAUUCGAACAGGGAGAGACAGUAGAAUAAAUGUAUAAGAAUUUGUUAAAAUCAUAGGAUUUAAUUGAAAUAAUAACUUGAUCAAUGAAUAUCUACAUACGAAGAGUUAUAGACGAAAUUAGAGAAGAGUUACAUGAAGAAUAACCUAGAGAUUAAUCAAACACAAGUUAUGACUUUAUCACUUCCGUUUUGUAUAUAUAUAUUAUGUAAUUUUUUGACACUACGUUACGCUCACACUAGCUUUAGCUCACCAACACAAAUAUUUUCUUGUUCUAUUCAACCCGCAUGAAUGAAUCAGACUUUAUUAUGGAGAUUUUCAAUGAGAUACCAAGCAAAAUUCCUUUAAAAUCAUAGACUCUUAAGGAGCUAGUAGGAAUGGAUUCACACUUGGAGAAGCUAACGAUUCUAAUGGAUAAAGGGCCUAAUGAUGUUCGUAUGAUAGGGAUCUGUGAUAUGGGAGGUAUAGGUAAGGCAGCUCUUGCAAAGGUUGUUUAUAACUUGAUCUAUCAUGAAUUUGAAGUAAGUAGUUUUCUUGCCAACGUUAGAUAAACCUCAGAAAAAGGAGGUCAGAUUUCCUAACAAAAUGGAAUUUAUAUAAUGUUAUCAACAUAAUUGGAAGUGGGUGCGACACAAAAAUGUUAGCUAGAAAGUUCAGGCAGCAGGAUCAUCAUAACAUCCAGAGAUAAACAUCGUUGACAACACAUAGAGUGGACGAAUUGUUGGUCCUUAAGCAACUAUACUAUGAUGAAGCUCUUGGACUCCUUUGUAUAAAAGCCAAUAAGCUAGGGAAAGGAUAUAAGUAACUGUCGAAAAGUGUUGUAAACCAAUAAGCUAAGUUGUAAGAACAUUAGCUGAACAACAGCAGCAAAUUGUGGAACGUAACAAAUGUACAUCACGUGUUGACAAAAAACACGGUAAGUGACAAAGUGCAAUGCAUGUGUUUUGAGUUCAUGAUUCUAAAACUCAAGAAAUGAAGUAUAAAAUUGCUAUCAUUAUAUAAUGCAAAGUAAAACAUAUUCUGUAAUGCAGCCUACAUUUUAUUCAUUUUUUUAUGAUACACGUACAAAAUGUUUUCCUUUGCCCAAGCUAUCAAUUGCACAAUGUAGGCUUUCAAGGAGAUCCUUUGGUCCACAUUUGGUUAAUUCAAUCUUUGAUCCGAAGGAAACGACUUUGUGCCCUGAGAAAGGUAAGUGACAAAAUGUUUUGCUCGACAUUCUAUGCUUUAAAUCUAUGCAUAAAUAAUUUUAUGGACAUCUUCACAUCUUAGUCUGCACUUAUCAUCUGCUUUUAUGAUUUUUAAGGAACUGAGUAGUCGAAUGCAUGGUAUGUGACUUUUCAGAACUUAAGGUUCAUUCUAUGGACAUCUUCACAUCCUUUUCAGAACUUAAGGUUAUUUUUUAUUAAAUCUCCAAAAACACUGGUACUUUCUGGUUGCUCAAAGUUGAAGAAAUUUCCAGAGAUUGUGGGAAAUAUGAAGUUUUUGCGGGAGCUUCUUUUGGAUGGAACUGAUAUUAAGGGACUACUAUUAUCAAUUGUACGUUUAUUUGGAAUUGUUCAGUUGAAUUUGAAAGGUUGUAAAAAUAUUUAGUGUCUUCCAAAUUUUAUAAGUGCUCUAAAAUUUCCUUCCACUUUGAAUUUCUCUGGCCUUUUGAAAUUCAGAUUGUUUCUAGAGAUCAUGGGACGUAUGGAACAUAUGUUGGCACUUCGAUUGUUGGGAACUGCUAUAAGAGGAUUGCCAAUGUCAAUUGAAUAUCUCUCUGGCAUUUUUUGCAAAAUUUAAAAGGUUGUAAAUAUCUCUUGAGUCUUCCAAUUACUAUAAGUAGAUUAAAAUGUUUAAGAACUCUAAUGCUCUCUGGUUGCUCGAAGCUGGAAAAUUUUUGGGGAAGUAUGAAAUCUCUAACUAUGCUAAUUUUAGAUGGAACUGCUAUUCGAGAAUUUCCAUUGUCAGUUGAAUAUCUAACUGGCCUUGUUGUGUUGAAUUUUAAAGAUUGGCAAAAUCUCGAAUGUCUUUCAAGUCCCAUCAGUGGUUUGAAAUAUCUUAAAAUUCUGAAUCUCUCUGGCUGCUCCAAACUUGAAAAUGUGCCAGAGAACUUGGGGAAAGUAGAUAGCUUGAAAGAGCUUGAUAAUAGUGGAACAACAAUUAGGCAACUUCCGACGUCUGUUUCUAUCUUGAAGAAUCUUAAAGCAGUGGACCACAAUCAUCUACAUCAUGGGAUUUGUGCUUCCCAACCAAUAUGAUGUGAAGGAGAUCAGAUCCUAUGACUAAUUUGAUGUUACCUUCUCUAUCAGGCUUAUGUUCUUUAACAAAAUGGGAUCUCAGAGACUGUAAUCUACCAGUGGAAGGAGGAGAAAUCCCAAGUGAUAUUUGCCACAUAUGCCUAUUGCUCAAAAUGAACCAAAAUCUAAUUCCCAUACCAGAUGCAAUGUUGGCUGAAUAAUAAAUGAUAGUAUGAACUGUUGUUUCUUUGCAUACGAUCUCUCGGUUACUCCUAGAGGACUCGUGUACGACGUCCGGCUCAAGUCGUCUAAACUUAGUAAGUGAGUGCACGCGUUGGUCACGUGCACUCACUUAUACACAAUGAUCAAACGACCCGAAAAUACUGUCGUUUUUAAGAGCAUUAGUGUCAGUAUGUAGCUGUUAAAUCGGUUAGAAAGGGCGGGAAAUUAUUACAAACCCAUAACAAGCUGAUGACCGAUGACGUAUAUUGUAUGAUGUCCAUUCCGUAGCUUGCAAUUUUCUCUCUAAGUUUGUAAGUUGUUCUGAGAAAACAAAUAAAGCUUGCCAAAGAAGGCAUAGGCCACUGUAGCUAAACAUCUCUAGAUAUUGUGUUUAUGUUUUGAUUUUUUUUUUUCUGUUUGAGCGAAGCCGUACUGAUGAUGAAGAACCUCAAGCUACAAGGAUUUAGGAAAUCUAAUAAAGAGUAAAGCCUUUUUAUACUCAUGCUUUGUAUUAUGUUCAUGUUUCACUAUUACCUAAUUGAAAUUGCAUUCCAACUUGGAUUUUCAAUUUCUUGACAAACUAUAUAUUCAUUUGAAUUAUGUAAUAUAAAGAUUUUCGUAUCACUAGUUUGUGCUUAUUGGUUAAAAUUCUUUCAUUCUAAUAUAUCAAUUAUAAUAGGCAAAAUGACGUCUACACCCCCUAAAUUUUAGGAAAUGAUCACCAAUACCCUCAAAUUUUUUGAAAAAGACACCAAAACCCUUUAAAAAAUUAAAUUUGAAAUUUUUAAUAAAUAAAAAUAUUAUAUAAAUAAUGUAAUCUAUGCAAUAGACUAAGAAUAUUAAAAUUAUUUAAUAUUUUAAUAAAUUUAAAUAUGUAAAUUGUUAUAUUUAUUUAAUAAUAUAUUUUUAUUUAUUUUAGAUAUUUUAAAUAAAUAUUUGCAUUAAAUAUAUUUUACAAUAAAAAAAAAUAUCACAUGCUAAUGUUAUUAUUAUUUUACAUAAUAUUGAAAAUAAUUUAAAUUUUAAUACACUUUUUUUAACAUUAUGAUUCUAUUUAUUAUAAAAUUUAAAUAUAUAUACUAAAAUAUAUCUAAUAGAUUGUAAAAUAUUAAAAUAUUUUUGAAGUAUUGAAAUUAUUUUACAAUGUAUACAUUAUUACACUUAUUUUAAUGUUAUAUUUCUAUUUAUUAUAAAACGUUAGUGUUGAUUCUUUUUGGGAUAAUAGAGGUUAAAGGGUACUAUCGCUAAAAGAAGGUCUUGGUGUUCCAUUUUGAAAAUUUGAGGGUGUUGGUGAUUAUUUUCUUAAACUUUGGGGGUGUAGAUGUCAUUUUCCCAUUAUAAUAUCUUUUUUUGGCUAUUAUACCUUUUAAUUUUAGUAAUAUUAAAAUUGAUUUUAAAUUUUAAAAUAAAUACAAAUAUAAUAUAAGAAUAAAUAAACAAAAAAAAGUAAUUUUUAUUUUGGAAUUCCAAAUAUCUUGUUUUCAACAUAAGAAGUAUAGUAUCUCAACUAGAUCCUAAAAUAAAAAUUACAGAGAGGAAAUCAGAUUGCUAUUAUUAGACUAUAUAGGGUGCGUUUGAGAUUGAGGUUGAGCAGCUGUAGCUUUUAAGCUAUGUUGAUAUGAUUUUUCACUUGUAUAAUAUAAAAUUUAUUAUAUCUUUAAUAAUUUUAUCAAAAUUAUUAUUUAAAAUUUAUAUUUACUAUAUAUUAUUAACUUUUGUUUCAUAAUUACAUCUUUUUUUUCACAGCAGCUAUAGCUUAAAAGCUACAGCACCUCAAUCCCAAACGCACCCAUAAUAAUAAAAAUUAAUUUUUAUUUUGGAUUUAUUUAAAAGUAAUUGAUCACAAAAUAAAAAAAAAUUAAAACAAUUGACCCAGGGCCAGCUUCGUUCGUCCUUUUAUAGAGAAUUGCAGGUAAAAAUCAUGCCCAGAACACGUUUGAUAAAAUACCCAAUUGGAGGAAUGCAUCCACCGGGUAUGUUGAAGAGCAACGACAUGAUGUAUCUGUUGCUGUAACUUUGUGAUUUCCUAAGCAAUCAGAAUCAAACAGUCAACAACUUUAUGAUUUCCCAGUUAAUCAACAAAGUCAAUUAUGCUGCCACUUUAUGAUUUCCCAGUUAAUCAACAAAGUCAAUUAUGCUGCAACUUUAUGAUACAUCUAUUGCCACAAUUUUUUUUCACGUAGAAAAUUCAAUAAAAUUAAUUUAAUAAUGUACAGGCUCAAACUUGUUGCCGCUUUGCUUGUAGUGCGGGUUUUGGGCUCCUUCAAAUUGCUGGUUGAUUAUGAUUAUUUGGGAGCCAAGCUUUUAAGUCCAAAUAAAUUUUUUAGGAACUUAAACAAGAGGCUUUGGAAUCAAUUUCUUGCAACAUGAGCAUCCUGCAGGGAGUUCCUCCAUAAAACAUUUGUAUGUUGGUUUGGAUCAAAAGGGAGUCGCUGUAUUUAGGGACGACGAAGAACUCGAGAGAGGAAAAGUAAUUUCACCAGGACUACUUACAGUAAUUGAAGAAUCAAGAAUUUUAAUAACUGUUUUCUCAAGAAACUAUGCGUCUUCCACUUUGUGCUUGAAGAACCAAGAAUUUCAAUAAUAUCUUUUAUAAAUAUCAAAGUGAGGAAACAACUAAAUCAUCUUAAAAAGAAAGAAAUCAUAAUUUAUACUUAUUAAAAACAAUUAGAUCAAAUCUCUUCAUUGGCAGCUAACAACAUCAAUUCCAUAUUCAAGUCAGCAAGUUUGGAAAGGUCCAUCCGUUGCUUGGAUUGCUGAAUCGCUCUUUUGGAUAAAUUUUCCGUGCUUUUAAUGAAAGAAAAUUAGAAAAGAAAAUUAUAGAGAUUGAACAAUUAGCAACAUACAAAAAGUUAAAAUUACUAACAAAUGAGCAAUUAUACUUUUCCAGCAAGUGAUUUGUGGUUAGCACUUUAAGCAGCAGCUACAAUCACAAAUAAAAACACAGUUUUUCUAAUCACUCAAUCCGUCAAUAUUAGAGGAGAUUCUGUUCUCUUCUUUGCUGAUUUUGAUUAUAUAUGUACAGUUUUUUUGGUACUUGUUGAGUUGUAACUCAAUGUAAGUACGUCGGUCAUUUUAAUCGGUUUUGUUGGCUUUCUCUCUUCCACAGUACUUUUUCUCUGAAAAAGUAUAGGAAUGAAAGAUGACUUAAGCCCCCGUGGCUUUCUCAAUCACCCACUAGUUGGGUGUUCUCUACAAUAUUAUUUAUGCAACAAAUUUAAUUUCGGUGGUUAGAAAUUUGGUGAGAAGUCUUAUUCAUAGAAUCACAGCAUCUAAUGGAUGCUGAGGAAUUAUUACGCAAGUGUCAGGUGAGUGUUUCAAAAGAAGAGGAGGCAGACAUGGUAACAUUCAUGGGGCGGAUGAAGAUAAAGGGAGAGGAGGUAGCUGCAAAUUGUGUAGUAGGCAAAGUGCUAACAUCAAGAAGUAUAAACAAGGAGGGCUUGAAAGCUGCAAUGCAAAUGGCUUGGAGAACUGUCAAAGAGGUUAAAAUAGAAAGUAUGGGGGAUAAUAUUUUCCUGUUCAAGUUCGCCUCUGAAGAAGAAAAGAAAAGGGUGCUCAUGGGAGGGUCGUGGCAUUUCGACAGAGCAUUGAUAGUUUUGACCGAACCAACAGGGAUUGGAGAUAUCAAAAAUCAAUCUUUUACACAUGCCACAUUUUGGGUUCAGCUUCAUAACAUACCAAUAAUGUGUAGAAACAAGGAGGCCAUCCAACAGCUGGGAGAAAAAAUUGGUACAGUCAAGGAAGUGGAGACAGACGAAGUUGGGGAAUGUAUUGGGCAGUUUGCUAGAGCCAGGAUAUCCAUUGAUAUUUCACAGCCUCUAAAAAAGAUUGUAUUCCUACAACAAGCGGAUGGCAAAACUCCAAUGCCAAUUUUGUAUGAAAACUUCCGGAUUUUUGCUUUUGUUGUGCGCAUAUCGGUCACCAGUACAGGGAAUGCUUGAGAUACAAAGGACAACAAAAGGAGGACUUGCCUUAUGGUGGUUGGAUGCGAGCUGUUACACAAGCUGACAGGAUAAAGCAAAAACGUAGUAGGUAGAAAGGCAAUCGAGAGCAAUCCAAUCCCAAAGAAAAUGUGCAAGCAACAACCAAUCCAAGCUCAAACAACCCGAUUGAUCAAGACAGGUCAAAAUUGAACAAUUCGGAUCGGGAAAUCAGAGAUGGAGCAGAACCAGAGGAUACAAGAAACCUGCUGAUAUCUGACAAAGCACAUUUAAUGUUGACCUCUUCAGAGACGAAAAAUCAGCAAGUGGGGAGUCAGAGUAUGGGCUGUGACAUCGACGAGGUGCAGAAUAGGGUGGCAAGUAAUGAUAGCCACUAUAGCUAUGAAAGUACAAAGGCAGGAGAAAAGAUUUUGAAGGAGAACGAAAAUCCUGUGGAUAAAACAGGAUUGGAAAUAAUAAAAGAUAAAAGGAAGCAGAUUGAAGAGAGUGCCAGAUCUGAUGUGGAAGAAAUGGAUAGUGGGCCAAGCAAGACCAACGCGAAGCCCAAAGCGAGAAAAUGGAAACUUAAGGCAAGAAUUCCAAUAGCAAAAGGAGCGAAGAAUUAUGGGUUAAUAGGAGCAAAAAGACCUAGCAGUGAUGACCAUCAGCUCAGCCCACAACACAAAAAAAUAAGAGUGCUCAGUCCACCAAAACAAUCACACGUGGGAAACCACACAAGCUUAGCAAUAAACUCAGACUACAGCAACCACAUUAGCUCAAACAGAACAGCCCGGCAGCUACAAAUAACAGAAGAGAUAUCAGAUGAAGGGGAAUAUGUGGCAGCUAUGGAAGAAGAAGUAUCGGCGGGUGUUGAAUUUCAAGCCCGCCGACAACCAUGAAACUCUUAAGUUGGAACGUUCGAGGUCUGGGGAAGCCUCGAACGCGCUUAGCUUUCAAAAAAAUUCUCCACCUGCACCGGCCUCAAAUUUUCUUCUGUUGUGAAACCAAGAUGUUGGCUAGGCAGGUUGAAUCGAUUUGUAGAGAUUUUAACUUCGAGAAUUGUUUUGCAGUAGAUAGAACGGGCAUGGGGGGAGGUCUAGCUUUGUUUUGGAGUGCAAAUGUUAAUGUUCGCAUUACCUCAUACAGCCCACAUCAUAUAGAUGCAAUAGUGAGUAGUGAAAGUGGUUUGAGGUGGAGAUGCACCGGGAUCUACGGCCAUCCUGAGUUCAGCCAGAAGCAUAAUACUUGGACUCUCAUGAAAAGGUUAGCCAGCCUAUUUUCCUAUCCUUGGUGCUGUUUUGGUGAUUUCAAUGAGAUAAUGCAUAUGCAUGAGAAAACCAGGGGCAAUGAGAGAAACCUGAAUAGGGUUGCCGAGUUUAGGGAAGCUGUGCAAAGCUGCAAUUUGCAGGAUAUGGGGUGUAAGGGAUAUCCCUAUACGUGGUCAAACAAAAGAUACGGAGAUCAUUUCAUUGAGGAGAGAUUGGACCGAUUUCUGUGUAGUAAAGAUUGGGGGAUUAAUUUCCAAGAAUCUGUAGGCACAGAUCUAGUGAACUGGUCUUCGGACCACUGCCCAAUUAUUCUAGAAUUCUAUGAGCGAAGCAUAAAAUUGAGAAAUGCGGGCAAAUCAUUCCCCCGAGAUUAUUAUGAGGAUAUGUGGAGCUCCCACGAAGGCUGUAAGAGUAUAGUCCAGGAAGAGUGGAGUCGGUAUGGGGCUAGAGCUUGGGAAUCCCCUGUUCAGCAAUUUCAGCGAAUAGCCAAAUCUUCCUUGGCCCAGCUAAAACUUUGGAGCAAAACCGAAUUUAAUGGUAGGCAAAGAAAGCAAGAAAAGCUGAUACAGAGCCUCCAGGAUGCUAUGAGAGGGAAUUCAAAGCUGGAUGAUGGCCAGGAAAUUAGGAGAUUGGAAAGUCAGAUUAACUCUAUGCUAGUUGAUGAGGAGAUUUACUGGAAACAGAGUUCGAGGGCUGACUGGCUUAGAGAAGGGGAUAAGAACACGAAGUAUUUUCACGCCAAAGCAUCUGCCCGCAAAAGGAAGAACAAGGUGUGGGGGAUUGAAAACGACCAAGGCAUUUGGUUGAAGGAAAGGGAUGAAAUAGAGGAGGAGAUUUGCAGCCAUUUCCAAGAGCUAUUCACUACUUCCGGCCCGACUCCAAGCCAAAUCCAAGCAACCCUUUAAGGCAUGCCUGCUAAAGUAACUCCGGAGAUGAAUGUUCAGCUGGAGACGCUGUUCACCGCUGAAGACGUUGAGGAAGCCCUUGCCAACAUGUGUUCCACAAAGGCCCCAGGGCCUGAUGGUCUUCCAGCUGCCUUCUUCCAGAAGCAUUGGAAAUCUGUCCGUAUCGGAGUGAUCUCAACGUGCCUUAAUGUCCUUAAUGAGCAAGGUAACCCAUCUACCCUCAAUCACACUUUCAUUGCUUUGAUUCCAAAAAUUGCAAAUCCUAGGAAAGUGAGUGAUUAUAGACCUAUCAGCCUCUGUAAUGUUAUUUAUAGAGUUGUAGCUAAGGCCAUUGCAAAUAGAAUGAAGCCGAUCCUUUCCCAAAUCAUCUCCCCUAUGCAAAGUGCAUUCAUCCCCAAUAGGCUCAUUACCGACAAUGUUAUUAUUGGUUAUGAAUGCCUUCAUAAAAUAAGGCAUAGCAAAGGGAAGAAGAACGGACUUGUGGCUUUAAAAUUGGACAUAAGUAAGGCUUAUGAUAGAGUUGAGUAGCCUUUUUUGGAACAAACUAUGCUAAAGAUGGGGUUUCCUAGUAAUUGGGUAGCUUUGAUAAUGAGAUGUGUUACUUCCACUUCAUUCUCGGUGCUUAUUAAUGGUGUGCCAAAAGGAAUGAUCCAGCCGGAAAGAGGCUUGCGACAGGGCUGCCCGCUAUCCCCGUACCUUUUUAUCCUUUGUGCAGAGGCUCUCUCCAAUUUGUUGGUUUUGACAGAACAGAACCAGCUAAUCCGAGGUCUCAAAUUUGCGCGGGAAGUUUCAAUUACUCACUUGCUGUUUGCGGACAACAGCUUGGUUUUCUCUCGUGCAUCAGUGGCUGAAUGCAGGCAUUUAAAAGAAAUUUUUGAUAAAUAUGCUGCAGCAUCAGGGCAGAUUUUUAAUUUCUAGAAAUCCUCAUUAUUUUUCAGUGGGAAAAUUCCAGAGCAUCAAAGGGCUGCUAUAAGGGGUAUAUUUAAUCUAAAUGUGGUCUCAAAGGACGAGAAAUAUCUCGGUCUUCCAUCAAUGCUUGGGAGAAAGAAGAUGGGGUUCUUUAAUGACAUCAAACUAAAAGUGUUGAACAAGAUUGCAGGAUGGCAGCAUAAAAUAUUGUCUAGUGGGGGGAAGGAAGUUCUGAUCAAAGCGGCUGCCCAAGCAAUUCCAGCAUAUGCAAUGAGUGUUUUCAAGCUCCCAAGAGGCUUUUGUGAUGAUAUUCAGCGAGCUAUAGCGAAGUUCUGGUGGGGCUCGAAAGGGGAUAAGCGUGGAAUCCAUUGGCGGAAAUGGGAGAAGCUCAGCCAGGCAAAGAUUAGAGGGGGGUUGGGAUUUCGAGAGUUUACUUGCUUCAAUCAAGCAUUGGUAGCUAAGCAAGCAUGGAGGUUACUGCAGUACCCAAAUUCGCUAGUCUCAAGAGUCCUUCAAGCAAGAUAUUUAAGGAAUUCCAGCUUUUUAUGUGCGAAGGCAGGAGCCAAUGCCUCGUAUAUUUGGAGAAGCAUCAUGUGGGGUAGGCAGGUGAUUAAGAAGGGUAUGAGAUGGCAGAUAGGUAAUAGCAAGAAGAUAGCAAUCUUCUUGGAUAACUGGCUGCCAAGACCAGAGACCUUUAGACCUAUCUUCCCUCCAUCAUUGCCUGUAAGCUCAGUUGUUGCAGACUUAAUUAAGGCUGAUAAUCAAUGGGAUGAAAUAAAGCUUCGACAACACUUCAUGGAUGCAGACACAGCAAAGAUCCUCAAGAUUUCCCUCCCAGCUGAGAAAGCAGAAGAUGAAGUGCUUUGGCAUUACGACAAAAGAGGGAACUACUCUGUCAAGAGUGGGUACCAGCUAGCCUUGAGAUCAAAAUUUCCAGAUUCCACCAGCUGCACAUAGGCUUCCAUCAAGUAUUGGAGUGCCCUUUGGACAUUGGAGCUGCCUGAGAAGCUUAAAAUUUUCAUGUGGAGGGCUUCAAAUAAUCUGCUUCCAUCAGCGGAAAAUCUGUGGAAAAGGAAGGUAGUGGAGGAGCCAACUUGUAAGCGAUGCAAAAUAAGUGUUGAGACUAUCAGCCAUGCUCUCUUGGAGUGCAAGGCAGCGAGAAAGAUUUGGCUCCAAUCCCCCUUUUCAGCCCCUAGCUUAGAAGCUAAUUCUCAGGAGAUUUUCAGCACUCUGCAAAAUAUGGCUAAGGAGCUGAGGAAAUCAGAUCUGGAAUUAAUGGUAGCUCUAUGUUGGUCUGCCUGGUAUGCUAGGAACAAAUGUAUCUUCGAUGGCAGGGAGAUUAAUCCUCUUAUCUCAGCUGCUAAAGCGGAGUCAGUAUUGACAGCAUUUCAGAGAGCUAGGAAGCCCCAGCAAGCUCACAUCUCUAUCUUCAGAAAAGCGAAGCAGCAGGAGUGGCUCCCCCCCCCCUCCCCCGGAGAAUUUUUUAAAGUUAACGUGGAUGCUGCUAUUACUUCAAAGAAUCUGAGUGCAGGAGUGGGAGCUGUGAUUAGAGACUCUAAUGGAAAAAUAGUUGCGGCUGGGGUAAAUCAGAACCUCCUAAAGGGGUUAGUUAGCUUGGCUGAAGCAGAGGCGGUGCUUUGGGGCCUUCAGCUGGCAAGAAGUGCGGAUGUAUCCUCUUUGAUUAUUGAGUCUGAUUGUUUAGAGGUGGUCCAGCUAGUGAACAACACCAAGGGCAGCAGAUCAGAUAUUUUUUGGACAAUUCUGGCAAUCUAAAACCAGAUGAAGAACUUCCAGAAUGUUGUUGUCAAUCACAUUCCAAGACAUUGUAAUGCUUGUGCCCAUUACCUAGCUAAGAUAGCUUUGGGGAAAAUCUCUCCCUGUAUGUGGCUGGGAAAUAUUCAGCUGAAUUGUAUGGUAUUCUCAAGGUGUUGUGAUUAAUGAAAGGCUUACUUUCUUUUCAAAAAAAAAAAACUCAAUGUAAGUACACAUUUUUUUCCCCAACAACACAAAAAAACAAUUGCUUCUUCAACUUCUUCUGUUAUCCAUAUGCUAAAAAAAAAAAAAUAAGAACAUUGAAGAAAGAAGGCAUUUAUAUUGUCAUUAAAAGGAGGUUUUCCACUUGUGAUUUCCUUCCAGCCAUUAACGUAAUCCGACAUUCGAUCAUUCCAUUGCAUGACUCGUGAAGAACGGUAGGCUCUUGAAUGCUUUUAUUUUCUUUCAAUUUAAGAGGCAUUUACUUAUAAAAAUCCUAUGCUUUUCCUUAAAACAAAUAUAUUUUCCUAAUUAACUAAAGUUCUCUUAAAGCAAAGUACUUCAUUGGAAUUCAUCUACUUACAAAAAUCCUCUCUAUUUAAGAUUUGCUCAGGUACACUCUCCCAUCAGAUUUAGAAAGUCAAAUUUUCUGAUAUAUUUUAAAAUUUGCAGUAUGAUAUUUUAUUUUCUUUAAAGAAAGGAUAACAUAAAAUUGUGUAAGAUCAAUUAAAGUAGAAAUUUGAUUCAUGCGUAACUAUAACUUAAGUGAUCACAUAAUAGUUGACUUCUUUUUACAAUUUCGACAUGCUUAUUUCAUUUUUUGUGUAGUUUUUAUUUUGUUUUAUUUUAUUUUUACUAUUAUACUCUUGACUAUAGUAAGCCGAAAGUUGAUAUUAUAUUUUAAAAUAAAUAUAAAUAUAUUAUAUUAUUAAAUAAAUAAACUAAAUAUAUUAUAUUUUAAAAAUAAAAAUAAAUUUAUUAUUAAUAUAAAUAAUAUAAAAUUAUUAUUCUUGAUUAUUUUAUUUUUACUAUUCCCUGACUUUAUCACCGAGCGCGCAUCUCAAAUUCAAAUGUUAUUUUGCACAUGAUAAUUCAUUUACAUUCCAUUUAUUCAAAAAUCUGUUAUAAAUCAGUUAAGGGUUAGUGACGUGGCAUUGGUGUCCAUGUUUGUUAACCGUGGUUAGCACUUCAGCAGCAGCUACAAAAUAAACACAGGGUCUGAUUUAUUGUCAAUCUUUAAUGUGUCCGUUUGUCGGGUAGAGCGACGAGUUAAGAGAGUGUUUAUUGAGCUCACGCUCUUCCUUGUCAUUUCCUCUGUGAAUUUUUAUGGGUUUAAAUACUUGAACCUCGGAAUUGAGGCUACAAUGUUUAGUGCACAUAUGUUGAAUAUGAAUAUGAUCGAUCUCAGCUUGAUUUGGGCCCAGAACAAACGAUAAAUAGACAAAGGAAUGAUUAUAUGGAAUUCGCAGGCCAGGUUCAAGAGAGGAGUUGUUGAGGAAUUAUGGUAUAAUUCUCGUGCCUAGGACGUGUUCGAUAAUAUGCCUACGAAGGAAUGUGCAUCCCACCUGAUGUGUUGCAUCAACUCUAUGGUUUCCCACGCAAAAGCAAUCAAUCAACAAGGUCAAUUCGUGAAGGUUUGUCCUGCGUGAGUCAUAGCUAGUGAGCAGAUUCUGAGAGUCUUUAGUCUUUAACAGAAUUUUACCACAAACACAGUGCAAACCCAGUGUUUAUCUAAUCAAUUAUUUUCUUUUUCUAGCGGCUAACCUUUUUGCAAAUUUCUAAAUAGAAAUAUACAUGACAGAAUUUUCAUUAUUUGUUGUUUCAUGAAUGAUGUGGUAGAAUGAAGGAAUUGUAGAAUUUCUUGAGUUUUAGACAUAAAACAGAGUCAGGCCAUGGAAUGAAUGAAAAAAAUAUCAUCACAUUUGUUGGAAUGAUGCUGUGCUUUAUUCAAAAUUAUUUCUUCCACUAGAGAAGCAAUCAAUAAUAGUGUUAAUUCUUGAACCUGUGAAAAGCAAUUAAUUUUCUCCAUUUGUUUACUAGCAAUCUUCCAUAACCAUUGUGCUUGGCUGUGAAAUAGCCUAUUUGUGGCUGAACAUAGAAUCUGUUUUUUGUUUCUUUGUUGCUUUUUGUGAUCUUUGGCUUAAUUUACAAUUCAUGGCAUGUCUGAAAAUGGGUCGAUGAAUAUGUUAAAUAUGGACUCAGAUCUAGAUCAGAUUUAUCCAUGAAACAAUCAAGAGGAUUCAACAUUUGAUUUUUGUUUUUCUUUUCUCCACCCCCAUGUUUAAUUUUGGUCGGAGGACUUGGUUGAUAGGAAUUGACAACAAUUGAUUUUCCUUUUUUUCGUUAAACAAGAGACCACAAUGUCAAUUUGAAGACUUUGUUGAUAAGAAUUGACAACUGUUGGUUCUUAUUAUUUGUUUUUGUUUAAUAGAAGAUGCCUUGGAAUUCCGCAUCGUUGACAUGUAGUUGAUAUUUAAAACAUUUUGAUGUUAGAGCUUAGAAUGUUUGCUGUUGGAAUUCUUAUUAAGAAAAUUACUAUGCUGCUUGCAACAUAAUCAAAGUUGUAAGUUUUAUGCCCUGCAGUUCUCUUUAUUUUCAAUUAUGUUUUUGAAUUUUCAGAAUAAAUAUGAAGAAAAAGAUCAUUAAUUUCCAAAGCAGAGAAGAAAAUAUUUUCAGAAUUAUACUACAAUGACUAUAGGGAGAUCCUGAAAAUGAGAUUCUUGAUGUUCAUCAAAUAAGUUUUGAUGGGUCAAAAGAAACAGAGAAGAAAAUAUUUCUCGAUCUUGCAUGUUUCUAUGAAGGGAAGCACAGAGAUUAUGUGAAAACAAUUCUCAAAUAUUGUGAUUUUGACCCAAUUAUCGAAAUUGUUGGUCCUAUUGACAAAUCUCUAUUAACUGUAGAUGAUUUCGGCGGACUGUGGAUGCAUGAGUAGUUACAAGAAAUAGGGUAGACAAAUUGUUAGGAGGCAAUCCCAUCAGGAGCCUGGAAACUGCAAUAGAUUGUGGGAAAAAGCCGAUAUAUGCCAUGUAUUAUCACAAAGCACAAGUAGAGAUGGCAAAACCCCGGGCCGGGUCCGGGUAUUGCCAUGACCGGACCCUGCCCGGAUGCAACCGGUCCGGGUCCGGGUCUGGGCCGGGUUUUAUCCGGGUACCCGAAUUUUAUGUUUUUUAAUAUUUUAUGUGUAUAUAUUUUUAAUUUUUUGGUAAUUUUAUAAGUUUUAAAUUUAUUUUAAUAAAAUUUGACAUGAAAAUAUAAACUUUAAGUGUUUAAAACUUUAUAUAUGUAUAAUAAAUGAUUCAAAUAAAUAUAAAAUAUUUAAAAUAAUAUAUAUUUUAUAAUUUUUUUUAAUAAAAUCCGGGUUCCGGGUUUAUCAAGUGAUGCCCAAGACCGACCCGGCUUCAUACCCGGGCCGGGUAUUACCCGGCCCGCAACGCCCGGGUACGGUCCGGGUCCGGACCGGGCGGGUAUUUUUGCCAUCUCUAAGCACAAGUAAAUGUUCAGUUAGGUUGAAAACUUGCAAUUUUGGGAUCAUGAUCACUUAUUUAACUAGUUAAACCUUUGCAUAGUUUUAUCAAUAUUUUCUUUCUUUCAUUUUUUUUUUUUUGGUUCCCACUUAUUUUUUGUUAUAAUGUUUAGGAAACUGAUGUAGUUGAAGCAUCAUAUUUGAUUAACAACAAUGAGAUGCAUGUCAGUGCUAAAGCCUUUUCUAAUAUGACCAAUCAGACUUCACAAGAGUACCAAAUUUAGGGGAGCUGAUUUCUGAAAGAUUUACAAGGUUGCAGGAGAUUCACUCAUUUUUUCUGCUUCAAAGAAGCUGAUUCUGUUGAAUUUGAAAGGUUGUACAAGUCUUUCAACUCUUCCAGGCAAGAUCUUUAUGAAAUCUGAUUAAGACACUUGUUCUUUCUGGUUGCUUGAAGUUGAAGAAAUUUCCAGACAUUGUGCAAGUUCUUCCGGAUGGAACUGAUAUUAGAGAACUGUCAUUAGCAAUUGAACUUCUAUUUGGACUUGUUUAGUUGACUCUGAAUGGCUGCAAAAAUCUUGAGCAUCUUCCAAGGACCGUAAGAGCUCUGAAAUAUCUAUCAACUUUGAAUCUUUCCGGCCUUUUGAAAUUCAGAUAGUUUCCACAGAUAACUUCAAGCAGGGAUCAGCUCUUGGAGAUUCAUUUGGAAGGAACUGCUAUAAGAGGAUUGCCAGCAUCUAUUGAACUUCUUUCUGGCAAUGUUUUGUCGAAUUUGAAAGAUUGCAAGAAUCUCAAGAGUCUUCCAUGUAUGAUAAAUGGUUUGAGAUCUCUUAAAUUGUUGUAUCCCUCUGGUUGCUCCAAACUUAAAAAUGUGACAGAGACCUUGGGGAAAGUUGAAAUCUUGGAAGUAAGAUUGUCUUGUUAGAAUCAGGCGAAAAUGCAGAAUGACUUCAACUGUGUGGAACAGAGUGCAGUGGAGACAGUAACAAAGUUAGCAAAAGCAGAAUCGCUAAGGUACUUUACAAAAUUAAUAAUUUCCUUUAUAACAUGCAGUACCGUAUUACUUCUAUGUGCAUUGCUAUCAAUAUCUUCGACCGAAAGAUUCAGAUUCAUGGAAGAAGAAUGUUGAUAAGGGCAUCAAGCUAUCUACAACAGCAAUAUCAGCUUGCUCACUUGCCUGCCAUAGGCUGAUUCAAACCUCAAGAGCCAUGCCGAAGAGUUGAAUCAAAUAACAGCAAAUUCACAUCUUAGGUGGCCUUUUCUUCCAGCUUAGUCACUGCAUCAUUUUUUUUAUAGCAGGUUCGUUCUAUAAUAAUCUCAUAGGCACAUAUCAUGAACUUUGUUUUAUCAUGCUUGCAUACUUUGUUUACUUCUGCACAGUGAUAUACACAUUCACUAUCUCUAUUUUGCAUGACUACUAUAAAUUUAAGUAGAAAUUGAUUUUGGAAUAUGCUCUUAUCCUUUAUUAAUCAUAUAAAAAGUUCAUACGUGAGGGUAUACUAUUUACAGCUGUCUUGCGGAUGGAUUUAUAACCUUACUAAGUAAUAUUAUCAACAAUUUUUGGAUUUGCUGAUUUUAGAGCCUGGUCUUAGAAUCCAUAAUGCAUUGACAAAUACAGAAAUGAUCAAAUUGCUAGCCUCAGUAGUUGCUAUUUAUGUUAUUAUUGAAAGAUGAUUCAAAUUCUUUAUGUAUGUUAGUUUUUGUUUGGGCGGGAAAUUUAAGUUUUAUCUUAGUUGACUCUAUUGACCACCGCUUGUAUCAAAAAAAUCUGAAUACUGGUCGUACGAGUACUAUAUAGCAGACCCGAGGGCAUGCGAGGAGAGACCAAAAUCGAGUCAGAUCGAAGGCUUGAUCAAAGGCCAACACGUAGUUUGUCUCCAAGAAACUCGGGCACAAAGCCCAUUCAGCGGCAGUUACAUUGUCCAUUGACCCAUGAUUUCAAAGACGCAGCACGCACCUUUUCACUUCCAAGCCAACAGUAAUCGUGGGGAAGAUGGAGUCGAUGGUUCAGGUUGGGUAUAAAAGCUACGGAGAAUGGAGGUAAAAAGGGCUGGACAAAUUUUUUUUUUUAAUUUCCAUAUUUUCUCUCUCUUUGACUUUUUCUCUCUCGAUAAUUCUCUCUAUUUAUUUUUCUUCGUUUUGAGAAUUAAGAUUUCUAACUUUCAAUUGAUAUAAUUAAGUAAUGAGUUUGUGAUACAAGUUUUUCUAAAAGAGACCCAAUUACUGACAUGAGCGUUGGAGGAUUUUCGCCAAAAAAUUUUUGGUGCCGCUCUAAUUGGAUAUUGUGAGUAUAGGUGAUUCAACUUAGCGAGUUUUGGUUGAAGCUAUCUACUCGAGUGCGAUAGCCGUCGCACUGAAUCAGCUCCCUAGCAAAUAAAAUUUAAACGUUGGCGCAGAUGGCCUGGUCGCAGUUCCAUCGAUCAGAUUCCUGCAUCAACACCGUCAGGACUCUACCAAGUUUACCUCAAGUUUCCAUCAAGACACAACAUGAUGAUCCAUGUCACAAAUUAUUUCUAAUGUUACGAUUAUAUUUAAUGGAAAUGACUCAGAAAUCUACUUCUAAUAGACGUUUUUAGAUUUAGUCCCGUGUAUUUUAUACAAUUGAAGCUUCCAGGAAAUUUUGCGGUAAUGUCAUAUGAUGUAUUGUCGGUAGACACGAUGAAAAUAAUUAAAAUGUCACUUUUUGACCAAGACUUGCUUUUCGUUUUGUCAUACAAACAAACAACAACAGAGAUGGGAAGAUAGAAUUUGUGUGACGCACAACUAUGCUUUCUCAAUAAAACAGAACUUUAAUUCUCCAAAUAGAAGUCCUCUGCUUUCCCCUGAAUUCCAUUAAGUAGCUGCCUGCUACAGUAAUGAGUUGACUCUAUUGACCACUGCUCGUAUAAAAAAAAUCUGAAUAAUAAACUUACAACUUGUGAGGCUUGUAACCAAAAGAUGCCUAAAACCAAUUAUUUCUAAGAGAAGUGGACAGCUUGAAUAAUAAAUGUACAAUAAAAAAUUUACUUUUGUUGUGAUUUUCACAAAUGGAUUAAAAAAAAAAUGAUUGGCGGAUUGAAUAAUGAAUGUACAAUAAACAAAAAAAUUUACUUUUGUUGUGAUUUUCACGGACGAACAAAAAAGACAAAAGGGAUUAUAAGUGUAUUUAAACGGUCCAUUAGCCUUUAACAUUUACUUUCAAAUCUUUACUUAUCUCAACAAGAAAUUUCUAUAACUUUAAAAAAAAAAAUUAAAGAUUAUAGUGGAAUUCUUCGGAAAGAAUAAAUUCUUGAAAGAUUUUGGUGGAAAUUUUCCAAAAUAAUAAAAUUUUUAAAAAGAUUAUCGUGGAAUUUUUCUAAAAGAAUAUUUUAUUCACUUUGCCCUAUAAAAUGCAAUUACAUUGAGGCCGCCCUUGAUAAAAUACUAAAAGAAAUCAUUGCUUUCCUCAACAUCAUGUCGACCAUAACUUUGAUUCUAUGCACCACUAAAGACCAUGAUCAUGGUUCGUAAUUGCUUUCAGCAGACACUUUUGAUUACACUUUUUGUUUUUGAGAAAUUAAUUAGAGCACAAAACAUUCCUUUCAUUGAUUUCUUUGAAAGAAACUUAGGUCCUCUUAUACUGUAAUUUUUUAGUUUUAAAUUAUUAAAAAAAUUAUAAUUAUAAGAUAAAAAUUAAUAGUAUAUAAUGAAUAUAAUUUUUAAAUAAUAAUUUUUAUAAAAUUAAUAAAAAUAUAAUAAAUUUUUCAUCAUACAACAUAAUUUUUAAGAUAUAAUAGUUAAUACUCAUUAAACACUUUAGUAUUAUAGUUUAAAAAUUACAAUUUCCCAAGCUCAAUUCCAAAUAAAGCCUUAAGUAGAAGAUUAAGUAAAAAUUUACGAUCUUUAUUGCUUCCGAUAAGCUCAAAAAUGCCAGUUAAUUUUCUUACAUUUUUUCAUUUCAAAUAAAAGUAAAAUGCCGAAUGUAUUAAAAUUUGUCAAAAUUUUAUGCUAAAAAUCAUUAGGAGAAAAAUGAUUAUUUUAGCCAUUUUGAGUCCCCCGACAGAUUUUGAGGGAGAUUGGAAUCUUGUGUAAUUUUGCUGUUUGGAGUUAUGAUGCAUCUUUAUCGUCUUUUCUGUUGACUGAACUUGAUUGACCUCUGCAUGCGACCUCAUGUAGGUCCGUCCGCUGAAAUACGGGUUACGUGUUCUUUAAUGGAUCAACUCGACCCGUAUUUGACCCGAUAUUGACCCGCGUUUGGUUGGACCGUAGGAUGUAUGUGACGUGUCUUGUUGGCCGUUGAUCCGCCUUGUGUGAGGGUACUGGAUGGUUGACGUUGUAUCUGGACCACUAUUUUGAUCAUAUUGAACGCGGUCCAAGGGUUCUGAAGCUGUCACGUACUCUGCUACUUCAAACCCUUGUUUAAUUCAAUUUGGUGGAUCCAACGGCCAUUUUCCGCAUCUCUUUAAAAUGUUAAAGCAUCAUUUUAAGCUCUACAGGCCGUCGAGUUCGAGCGAGCUUAUGAUGGGUGUCGAAGCCAACAAAAAUAAAUUCCUACUCUAAAUAAAUUGUGUAUAGUGAUUGAGCAGGGUCGUGUCCACAGAGAUCGGUAAUUAUUUAAAUCCUUUUGAAACGUAAAACGUAAAAUGGGGGAAUUGUUGACAAUAAUAAAAAUAAAAUUAAAAAUAACAAGAAUGCAAAUUAAAGUUGUAAUUCAAAUUGGAGAAAGCUCUGGUUGAAGGAAUUACCUCAGCUUGAUUCGACUACUGAUCAUUGAUUCAAAUAUAGAUUAUUAUUACUCAUGAAUAGACCGGUUAUAGCUACUAAGACCCUCUAAUAGACAAUCUCUCCUUAACUAGUCGAUAACCAAGGUACGACCGUUGGUUAUUUCCCUAAUCAAUAGACAACCCUAGAUACGAUCAUAGAAUUUAAUCAAUUGACAGCCUGAAAAACCAGAGAGACCCAAAUCCUAAUCAACACAUAUGAUGAUUCAUUUAAAUUAGAUUGUUUAUUCUCACAACACAACUCUCUGCUAUGUUAUUUGUCACAAACAUUAAAUUCUUCAUACAAUGAAUCCUUUAAUUGACAAUAGAUUAAGUUGAUAAUUAAAUAGUGGUCAAUUACCUAAUUAACAAACAUAAUCAUGAAAAUAAUUUAGAGAAUAAACAAAUACCCAAAAAGUAAUAAAACAAUUAAAGCACAAGAAAGAUCUCACAGUAGUGAUGAAUCAAAGCUUCAUUAACCUUCAACCAGAAAAAUGAGUUUAGUUCCUCAUAGAGAGAAGAGAAAAAUUAGAUCUAGGGUUUCUUUUUCUCCAAUCCAAAAAUCUCCCCUUUUUCACAAUAGAUUACUCCCUUAAAUACUCUCUCUCUCUUCUCUUUUAGAAUUCUAUUUAAAAUAAAAUACUAAUAUCUGAAAUAUUAAGUUCGUAAUUACAAAAAUAACCAAAAAUACAAAACACGUUAAACUAAAAACUGCAGGUCCGCAGUUGACAGCACGCGCCCACGCCUUAUCAACAAAGUUCUUCUGACGCUCAUAAUUUCUUCAAGAGAACAAUCCUCCUUAAACAUCAUCUUUUAGCUCAAUUUUAUCACCAAUCAAUAGAAUUGCACCUACAAAAGUAAAACACAAGUAAAACAUUAUUAUUAAGUGCAAAACAUCGAUAUUAAGGGAAGUAAACAAUGCAAAACUAGUGCAUAAAUUGCACUCUAACAAAUUCCCCCACACCAAGAUGAUGCUUGUCCUCAAGCAUAUAACUCAAGAUUAAUCCCAAAUCUCCACUCAAUUCUCAUCUCAACUCAUCCAAAAUAAUUUUAAGCAAGCAUACCUCAAGAAAUUAAGUCGAUCAACAUUCGAGAGACAAGGAUUUUAAAGCAUAGAAUCUCAUAAGAUAGAAUAAGAACAUUCAACCACCAAGAAGAUCCAUUCAAAAUUCAAGUGCAACAAGAUGUAAUAGCCCUCUCAAUAACUUCACUCCAUGCACUCAAAGUGUUUAGGGUGUCAUUUAUCCACUCAAAUCAAAUCAAAGAAUGCUAUUACCAUAAGCUUGCUCAUAUAUCACAUCUCAAUCCACAAAACAUGAAUAAAAUGCAAAAAUCUAAGGGUCUUAAAAGGGUUGUAAUGGGGUUAAAUGGGUUAAAUGAAAAAGAAAGGUUUACAAAAGAAAAAGAGAUCAAAAUGAGAAGAAUGAACUCAUUGAAUGAACUUAUGAUAUCAAAAUGCUUAUUUCUACUCAAGUCACCAAGAAUGUAAACAUUUUUUUUUUUUGAUUUUUUUUUUCGAUUUUUCUUUUUCAUUUUUUUUCAUUUUUUUUUUCAUUUUUUCAUUUUUUUUUUGUUUUUUUUGUUUUUUUCGAAUCAAACAAAAGAAACGAACCUUGCACAAUUUAAUUCAAGCAUAAUGCUUGUUGAUCUAAUUGAGAAACUUCAAUACAAGGUAGAAAAAGCAACAAAAUGUACCCACACAAUGAGUCCAAAAAUCUCCUUAAAUUGAGGCUAAAAAAGAAGAAAAAUGGUUAAGUAGACGGAGAGAAUUAGAUGGGUAAUGGUUAAGGCUCAAACAAAGGUAGCAAAUAAAGGUCUUCGGGUAGAGAAAAAGGAAAAUGCGAGAAUAGAAAAAUGGUAAAUGGUUUGCCCUUAUCAUUUUAAUGCCUAAAAUCCCGUAAUGCGGCUUCAACAUGCAUAACAAAGCAAGUUCUAGAAUAAACAAACUAAGAUUGAUAUUCACAUAACAAAAAUAUUAGAGCAAAGUGGUUGCUCAUAGGCUCAAAUCCUCACAAAGUUGGUAAAUUUGCCAUCAAAUCAUGUACACUCUUCAAAUGAAUCAACCAUCAAUAGUGGUGUAGAAUGGGAAGAAGGUAUGAGUGAAGGAAAGGUAAAAAUGAUAAGAAGUGAGAAAGAUGUAUGUAGUAAUAUGAAAAGUGAAAGAUAAAAUGUGAGUGAUGAAAGAGUAUGAUAGAAUAAAAAUAGAUGUAAAUAAUUUGAGAUAGAUGGGAAAAAAGUAGUGAGAAAGAAAAGAAAAGAAAAAUAAUAAUAUAUGAAGCAUACUAACUCCAAAAUCAUUUAAGGAUGAGUAGAGUGAAAAUAGAUGAGUAGAGUGAAAACAAUAAUUCCAGACAUCAAUAAUGCAAAAAUCCCUCCCCCACACCAAGAACUGACAUUGUCCCCAAUGUAAGAUAAUCAAAGCUCACAUAAAAAUUAAAGCGUAAGGAUAAAAGAUUAAGGGCAAAAACUUCCCUGAAUUGUGAUCUUUGAUCCUCAUAACGUCUAUAGGCUUGGCGGGAAUGGUGGGAUAAAUCCCACACUCUUGAAGUAUGCGGCCAAAUUCUGCUCCAUCUUGUCACGGAUUUCGAUUCACGCGCCUGGAAUGCAGGUCGUAGGCUGGUUGCGUUGCGAUUGCUGCUCGGCUGGAGCUUGCUUGAUGGACGCGGGAUGGCACUGAUUGUGUUGCGCGCGCGCGCUGGGGCUGCUGGAUCUGCACGCUGCGUGGGCUGUGUUGCGAGGCGUUGCUGCUGCUGCUUCACGAGGGUGAUUGCUGGAUUGAUUUGUGCUGUGCGCGCGGGCUGGAGCUGAGGAUCUGUGUUGCGGGGCGUUACUGCUACUGCUUCGCGGGAUGUGUUGCGCGCACGGUUGCUGCUGAUUUCGCACGAUGGUGAUGGCUGGGGCUUGCUGCGUUGCGCGCGGCAGCUUUCGCUGGUGGGACUUCGUUGCGCGCUGCUGGGCUGCGAGACACGGGAUGCUGGUGCUGCGCUCACGGGAUGGUGCGUUUUCCGGCGGGCUGGUUUGUUGCAGGUGUGUUGCAAGCGGCUGGAGAAGAAAACAAGUUCUGGAAAAUUAGGGAUUUUGUGAACAGUGAAUAGUGAACAGUGAUUUUCGAUUUUUGGUUUUUUUUUAAAUAAAUAAAUAAAUAAAAAGAAAGAAAGGAAUGAAAAAAAAAAGAAAAAAAAUAAAAAUAAAAAUAAAAUAAAUAAUUUUUUUUUUUUUUUUUUUUAGUGAUGAAUCACUUUGAGACACUAAAAAUUUCAGAAGUACUUUUCUAAUAAGUACGUGGGCACGCCUUAUAAAAAAUUUUCUUCUGACCAAAAUAAGCAAACACAUUAAAUUUCAGAAGUACUUUUCUAUUAAGUACGUGGGCACGCCUUAAAACUAUGUUACUUUAAAAAUUACAGAAGUACUUAUUAGCUAAGACGUGGGCACGCCUUAUCAAAAAUUUUCUUCUGACCAAAAUAAGCACAAUUUUUUUUUUUUGAAUCAAAAUUAAAAGAAGAUAUAACAAAAACCAAAAUAAAUAAAUCAUUUGGGUUGCGUCCCAAAAAGCGCCUUUGUUUUAUGUCUUUGGCUAGACACAUUUAUGCAUCAAUCUCCAUAAUUGGGACUCUCGAGAGCCACAUCCUCCACAAUAUUCACCGAAAAACCUUCAUAAAAAGGUUUUAAGCGAUGACCAUUAACCUUAAAAAUUUUGUCAGAGGUCGGACUCUGAAUCUCAACUGCACCAUGAGGAAAAAUAUUAGUAACAAUAAAAGGUCCAACCCAACAAGAACGUAAUUUACCCGGAAAAAGUUUAAGCUUAGAAUGAAAAAGAAGAACUUUUUGACCAACAGAGAACUCCUUUCUCAAAAUCAUUGUAUCAUGAAAUGUCUUCGUCUUUUCCUUGUAAAAAACUUCCUGCACUAUAAGGUUAAUAACAUCCACAGAAAAUACCGAAUGUUCCUCACUAGGAUAUUUCAUGGCAUCAUUCAUAUUGAAUUCUAUAACCUCUCCAUCAAACUCCAUAGUGAGAGUCCCUUUAUGUACAUCCAUUUUAGUCCUAGCAGUCUUAAGAAAAGGUCUUCCUAGCAAAAUUGGGACAGAAUUAGAGGAGUUAUCAUCUUCCAUAUCAAGUACAUAAAAAUCAGCAGGAAAAACCAACUCAUUAACUUGUACUAAGACAUCUUCUAAUACCCCAUCAGGAUAUGCAUUAGACCUAUCAGCUAGUUGAAUUAUCACGCCAGUUUCUUUUAAUGCACCAAUAUUCAAAGACGAAUAAAUGGAACGAGGCAUGACAUUAAUAGAAGCUCCUAGAUCUAACAUAGCCUUUUCAACUUUGACAUUACCAAUUUUGCAAGGGAUAGUAAACAUACCUGGAUCCUUGCACUUAGGAGGUAGUUUCUUUUGGAGAACUGCUGAAACAUUCUCCCCCAUAUGAACUUUUUCAUCUCCUCUUAAUUUUCUCUUAGAGGUGCAUAGUUCCUUAAGGACUUUAGCAUAUCGAGGUAUUUGUUUUAUAGCAUCUAAUAAAGGAAUAUUUACCUCAACCUUGCGAAAUGUCUCAAGGAUGUCUUUCUCUUGUUCCUCCUUCUUGGAUUUUGCAAACCGGCUUGGAAAAGGAGGAGGUAUCACAAUAGGUAGGGGUUUCGCUCUGGUGGGUUGUGCAUCUUGAGAUUGAGGCAUCAAUUCAUUCUUCUCAAGCUCAUCUUCUACAUGCUCUGUCACUUUCUUACUAGGCUCUUGCAACUCCUUCCCACUUCUAAGGAUGACAGCACUAACGUUUUGCUUUGGAUUCACCUCAGAUUGUGAAGGCAAUCUCUCUAAUACUUGAGACUCCAGGCGGCUCAUUGUAGUCGCCAAUUGACUCAUUUGGUUCUCCAAGUUCUGAAUGCUUGUUGUAGUUGCCUGCUGAAAUUGUUGAGUGUUAGUCGCAAGCGAUUUAACAAUUUCUUCAAGAGAUAUACCUGACUUGGAGGUUGACUGUGGAGGUGCUGGUUGUCUUGGUGGAUACUGUUGUGGGAAUCCUGACGGCCUAACUCCAUAGCUGAAGUUGGGAUGAUCCUUCCAUCCCGGAUUGUAUGUUUGUGCAUAAGGAUCAUACCUCCUCUGAGGCAUGCCUGGAAAUCCUCCAACUGCAUUGGCUUGUUCAACGGGUUCUUCUUGAAGUGUAGGACACAUAUCAGUUGAAUGACCCAUAUUGUAACAAAUACCACAAGUCUUCACCUGUUGCACAUUACCUACAACAAACUUUUCCACAAGAGAAGUGAGUUUAUCUAAACGUUGUUCAACAGAAGAAAUAUUUACCUCAUUCACCUUCCUUGAAGUGGGAUCUUGCCUGCUGCCAAAUUGUUGUGUGUUGGUAGCCAUAUUUGAUAUCAACUCCCUUGCUUGAGUAGGAGUCUUGUUCACCAACACGCCUCCACUAGCAGCAUCUAUCAUACUUCUAUCCAUCAAUGAUAGUCCUUCGUAAAAAUAUUGAAUAAGAAGUUGAUCAGAAAUCUGAUGCUGAGGACAGCUGGCACACAAUUGUUUGAAUCGCUCCCAAUACUCAUACAAAGUCUCCCCAGGAAGUUGUCUAAUCCCACAAAUGUCUUUUCUGAUGUUGGCAGCUCUUGAAGCAGGAAAGUACUUCUCGAGGAACUGCUUCUUCAAAUCAUUCCACGUUGUAAUCGAUCCAGGAGGCAAGUAAUACAACCAGUCUUUAGCUAGCCCAUCUACAGAGAACGGAAAAGCACGCAGCUUAAUCUGCUCUUCAGUCACGCCUUGUGGUCUCAUACUUGAACACACAACAUGAAACUCCUUGAGAUGUUUAUGAGGAUCUUCACCUGAAAAACCAUGAAACUUGGGUAAUAAAUGAAUAAGACCAGACUUUAAUUCAAAAUUUACCUCCAAGUCUACAUAUUGAAUGCAGAGUGGUUGCUGAUUCAAGUCUGGUUCAGCUAACUCUCUAAGAGUUCUUUCUAUAGGUGCAGGUCUAUCCAUCACUUGUUCUUCCGAAUCGCUAGAUGAUUCAACUAAAUCAGGCACCGUAUCUGUUUCAGAAAGCAAAGGCGACGAGGAUCGUUGCUUAGCUCGCUUCGUCUGUUGUCUCAGCUGGCGAGCUGUCUUCUCAAUUUCAGGAUCAAACGAAAGUGUACCUGUACGAGAAGAACGAACCAUACACCAAGUAAAACGUAAAAAAGAUUAAAUAAAUGACACCAAUCCCCGGCAACGGCGCCAAAAUUUGAUGGGUGUCGAAGCCAACAAAAAUAAAUUCCUACUCUAAAUAAAUUGUGUAUAGUGAUUGAGCAGGGUCGUGUCCACAGAGAUCGGUAAUUAUUUAAAUCCUUUUGAAACGUAAAACGUAAAAUGGGGGAAUUGUUGACAAUAAUAAAAAUAAAAUUAAAAAUAACAAGAAUGCAAAUUAAAGUUGUAAUUCAAAUUGGAGAAAGCUCUGGUUGAAGGAAUUAGCUUAGCUUGAUUCGACUACUGAUCAUUGAUUCAAAUAUAGAUUAUUAUUACUCAUGAAUAGACCGGUUAUAGCUACUAAGACCCUCUAAUAGCCAAUCUCUCCUUAACUAGUCGAUAACCAAGGUACGACCGUUGGUUAUUUCCCUAAUCAAUAGACAACCCUAGAUACGAUCAUAGAAUUUAAUCAAUUGACAGCCUGAAAAACCAGAGAGACCCAAAUCCUAAUCAACACAUAUGAUGAUUCAUUUAAAUUAGAUUGUUUAUUCUCACAACACAACUCUCUGCUAUGUUAUUUGUCACAAACAUUAAAUUCUUCAUACGAUGAAUCCUUUAAUUGACAAUAGAUUAAGUUGAUAAUUAAAUAGUGGCCAAUUACCUAAUUAACAAACAUAAUCAUGAAAAUAAUUCAGAGAAUAAACAAAUACCCAAAAAGUAAUAAAACAAUUAAAGCACAAGAAAGAUCUCACAGUAGUGAUGAAUCAAAGCUUCAUUAACCUUCAACCAGAAAAAUGAGUUUAGUUCCUCAUAGAGAGAAGAGAAAAAUUAGAUCUAGGGUUUCUUUUCCUCCAAUCCAAAAAUCCCCCCUUUUUCACAAUAGAUUCCUCCCUUAAAUACUCUCUCUCUCUUCUUUUUUAGAAUUCUAUUUAAAAUAAAAUACUAAUAUCUGAAAUAUUAAGUUCGUAAUUACAAAAAUAACCAAAAAUACAAAACACGUUAAACUAAAAACUGCAGGUCCACAGUUGACAGCACGCGCCCACGCCUUAUCAACAAAGUUCUUCUGACGCUCAUAAUUUCUCCAAGAGAACAAUCCUCCUUAAACAUCAUCUUUUAGCUCAAUUUUAUCACCAAUCAAUAGAAUUGCACCUACAAAAGUAAAACACAAGUAAAACAUUAUUAUUAAGUGCAAAACAUCGAUAUUAAGGGAAGUAAACAAUGCAAAACUAGUGCAUAAAUUGCACUCUAACAGCUUACAAGUGCUAAGGCCAAAAAAUUAAUCUUGGGGAAGAAUUUAAUGAGUGACUUCUUAUUUUUAUAUCCUUAAAAUUUAUUUUUAAACCCUAGAUUUUGGAGAAAUACUUUUCUUAAGGGCUGGAAGCAAAUGUUUUAGAUUGGAAUUUGAAUGAGUGCAAACUAUGUUAUUGUCAGACAUCAAAAAUCAAAUUAGCAUUUAUUUUCUUGUCUUGUCUUUAGCUCCAUCAAGUUCGUUGAUGCAUGGUCUUUGAAUUUGAAGGUAUUAAAUCCAAAAUGGAUUCUCUCACAUCCAAUAUCAUUUUACUCUUAAAUUUAUCUAGUGAGCAGAUUUUGAUGCUUGAUUCAAGUAGAAAAACAAUUGUGAGGACUGUGAGGAUUUUUUUUUAAAUUAAAAACCGCCUUAAGAUGGGGUGUGGGUUUAGGCGGGACCCCUUCAUUAGUAAAUUAAUAAAAGAAAAGAAAAUUCAUAUGGAGAGAGAUAUAUGCCAAAACCUCGAAGCAUGGAAACAAAUACAUCCAAUAACUAGAAAAAUAACAAAAGCAAUAGAAGAUAGGACUAAUUAAUGCAACCAUCUAGAGAAUCGCUUCCAAUUCCUGCGGCUAGUAACCAAUGUGAAACCUUUCUUAGAAUUGGAGGCACGCGGUCCGGUCCGGCAAUACGAAAGUCAUCAAGAUCAUGCCCUCUAGUACCCUUAGGCUCAAAUGCAAAAUAUUCAUUAGUCACAGGAUUCCCAUCAGAGCUAAACUUCUCAUCAAAUUGAAAAAGGAUAUCUGUAGAAUGGGGAUUGAAGCCCACGAUCAUGGAGCGAAUAUCCUCUUCAGUAGCUCAAAAAAAAGUAGCAUCGAUGGAAGCCCUCUAAACACCUGGAUCAUCUAAAAAAGGAGGGUUAGAGACCUCAGUGCAUCCAGUAGCAUCUCUUAAAGCAGUAGGAUUCUUCAAACCAUCAUCAGUUUGAACUCUUUUCAUAGAAACCAGAUCAAACCCAUCUUCUGUAGUAUCCUGAUAAAUAGGUGACUGAGCAUCUAGAAGAGCACCCUCACUACCAUUCGACCUCAAUGGCUCAACCUCUUUGCCAUCCCCUUUGGAUGCACAAUAGCAUUAGACAUCAGCAUCUUGCCUUUAUCAUGAAGAACAAUAUCCCGCACCUGAUUAACUGGCUGCCAGGGCUCUCAGAGCCCAGGAUUGGCAACAAAAAAAGUAUCAGUAGAGUACCCAAGAUGCUUACACGAAGCAUAGUAUAAAGGAACACGCUCAAAAAUGACAUUCUGCCAGAAAAUGCCAUCACCUUCACUAGUCCAAAGUUUGGGCAACAACGGCCGCAAAACAUCCAACUCAAUCGGAACUCUAGUGAUCGAGGGUUGAUUAACAACAACAGUAGCAUGGUCCAUCCGUAGAGGCUUACCAAUAGCAUUAGCAAUAGAAAAUAAGACAUCUUUGCAAUGAAUAAAAUGCACUUGCAAAUACGGCAAAGAAACUCAAGUAAGAAGAAUAGGAGAUUCCUCAAAGCACCAAAAUGAAGUCUAUGAGACUACGCUACAUGAGACUCAAACACAAAGGCCUAAUUCUUGGUAAGGCUGCCCACCUAAAUCCACUUGGAAAAUGUUCAAACAUACUUUUGAUAAUGUAUUUUAGUCUGUGAGGGUUGACACAAUAGAAUUUGGAUUCGAGAUGUUUACGGUUGCGAAGCUUCUGUAAGUGUUCUUGGUCCAUUGUAAACUCACAUUAUUUUCAUAGUGAAUUGUUUCGUCUACAAGUGGACAUAAUAACAUGUCGAGAUUUUUAUCCUAAAUCGCGAGGAUCAAAGGUUUUCUUGUAAAAACAUCUAUGUGUUGUGGAUGUCCAUUUAUUUUGCAUAUUUAUUUUCAUUACCAUAAAUUGAUUUUUAAAUUUAUUGAUAGUGUUUAUUAAAUUAUCUUUAUUAACUAGGAAAUAAAAUCAUUAAUUUUAAAGAGAUUAUUAUUAUUAUUACCAAGUAUAUAAAGAUAAUGAAAUAAAAAAAUAAAACUAAUAAUAUAAAUAUUUACUUUAGUUAUCAAUUAUUAUAUAUACACACAAUUAAAAAUAUUUUAUAUACAUACAUUAUAAGUAUGAAAAUAAAUUUUAUUCAAAACUAUGUCCAAUUUAAUCAUUUAUAUUCUUGUCAUUUACAAUCUUAUUAUAAUUUAAUAGUAAGAUUUACCAAAUACAUAGAUUGUUUUUUAAACUCACAGAACUUUUGAAAAAUUGUAUCAAACGUUUAAUUGGUUAUCUUUAUAGUUGACUAUUUUUACAGUACAGUUAGCAGUAAUUAUUUUAAAAACUAUAAUAUUAACAAAAUGAUCCAACAUCUUUUAAGGACCCAGCUGAAAUUUAACUAAUACAGGUUUACCAUUACUAUAGAUUGCCGGUAGUUUUAACUAUUUUUAAUUAAUUAUUAAUAUCAACCGUUGGAUUCCAUUCCAUUCUAAUGGAAUCCAAUGGCUUCAGCAUGGGUGAUGGGCAGAGUGGCAUGGACGCGUAAUCAAUUGAAAAGCCAGAUAUUCUUCGCUUAGAUUCCUUGAAGCUUCCAGCAAGCUCGAUGCUAACUCCAUCGUGUGAGUAAUCGAUUGAAAAGCCAGAUAAUUUUCAUUUAGAUUCCUUGAAGCUUCCAGGAAGGUUGAUGGUAACUUCAUCAUUAGAGUAAACAAAGACGAUAUUUUUGAAGCAACAAAUAUGUUUCACUGAUUAACUUAGCUUUCUUUGAAGCAACACUUCAAUGAAAUUCAACAGGUAGCUGCCUGUGCAAUUAAUACACUCAAAGCUUUAAGAUUUAUUUUAAGUUUUAUCUUAUACAUGUUUCUCUCAAAUACAAGCUUUUAGCGCGGCAUGCAAAAUACACCCCGUUUAAAUCUAAUCACACCUCUCUAAUUUUUUUUUUUUUCGCCCCAAAGACGUAAUGGAGUAGUCAAAGGGUAUAACCAUUAGAUUCCUUUCGCUUUUUUGCUUUUUUCACCCCCACUUUCUGAGAAGACCAAGACUUGCUUUUGGAAUACAUAUAAAUAAAUCCGGGGGAGCUGGAAGUUGCAUUUUUGUUUUCCCUUUGAAUCAAAACACUUCAUCGGAGUUGAUCAGAUCAAUUAGGUGGCUUCUUUCAACACACUCAAAGCUGUAAGUUUUAUUUUAUCCUCAGAAUUAAUUUGCACAUUCUGGAUGUUUAGAACAGGAAAUAUAUAAAAUUGAAAGAAAGCUUUGAAUGUUUAAAUUAAUUUGUAUAGUAUCAACUCUUUAAUUUGCUUCUCUUUGAGGCUCUAAUUAAGAUUUGCUUGAGCAAAGGUCGGCAAACACACUCUCCAAUCAGAAUCUGAAAAACUUUUUAAUUAUAUUUUGGAAGUAAAUGAGAGGCUGUUAAUUAGUUUGUUUAGUUAAGAAGAAGAUCAUUAAUUUGUUGUUCAAUAAUUUUAUGCUAAAAGAAAUUAUCAUAGUAAUUAUAUUAUUUUCAUUUUUGUGCUGCCCAUAAUCUUGAAUGAAUCUUAUUGUUUGCAUGGUAUUUUACGCUCACUGGAUUUCACUUGAUUUAUUCUAAAUUUUUAGGAACAAAUUAAUAUAAUGGCUUCCACGAGCUUCCAAAAUGUCUCUCAUGGGGAAUACGAUGCCUUCUUAAGCUUUAGAGGAGAAGACACCCGUAAAAUGUUCAUAGGUCAUCUCUAUACUGCCUUGAACAAUAAAGGAAUUUAUGUAUUCAGGGAUGACAAACAACUUGAGAAAGGAGGAUCCAUUUCACCAAAUCUCCUUAAAGCAAUUGAAGAAUCAAGAAUUUCAAUUAUUGUUCUCUCAAAAAAUUACGCUUCUUCCACUUGGUGCUUGGAUGAACUUCUUAAGAUUGUUGAAUGCAAAAAUAGAGAGGAUCAAAUUUUUCCAAUUUUUUAUGAAGUGGAACCAACUGUUGUAAGAAAACAAACAGCAAGUUUCGGAGAAGCUUUUGCUAAACAUGAAGAAUUUUUCAGGGAUAAUAUAGAAAAAGUGCAAAAGUGGAGACACGCUUUAAAGGUGGUGGCCAAUAUAUCAGGCUGGGAAUUGAAGGAUAGGUAAUCAUUCUUUUUCUCAACUAUUAAUUUUGUUCGUUUUGCAAGAUUAGUAACUACAAAACAGAUUUUAAUAUUCAUUCAACACUGUUUUCAAUUAAACAACUUCUAUUUAAUACAUAUGUAUAUCGUAUGAUGUGUAGUAAAAGGGUUCCUCCCGUGAAUUGAAUAUCUUUAAAAUAUACCUUCACUUUUGAAAACUUCAAUUUACCUCCCAUUUUUGUUAAGAAUACAAAAACAUUUCAUCAACUCACCCCAUUUUUCCUUCUCUUUUGAACAAAAAUAGGGUAAUUGAGGUGUUCAAAAGGGAGUGAUUUGAAGAUAUAUAAAAUUUUGAAAUUACCAAUCACAAUGCAACCCAGUCCAAUCCAAUUUUUAUUGGGUUGGGUUUGAAUUUCUCAUUCCAAUUGUUGUUGACUGAUGUAAUAAUAACAUAUUGUUUAAUUAUAUGACUUCAAUUUGAUGAAAUGAAUAUUGCAUAGUUUGGAUUUUAUUCAUAAUAUGGAAUUGAUUUGUUACUACGUUCAUACUAACUUUGAUUUAACAAUACCAAUCUUUUCUUGUUGUUUUCAAUCUGCAGGAAUGAGUCAGAAUUUAUUGAGGAAAUUGUCAAUGUCAUAUCUAGUAAAAUUCGUUCAGAACCAGAGAUUCUUAAGGAGCUAGUAGGAAUGGAAUCACGCUUGGAGAAACUGAGGUUUCUUAUGGGUACGGGGUCUAAUGAUGUUCGUAUGAUCGGGAUAUGGGGUAUGGGAGGUCUAGGAAAGACAACUCUUGCAAGGGUUGUUUAUGACUUGAUGUCUCAUGAGUUUGAUGGGAGUAGUUUUCUUGCCGAUGUUAGAGAAAAAUUUGAAAAAGAAGGCAGUGAAAUCUCUUUACAAAAACAGCUCCUUUCUGAUUUACUGAAGCUUUCAGAUUAUAGCAUACAGAAUGUCUACGAUGGUAUUAACAUAAUUGGAAGUAGGCUGCAACGGAAAAAAGUUCUUCUCAUAAUUGAUGAUGUGGCUGAUGUUGAACAAUUACAAAGGUUAGUUGGAAGGCGUGAUUGGUUCGGUCCAGGCAGCAGGAUUCUAAUAACAACGAGAGAUAGACAAUUGUUGGUGGCACAUGAAGUGGAUGAAGAGCAUAUUCUUGACCUUGAUGUACUAAAUAACGAUGAAGCUCUUCAACUCUUUAGUAUGAAAGCUUUUAAAAGCCAUCAGCCUAUGGGAGAAUAUGUGGAGCUGUCUAAACGUGUUCUGGAGUAUGCUGGUGGUCUUCCAUUAGCUCUAAAAGUUUUGGGAUCCUUUCUAAUUGGUAGAUCUGCAGAUCUAUGGAGAAGUGCCCUAGAAAGACUAAAAAAAGAUCCUUCAAAUAAGAUUAUGAGUAUACUUCAAAUAAGUUUUGAAGGACUACAAGAUUCAGAGAAGAAAAUAUUUCUCGAUGUUGCAUGUUUCUUUAAAUGGAAGAAUAGAGAUUAUGUAACAAAAAUUCUAGAGGGGUGUUGUUUUUCCCCAGCCAUUGGAAUAGAAGUUCUUAUCGAAAAGUCUCUAUUAACUGUUGAUGACGACAACAUACUGCAUAUGCAUGAUUUGUUACAGAAAUUGGGACAACUGAUUGUUACGAGACAAUCCCCCGAAGAACCUGGGAAACGUAGCAGAUUAUGGAAGAAAGAAGAAGUACGCCAGGUGUUGAUAGAAAACACAGUAAGUGAAUUAUUAAAUGAAAAACUUGUUGAUGCUUGCUACUUUAUUUUCCCCAAUUAUAUCUCUGACCAAAUUUUCAACAUCUUUACAUUAUUGUUUUAUUCACUCAUCCUUUGCUUAUAAUCUUUAGGGAGGUGAAGUAGUGGAAGGAAUAAUAGUUAAUGCCUACUUUCCUGAAGAUGAGGUUUACUUAAGUGCAAGUGCUAAAGCAUUUUCGCAGAUGACCAACCUAAGACUGCUCAAAAUCAGUAAUGUGCAACUUCCUGAAGGUCUAGAAUACCUCUCUAACAGGUUGCGAUUACUUGAUUGGCAUCGGUAUCCUUUGAAAUCUUUGCCAUCAAAUCUGCAAUUGGAUAAAAUUGUUGAAUUUAAAAUGUGUUACAGCCGCAUUGAAGAAUUAUGGAAAGGAUUCAAAGUAAGAUCAAUUUUUUUUUUGUCACAAAUUUAUAUUUUUCAGAGAAUAAUUGUGGAUAACAAUUUUAUUAUUAUAGUAGUAUAUGAAUUAAGAAAUAUCAUUUUAGCUCCUUUUUUGUUUUCAACAACCUUUAAACAUGUUGAGAGUCAUGGAACUCAGCCAUUCAGAGAAUCUGAUUAAGACUCCAGACUUCACAGAGGUCCCAAAUUUGGAGGAGUUGGAUGUUGAAGGAUGUACAAGGUUGCGUGAAAUUCACCAGUCUUUGCUACGUCACAAUAAGCUGAUCUUGUUGAAUUUGAAAGGUUGUACAAGUCUUACAACUCUUCCGGGUGAGAUAUUUAUGAAAUCGCUUAAAACACUUGUUCUUUCUGGUUGCUUGAAAUUGAGGAAACUUCCACGCAUUGUCGGAAGUAUGGAGUGUCUACGGGAACUUCUUUUGGAUGAAACUGAUAUCAAAAAACUGCCUUUAUCUAUUGAGCUUCUAUCCAAACUUGUCUUGUUGAAUUUGAAGGAUUGCAGAAAUCUAGAGACUCUUCCAAUUACUGUAAGCAGCUUAAAAUGUCUAAGAACUCUAAAGCUCUCUGGUUGCUCGAAAAUAGUGAAAUUUCCAGAGACUGUGAUAAGUGUGGAAGAUCUGUCAGAGCUCUUUUUAGAUGGAACUUCUAUCACAGAAGUGCCAUCAUCUAUAGAGCUUUUGACCAAACUUCAAUGGUUGAAUUUGAAUGACUGCAGAAGUCUCGUGAGACUUCCUAGCAGUAUAAAUGGUUUGAAAUCCCUCAAAACUUUGAAUCUCUCAGGCUGCUUCAAACUCGAAAAUGUGCCUGAGACGCUUGGGCAAGUAGAAAGUCUGGAAGAACUUGAUAUAAGUGGUACAGCUAUAAGGCAACCUCCAUCGUCGAUUUUUCUUAUGAAGAAUCUUAAAGAACUAUCUUGUCGUGGGUGCAAAGGAUCACCAUCAUCUGCAUCAUGGUUUCUGCGCUUCCCUGUCAAUUUGAUACGAAGGAGUUCAGAUCCGGUGGCUUUGAGUUUGCCGUCUUCUCUGUCAGGUUUGUGUAGUUUAACGAAAUUGGAUAUCAGUUACUGUGAUCUAGGGGAAGGAGCAAUCCCAAGUAGUAUUGGCGACUUAUGCUCAUUAGAAAAGUUACAUCUGAGUGGAAACAGUUUUGUUUCGCUACCGGCAAGCAUCUACCGUCUUUCUAAUCUUCAGGGGAUUAAAUUAGAGGAAUGCAAAAUGCUUCAAAAUCUGCCUCGACUUCCAGCCAGUAUACGUUGGAUUUCGUUAGACGGUUGUGUUUCGUUGGAAACAUUAUCAGAUGUAUUAAAUUUAAACGAGCAUCGACUCCCGCACUUAGGCCUUCAUUGUGUGGAUUGCUCGAAAUUGGCUGGCAACUAUGAUUUGGCGCUUUCGCUGCUAAAAGAGUACAUUAAAAAUUCUGAGGUCAGUCUCUCACUCUCACCUGUGCUAACAUUAUGCCUAAAACUGAUGCAAUACAUGUUAUGUCUUUUUAUUUUAUUUAUUUACUCACUUUUUUUUUUGUGGGGUUGCAGAAUAUGUCAUUGUCGGACAAGUACAUUAAACUGAGAGAGGUCAGUUUCUUACACUGUCUCUCACCUGUUGCUAAAAUCAUGCCUAAAAAUUAUGCAUUGGUUUGGCUUUCUAAUAUAUAUAUAUAUAUAUAUAUUUGUGGGGUUUAGCAUUGUUGGAGAGGUUUUAGCAUUGUUGUUCCUGGAAGUGAAAUCCCAGAGUGGUUCGAGUAUCAGAAUAAUGAGUGAUAUGCUAUAAGGCAACCUCCAAAGACGUAUAAGAAUAGUAAGCUUGUGGGAUAUGCUAUGUGCUGUGUUUUUCAUGUCCCUAAAUAUUCACUUCCUUAUUAUCAUCCGAACUUUCCAUAUCCCGUACAUUAUCUGUGUGGCUGGCAUACCGACUGGUAUGGUUAUGGAAUUUCGUUUGGAAAGCAAUUCGGUCAGGCUGUGUCGGACCAUCUUUGGCUAUACUACCUGAAUAGGGAAGAGGUGUGGCGAUACUACCAUAAUAUUUAUAAAGUGAAAUUUUCUUCGCCGUCGGUAUUGGUGCUGAAGAGGUGUGGUGUCCAUCCAAUUUAUGUGCAUCAAGGGGAUAAGUUCAACCAAACAACUGAUCCGGUUUGGAAUUUGAACGAAUUUGGUCACGAUUGUUCAGGAUCAACAUCCUUUACGCGUAGCCUUAAUGAUGACUUAGACAGGGCAGAAGGCAGUGGAAGUUGCUGCGGGGAUGAUGCAGGAUCAACAACGUCGUCUGAGCGAAGCUUUCUAAAGCGAAGUCUUGAAGAAUAUGUUGGGGCGGCUGAAGCUAGUGGAAGUGGCUGCUGUAAUGAUGAUGAGGAACCACAACCUAAAAGAUUUAGACAACUUGAAUGAAGGGCACAUAUUUUAUUUUUCUCUGCAGAUCGCAUUUCAUUUACUUUCUUUGUAUUUAUUUAUUGUAUCUGUUCUUGUUACUUAUUUCCCUGUUAAAUUACCAGAAAAUGCCUGGCUUGGGUCAAACAGUUGGACAGAUGUUUUAUUACUCUGUUUUUCCUGCAAAAGAUGCCGUACAUAGAUGCGGUGAGCGCGAGUUGUUUGGUAUACUUGAAGGGGCUCGGGACCACAAUGACCAAAUUAUUUAAUGUUGUGUGUUAAAUAUUAAAAUAUGCGGAUAGCUUAUCACUUUUGAGACCUAAAAGUAUUUAUUUAAUGUUAGGGUGAUUGAAAAAAAAUUGACGAAUUACCAUUAAACAAGCAACAAAAUAACAAAUUCUUUGAAAAGAAAUUAUAUAAUAGAAAGAAGAAAUUCUCACCCGAAAACAGUUUGCAGGCAACCUACCAUUGAUAUGAACAAUCAGUUAUAAAAUUAAGCAAAUAUAAAACGGAUACUCAAAAAUUCUUAUAAAAUUUGUUUUCUUCUUUUAGUAGUUUGAGGAAUGAAGAUGGUAUCUUUUUUUUUUUUUUUUUGUGUUUUAAGGGAAGACGGUACCUAGAUAUUGAUAAAAGAAAAAUCCUUUAGAGUCGGGAUAAAAGUCUUACCAUCAAUAAUAGGAGUUAAAUAUGAGAAUCAUCACCCUUAAUUUAAGUUUAAAAGGUAAGUAAUUAUGCAACAAGUCAUUUAGAAGUUGUGGUACUUUUUCAUACUUUAAAUUAUUUUUGUCUAGUCAAUUAAAUAGAUAUUUUUUAAGUCGCCAAAAAAAUAAAAAAAUAUUUUGAAAUUAAAAAUGAUAGGUGCUAUCUAUAGUUUUACAAUUUUGCAGUUAGUGGUAGAAAUAUAAUAGCAUUGUAACAAAUAUAAUUAGCUAGUAAUAUUAUUUCAACAAUACUUUAUAUAAAGAUAUUCCAUAAGGUCUUAUAGCAAUUUAUAUCAUAAUUAAAUGUUGUAUGAAUUUAAUUGUAAAACCAUUAGUACUUGAACAAUAAUGAUUAUAGAAGGCAUUGUAAUAAGUUAUUUAAUACACAUUAUUAACAAUACUAGAUGAAUCUGAAACAAAUGAGAAAUAUUUUCAUCCAUAACUAGAAUUGAAAAAUGUAUGUGUCUAUAUAAUUAGACAAUAGCUUGGAUAUAUAUUUUUAGAGUUAAAUUAGAAAAAAGGACACCCAGAAUCCCAGAUAUCUCUAACUCUGUAACUCCUUUCUUUGAAAACCAAGAAAAAAAAAAAUGUUCCAGUUUGCCUUUAGCCUCUCCUCCCAAGUUGUCGGGCAUGGACUUGCUUUCGCUUCCGAAAGGAAAAAAUAAAAUAAAUAUAUGUAUAUUAAAAUAUUUUUAAUCUUCAAAAAAUAUUUUAAUACUGUACAGUAUUAAAUUAUAUUGAAUUAAAUUUUAUAAUGGAUAUAAACAGAAUAUUAAAAUAAAUAUAUAAAGAUUCGAAUUAUUUUAAAUUUAUAUAAAAUAAUUUAAAUAUUAUCGAUACAUGAGAUUUUUUUAUUAGUUGUAAAAUCUAUUUAACCCAAAUAUUUAUUUUAAAAAAUUUAUAUAAAAUAAUUUUAAUAUUAUCAAUAAAAAGAUAUUAUUAAAAUAAUAUUAUAAUUUACAUUUUAAAAAUUAUUUUAUACAUAUUACAAAUAUUCCAUUAUUUUUAGUCUAUUAGACAAAAUAAACUACUUAAAGUAUAUUUGUAUUUAUUAAAAAUAUUUUAACGUUAAUUUUUUUUAGUUACUACCUAUGAAGGGUAUUAUAGCCAAAAGGGAGUUUAGGUAUCAUUUUCCUUUUAAGUUAUUUUAUCUUAAAUUUUUAAUACAAAAUUGAAAUUAUUGAUUUCAUGCAAAUCAAUUACUAUGGUGGAUGAUUUAACAUCGUAAAAUUUUACAUUGAUUUUCAAUAUCAACCAUUAGAUUGAGAGAGAUUAAUGGCUCAUUUUUUGCGUCAAAAUUUAAGUUAAAAUAUCCCAAACCAUGCUUUUAUAACGAGAAUAUAAAAUAAAUAGAUAAUAUUUUUCCUGUUCAUUCCCAUGAAUAUUAUUGGAGGUAAUAUUUACUUAUUAUAUUAAUUACCAUCAUAAAAGCAAUCAGCCUUUUAGUGACAUAAAAUUUUGUAACCACAAUCAAUGAAUAUUAACAAAACAAUAUUUCAUGAUUCAUAAAUUAUAACUAAUUAAGAAUAUAUGUUAAUUUCAAAUUUAUGAAAUCAACAAAGUGACAUUGGAAAAUUAAAUGAAAAUAGGCUUGUAAAACUUAAAUUUAUAUUCCUACCAUGUAAAAGUAUUCACUGUAACAUAAUCCCUAAUUUCAUGGUAUAUGUUGUGCUAAAUUGGUGUUAAAAAUAAUAUACACUUCAUGAUUAAUCACACAAUGGUCCUUAAUAAUAUACAAAAUAGUGAGCAUUAUGUUAAAUUUUAUUAAAGCGUGAAAAAGGUGAAGAAUGACAGAGGCAGCGGCCGUAGACGGUGGACGUGAGAUAGCUUCGGGUUUUGAUAUUUUGCUGACUUUUUCUUCUUUUUUUUUAAUGAAAGUAAUUGAUGAUGGAGGGAGGAUUUGUGUAUGGGGAAUGGUUGAUGGUCAGGAAAGCUCUGCCUAAUACAAAGAAAGACUCUGAUGCCACUUGACGCAUUGCAAAAGUGAUACUAAAUUUCAUUUUAAUGUACGUUCUUGAAAAUUCAAGAAAGAAGGUUAUCACGAAGAAGAAAAUAUAUCAAUUAAGAAAUAUUAAAUAUUAUUGAUGAGAAACUUAUAUGUUAUAAUGAACUAUCAGUAACAAGCCUAUAUAUACUAAGUAGCCAACUUAAUCUUAAUCCUUCUUAAAUAAGAGAAAUAAUCUAAAAUUCUAAUUAGAUUAGAAUUCCAAACAUGAUCGAAUAAGUUUAAAAAAUAAGAUAAAUUCUAAUAAAAUACUAAAUACCCAAAUAUUAUAAUUCCUAAUAAAUUCUAAUUUAUUUUAUCUAAUAUGCUUCCUAUAUUACUCCAUCGCUAUGUUGUCUGAAUCGAUGUCUCUUUUUAUCAAUAAAAAACGCUUACUCAUCAUCCUUUACUAAGGCCCCACUCAAUUGCUUGUCAAUUACUCCUUGAUCAGCAAGCAAGUUUUCAAAUUUCUCAAUGGUUGGUUGAGUUGGACAACCUUAGAUAGUUGUAACAAAGCUCUUAAGCUCAAGCCUCAAACCAUUGACAAUAAUUCUCUUUAUUCUAGAUUUAGAAAUUGUAGCAACAGAAUCCAACCCAUAAAUUUCACAACAUAGGGAUUUUAACUUGUUUAAGUACUCGUCAAUCGUCAUGUUUCAUUGUGAAAUUGAUAGUAGCUCAUUUUUCAGAAGUUGUAGCCAUAUGUUAUUCUUCUUUGAAAAACUCAUUGUAGAAGUAUCCCUAGUUUUCUUAGGUAUUUUAACAUUUUUUAUGUGUUGCAGCAUUUCUUCUUCAAUUGUAGUCUUGAUGGCGAACAUGGCCUUCUAGCUAUAAUGUUCCACUUCUUUAAAGUGGCAUCCUCAGUUGGUGGUUGCAUAUCGUUACCACAAACAAUCUCCCAGAGAUCUUGACCUUGUAAGCAGGACCCCAUCAAUGUUGCCCACGUAUUGUAAUUUUCCUUGUCGAGCUUUUUAAUUCUUCCAACUACUUGAAGGUCACCCAUCAUGUUUCCAAGACUUUAACAAUGCCAAGCUAGCUUGAUAUUCACUAACGAACUUGCAAAGUUCCAAACAAAGUACUCUAAAUAAAGAACUCCACUUCAAAUCUGAACCCAACUGCCUUUUACUCAAUAGAUUUUGACAAGCCCAUUCCGUUAGAUUAAGAGAAAAGAAUUGAUGGCAUUGCGCCACCGGGAGGAAUUGGUUCCAAAGUCUUUCUAAAAAUUGUACGAUCAGCAAUCCUUAGAAAAAAGUGAUAAACUUAUUGUAAAUUGUAAAUGGUACUUGAAGAGGAUAUGUAUUUUCGCUUGUUGAGGUUCUUAUUGAAUUUGCAUAGAUUUUACUUGAAUAGCACGGGCGCCUUCUAAGUUCGAGUUAUUCACGUUGCAAACCCUAUUUGGGAUUACAGUUGAGAUGUUAUAAAUAAAUUAUUUUAUAAGUUUUGACAAUAAUAGUGCUUGGUAAAUAUUUUAAAAGUGGCUUGUUUUAUAAUUUUCACUACUUUGAUAACAAUUUUAAAAAGUAGGUGCUAGAUAGGAGUUGCAUUUUACAAGUAGUUUAUUAGAAAAGCCGUUAACCUUUUAAAGUUUUUAUUAUAAACUAAAUAUUUUGACAAAACGAUAAUUAUAUCAUAUUUUUCAAUAAACCCUGAUAUAUAUAUAUAUAUAUAUAAGACUAUUUAAACUUAUAUCUACUUUGAUUAUUAUAUACAUUGAAACAACACUAUCAUAACAAAAUUUAUCGAAUUGAUAUACUUUAUUUUUCAAAUUCACAACGACAUAAUUUACGAAAUAUUGAAUUAUUUUUUAAUUAACAAUUUAUUUUAACCGCAUAGGGAAUAGGGAUGGCAAUGGAUUGGAUUUGAUCCAAGAUCCAUGUGAUCCAAAUCCAAUCAGAUCGGAUUUGGAUCGGUUUAAAAUGGAUUUGGAUCGGAUUUGGAUAUCGAUGUGCGGAUCUAAGACGGAUCUGGAGCGGAUAUGGAUCUAUCUUAAUAUCUAAAUCCAUAUCCAUAUCCACUCAUCUUUUAAUUUAAUUUUAUUUUAAAAGUUUCUUAAUAAUUGUGGAAUGAUAAUGAUAAUAAAUUUUAUUCAUAGCAUAUUAGUAGUAUUUACCAUGAAUUUAAACUCUUAAAACUUAAAGGUUAGUUUUGUAAAUUUAAAGGUCAGCCAGCCUCAAAGCAUGUACAUGCAAUAUUCAAAUUGCAAUCCAAGUAAUAUAACCUGGUAAUUUAUUUUAUCAUAUUGGCCUAAUAAUUUUUAAGGAAUAUAGUUAUUCAUAUAUUUAGUCAAAUAUGGUCAUAAUAAAAAUAAUAAAUGACUGAAUAUAAAUCAUAUUUAAUUUAUAUGUCAUUAUCUAAUGUUGUAGGAAUGAUGGUAGGUGUAUCGUGGAUACUAGAAUGACGAAGGAGACAAUAGAAUAUUAGAUUGAUCUUACUCCUGCAAUUACUUCUGAAUGAUAUUUUAUUAUCUUUCUUAUUUGUUGUUUUGGUGUAGAAGUAUAAGCUACAAUAUUUAUUAUAUUUUUGAGAAAAAUUAUAUAAUUUAUUUGUUAUCAAUACAUUUUAGCCUCCAAUUUUCAAUCUAAAAAAUUAUUACUUUUUUAUUACGGAAUUUUAGAAUUCAUGACGGAUCUAGAGCAGAUUUGGAUUUUAAUAUUUUUUUGGAUUUGGAGCAGAUAUAGAUAUUUAUUUCUUUUUUGGAUCUGGAUAUGGAGCGAAAAAUAUGGAUUCAUAACGGAUCUAGAGCAGAUACGGAUCUUAAUUUUUAUUAUGGAUUUGGAUCUGGAGCAGAGUAGAUCCAACCCAUAUCUGCCCCAUUGCCAUCCCUAAUAGGGAAAAUAACUUACCAUUUUAGUUACCGCAAUUUGGUCAUAGCACCUAUUUUCAUGUGCCAUGAUCAAUGAUCAUAUCACGUAUUUGACCAAAAAUAUUUUCGAUAAACAAUUAUAUUGUUUAUGUUGUCUUCACUGUGAGCUAAAGCUUCAUCAAGUACCCUUCCCAACCCUUUUAAUCUUUCAUCUUGAUGUUGGAAUCUUGUUGGCCUUUGCGGCCUUGUUGAAUUUAACCUCGCUUGUUUAAUUUGGGUUUUCUGACUUUGGUUGAGCCUUGUUGAUUCUUUUCUGCGGAGUUGGAAUAUUGCCCACCCCCAAUCUUUUCAUUAAACUUUUUUUUUUCAAACCCAACUUCUACAUUCGAAUUUUAAAAAGUAUGUGUUAAUAAAAAAACAUUAUGUUAUUUUAUUAUUGUUAAAAUUCAAAGUAAUAGUCUUUUUUUUCAACUACACAUAAAUUAAAAAAUUGUCUGCGUUCACUUGAAUGACAGAUAUUUUAAAUUAUAAUUUGAGUUAAAUUGUACAGAUUUGAUAAAAUGUUCUUGAGGAAUAAUUGUAUGAUUCCCAUGCUCUCAACAUGUUUGAUAAAAUGCCCAAGUAGGAACCAUGCCAUCCCAAUUCCGAGCUGAAGUGUUGAACAACGAGAUGAUGAUGAUACAUCUGCGGCGUCACCUCUACGAUUUCCCGCCCAAAAGCAAUCAAUCAACAAGGUCAAUUUCCUAAGCUGUUGAGUAUGAUUCAAUAAUAUAAAUUUAGAGUUGUGUGUAAUCAUAAAUUCUAUAACUUCUCAGGGGUGUGUUUUGGUCAGGAUCGGAGGUGAGAGGUGUGACAUCCAUCCAGUUUAUAUGGAGGAGUUUGACAAAACUACAAUCAAAUGGAAUCGCUUUACCACUUGUAAUCUGAAUGGAUCCCUCAAUUUUUUUUUUUUUUUUUUUUUGGCAUCAAAGAUGGUUGUAGCAACAAUUUCAAGGCGAAGCCUUAUUGCAUAUGUUGAGGUGAUGAGGAACCACAACCUCAAGGAUCCAUUUAGUGAACUCAAAUAAAGGGAGAAGCCUGCUUACUAUUCUCUGUAUAUUUCAGUAAGCAUGCAUCUUCAAUUUCAGUUGGCAAUUUUUAUUUUAUACAUGUUAAAUUACCACAAAACCAAAAUAUCAUCUCCAAAGUUGUUACCUUCCAUGAAUUGAAAAUGCUUUCAUGCUUGAUCAGAUUGUUUAAGUAUGCGUUCCUAAAAUAUACAAAAGUGCUCAGGAAAAUGGCACAGAAUAAUUAGUGUAUAAUAAAGUUUAUUUUUGGUAAUUUUUGAGAUGCAUAUGGUUUUAAAGUUCUCUUCAAAUAGCUGGACUUGCCGUAUACUAUAAUAUUGUUUACUAAGGCAUAACUAUCUUAUCCUUUUUUUUUUAUCUAUCAUUAAUAUUUACAUUUUUAUUAUUUCAUUAAUCUUAUUUAAAUUUACUUUGUAUUUGUAGAUAUAAUUUAAGAAUAUAAUAUUACUGUACUUACAUUUCCGUUUCGUAUAUAAUUUCCUGGAAGAUGCUCCAACAUCAGUUUUGUCGUUAUUAAAUAAACAAAAUAGGAAAAAAAAAAAGAUACAACAACUGAUGCUCCCAUUCACAAAGAACCAGAUAAUGUACAAGAGGCACUAGAUGACUCCAGACGGCUGCAAGCUAUGAAAGAAGAAUAUGAUGCUUUGAUUAAGAAUAAUACAUGGACAUUAGUUCCAAGACAGACAAGCUGGUCAUCACAUUGCUAACAAUAAAUGGGUGUGAAGGAUCAAGUAUAACAAAGUUGGAAGUGUAGCUAAGUAUAAAUUCAAGCUUAUUGCUAAAGAAUUUUAGCAAGUGGUAGGGGUGAAUUACUUUAAAACAUUUAGUCCAAGGGUUAAAUUAGCUAAUAUUAGAGUGGUGCUGAGCCUAGGAGUGAUGAACUAAUGGAAAAUAAGGCAAGUUAAUGUUAACAAUUCCUUUUUUAAUGGAGAGUUAACUGAGGAGGUACUCAUGUGUCAGCCGGAAGGCUUUAUUAAUGCUGAGAAACCUGAAUUUGUGUGCAAAUUGCACAAAUGUCUAUAUAGACUCAAACAAGUUCCUAGAGCUUAGUUUGAUAAGCUGAAAAGUUGUUUAUUGCAUUGGGGUUUUAUUACUACUAAUUUGGAUACCUCUCUUUUCAUCAGAAGAAACACUCAUUACAAGUCCAAGUACUAUAAAGUUAAAAAAGUUUUAUAACUCAGUUCAGUAAAGCAUUUGCCUUAAAAGACCUAGGAAUAUUAUCUUAUUUCCUUGGAAUUAAAGUGUUGUAAGAAGCACAUUGUGUGUAUUUGUCACAAAGAAAAUACAUCAGAGAUCUGUUGUUGAUGGGUGUCGAAGCCAACAAAAAUAAAUUCCUACUCUAAAUAAAUUGUGUAUAGUGAUUGAGCAGGGUCGUAUCCACAGAGAUCGGUAAUUAUUUAAAUCCUUUUGAAACGUAAAACGUAAAAUGGGGGAAUUGUUGACAAUAAUAAAAAUCAAAUUAAAAAUAACAAGAAUGCAAAUUAAAGUCGUAAUUCAAAUUGGAGAAAGCUCUGGUUGAAGGAAUUAACUCAGCUUGAUUCGAGUACUGAUCAUUGAUUCAAAUAUAGAUUAUUAUUACUCAUGAAUAGACCGGUUAUAGCUACUGAGACCCUCUAAUAGCCAAUCUCUCCUUAACUAGUCGAUAACCAAGGUACGACCGUUGGUUAUUUCCCUAAUCAAUAGACAACCCUAGAUACGAUCAUAGGAUUUAAUCAAUUGACAGCCUGAAAAACCAGAGAGACCCAAAUCCUAAUCAACACAUAUGAUGAUUCAUUUAAAUUAGAUUGUUUAUUCUCACAACACAACUCUCUGCUAUGUUAUUUGUCACAAACAUUAAAUUCUUCAUACGAUGAAUCCUUUAAUUGACAAUAGAUUAAGUUGAUAAUUAAAUAGUGGCCAAUUACCUAAUUAACAAACACAAUCAUGAAAAUAAUUCAGAGAAUAAACAAAUACCCAAAAAGUAAUAAAACAAUUAAAGCACAAGAAAGAUCUCACAGUAGUGAUGAAUCAAAGCUUUAUUAACCUUCAACCAGAAAAAUGGGUUUAGUUCCUCAUAGAGAGAAGAGAAAAAUUAGAUCUAGGGUUUCUUUUUCUCCAAUCUAAAUCCCCCCUUUUUCACAAUAGAUUCCUCCCUUAAAUACUCUCUCUCUCUUCUCUUUUAGAGUUCUAUUUAAAAUAAAAUACUAAUAUCUAAAAUAUUAAAUUCGUAAUUACAAAAAUAACCAAAAAUACAAAACACGUUAAACUAAAAACUGCAGGUCCGCAGUUGACAGCACGCGCCCACGCCUUAUCAAUAAAGUUCUUCUGCCGCUCAUAAUUUCUCCAAGAGAACAAUCAUCCUUAAAAAUCAUCUUGUAGCUCAAUUUUAUCACCAAUCAAUAGAAUUGCACCUACAAAAGUAAAACACAAGUAAAUCAUUAUUAUUAAGUGCAAAACAUUGAUAUUAAGGGAAGUAAAUAAUGCAAAACUAGUGCAUAAAUUGCACUCUAACAAAUUCCCCCACACCAAGAUGAUGCUUGUCCUCAAGCAUAUAACUCAAGAUUAAUCUCAAAUCUCCACUCAAUUCUCAUCUCAACUCAUCCAAAAACAAUUUUAAGCAAGCAUACCUCAAGAAAUUAAGUCGUUCAUCAUUCGAGAGACAAGGAUUUUAAAGCAUAGAAUUUCAUAAGAUAGAUUAAGAGCAUUCAACCACCAAGAAGAUCCAUUCAAAAUUCAAGUGCAACAAGAUUUAAUAACCCUCUCAUUGACUUCACUCCAUGCACUCAAAGUGUUUAGGGUGUCAUUUAUGCACUCAAAUCAAAUCAAAGAAUGCUAUUACCAUAAGCUUGCUUAUAUAUCACAUCUCAAUCCACAAAACAUGAAUAAAAUACAAAAAUCUAAGGGUCUUAAAAGGGUUGUAAUGGGGUUAAAUGAAAAAGAAAGGUUUACGAAAGAAAAAGAGAUCAAAACGAGAAGAAUGAACUCAUUGAAUGAACUUAUGAUAUCAAAAUGCUUAUUUCUACUCAAGUCACCAAGAAUGUAAACAUUUUUUUUUUUCGAUUUUUUUUUCUUUUUCUUUUUCUUUUUUUUUUCUUUUUUUUUCUUUUUUUUUUGUUUGUUUUUUUUUUCGAAUCAAACAAAAGAAACGAACCUUGCACAAUUGAAUUCAAGCAUAAUGCUUGUUGAUCUAAUUGAGAAACUUCAAUACAAGGUAGAAAAAGCAACAAAAUAUAUCCACACAAUGAGUCCAAAAAUCUCCUUAAAUUGAGGCUAAAAAAGAAGAAAAGUUGUUAAGUAGACGGAGAGAAUUAGAUGGGUAAUGGUUAAGGCUCAAACAAAGGUAGCAAAUAAAGGUCUUCGGGUAGAGAAAAAGGAAAAUGCGAGAAUAGAAAAAUGGUAAAUGGUUUGCCCUUAUCAUUUUAAUGCCUAAAAUCCCGUAAUGUGGCUUCAACAUGCAUAACAAAGCAAGUUCUAGAAUAAACAAACUAGGAUUGAUAUUCACAUAACAAAAAUAAUUAGAGCAAAAUGGUUGCUCAUAGGCUCAAAUCCUCACAAAGUUGGUAAAUUUGUCAUCAAAUCAUGUACACUCUUCAAAUGAAUCAACCAUCAAUAGUGGUGUAGAAUGAGAAGAAGGUAUGAGUGAGAUAUAAAAGGAAAGGUAAAAAAGGAUAAUAAGCGAGAAAGAUGUAUGUAGUAAAAAAAUGAAAGAUAAAAUGUGAGUGAUGAAAGAGUAUGAUAGGAAAAAAAAAUAGAUGUAAAUAAUUUGAGAUAGAUGGGAAAAAGGUAGUGAGAAAGAAAAGAAAAGAUAAAAUAAUAAUAUAUAAAGCAUACUAACUCCAAAAUCAUUUAAGGAUGAGUAGAGUGAAAAUAAAUGAGUAGAGUGAAAAUACUACUUCCAGACAUCAAUAAUGCAAAAAUCCCUCCCCCACACCAAGAACUUACAUUGUCCCCAAUGUAAGAUAAUCAAAGCUCACAUAAAAAUUAAAGCGUAAGGAUAAAAGUUUAAGGGCAAAAAGAAACUUCCCUGAAUUGUGAGUUUUGGUCCACAUAACGUCUAUGGGCUUGGCGGAAAUGGUGGGGUAAAUCCCACACUCUCGAAGUAUGCGGCCAAAUUCUGCUCCAUUUUGUUCAACUUGUGCUCCAUUUUCUCUAACUGAAUGCUCAAAGGUGGUGCGGAUGUAGAAGGAAUAGUUGGCGGGGCAACAGUGUCGUCGUCAAACUCGUCAUCAGAGGUAGCACCACUCCUAGCAUAAAGCUUCUUCGGAAGUUGAGUGGGUCCUGGUUCAGUAAACUGAAAUCUCCCCUCCUUGAAUUCGACCACACCUGUUCUUUCAAACACAGACAUAUCCAAAAAUUCCUUUUUGCAAGCAGGAUGCAAAUCAUUAUUGUCAGGAUCAAGCACACAUAGGUUUAUAGCUAACAGAGUAAUGUAUGGACCAAGAAAUAAAGUCCUAUACCGUUUAAGCACACUUUGAAAUUGAUCCGCUAACCAAAAACCUAAAUUAGGCCUCACAUCAUUUAACAUGCACCAGAUAAAAUAAAAUUCAGUUUUAGAGAAAAUUCCUGAGUGAUCUUUCUUGCCUAAAAAAUUAUAUGCUAAGAAUCGAUGCACACAUUUCAAAACAGGAUCACGUAAGAAAGAACUCUUUGAUUUACUCGGGUCAUAGGCAUUGUGAUCAACAGAUAAAUUACGCCAAAGACCAUAAGGCUCAAAAUUUUCACCAAAGUCACAAGUUGUUCCUAAAUAUUCAUCACUAGUAGAAUGAUCAUCAUCAAUGAAUCCUAAAGCUAGGUUAAAAUCCGUGAUAGAGUGUGAAAAAUUUCGUCCCAUUAACCUAAACUUAAUGACAUCCGGGGUAUGCAAAGUAAAAUCAUUCGGCAUAGUGAAUUGAAAAGUAGCAUAAAACUCCCUAAUCAACUCAACAUAACCCAAGCAAUCAACAUCAACAAACUUACGCAACCCAAUCUUAUCUAUCAAAGAAUCAAAAUUAUCUUUAACAUUUAAUUUUUCAAGAGUCGGGUAAUGAAUAUACUUAGCUGGAAGUAUUUUGCGCGUGGAAAUAUCUUUGUACCUCUCUUUCUCUUGUUGAGUCGCGAAUGCGAGGCACCCUCCGAGAUUGGAUUCCGCAAGUGGCAAAACACUCAUGCCUUUUCCAUGCUUCGAUCUUUGUCUCACGGCUUGGCGUGAAUCUGAAAUUAUGUUCCAUGGAACCGUAGUGGGAGCGGCAAUCUUAGAUUUCUUUGCGACGGGUGUCUUUUUCGACGACUUGGAAGUAGAUGCUUUCCUCUUCGGCAUUGUUACAAUAAUUGCACUCACGGAUUUCGAUUUACCCGGCUGGAAUACAGGGCGUAGGCUGGUUGUGUUGCGCUUGCUGCUCGGCUGGAGCUUGUUGCGCGAGUUGGGGCUGGUUGUGCGCGCUGCUGAGGCUUGCUUUGCGGGUGAUGGCUCAUUGCUGUGCGGGGCUGUUGCGCGAGUUUGGGCUGGUUGUGCGCGCUGCUGAGGCUUGCUUUGCGGGUGCUGGCUCGUUGCUGUGCGGGGCUGUUGCGCGCGAGAGCCAGUUCGCGUUGCGGGUCUGCGUUGCGGAUCUGUUGCGCUGCGCGCGCGGGACUGAUGUGCUGCGCUGAGGCUGAUUCGCGCUGCUGCUGGUUGCGGUGCGCGAUGCUGUGCGCGGCGGCUGGGGCUGAUUCGCGCUGCUCGCGCGGGCUGGGGAUGCUGGAGCUUGCUGCUGGUUCUGGGCGUACUCGUCUGCUGCUGCUGGUUGCGCGGUGAAGGCUGGAGCUGAUGCUGCUGUAAAACGAUAAUCAACAGUAAUUUUUGAAUUAGGGAUUUGUGAACAGUGAUUUUCGAUUUUUGGUUUUUUUUUUUUUUUUUUUUUUUUUUUUUUUUUUUUUUUUUUUAGUGAUGAAUCACUUUGAGACACUAAAAAUUUCAGAAGUACUUUUCUAAUAAGUACGUGGGCACGCCUUAUCAAAAAUUUUCUUCUGACCAAAAUAAGCAAACACAUUAAAUUUCAGAAGUACUUUUCUAAUAAGUAUGUGGGCACGCCUUAAAACUUUGAGACAUUAAAAAUUACAGAAGUACUUAUUAGCUAAGACGUGGGCACGCCUUAUCAACAAAGUUCUUCUGACCAAAAUAAGCAAACUCAUUUUUUUCAUUUUUUUUUUUAAAGAAGAUAAAACAAAAACCAAAAUAAACAAAUCAUUUGGGUUGCCUCCCAAAAAGCGCCUUUGUUUUAUGUCUUUGGCUAGACACAUUUAUGCAUCAAUCUCCAUAAUUGGGACUCUCGAGAGCCACAUCCUCCACAAUAUUCACCGAAAAACCUUCAUAAAAAGGUUUUAAGCGAUGACCAUUAACUUUAAAAACUUUGUCAGAGGUCGGACUCCGAAUCUCAACUGCACCAUGAGGAAAAACAUUAGUAACAAUAAAAGGUCCAACCCAGCAAGAACGUAAUUUACCCGGAAAAAGUUUAAGCUUAGAAUGAAAAAGAAGAACUUUUUGACCAACAGAGAACUCAUUUCUCAAAAUCAUUCUAUCAUGAAAUGUCUUCGUCUUUUCCUUGUAAAAAACUUCCUACGCUAUAGGGUUAAUAACAUCUACAGAAAAUACCGAAUGUUCCUCACUAGGAUAUUUCAUGGCAUCAUUCAUAUUGAAUUCUAUAACCUCUCCAUCAAACUCCAUAGUGAGAGUCCCUUUAUGUACAUCCAUUUUAGUCCUAGCAGUCUUAAGAAAAGGUCUUCUUAGCAAAAUUGGGACAGAAUUAGAGGAGUUAUCAUCUUCCAUAUCAAGUACAUAAAAAUCAGCAGGAAAAACCAACUCAUUAACUUGUACUAAGACAUCUUCUAAUACCCCAUCAGGAUAUGCAUUAGACCUAUCAGCUAGUUGAAUUAUCACGCCAGUUUCUUUUAAUGGACCAACAUUCAAAGAUGAAUAAAUGGAACGAGGCAUGACAUUAAUAGAAGCUCCUAGAUCUAACAAAGCCUUUUCAAUUCUAACACUACCAAUUUUACAAGGGAUAGUAAACAUACCUGGAUCCUUGCACUUAGGAGGUAGUUUCUUUUGGAGAACUGCUGAAACAUUCUCCCCCAUGUGAACUUUUUCAUCUCCUCUUAAUUUUCUCUUGGAGGUGCACAGUUCCUUAAGGACUUUAGCAUAUCGAGGUAUUUGUUUUAUAGCAUCUAAUAAAGGAAUAUUUACCUCAACCUUGCGAAAUGUCUCAAGGAUGUCUUUCUCUUGUUCCUCCUUCUUGGAUUUUGCAAACCGGCUUGGAAAAGGAGGAGGUAUCACAAUAGGUAGGGGUUUCGCUCUGGUGGGUUUUGCAUCUUGAGAUUGAGGCAUCAAUUCAUUCUUCUCAAGCUCAUCUUCUACAUGCUCUGUCACUUUCUUACUAGGCUCUUGCAACUCCUUCCCACUUCUAAGGAUGACAGCACUAACGUUUUGCUUUGGAUUCACCUCAGAUUGUGAAGGCAAUCUCCCUAGUACUUGAGACUCCAGACGGCUCACUGUAGUCGCCAAUUGACUCAUUUGGUUCUCCAAGUUCUGAAUGCUUGCUGUAGUUGCCUGUUGAAAUUGUUGAGUGUUAGUCGCAAGUGAUUUAACAAUUUCUUCAAGAGAUAUACCUGACUUGGAAUUAGGUAUUAUAUGUAUAAUACAAGUAGAAAUCUGCUGAUAUUUAUAGUUAGAAAUCGCUGAAAGGUUCUUUGCCUGUUUCCGCUUGUAGGGGCUGUGUUCAGAAACUGUGAGGGAGAAUAUUUGGGGAUUUCUCUUGUCCAUUACAUGUUGAGACGACUUUUGUUGCUGAACUGUUGGUUGUUAUCUUGGCUAUAGAGCAUGCUUCUGUUGGAGGUUGGACUAUGUUGUGGAUCAACUUAUUUUUGUUUGUUCUGCAAGAAUCAUAACGAGUGAGAAGAUGUCUGGAUUUCUUCACUAUUAAAAAACUACCAGUAUUUAUUUAAUAUGUUUAGACAAGUCACCAAGGUUACUAGUUUCCUGUCUUCAGUGUGUGCAUGUGUAUGUGUAUAUUUGUAUCAACAAUAAGAUUUUUACCAAAAUAGCGUUCAUAUUCAUCUCGUUAUUGCAACAACCAACUUGCCUACGAUUUUCCAAUAAAAUUUACAUGAAAAGAUUUUAUAGUAUAUUGUUUUGUGAAUGAUGUAGUAGAGCAGUGGAGAUCUAGAACUUGACAGGGAGAGGCGGUAGAAUCUGAUCAAUGAAUAUCUACAUACGAAGAGUUACAGACGAAUAUAGAGAAGAGUUACAAACAAUGUAGAUAUAUACAUGAAGAAUAUUAGCCUAGAGAUUAAUCAAACACAUGUUAUGACUUGAUCACUUCCAUUUUGUAGAUAUAUAUAAUGUAAUUUUUUGACACUACGUUACGUUCACGCCAACUUUAACUCACCAACACAAAUCUUUUCUUGUUCUGUUCAACCUGCAGGAUUGAAUCAGACUUUAUUAUGGAGAUUGUCAAUGGGAUAUCAAGUAAAAUUCCUAUAAAAUCAUAGACUCUUAAGGAGGUAGUAGGAAUAGAUUCACACUUGGAGAAGCUUAUCUAUCUUAUGGAUAAAGGGCCUAAUGAUGUUUGUAUGAUAGGGAUCUGUGGUGUGGGAGGUAUAGGUAAGGGGACUCUUGCAAGGGUUGUUUAUGACUUGAUCUUUCAUGAAUUUGUAGUAAGUAGUUUUCUGGCCAUUGUUAGAUAAACCUCAUACAAAGGCGGUCUGAUUUCCUAACAAAAUGGAAUGUAUAUAAUGUUAUCAACAUAACAGGAAGUAGGCUACGACACAAAAAGGUUCUUCGUGUUAUGGCUUACGGCAUUUACAAAGUUUAGCUAGAAAGUUCAGGCAGCAGGAUCAUCAUAACAUCAAGAGAUAAGCAUUGUUGACAACACAUGGAGUGGAUGAAUUGUAGGUCCUGAAGCAAAUACAUUGUGAUGAAGCUCUUAGACUCCCUUGUAUGACAACACAUCUGUGGCAUGAGAGGUAUAGGUAAGUGCAAUGCAUGUAUUUUGAGUUCAUUAUUCUAAAAGUCAAGAAAUGAAAUAUAAAAUUGCUAUCACUAUAUAAUGCAAAGUAAAACAUUUUAUGUAAUGCAGCCUACAUUUUAUUCAUUUUUUUAUGGUACACACAAAAUGUUUUCCUUUGCCCAAGCUAUCAAUUGUACAAUGUAAGCUUUCAAGGAGAUCCUUUGGUCAUAGUUACAGUGAUCCGAAGGGCAUGACUUUGAGCCCUGAGAAAGGUCUGCCCACAUUUGCUCAAUUCAACCUUUGAUCUUAUCUUCAAGACUAUUCCAGAUUAUUCUCAUCUCUUGCUGAAUCACUCUUAUGAGUCAUCUGACAUGCUUGACUCACAGAGGUGUUUCAUUGAGCAUUUUGCUCAUUUUAUCGAACGUUAGUUUUGCUCAACAUUCUAUGCUUUAAAUCUAUGCAUAAAUAAUUUUAUGGACAUCUUCACAUCCUAUUCUUCACUUCUCAUCUGCUUUUAUGAUUUUUAGGGAACUGAAAUAGUCGAAUGCAUGGUACAUGGCUUUUCAGAACUUAAGGUUCAUUCUAGCGCAGAUGCUAAUGCCUUCCGGAUGAUGAACAAGUUAAGAUUGAGCAGAAUUCAGAAUUCGCAACUUCCUCAAGGCCUAGAUUACCUCUCUAAUGAGUUAAGAUUACUUAAAUGGUAUAGGCAUCCACUUAAAAUCCUUUCCACCAAAUUUCCAACUGGAUAAAACUUUCAAGCUUAAGUUGUGUGAAUGCCGCAUUGAAGAAUUGUGGAAGGGAAUCAAAGUAAGAUCACUUACUUUUGUGUUUAUUAGUGAAUAAUUGUUUUAUUUUUUCCCUUUAAAUUUUGAAAUUACUUUCUAAGUUUAUACGAGAAGUAUCGUUGUAAAUUAAGAAAAAUUUCUUCUUGGUCCUUUAUGUUUCCAACAGCCUUUGAACAUGUUGAAAGUCAUGAAACUCGUGCAUUUGGGGCAGCUGUGAAGCCGCUCUCCACCCUAUAUUUUAGGGGAAUAUCCCCUAUAAUAAAACGUGAGCUGCCCCAAACGGAAGCUCAACCAUUCACAGAACCUGAUUAAAACACCAGACUUCACAGGGGUCCCAAAUUUAUAGAAGUUCAUUCUCGAAGGAUGCACAAGGUUGCACGAAAUUCACCCAUCUUUGCUGCUUCACAAUAAGCUCAUUGUAUUGAAUCUUAAGGAUUGUACAAGUCUCAAACUCUUCCAGGCAAAUUUUUUAUGAAAUCUUUAAAAACACUUAGUACUUUCUGGUUGCUCAAAGUCGAAGAAAUUUCCAGAGAUUGUGGGAAAUAUGAAGUUUCUGCGGGAGCUUCUUUUGGAUGGAACUGAUAUUAAGGGACUACCAUUAUCAAUUGUACUUUUAUCUGGAAUUGUUCAGUUGGAUUUGAAAGGCUGCAAAAAUAUUAGUUGUCUUUCAAAUUUCAUAAGUGCUUUAAAAUUUCUUUCCACUUUCAAUCUCUCUGGCCUUUUGAAAUUCAGAUUGCCUCUAGAGAUCAUGGGACGUAUGGAACAUUUGUUGGGCGCUUCGGUUGUUGGGAACCACUAUAAGAGGAUUGCUAGUGUCAACUGAAUAUCUCUCUGUCAUUGUUUUGCUAAAUUAAAAAGGUUGCAAACAUCUCUCAAGUCUUCCAGUUACUAUAAGUAGUUUAAAAUGUAUAAGAACUCUUAACGCUCUCUGGUUGCUCGAAGCUGGAAAAGUUUCCGGGAAGUAUGAAAUCUCUGACUAUGCUUAUUUUAGAUGGAACUGCUAUUCGAGAAUUGUCGUUGUCAGUUGAACUUCUAACUGGCCUUGUUGUGUUGAAUUUGAAAGAUUGGCAAUAUCUCUCGAGUCUUCCAAGUACAAUCAAUGGUUUGAAAUCUCUUAAAAUUCUGAAUGUCUCUAGUUGCUCGAAACUUGAAAUUGUGCCAGAGAACUUGGGUAAAGUAGAAAGCUUGGAAGAGCUUGACAUUAGUGGAACAGCAAUUAGGCAACUUCCGACCUUUAUUUUUCUCUUAAAGAAUCUUAAAGCAGUGGACCACUAUCAUCUACAUCAUGGGAUUUGUGCUUCCUUCCCAAUAUGAUGUGAAGGAGUUUAGAUCCCAUGACUAAUUUGAUAUUACCUUCUCUAUCAGGCUUAUGUUCUUUAACAAAAUGGGAUCUCAGCAACUGUAAUCUACCAAUGGAAGGAGGAGAAAUCCCAAGUGUUAUUUACCACUAAUGCCUAUUGUUCAAGAAUGAACUAGAAUCUAAUUCCAAGACUAGACGCAAUGUCGGCUGAAUAAUAAAUGAUAGUAUGAACUGCUCUCGGUUACCCCUAGAGGACUCAUGUACGACGUCUAGCUCAGGUCGUCUAAAUUUAGUAAGUGAGUGCACGCUUUGGUCACGUGCACUAACUUAUACAUAAUGAUCAAACGACCCGAAAAGACUGCCGUUUUGAUGAGCAUUACUAUCAUUAUAUGGCUGUUAAAUCGGUUAGAAAGGGUGGGAGAUUAUUACAAACCCAUAACAGGCUGAUGACCGAUGAGGUAUAUUGUAUGAUGUCCAUUCAGUAGCUUGUAAUUUUCUCUCUAAGUUUGUAAGUUGUUCUGAGAAAACAAAUAAAGCUUGCCAAAGAAAGCAUAGGCCAUUGUAGCUAAACAUCUUGGAUUUUUAAUUUCUUGAUAAACUAUAUAUUCAUUUGAAUUAUGUAAUAUGAAGAUUUUUGUAUCAUUAGUUUGUGCUUGUUGGUUUUUUAUUUCUUUCAUUCUAAUAUACAAUUAUAAUAGGAAAAAUGACAUUUACACCCCUUGAAUUUGAGGAAAUGGUCACCAACACCUCCAAUUUAAAAAAAAACAUUAAAACCCCUUUUUGACAAUUAACCCUUUAAAAAAUUAAAUUUAAAAUUUUUAGAAAAUAGAAAUAUUAUAUAAAUAAUGUAAUCUAUGCAAUAGACUAAUAAUAUUAAAAUAAUUUAAUAUUUUAAUAAAUUUAAAUAUAUAAAUUGUUAUAUUUAUUUAAUAAUAUAUUUUAUUUAUUUUAGAUAUUUUAAAUAAAUAUUUGCAUUAAAUAUAUUUUACAAUUAAAAAAAUCUCACAUACUAAUGUUAUUAUUAUUUUACAUAAUAUUCAAAAUAAUUUAAAUUUUAAUACACUUGUUUUAACAUUAUGAUUCUAUUUAUUAUCAAAUUUAAUUUUAUAUACUAAAAUAUAUCUAAUAGAUUGUAAAAUAUUAAAAUAUUUUUGAAGUAUUUCUAUUUAUUAUAAAACAUUAGAGUUGAUUCUUUUUUGGAUAAUAGAGGUUAAAGGGUAUUAUCAUUAAAAGAGGGUCUUGAUGUUCCAUUUUGAAAUUUUGGGAGUGUUGGUGAUUAUUUCCCUAAACCUUGGGGGUGUAGAUGUCCUUUUUCCCAUUAGAAUAUCUUUUUUUGGCUAUUAUACCUUUCAAUUAUAGUAAUAUUAAAAUUGAUUUUAAAUUUUAAAAUAAAUACAAAUAUAAUAUUAGAAUAAAUAAACAAAAAUUAAUAAUUUUUAUUUUGGAAUUCCAAAUAUAUUGUUUUCAACAUCAGAAAUUAUAGUAUUUCAACUGGAUGACAUCCUAAAAUAAAAAUUAUGGAAAAGAAAUCAGAUUGCUAUUAUUAGACUAAAUGAUAAAAAAUUAAUUUUAUUUUAGAAUUAUUUAAAAGAAAUUAAUCGCAAAUAAAAAAAAAUUUAAAACAAUUGACCCUGGGCCGGCCUCGUUCGUCUUUUUAUAUAGAAUUGCAGGUCAAGAGCAUGCCCAGAACAUGUUUGACGAAAUACCCAAGAAGGAAUGCAUCCAUCUGAUAUGUUGAAGAGCACCGACAUGAUGCAUCUGUUACGGUAACUUUGUGAUUUCCUAAGCAAUCAGAAUCAAACAGUCAACAAAGUCAACUUUAUGAUUUCCCAGUUAAUCAACAAAGUCAAUUAUGCUACAACUUUAUGAUACAUCUAUUGCCACAAUUUUUUUUCACGUAGAAAAUUCAAUUAAAUUAAUUUAAUAUUGUCCUGGCUCAAACAUGCUGCCGCUUUGCUUGUAGUGCGGGUUUUCGGGUCCUUCAAUUUGCUGGUAGUGUACUUUUUCGUUUGCUGAUUAUGAUUAUUUCGGAGCCAAACUUAUAAAUUUAAUUCGAAAAGAAAAAUUUUAGGAACUUAAGUAAGAGGCUGUUGAAUCAAUUGCUUGCAACAGGAGCAUUCUGCAGGGAGUUUCUCCAUAUGUUCUGUCCCCCGCAAACAUUUCACAAACCAUUUGCGUGUUGCUUUGGAACAAAAGGGAGCCGUUUUAUUUAGGGACGACCAGGAACUCGAGAGAGGAAAAGUAAUUUCACCAGGACUACUUACAGUAAUUGAAGAAUCAAGAAUUUUAAUAAUUGUUUUCUCAAGAAACUAUGAGUCUUCCACUUGGUGUUUGAAGAACCAAGAAUUUCAAUAAUAUCUUUCAUAAAUUUGAAGUCAGAAAACAACUAAAUCAUCUUAAAAAGAAAAAAAAUUAUAAUUUACACUUUUAAAAACAAUUAGAUCAAAUCUCUUCAUUGGCAGCUAACAACAUCAAUUCCAUAUCCAAGUCAGCAAGUUUGGAAAGGUUCAUCCGCCGCUUGGAUUGCUGAAUCGCUCUUUUGGAUAAAUUUUCCGGCUUUUAAUAAAAGAAAAUUGGAAAAGGAAAUUAUAGAGAUUGAACAAUUAGCAACAUAAAAAAGUUAAAAUUACUAACAAAUGAGCAAUUAUACUUUUCCAGCAAGUGAUUUCUGCUUUCUUAGAUUGCUGAGACGAUUAACAUGAAACUAGUUUUUUCUUCUUUUUUUUUUUUGGCAACAGAUAAAAGAAACUGAGUGAUUGAACAAUUAGAGAGACACAAUGUCCAGCCUGGACUAGAUUUGAGUAUUUGACGAAUAAAAAGAACAAUAGGAAUUGAUUUUUUUAUUUUUUUUUUGGGGUAGUUUCAAGUGAUGGAUUAUAGAAAGGAUAGAAUGAAAAAUAAGGAUAAAUUGGGGAGUAAAUGGGGUACAGUAAUAAGAAAUAAGAAUAAUUUAUUUUUAAGAGAUGGGCCAGAUGAAAUAAAAUGAAGCGUUCAAAUAUCACUUUUUCUAUAGUGUUGGCCAAUUAGCACUUUUUUUUUUUUUUUUAGAAGAAAGGGAUUCAUUCAUUAACUGAGUUAAAAAGGUACAUAAUUUUUUAAGGGUAUGACCCUUUCCAAAUAGCAGUUUCACCACUUUCUAAAGCUCUCUUAGCUAAAGAAUGAGCAAUGGCAUUACAGGAUCUUAAAAUGUGCUGGACUUUGACAGCAUUAAACUCCUUCAUUUUGCUUUGCACCUCUAUUAUUUCCCAUUGGAUCUCUGUUCUGCUGCUCUUUUUGCUGUUAACCAAAUCAAUAGUCUCCUGAGAAUCUGAUUCCAUGAUGAUAUUUGGCAAUUUUGCAUGCUUUGCUAUGCUUAGACCCCAGCUCACAGCUUCUACUUCUGCAUGAGUUACAUCACCAUGAAACUUUGUGACCUUUAUUGCAGUUGCCACAAAAUUUUCCCCCGCAUCCCUUAUGACAACUCCCAGGCCAGCACAUUGGUUUUUCACGUUUAUGGCUGCAUCAACAUUGAUUUUACACUAAUCUAGUGGAGGGCGGCUCCAGCCUCUUGGAAUCUUUUCUUUCUGCUCAGCAAAAUCCUUUCGGGUUUGUGCUUUGACCUUUUAAACUCUUCCACUACUGAUUCAGCUUUCGCAGCUAGGAUUCUAGGGUCUUCUCUCUUCCCUUUGAAUGACACUUGAUUUCGGGCACUCCAUGCUACCCAAAACAUAGCCGCCACCAUCUCAGUAUCAGCCUUGCCAAUCCUUCUUUCCAGAUCUUGAAUUACACUGAGAAUGUCCUGAGUUGCAAUGCUUCUGAGCUCUACUGCAGCCUCAGUUACCUUCCAGAUUCUGCGGGCUGACCUGCACUCCACCAACGCAUGGAAAGUAUUCUCCAAAGCAUUUCAACAGAGCUGACAGAGCGGUUGGGCUAGAAUUUUCCUUUUCCACAGAUUUGCAGCUAUUGGGAGGAGAUUUUUGGCUGCUCUCCAAAUGAAAAUUUCGAUUUUCUUAGGCAAUGACAUAGUCUAUAUAAUAGGCCAUGGACUUGCUUUCUAAUUUGAGCAUCCUCGAGAGUCUUCUAGCGUAAUCCUCAAUGCAACUUGAUAUCUGCUUUUCACAUUAUAAUUUCCUUUUUUAUCAAAAUGCCACAGGACUUGAUCUGCUGUUGGUUGUCUAGGGAGUGGGAUUCUUGUAAUUGUAUCAGCAUCUUCUUUCACAAAGUGUUGGUAUAUCAGCCCAACCUUCCAUUGAUUAUCAUCAUCAAUAAGCUCCGAAACAGUCACAUCAAUUGGCAAAGAUGGAAGGGAAACUGGUUUGAAUGUCAAUGGCCUCGACAUCCAGUUUCCUCUAUAAAUUUCCACUUGAUCACCUCUUCCAAUCCUCCAUCUUAUCCCUCUAUUGAUAACUUCUCUCCCCCAUAAUAUACUUCUCCAAAUAAAUGAGGGUCUGAAGCCUAACUUUGCAUUAAGAAAAUGACAGUUCUUAAAGUAUCUUGCUUGUAAGAUCUUUGACACCAUAGAAUCUGGGAACUGCAAUAUUCUCCAGCCUUGUUUCGCUACCAGAGCCUGGUUAAAGCUUGCGAAAUCUCUAAAGCCUAAUCCUCCUUUUUGCUUUGCUUGGCUUAAGCUCUCCCACCUUGCCCAAUGGAUGCCUCUUUUUUCCGCAUUACUACUCCACCAAAAUCUAGAUAUCACCUUUUGGAUGUCAUCACAAAUGCCCAAAGGAAGCUUAAAGACACUCAUAGCAUAUGCUGGAACAGCCUGUGCUAAGAAUUUGUAUUGCCAGCUCGAAAUUUUACUCAUCACCCUCAGCUUUAUUUCAUUGAAGAAACCUUUCCUUUUUCUCCCCACUAUGGACGGCAGCCCCAGGUAUUUCUCAUGCCUUGAGACUACAUUUAACUGAAAAAUGUUUUUAAUUGCUGCAACGCUUCCACUAUCUGUGUUCUUGCUGAAAAACAUUGAAGAUUUGUUAUAGUUGAAGAGCUACCCUGAGGCUGUUGCGUAGCAAUAAAAAAUCCGCUUAAGGUGUUGGCAAUCUUCAGCCGAGGCUCUUGAGAAAAUCAGGCUAUCAUCCGCGAACAUGAGAUGUGAAACAUUGAUGCUGUUGCCAAACCUGAGGCCAUGAAUCAGCACUCUUCCUUUUGCCUUUUGCAGCAUAACAGAGAACACCUAUGCACACAUGAUAAACAAAUAAGGAGAGAGAGGGCAGCCUUGUCUUAGGCCCCUCUGAGGGUAGAUUAAGCCUUUUGCUGUGCCAUUUAUAAGGACUGAAAAGAAUGAAGUUGUGAUGCACCUCAUGAUUAGGUUUACCCAUGAUCGAGGAAAUCCUAAUUUAAUCAUUGUUUGUUCCAAAAACAACCACUCCACCCUAUCGUAGGCCUUACUUAUAUCAAGCUUUAGAGCCACAAGCCCAUUUCUCUUCCCUUCACUAUGCCUAACCUUAUGUAAGCAUUCAUAACCUAUGAUAAUGUUGUCAGUUAUGAGUCUAUUUGGAAUGAAAGCACUUUGGGUAGGGGAGAUGACUUGGUGGAGAAUGUGUUUAAGCCUAUUUGCAAUAGCUUUAGCCACAAUUCUAUAAAUGACAUUACAUAAGCUUAUAGGUCUAAAAUUGGUCACUUUCCUAGGCUUUUUAGUCUUAGGAACUAGAGCAAUAUAUGUGUGGUUAAGAGGGGUUAUUGUACCUUGCUCGUUCAGAAUAUGCAAACAUGUAGUCACCACUCCACUUUUUACCAUUUUCCAAUGCUUUUGGUAGAAGAACGCUGGAAAUCCAUCGGGUCCUGGUGCUUUGGUGGGGCACAUUUGGGAUAGGGCUUCAAGAAUCUCUUCUUCCGUAAUGGGUUGUUGCAGCUGAUCAUUCAUCUCCUCAGUGACUCUUGGAGUUAUUUCUUCUAGGGCAGCAUCUAACUGAUUCUGGUCUGGUCUAGUUGUUGAGAACAAGUUAGCGAAGUAUGCACAUAAUUCUCUUUCUACUUCCUCCCCCAUCACUAUCCAGUUCCUUUGGCUGUCUUGAAUGCCCCAAAUCCUAUUCUUCCUCUUUCUCGAUGAGGCUUUUGCAUGAAAAUAUUUAGUGUUCUUGUCCACUUCUUUAAGCCAAUCAACCCAGGAUCUUUGUUUCCAAUAAAUUUCUUCAUCUAUCAAAAUAUUUUGGAUAUGCCUUUUCACCCUUUUGAUCUCCUCUCCAUUGCUAUACUGCCUCCCACUGAACCUCAGCUCUUUUAGCCUAGCCACCGGCUUAUCCAACUUCUUUUUCCUCCCUUUGAAUUCUUCCCUGCUCCAACACUUCAGCUGGGCCAUGGAAUCUUUAGUUGUUUUUUUGAACAGUUAGACAGGAUCAGCAUGCUUCCAGUCACCAUGCUGGCUCCAUUCUCUUUGAAUUAUGUCUUUACAGCCCUUAUAACUACUCCACAUAUCUUCAUAAUGCACCCGCGAAGUACUUCGCUUUGUGUAGCUCAGUCUGCUUCCUCUUUCAUUCACCUCCAUCAAAACAGGACAAUGAUAUGAGGUCCAUGUUUCUAGGUUGAUGGCAGCACAAUCGUCAUAAAUCUCCCGCCAAUUCUUACUACACAAAAAUCUAUCCAAUCUUUCUUCUACAAAGCCAGGACCCUACCUACCAUUACCCCAUGUAAAACGGGUAACCUUUACAGCCCAUAUAAACUAGAUUACACUCUUGCAAUGCCUCUCUAAACUCACUUAUCAUGUUUGGAUUUCUCUCAUUACCACCUAUUUUCUCCCUAGGGUGUAAAAUUUCAUUGAAAUCACCAAAGCACAACCAGGGGUAUCAAACAAACCUGCAAGUCUCCUCAGUAUUGUCCAAGUAUGUUUCUUCUGCCCCGCUUCAGGGUGCCCAUAGAUUCCCGUGCAUCUCAUCCAACUUCCUUUGUCAUCUUGAACCUUGGCAUCAAUGUGGUGGCUGCUGAAUGAAGUAACAUCCACAUUGACAUUAUUGUCCUAAAGCAUUGCCAAUCCCCCUCCCUUCCCGUUUCUAUUGACUGCAAAACAAUUUUCCAAUCUCAACUUCCUGUUCACUAUAGACAUUUGCACAGGCAUUAAUUUCGUUUCACAUAAAAACAACAAAUGUGGCCUGUGUUGAUGGAGAAUUUUUUACAAAGCUAGGAAUGUCCGGGAAUUCCCCAAACCACAGACAUUCCAACUGAGGAUCUUCAUUGUUACCGGUAGGGCUGCCCACCAGCCUCCGCCGAUAUCUCUGUGAUGAUUGGCCUUGCCACCUCCAUGUCAUCUACUGACAUUAACUCCCAUUUUAGCUCAAGGUUUGCUGAAGAAGGGGAUUGCUGAGCUUGUCUCUGUAUUUGUUUAAUGGGACUAACCAACUUGACUCUUUUUUUUGUUUAGGUUGUUUUCUUUCAACAUGCAAUGUGGCCUCUUAGCUGGAUAUGUCUCCCGCUUGAUUCCUCCCAUCUCGCUUUGUUUUCGGGCCUAGCGUUUCUAGCUUUUUCUAUUGGGCUUAAUUUGAUUUAAUUCCGGUCCAUCAUCUACACCUUCCUCGUCUUCUUUACAAACUUGAGCCUUGGCUCUUUGAUCCAUUUCUUCGGUAGCCAAUUUUCCUUCUUUGCUAAAUUUUCCGCUUUCCCUCUCAUUUUCAUCAACUUUUCCCGCGUUGCUGCUCAUCUUGCUAGGGGCCUUUUCAUUGUCAGUGGCUGCAGGUUGCUUGUAGCAGUCCACUCUCUGAUCUCCUAAUUUUUUCCAGCUGAGCAUUAAAUGCGUUUCUUCUGCUUCCUCUUCAUUAUUUUCUUUAUUGGCUGCCACGUGUGUGUCUUCCUGGUCUGAGCUUGAUUCUGGUUCUGUUGCAUUGGUCCUAUGUGAUUGAAGGGGUUGCUGCGCCUGGGACAUUGGAUUUUCCUUGAAGUCUUUGUGCCUGUUAUUAGUUGGCUGGUUAACCAUUUUGCCACUAACUUUUGUUCCCCUUUCAUGGGGUCUGCUUAUUUUUUAUUUGCCAAAUACAGGGACCACUUGCAUCCAUACUCCAUAAGCCAGUUUCUCUUUUGGUUGCCCCUCGUAUUUGUUGCACUCCUUGUAUUGGUGCCUGACGAGACCACAACAAAAGCAAAAUUCGGGCAAUCUCUCGUAAACUACUGGAAUUGGGACAUCAUCUUCUCCUUCGAGUUCUAGAUAAAUUGUUCUGCUUUAUGCAUUUGUUACUUCAACUCUAUGAUUUCCCAAGAAAACAAUCAAUAUGUGAAUGUUUAGGUGCAGAAAACAUGGGCCAGCAGCUUGUAAGAACCAGGGAAAAAAGCAGAACAAUUUCAAUUCUUUGAAACCGAGUGCAGUUAAGUAAAUUCAUAAUUUCAUAACUUCUUUUAUAAUAUGCAAAUUGUAUUACUUCUAUAUGAAUUGCUUUUAGUGUGGUUAAACAGAGUGUUUCAGACUCAUGGAACAAGAAUGUUGAUAAGGUUAGCAAGCAAUGAACAGCAGAACUGAUUGAGGAAACUCAGGCUCAGAUUCUCACUAGUCCUGCAAUUAACAACUGGAAAGGUUAAAUCAAAUAAUAGCAAAUUCAAAUCUUAGGUGGCCACUUCUUUUGGCUCAGUCAAAAGUUCAGGUUUGAUAGCAGGUUCUAUAAUAUCUCCCCCGCCAUGCACACAUCAUUAUCUUAAUUUUAUCAUGCUUGUAUGCCUGGAUGGAUGCUUGUAUGCUUGACUUCUGCCACAUUUCCAUUUCCGUACACAUUCAAUAUACAGUAGUGGCUCGACCUCUAGGCAACUUAGGUGGUUGCCUAGGCCCCCUCUUUACAUGAGGGCCCCAUGAGAUGAUUAUUUUGUAAAUAAAAGAAAAACAUGAAUUUAAAAGUCAUUAUUAUUCAUUUAAUUUAUUAUUAUUUUAUAAUUAUCUUUUCCUAAAUAAACUAUCAAAUUCCUAUAAAGUUUAUUUAAUAUAAUACUUAGUAGUUUUAAUUCCUACAAAACCGAUAAAUUCCAGAUUCUAUCUUUUUACUAUUCUCUUAAUUAGCUGUGUUAUUUAUUUAUUUAUUCUUUUUUCUUUUUAAUAUAUUCUUGUAUUAAUCUACUAUUUUUUGUGUGUGCUUGUUUUAUCUAUUUUGAAAUAAAACUAUAUCGAAAAAAUUUAGAAAAUAGAAGAAUAGAAAAAUUAGUUUAAUCUAGAAAAGGAGCAGUAAAAAAGAUGUAAUUUGAAUUAAAAAAAAAAGUGAAAAUGUUAUAAUUGAAUUAAAAUUUCAUGGAUUAGCAAUAGUAGAAUAGAAUUUUAUUUAAUAAUUUUACAUUUUAGAGUAUUUAAAGAAUUAAUUUUCAAAAAAUAAUAUAUAACUAAUAUAUAUAUAUAUAUAUAUAUAUAUAUAUAUAUAUAUAUAUAUAUAUUUUGUCUUAAAUUUUAAGAAGAACUAAUUGAAAUCAUUUACCCAAGGCCUCAAAUAUGGUUGAGCCGGCCCUGUCAUUAUAAAAGUAUAAUAGCAAGUAUUAGUUAGCUGAGCUGACUUUGUUGACCAAAGCUUGUAUAGAAACUGAAUAACAGAACAACUUAUGAGGCUUGUAACCAAAAGGAUGCCUAAAGCUAAAGCCAACUAUUUUUAGUAGAAAUUGAGGGCACUAAACCUUUCUUCUCUUCCCAAACUUUAUGCAAUUUCAAAGAAAAAUGUGAAACCUUUAAUCUUUGUUUUCCAUUUUUUACUUAUUUUAAUGAGAAAAUUCUACAAUUUAAUUAAAAUUUUUUUAAAGAUUAUAGUGGAAUUACUCCAAAAGAAUAUUGUAUUCUUUUUCCCUAUAAAAUGCAAUUACAAUGAAGACGCCCUUAAUAAAAUACCUAAAGAAAUUUUUUCUUUUGGUGCGUAGAUUAUUGAAGCUGGCUUUGUCAACAUCGUGUCGAUCAAAAUCAUUCUUCAUUAAUAUAUAUAUAUAUAUUUAUUUAUUAAAACGGGCUCUUUAAGACGAGUUAGAUAUGAACAAGGCGGGGUUGACAAACCCCAAACAUAUCUUGCGAAAUAAUAGAAUAAAUACCCACAGGCGGGUUAGAGAAUAAAUGUAAACCAUGCGGAACUAAGUGAGCCAUAUUUGCCAUGAAAUCUGCAGUUGAGUUUGCUUCACGGUAGAUUUACGAGAUAGAAAUCUGCCAAUUCCUGCUUAAGAAAUCACGAAUUGCCACCACUAAAGCAUAGAAAACAUUAGGCACGACCACCUGCUGAGAUAUCAUUUGAGUUACACAGAGGCUGUCUACUUCCACCAAAAGAUGUCUGAUGCCAACAUUCUAGGCAAGGGAUAAUCCUUGAUACAGUCCCCAGAGUUCGGCCAUAAUCACUGAGCUUUCCCCAAUAUUCAUACUAAAACUUGAGAUCCAGUUACCAAAAGAAUCGCGAAUUACCCCACCCGCUCCAGCUUCUCCUGUAUUUCUAUAGGAACCAUCUGUGUUCAACUUACACCAUGGUCAUGGAGGAGGCAACCAACUAAUAAAAAUCUCCUUACACCUUGGUUGUUGGCUAAGAUGAGAGUUAUUAAUUCUAUGGAUCUCACUAGCUCUGCCAUUAUAUCCAAGUAUAUUGUCUUGCUAUCUACCAAAUUUCUAGCCAUAAUAAAAUGAUUCCGCCAAAACCAUAACCUCCAAAUAGCCACUCCAAAAAUAUAAUCCCAAGGAAGCUCAGAAUCAAUUUUCCAGUUGUUUUGCACGUUGGCAGCAAUCCAUGCACGUAAGUUAGAUUGGAAAAAAGAGAGAUGGUGACGGGCUGGAACAAGAUGAAGCCAUAGAUUCUUAAUGCAUCGACAAUCUCUCACAGCAUGAAGAAUGUCCUCAGCUGAAAUCCCGCACCUAGCACAAACAUCCGAAACGGGAAUAUUACGCCGACUGAGCUCACGGUAGGUCUUCAAUUUGCCAUGCAAAAUCUGCCAAAUAAAGAGCUUUAUAGAUUGGGGUCCUUUCCAAGACCAUGGCAAGUUCCAUACUUUAUCUUGAGCAUCCAUGUUGUGAUGGCAAAGAGAUUCAUAAGCGGAUCGAACAGUGAACAAUCCUCUUGGAUUAAAACACCAAUACAGUCUGUCAGGUCCAAGAUGCGGAGCAGGAGGCAUGAUCGAAGCAAUCUGCAGAAGAAUAAAAGGGGGCAGCAAGAGCUGAAAGUUCGACCAUCUCCAGCCACCAUGUUCAUUAGUAAAAUCGCUAACAGUUGCAUUGAGAGAGACUUGAGGGAUCGGUUGGAGAGCAAGGCCAAUCAAAGGUUCAUAUUUCGUCACCCAACAGUCCAGCCAGAACCGAAUGCGAGCACCAUUGCACAAUGCCCAGCGAGCUCCAUGCAUGGCUGCAUCCCACGUUUUCCUUAUAGCAGACCAGACGCGCGAUCCUUGCUUGUCAGGGAGGGAAGACGGCAAAUUGCAUGGGUCCAGUCCAUACUUAGAACAGAGAACCGUCACCCACAACGUAUCCAAGUUGGAAAUAAUGCCCUAACUAAUCUUCAUUAACAGGGCAUGAUUCAUCACCUCUAAAUUUUUAAAACCCAAGCCACCACGUGAUUUUGGCAAGCAGAUUUUGUCCCAGCCUACCAUGCAUAUCUUAGGACUCUUCGACUUCCCAUCCCAAAUAAAUCUACGGCAGCACUUAUCGAUUCUAUGGCACACCGAUGAAGGAAGCAUGGUCGUUUGCAUUGCAUAAAUCGGCAUGGCUUGAAUCACCGAUUGCGCCAAAGUAACACGACCAGCAAAGGAUAAGUGAGCCGCGUUCCAGCCACUGAGCCUCAUGUCUACCUUGUCCAAAAUAGAUUGGUACGUGGCUUUAUUCACCCUCGAAUGAAGUAAUGGCAUUCCAAGAUAGUUUCCCAGGUCAUGAGUAAUCGAAACCCCCAAGGCAGCACCAAUGAGCUUUGCCUCUCUUGAAGCAACAUUCUUCGAAAAGAAAAUUGUAGUUUUCACUUUAUUAACCUUUGCUUCAGAACUUCGACAGUAAUUUUCUAAGACCGCAUCAAUAAUAUGAGCUUGAUCUAUCGAAGCUUCUGUAAAUAAGAGCAAAUCAUCAGUAAAAAAAAGGUGGGUAAGAGGAGUGCCAUGUUUAACCAACCGAAUUGGCUUCCAGCUUCCAUCCACCAUAGCUUGGGUUAUUCCAUGGCUCAAACGCUCGAUACAGAGCACAAAGAUAUACGGAGAUAGAGGGUCACCCUACCGAAUUCCUCUUCCCGGAUAAAACUCUUCAGUUACCUCACCAUUCCACAGGAUGUUCAUGCUGGCUAAGGUAACACAUUCCAUGAUGAGCCGAGAUAAGUGAAUCGGGAGCCCCGUCUGUUGAAGAGUUUCAAAAAUAAAAGACCAGUUCAGCCGAUCAUAUGCCUUCUCGAGAUCCACCUUAAUAGCCAUGAGCCCUCUUUUACCCGUUUUCUUGCGCAUGGAAUGAACCACUUCCUGAGCAAUAACAAUGUUAUCCACAAUGUGCCGUCCGAGAACAAAACUUGUCUGUUGAGGCCCGAUCAGCUCAGGUAAUAAAGCUUGUAGACAAUUGGCAAUAAUUUUAGUCACUGUCUUAUAGGCAACAGUGCAUAAGCUUAUAGGCCGAAACAUCUUUAAACUAGUAGGAUGAUCCACUUUCGGAAUCAAAACCAACAGAGUUUUGUUUAUGUUUUGAGGGAUUUUACCAGUAUUAAAAAUGUCAAUGAUAAAAGUACAGAAAGAGGGUCCAAUAGUGUGCCACUGGGAUUGAUAAAAGAUAGCCUGCAGUCCAUCAAUACCCGGCGCUUUAAGGGGUUUCAUGCUAAAAAUAGCUCUUUUAAUUUCUUCCUCCACAACCGGAUCAUUAACACAAUCAAGAUAAUUAGCAUUCACGGCUGGAAAAAAAUUCGGAACAGAGUAUGUUUGAUAAGAAUGAGCUUCACUUUUGAAUAAAGAGGAGAAAUACUCAACUGCAUGGCUACGAAUAUCUUUCUCAUUGUAGAUCCAGUUCCCCAUACUAUUCUUAAUGGCCUCAAUUCGAUUUCUUCUGCGACGAGCAAUAGUUUUUUGGUGAAAGAAGGUAGUAUUUCUAUCCUCGUGUAGGAUCCAGUCUUUCCUAGAUUUCUGCCACCAAAAAAUCUCCUCCUGAGCCAUCACCAUCUCUAAUUCACUUCGUAAGUGAGCCUCUAACCGAAUCAGCCCUCUAGAAUUAUAUUGUUCUAAGGCUGCUUGAAUACCAUUAAUCCGAGCCAGUAAUCUGUGUUUACACUGAAAGAUGUUACCAAAAACAUCGUGAUUCCAACCUUGCACCACUUGAAUAAAACUAGUAGUUGCAGUACUGUAGUGAGAGGUGGAAUCCCACACCUGUUUGACAAAAGAAUUAAAAUGCUCAUGAGUUAACCAAGUAGCCAAAAAUCUGAAAGGCCUAAUAACCUGUUGUCGGUAAUCAGCUCCCUCAAAGCGGGCCAGGAUCGGUAUGUGAUCUGAGGCAACUUUCGGAAGGUGAAGAACAGUGUUAUCAGCAAACUUCAUCAGCCAAUCAUUAUUACACACAUCUCUGUCAAGCCGUUUAAACAGGGUGCCAUGAGACCAAGUAAAACGAGGGCCUUUAAACUUUAAAUCAAAAAUUUGGUGGCCAUCAAACCACUGCCAAAAUAAACCACACACUCCAAAGUGUCUGGUAACACCCCCCUGCUUCUCAGAAGCAAACAAAAUAGAAUUGAAAUCCCCUCCAAUCAACCAAGGACCUUGAAUUGAGCCGGCAAGAUUCUCCAUACGACUCCAGAAAUGUCUCCGCAACAUUGGAUUUGAGCUAGCAUAGAUAGCCGUUACCCAAGAGACAAAAAUAUUAUUUCUACAAACUUUGAAAUGAAUAAAUUGCCUAUGAUUAAUUACCACCUCCACCUUAACACAAUUCCGCCACAGGAUCCAGAUUCCUCUAGAAACGCCAACUGCUUCCACUCGAUGAGAGAACUCAAAACCAUUUUUCUUUAUAAACCCAUCUGCUUUCAUUCCACUUACACGAGGUUCCAUGACAACCACCAUAGACGGGUUAUAAUUUUUUACAACAGUCUUAAAAGAGCGCCGAAAAUUUCCGGAGGCCGCUCCUUGGACAUUCCAAAACAAUAUGCUAAUCGUCAUAAAAAUAAAUAAAAAAGAAAACCAAGGGCCCAACAUAUCAAAGCUACUGGUCAUGGAUAUCAUCUAUCAUCACCAAAGGUGAUUCCUGAACCAUCGAGACUUCUUCAUCUGACAUCUCCUUCCCAUCAUCUCCACUCAUUGGAACAACGGGGUGUGUAUAAGCAUGCUCAAAAGCAUUAACAGUAAAGACGUGAUGGUCAUCUGGGGGGUCAGCCAAAGGUUGUGGGUCCAGAUCCUCACAAUCUCUAUGAUCCGUGCCCACACCCUUCAUAUCUCCAUAAGGAAGAAUUUGUGAAGAACAAAAGACCACCGUGUGCUUUGUAGGAUCCAAAGUGGUAGCUACAUGAGGAGUUUGUUGCUUAUUAGGGGCAGCAUGUGUAAUGGGGCAAUGGAUUUGGCUAGGGUUGUCAUGGGGUGUGGAAAUAAUAGUUUUUUCUCUUAUGUGGAGGGCAGUAGUCUGGAAAGGAUUGCGGGUAGGGUUCAUUGGAGUGAAAGGUUUCCUAUUUGGUGGCUUCGAAGCAGCAGAUUUUGGAGUCUGCUGACGUCUAACAGGAGGCUUAAAUACUUUAUCAUUGUUAAAGGUAAAUAUCGGAUUUGAGCUUGAUGGACUAGGUGUUUUGAGGUUGAGGGGACGUCUGUGGAAGCGCCAUGCAGAGAGUUUUCAUGCAGAUCCGUCAUCUGAGCUAGAAUGUGAAACCUUGACUCACUCGCCCCAUUAGGUUCACAGUUUUGACCAUUGUUUGGCUUCCUUCCUUUCCUAGUUACAAUCAUCCAAGGGUCGAAGGGCUCAACCAUAGCAGCAUCUUCACGGUUAGCUUCUGGAGAGGUAGGAUCCUCCCGACUUUGCACACCAGCUGGAGGCUGUGCAACGUUGUCAGAAUUUCUCUCAGCAGCCGAGAUCUUGCAGUUACUGCUAUUAUGACUGUACCUCCCACAAGCAAAACAAAUUACAGGCAAUCCUUCGUACUCUACCUUUUGGAUCAUUCCAUCCAAUUCAAACUGAGAAACUAAAGGCUUGUCUAGGGAAACACUUACUGCAAGGCAAGCAAACCUUCCGCGAGCAGAAGAAGCAAUGUUCGAGUCUACUUUGAUCACCGUACCCACCAUCUGACCAAGUUUUUGCAGAACUUUAUGGUUGUAGAGAUGGACCGCAAGGCCAGGUAAGCGAAUCCAUACAAUGACUUGGUUAAGAACCGUUUUGGUGAAAUCAAAAGAAGGUGACCAUGGCUGGACUGUUAAGUAAUGCCCCAUUAUAAUCCAAGGGCCUUUAGUUAGGGCAUCAACCGCGUCCCCAUCAGAUCAAAAACGAAUCAGAAAAUAAUUAUUUUCUAAGUCAAUCACCGAGUAUGUCAUGGUUGUUCUCCACAACGCAUGUAGCCUAGUGCAUAAAGUUUUGUAGCCAAUAUUUCGGCCUAGCAACUUGACAACAACAGAGUGCUUCCACGGUUCACUUAGCUUCGCAUGAAUCCUAUCCAAAAAACUUAUUGACGGCAAGGUUCCAUCGUUACGCUCAAUCACAUCUCCUUCCUCAAAAUCCCAGUCCACUGCACCUCCUCCAAAUCCAUUCUCCAUUGUUUGUGAUGAAUUCACAAGCGUUUCUUUGUAGGAGACAUGUUUAGUAGUUUCACUAUCGUUUUCCUCAUCACGAAAGCGUGCCUUUUUGGUCGUUCUAGCUUCCCUAAACGGCAGCGGAAAAGCCUCGCCGAAGUUAGGGUUUCCGCCACCUCCGAGAUUUUCGGAGUUUUCAUUCAUCCCUUUUUUCCCUACUUACUUCAUUAAUAUAUAUUAUUACUGUACUUAUAUAUUCAUGCUUAGUAUUAUGUUCAUGUUUCGCUAUUACCUAAUUGAAAUUGCAUUCCAACUUGGAUUUUUAAUUUCUUGAUAAACUAUAUAUUCAUUUGAAUUAUGUAAUCUGAAGAUUUUCGUAUCAUUAGUAUGUGCUUGUUGGUUUUUUAUUUAUCUCAUUUUAAUAUAUCAAUUAUAAAAGGAAAAACGACAUCAACACCCCUAAAUUUGAGGAAAUGAUCACCAAGACCCCUUUUUGACCAUUAAUCCUUUAAAAAAUUAAAUUUAAAAUUUUUAAUAGAUAGAAAUAUUAUAUAAAUAAUGUAAUCUAUGCAACAGACUAAGAACAUUAAAAUAAUUUAAUAUUUUAAUAAAUUUAAAUAUAUAAAUUGUUAUAUUUAUUUAAUAAUAUAUUUUUAUUUUAGAUAUUUUAAAUAAAUAUUUGCAUUAAACAUAUUUUACAAUAAAAAAAUCUCACAUACUAAUGUUAUUACUAUUUUACAUAGUAUUCAAAAUAAUUUUAAUUUUAAUACACUUGUUUUAACAUUAUGAUUCUAUUUAUUAUAAAAUUUAAUUUUAUAUACUAAAAUAUAUCUAAUAGAUUGCAAAAUAUUAAAAUAUUUUUGCAGUAUUGAAAUUAUUUUACAAUGUAUAAAUUAUUACAUUUAUUUUAAUGUUAUAUUUCUAUUUAUUAUAAAACAUUAGAGUUGAUUAUUUUUUGGAUAAUAGAGGUUAAAGGGUAUUAUCGUUAAAAGAGGGUCUUGGUGUUCCAUUUUGAAAAUUUGUGGGUGUCGGUGAUUAUUUCCCUAAACUUUGGGGGUGUAUAUGUAAUUUUUCCAUUAUAAUAUCUUUUUUUGGCUAUUAUACCUUUUAAUUAUAGUAAUAUUAAAAUUGAUUUUAAAUUUUAAAAUAAGUACAAACAUAAUAAUAGAAUAAAUAAACAAAAAUAGUAAUUUUUAUUUUAGAAUUCCGAAUAUCUUGUUUUCAACAUAAGUAUAGUAUCUCAACUAGAUGGCCUCCUAAAAUAAAAAUUACAGAGAGGAAAUCAAAUUGCUAUUAUUAGACUAAAUAAUAAAAAAAUUAAUUUUUAUUUUGGAUUUAUUUAAAAGUAAUUGAUCACAAAAUAAAAAACUUUAAAACAAUUGACCAAGGGCCAGCCUCGUUCGUCCUUUUAUAUAGAAUUGCAGGUAAAAAUCAUGCCCAGAACAUGUUUGAUAAAAUACCCAAGGAGGAAUGCAUCCACAGGAUAUGUUGAAGAGCAACGACAUGAUGCAGCUGUUGCUGUAACUUUGUGAUUUCCUAAGCAAUUAGAAUCAAACAGUCAACAAAAUCAACUUUAUGAUUUCCCAGUUAAUCAACAAAGUCAAUUAUGAUGCAACUUUAUGAUACAUCUAUUGCCACAAUUUUUUUUUUCGCAUAGAAAAUUCAAUAAAAUUAAUUUAAUAUUGUCCAGGCUCAAACAUUUUCUCGCUUUGCUUGUAGUGGGGGUUUUCGGCUCCUUCAAUUUGCUGGUAGUGUACUUUUUCGUUUGCUGAUUAUGAUUAUUUAGGAGCCAAACUUAUAACAUUUAAUUCCAAAAAAAAAAUUAGGAACUUAAGUAAGAGGCUGUGGAAUCAAUUGCUUGCAACAUGAGCAUCCUACAGGGAGUUUCUCCAUAUGUUCUGUCCCCCGCAAACAUUUCACAAACCAUUUGUGUGUUGCUUUGGAUCAAAAGGGAGUCGUUGUAUUUAGGGACGACCAGGAACUCGAGAGAGGAAAAGUAAUUUCACCAGGACUGACUUACAGUAAUUGAAGAAUCAAGAAUUUUAAUAAUUGUUUUCUCAAGAAACUAUGCGCCUUCCACUUUGUGCUUGAAGAACCAAGAAUUUCAAUAAUAUUUUUUAUAAAUAUCAAAGUGAGGAAACAACUAAAUCAUCUUAAACAGAAAGAAAUCAUAAUUUAUACUUAUUAAAAACAAUUAGAUCAAAUCUCUUCGUUGGUAGCUAACAACAUCAAUUCCAUAUUCAAGUCAGCAGGUUUGGAAAGUGUUUGGGGGAUAUACUUCGACAAGACCAGCCGUGAUGAGCAGAGAUCUGGUAGCAGGGGUACGCGAAUAGGUAUAUCUUGCAAAAGUCUGGUAGCAUGGUAACAGGAGCAGGAAUAUUCUGCUCGUCCACGAAUACGCCAUCCGCGAGGCCGGUCUCCUGUCUGAAGCAUAAAACCAUUCCUGCUAGGGGUUGAGGCGAGGAGACCCGGUCAACGACAGUUGGCGAGAUGGGCUCUCAAACCCGAGAAUCAAGGCACGAAGGCCAUGCAACCACCCACGAUUACGGAAACGGAGCAUCCACCUUCGAGAGGUGGGAAGAUAACGGGCGUGAAUGGAGGGAAGGUCUGAACUCAGGAGAAGCCUAUAAAAGGGUGGCCAACGAAGGUAAAAGGGUUAGGAUUUUCGACAUCAAAACUGAGAUAAAGAGAGCAUUAAGCAAUCGAUACCAAAAAUAAGCCAUAAGAUUAGUGGCUAACGUUCCCAGGAACACGAAACCUUCAUUUCUGACUUGAGCGUCGGAGGGUUUACGCCGGGAAAACAACCGGCGUGCUCUGACUUGUUUCUAUGUACGUAGGCAUUUUUGGAGGAGUCAUACGAGGAGAGAUCCUGAUCGUGGUUGAGUUGAUCGAGCAGAGAUCCUGGUCGUAGUCAAGAGGGUAAUCAAAAUCUCGUAUCAACAUUUUGGGGCUGUCUGUGGGGAGCUGAUAAAAAAGCUUAUGUUGACAGCAAGAAGAGGAGUAAAGCAAGUGAAGAAAUAAUGGAGGUAGGAGGAAGUAGUGCGCAAGGAGGUGAUAUGAGGCUUAACGAUUCCGUGACGUUGAGGGAGAUAGCCAAUGAAGCACAGGAAAAGGCUAUGUAUGACCGGAUGGAACGGAUGGAAAAGCAGAUGGAGACCCUGACAACCAUCCUGCAUGAGUUGCGGAGUGAACGAAGAGGAAUCCAUGAGGAAGGGAUAAGAAGUGGCGGAAUGGCACCCGGGCACGAUGAUAUGAUGAGAAGUCGGACCACCAGAGGAUUUGGUGGUGGGGGAGUUAAUUUGUCUCUAUGGGGAGAAGUGCAUAGAGGAGAAAAUCAAUCCCCAGGAAGGCAGAUCCUUGAUAAUGAUGACGGGGUGGUGAAUGCAGAGGAGAGAGAACUCAGACAACACCUGCAUGAUGUAGAGCAAGAGCGGGAUCAAGUUGCAGCACGUGACUCUGGUCGUGCAGUACAGCUGGAGGAAGAAGUGCGCAAAUUAGCGCAGAUAAUUUUUGACAUGCAAGGAAGGAGCAGAGCACCCGGUUGGAGGAUAAUGCUGGAUAGAGAAUCUCCGCUCUCAGCAGAGAUCAUAAGGGCAGUUAUCCCGAGGGAUUUUCGCCUCCUAGACCUCAGAUAUGCGGGACGAACUGAUCCGUUGGUACACAUAAAGCGCUUUAACGACAUAACUGGAGUGCAAGGAUUAUCCCAAGCUCAAAGAUGCAGGGUAUUUCCACUGUUAGUAGAGGGGUGAGCACGCGAGUGGUACCGCAAACUUCCUCAAGGGAGCGUCAAAUCCUUUGAGCAGAUGUGCCAAGAAUUUGCAGAGCAGUUUCGUAGGGCAAUGGCACCAGAAGAUGACAUGAUGGAGUUGAAAAACAUGAAGCAGGGGGAACAAGAAACCCUUCGGAAAUUCAUCAAGAGAUUUCAUCGUGCUAUCCUCGACUUGGGAGCCUUCAACCAUCCUCAGGCAUUAAGGAGAUUGAAAGAAUGGGUGAAGAUAGGAAGGUUGUGGUACAACUUGAGGAGCCCAGUUAUUCAUAUGUAUGCAGCCGCUUACGAGCAGGCUAAGAGGGACAUAGAAAUUGAGGAGGAAAAGGCAGCAUGGAUAAAAACAAACCAGCUAAAAGGGUUGGGAAGGAAAGAGAAGAGAGCAUUACCAGGAAAUGAGCCAAUCAAGAGGAGGGACUACCAUACCUCAGGUAGUGGUACAGGAGGUCGGGUCACCGCUUACCAGCCUCAUCAGAGGCCAUCACAAUAUCAGUGCAGCAGGGCGCAACCUCCUCGUUCACCAGCUAGGGAACCUUGGAGAAGGCAUGACUCAGCAUAUGGUCAUCCUUAUCCACACCCCCAUGGUAGUAGAAGGAGCAGACUAGAAGCACUGCUGCCUCCUCCAGUUCAGAAUGGCACAAGCAAGGAAAGGGCAGUGCACAUGAUCGACCAGAACUAGGACUAUAGGCGGUAUACUUCCUUGAAGAUCGCCCUGGACGAGGUGUACGAGACCAUAAAGGACCGGAGAUUAUUGUACCUCCCUGCCCCAAUAACAAAACUACCCAACAGGAGGGAUAGGGGACGCUAUUGUAAGUUCCAUGGCACUCAUGGCCAUACCACAACAGAAUGCAAGGAGCCCAGUUAUUCAGACGUAUGCAGCCGCUUACGAGCAGGCUAAGAGGGACAUAGAAAUUGAGGAGGAAAAGGCAGCAUGGAUCAAAACAAACCAGCUAGAAGGGUUGGGAAGGAAAGAGAAGAGAGCAUUACCAGGAAAUGAGCCAAUCAAGAGGAGGGACUACCAUACCUCAGGUAGUGGUACAGGAGGUCGGGUCACCGCUUACCAGCCUCAUCAGAGGCCAUCACAGUAUCAGUGCAGCAGGGCGCAACCUCCUCGUUCACCAGCUAGGGAACCUUAGAGAAGGCAUGACUCAGCAUAUGGUCAUCCUUAUCCACACCCCCAUGGUAGUAGAAGGAGCAGACUAGAAGCACUGCUGCCUCCUCCAGUUCAGAAUGGCACAAGCAAGGAAAGGGCAGUGCACAUGAUCGACCAGAACUAGGACUAUAGGCGGUAUACUUCCUUGAAGAUCGCCCUGGACGAGGUGUACGAGACCAUAAAGGACCGGGGAUUAUUGUACCUCCCUGCCCCAAUAACAAAACUACCAAGCAGGAGGGAUAGGGGACGCUAUUGUAAGUUCCAUGGCACUCAUGGCCAUACCACAACAGAAUGCAGAGAUCUUAAGACCCAGGUAGAAUAUUUGGUGAGAAAUUGAUACCUGGACGAGUUUAUAGAUAGGACUUUUCCGAUGGUGGCCUCGACAUGUGAAGGGGAGCAGAGUAACAGGAACUUGAGCCACGAGUAGCCUAUAGUAAGAGUGAUUACUGGGGGCCAACGUUGGCCGGAGAUUUCAACAGAUCGGGGAAGAACUAUGCUAGAUAUGCCAUGACUAGUAAAGAGGUAUUCUUCAACACCCCAACAACCAAACGAGCAAGAGUCAGGCAAAUGCCAAUCAUGUGGACAGAAGAGGAUGAAGAAGGGAUUUUAUAUCCACAUGAGGAUGCCCUAGUCAUCAAGGCCACUGCUGCUAGCAAGAAGUUUGACCGGAUACUGGUUGACACAGGGAGCUCAGUUGAUAUGUUGUUUAAGUCAACUCUGAAAGAGAUUGGAAUAGCAGACUUGAGAUUGGAGCACACCAAUACCUCCUUGAAGGGAUUUGGAGGAGGAAAGCUGGUCCCUCUGGGCGUGGUCGAGCUACCUAUCACGAUCAGUAACCCCUCGACAGAAAGGACUAUGAUACUGGAUUUUGUGGUGGUCGAUGAAGAGGGUCCUUAUUAGAUGAUCCUAGGUCGCCCAUUUCUGAGGAUGAGCAAAGCGGUACUGUCCAACCAUUAUCUAGCUCUCAAGUACCGGGUGAAUGGGGUAGUUGGAGUGGUACGAGGAGACUAGAGAAUCGCCCGAAGUUGUUAUUCCUCGGCAGCAAGGGAAGCAAUGCAGAUAACAUCCCUUGAUACCCGAGUGGGAGCCAAGAAUGGCAGACAGGAACCUGUAGAGGAGCUGGAGAUAGUAAGCCUGGGACAAGGGGAUCCUGGAAAAACAAUCCGAAUUGGGAGGGGCCAUAUAGGGUCAAGCAGCUAGUUGGACAUGGAGAUUACAAGUUGGUUCGCACGGAUGGCCACGAGGUGAAACGCCAAUGGAACGUAGCACACCUCAGGAAAUAUUUCCAGUAAGACUUGUUCAUGUUUUAAAGUUAUUUCUGUUCGCGCUCGUUGUUAUUUAUUUUAUGUCAAAGCAAUCUCAUGUAAGCCGAAUUUAGCGAUAAAUGAAUCUAUGAGGAAUUUUAGUCAACUGUACUGUUACAAAAGUUUCGAAGGCAUGCAAAGGCUCACCAGGUCUCAAAGCCUGUUUUAUGGCGAGACCAGAAGCCAAGCGUGCCAGGAUCUGCUCGACCAAGCAAAGGCGAGCAGACUCCCAAGCGUUGUAAAAUUUCUAAGACAUUUAAAGCCUCACCAAGUCUCAAAGCCUGUUUUAUGGCGAGACCAGAAGCCAAGCGUACCAGGAUCUGCUCGACCAAGCGAAGGCGAGCAGACUUCCAAACAUCGAAAAAACUUCUAAGGCAUGUAAAGGCUCAUUAAGUCUCAAAGCGUGUUUACGACAAGACUAGAAGCCAAGCGUAUCAGGAUCUGCUCGACCACGAGAAGGCGACCAGAAUCCCAAACGUAAAACAAUUUACGACUACAAGACAAGAAAGCAAAUAAGAACAUUCUUAUUAAUUUUUCAACAAUCAUAAAAAGCUGCUAGCCAUAACAUACAGUGUUCCAAAAAGCAACUACAACACAAGAUACAUUCAGGAGGACGGCGGGUCAGUAAGUCGAGCAGCCUCGGUUGCCUGGUCCACCUCAGGUGCAGGGGGGUAUCACCAGUUGCAUCCGGGGGGGUACUCGCCUCAGCAACAUCAGCAGGGAUUGCACGAGGAGGAGAGUUUCCCUCCUCAACCGCAAUUGGCUCCACCUCUUCGACAUCCUCUUUUGCUGCCUCCUCGUCCAUUUGUUGAGCAACACCAGCAGCAAGGUCAUCCAUCUUCAGAUCAGGAUACUGCUUCCCUAAAACGGCCAUGAUGCAGUGAUAAGAAUGCCGCAGACCUUGGUCAUAUUGGUUGUCAGCUUCCUUCUCUAGAUUCUCGACCUGAACCUGGUAAGAGUCCUUGAGGGAUUCGAGCUGAGCCUCAUAGGUGGCCUUCUGCCUCUGCAGAUCCUCCUUGACCCUGAUCAACUCUUCCUCAAGAGUAAUGGCCUUUGCUUGAGCGAGAGAUUCUUGCUCUAUCAGCUUCAAGUUCUCAAGAUUCAGGUCUCCUGCUCUCUUCUCGGCAGCAUCAGCCUUGGUCAUCGCCGAUUGAAUGUCCUCCUUCAUCUUCCAGUCAUAGCGGCCAACCUUGGCCUUAUAGUAAGUGGCCAUGCAGCCGAGAUGGAAAGCACUAAACUGCAUGGCUCCCACCAGCUCGCCCAGAGUGCUAUCAUCAAAGUCCUCCAGGUCCCUCUUGCUCACGAGUUUAGAAAACUCGUUGAUAUAGGGGACCAAAUGUUCUGCUCGACUGUCAGAUAAACGAGAUCUCGGCCCGACUGGAGGAGAAGAGGAAGCGGGAUCACUAGCUGCUCCGCUAGUUUCUCCGACUUUGGCAGGAGGAGGUGGUAGAGUCUUCAAUGGAGGAACCUGCUGCACAAUGUUCACCCGCUUCACAGUGGGAGCGUCCUUAUUCUAGUCCUGCUUAGUAGUAUGAGGUCGAGAACAUUUCCGAUUCAGAGCCCCGAUCACAGCGUCCUCCAUCCCAAAGUCAGUGGACACCAAACGAGAUUCAAGCAAGUUUUAAGUGGUUAGCAACUCUCGGUGCAAACAGGAAUUGGCCAAUACAGCCUCGACCCGCUUGAGUGGCCCAGAUUUAAGCGAGUAGUGCACACUCCAAGAACUUGAAAUUUGAGCAGAUAUUGGAUUAGAGACAAAUCAGUAAAAUGAGAACGACUAUGAAGACAAGAAAUCUGAAGUGAGCAUGCAACCUGGGACCACGAAACAGGGUGGGACGCGGUAAUCCUUCCCGUCAAUCUGUGCAACUUGACCCCAGGGACCCCCAGUAAAAAAGAAUUUUUUCUUCCAAGUGCCACCACCACCAGUUGGAAGAUCAGUUAUGGGUUUUUUGGUCUUGGUACUAGAUUGGAAGUAAUACCAGCCGGCAUCUUUAGGGCUGCUCUUUAGCUAGUUCAGGUGCUUCACCUCGUCAACUGUUGGCUCGCUUUGACAACAUCUGUCCCACAAUAUGAACAGACUAGAAAGUACCCGCCUCCCAUUGGGGUUCAGUUGACCAGGAGCUAAAUUCAACCCAUUGAGUAUUCGAGCAAAGUAGGGCUGUAUGGGGCACCUCAGCCCAAAUUUAAAACUAUCUAGAAAUAGAGUAACAUAUCCCCUAGGAGGCCGGUUGGGGGUAUCCUUCUUUCCUGGGACCCUAAGAGGUAUCUCAUCGGGAAUUCCAUACCUAAUCCGGAGAUUAGUGAGCUCGUCUACCGUGGUCGUGCAUGUGAUGAAAUCAAUAGCGUAGUGCUGUGAUAGAGCUUUACCCCCUACUGUGCUCUUGUUAUCUGGUCGCGAUGUUCCUGGUGGAGAUGUUUCACCAGAAUCAUCCUCCUGGUCUUCACUUAAGGUGUCUUCCGAACCAGAAGAACCCUCGUCGUCGCUAUUACCGGUUGAGGAGGUUAUUGGGGGGGGGACAUCCUCCUAGCACUAGUUCCAACACUAGAUCUAAUGGGUUCUAAGGGGAUCUCGGGGUCAAAGGCAGGACCGACGAGCAGACUAGGCAAGAAGCCUAACUCAUCGUCAUCAAUCUCAAUAACUUUCUCUUUGCCUUUUGACAUUCCCUAAACUAUAACCAGAGCAGUAUCACCAAACACUACCCAAACAAGACAGAGAGAAAAGAAAUUGUCUACAACUAUUCAAGACCAAGGAGAUAGAAAUAAUACCUGAAGUUGUAGCUCAGUCAAAGAGAGACAGGGAUAUAAGCUUUCUAUGCCGAAAAUCCUUCACCGGAGAGACAUAUAUGGAGCAAAUGACGAGUUUCUCUUUUGGGGGUUUUUCGAUUUUCCUAAUGAGGAACAAACGCUUGGGCUACCAGCAUUUAACGGCACUAAUCCAAAGAGUUUCGUAACCAUCGGUUUGAAAUUCAAAUGGAGGGAUAGAUUUCUGCACAUCACCUCAUCCGUAAGUAAAUGCGACACGACUCUUGGCAGCCUUUGCCUACCCCGCACGAGCCAGAACCGUUGAGUUUCUACUGUCGGCUCACUAUGUUACCCAACACCAGAAACUGGGGGACCAGUGUUUGGGGGAUAUACUUUGACGAGACCAGCCGUGAUGAGCAGAGAUCUGGUAGCAGGGGUACGCGAACAGGUAUAUCUUACAGAAGUCUGGUAGCAUGGUAAUAGGAGCAGGAAUAUUCUGCUCGUCCACGAAUACGCCGUCCACGAAUAGGUCUCCUGUCUGAAGCAUAAAACCAUUCCUGCUAGGGGUUGAGGCGAGGAGACCCGGUCAACGACAGUUGGCGAGAUGGGCUCUCAAACUCGAGAAUCAAGGCACGAAGGCCAUGCAGCCACCCACGAUUACGGAAACGGAGCAUCCAUCUUCGAGAGGUGGGAAGAUAACGGGCGUGAAUAGAGGGAAGGUCUGAACUCAGGAGAAGCCUAUAAAAGGGUAGCCCAGGAACACCAAACCUUCAUUUCUGACUUGAGCGUCGGAGGGUUUACGCCGGGAAAACAACCGACGUGCUCUGACUUGUUUCUGUGUACGCAGGGAUUUUUGGAGAAGGAGUCAUACGAGGAGAGAUCCUGAUCGUGGUCGAGUUGAUCGAGCAGAGAUCCUGGUCGUAGUCAAGAGGGUAAUCAGAAUCUCGCAUCAACAGAAAGGUCCAUCCGUCGCUUGGAUUGCUGAAUCGCUCUUUUGGAUAAAUUUUCCGUGCUUUUAACAAAAGAAAAUUAUAGAGAUUGAACAAUUAGCAACAUACAGAAAGUUAAAAUUACUAACAAAUGAGCAAUUAUACUUUUCCAGCAAGUGAUUUCUGCUUUCUUAGACUGUUGAAACGAUUAAUAUGAAACGAGCGAUUGAACAAUUAGAAAGACACAAUGCCCAGCCUGGACUUUUUUUUUUUUUUUUUGGUAGUUUCAAAUGAUGGAUUAUAGAAAGGAUAGAAUGAAAAAUAAGGAUAAAUUGGGAACUAAAUGGGUACACUAAUAAGAAAUAAGAAUAAUUUAUUUUUAAUUGGUCUGUUAAAAGAUGGAGUCUAAUGAAAUAAAAUGAGGAGUUUAAAUAUCACUUUUUCCAUAGAGUUGGCCAACUAGCACUCUUCUAAUUUUUAAUUUUUUUUCUAUCAUUAAAAUUUAAAAUAGUAUUCUCUUCUUUGUUUUAUUUUGCAAUCUUGUUAUGUAUACGCAUAUUUUAAAUCCUAAUUUGACUUAAGUUAUACAGAUUAGAUAAAAUGUUUUUCAGGAAUAAUUGAUUCCCAUGCCCUGAACGUGUUUGAUAAAAUGCCCAUAUAGGAACUCACAAAAUGAACAAGUAAAUGCUGAUGGAAAUCACAACUUUUUCCCCCUCUGGUCAAUAAGAUAAAACAGUACUUGGCUGAGCCUAAGCAGCUAAAAUAACAGCUUGAUUAAUGCUUUUCGCAGCAAGGAACCUACGAAAAAAGCCUUAAAUUAAUUGCUUCCGUCCAGACUCUUGCUUAGUUUACUGAUCACCAUCAUUGUGGUAAUUUUGGCAAAGUGAUUGUAGUCAAUAGCUUUCCUCUGGUUUCUCCCUGAUUUUGUACUAACUUUGGUGUCCGAGACCGCAACUGGUUUCCUGACAACUUGAAACGGGAUUGAUUGAGGUUUUGGAGGCGGCUUUUUAUCGGCUUUAAUUUGAACUUCUUUAAGGAUUCAAGCGAUUUCUUCUUCAAAUUGUCUCAAUCUUUCACUAUCAAACUCAAACAGCAAAUCUUUGUUGUCAUUAAGAUCUUCAUCAAUGAUCCUUUGAAUAAUUUCUUUCGGUUUCUGGAAUAUUGAUCUAAUUAGUGCUUCACCUUCUUCUUUUUUCAAGCUCUUAUCCUGGGCAGUUGUGCUCUGCCUACUCCCGUGGCCUCAAGCAUAGGAUCUACACUAACAGUUGCAUGUUUUCAUUUCUUCAAGUGCUGCAAGAAUAUCCCAUCUCCUUUUUUGAAGUCAAGGUUCUAUUCUCCAAAGCUUCUCUUCAGCAUCUCUCUUCUUUUUCGGCUUGUCUGCUUCCUUAUCCUCCACACGCCGAGGUUCCAAUACAACUUAACCGACUCUUCUCAGGAUUUGGGAGGCACUAGGGCUUUUCUUCUCUUGUCGAACAGGAUCAAAUAUAAACGGUUAAUGUUGAAGCGUCUUUGGUAGGCACCGAUACAGCGAUCAAUAAUUUAGACAUAGAGAGUAAUUGUUUAGGAAUUGUGUAUUAUUCCCAUGUCCAUAACAUGUUUGAUAAAAUGCCCAAGAAGGAACCAUAUGUCCAACACUCCAACCUGUUGCGUUGAACAGAGAUGAUGCAUCUGUUACUCCAACUCUAUGAUUUCCCAAGAAAACAAUCAAUAUGUGAAUGUUUAGGUGCAGAUAGCACAGGCUAGUAGCUUGUAAGAACCAGGCAAAAAGCAGAACAAUUUCAAUUCUUUGAAACAGAGAGCAGUUAAGUAAAUUCAUAAUUUCAUAACAUCUUUUAUAAUUUGCAAACUGUAAUACUUUUAUGUGAAUUGUUGUCAGUGUAGUUCAACAAAGUGUCUCAGACUCAUGGAACAAGAAUGUUGACAAGCUUAGCAAGCAAUGAAUAGUAGAACUGAUCGACAGGGUUGGCAUUAGGUAUAGGGGAACAAGACAGUCGCCUAAGGCCUCAUAUUUUAAGAAGACCUCAUUUUUUGAGUAUUUUCUUAAUAAUUCUCUAAUUAAUAAAAAAAUUUAAUGCGUAUUUUAAGAAAUUAAAAAGUUUAUUAGAUAUCUCUCUAUUCUUCAUUAUCCUACAAUUAAAAAUUAUUUUUUAUUAAAAAAUCUAUAUUUGGGAACCUUAAUUUUAAAGAAAUAUAAUUAAUAAAAAUUAUGCAUUGACAUGGACCUUUAUUUUUUAUGUCUUUGUUCUUUUUUAAGUUGCAGGAAGUGUCGAAACCAAUACCGCAUUUAAGCAUUGUUGUUCCAAGAAGUGAAAUUCCAAUGUGUUUCAGGUAUCAGAAUGAAGGUUCUUCAAUAGCUGUCACAACGCCUUUAUUUUGGCGUAAAAGGAAUGAGGUGGUGGGAUAUGCUAUUUGCUGUGUUUUUAAUGUCCGUAAACAUUCACCUGGUAUCAAAAGUUUGCGCUCAUACCCCACACAUCAGUUGAGCUGCCAUAAGAAAGAUUCUUAUAUCAGUAGUUAUAUUGAUUUUAGGGAAAAGUUCGGUCAAGCGGGGUCAGACCAUAUUUGGCUUUUAUAUUUGUCUCGUGAAGAAGACUAUUUGCGCAAAUGGAAUUUUGAAUCUCAGGAUUUUGUGUUGUCAUUUCAGUCUGAUUCAAGCCCAGGAUUGGAGGUGAAGAGGUGUGGUUUCCAUCGAGUUUAUAAGCACGAAGUGGCGAAGUUCGACCAUGCAACAAACCUAUAGACUCGGUCUAUUGAUUAUAAUCUGAAUGGAAACGUUUGGUCUCGGUUUAUUGAUCAUCUGCAUGAAUUGUGUCAAAAUCGAGCUCAGCUCAACAAUGUAUGUACGGGGUCGGUUAAUUGAUUAUCUGGAUGAAAACCAAGGGGAGGAUUUCGACCAAACAACAAACCAAUGGACUUGGUUGGUUUCUUGAUCAUCUGAUUGAAUUUUUUCCAGAUGCAGGAAAGUUCAACCAAGCAUGUUAUUUGUUUUUUUAUUAUAUCCAAAUGCAAAGAGGAGUCCGAGACCUCUGGAGUCUGCGAAGAGCUCUCAAAAUGAAGGGAGUAAGGCCCAGCAGUCGAUACGAUUUCGUAGACAUAAUCUUUAUGAAGAUUUUUUUUUCCUUUGUUUAAUUGCUUGUUAUUUAAUUUUUUUUUGAAACUUUGGCUGAAAAUUUUAAAUUUUAUGAAGUUAAAAUUGUAAUUAUUAUUUUUGGAAAAAAGUUGUGUGCCAUUUGUUGUGACUUCUAUUUGCUAUCACAAUUUGUUUUUUUAAAAAAAUGAUUAUUAUUUUAUUUAUUAAUUUAAAAAUAAAAAAAUUAUACAAUUUUGGCUUCCUCAAUUUAAAAUUUAAUUUAUAAAAUUUAUAUGAAAGAAAAUAAAUUAAUAAAUGUAAUUAAAUUCAAAACCAAUAAACUAAAUUAUUGAACUUUAUUAUCCAUAAAAACAUCCAGUACUUCUAAAUUUCGAAAACAUACAAUUCAAACUUUACAAUACAUUAGUUAAAUCAAUAUUUCAAAGUCAAGCCAAUGUAGGGAUGGCAAUGGGGCAGAUAUGGGUUGGAUCUACUCUGCUCCGGAUCCAAAUCCAUAAUAAAAAUAAAGAUCCGUAUCUGCUCCAGAUCCGUCAUGAAUUUAUAUUUUUCGCUCCAUAUCCAGAUCCAAAAAAGAAAUAAAUAUCUAUAUCUGCUCCAAAUCCAAAAAAAAAAAAUUAAAAUCCAAAUCUGCUCUAGAUCCGUUAUGAAUUCUAAAAUUCAGUAAUAAAAAAGUAAUAAUUUUUUAGAUUGAAAAUUGAAGGGUAAAAUGUAUUGAUAACAAAUAAAUCAUAUAAUUUUUCUCAAAAAUAUAAUAAAUAUUGUAGCUUAUACUUUUACACCAAAACAACAAAUAAGAAAGAUAAUAAAAUAUCAUUCCGAAGUAAUUGCAGGAGUAAGAUCAAUCUAAUAUUCUAUUGUCUCCUUCAUCAUUCUAAUAUCCACGAUACACCUACCCUCAUUCCUACAACAUUAGAUAAUGACAUAUAAAUUAAAUAUGGUUUAUAUUCAGUCCUUUAUUAUUUUUAUUAUGACCAUAUUUGACUAAAUAUAUGAAUAACUAUAUUCCUUAAAAAUUAUUUGGCCAAUAUAAUAAAAUAAAUUGCCAGGUUAUAUUACUUGGCUUGCAAUUUGAAUAUUGCAUAUACAUGCUUUGGGGCUGGCUGACCUUUAAAUUUACAAAACUAACCUUUAAGUUUUAAGAGUUUAAAUACAUGGUAAAUACUACUAAUAUGUUAUGAAUAAAAUUUAUUAUCAUUAUAAUUUCACAAUUGUUAAGAAACUUUUAAAAUAACAUAAAAUUAAAAUAUGAGUGGAUAUGGAUAUGGAUUUAGAUAUUAAGAUAGAUCCAAAUCUGCUCCAGAUCCAUCUUAGAUCCGCACAUCAAUAUCCAAAUCCGAUCCAAAUCCAUUUUAAACCGAUCUAAAUCCAAUCCGAUUGGAUUUGGAUCACGUGGAUCUUGGAUCCGAUCCAAUCCAUUGCCAUCCUUAAGCCAAUGGCCAACAAAGGCCAAUCAAAAAUCUAAGUAAUGUACUCAGCAUUCAGCAAUAUCCAGCACCAAAGCCAUGCAAAAUGUAGUCCUUUUCCAGCAGCAGCAAAGCCAAGUAAAACGUAUCCCAUUCCAUCAAUUGAAAAUAUUAAGUGAAAAAUAGGCAUUUAUUCAUGGAAAUAAUAAGAACAAUGUCUUCAUAAAGGAAAAAGAUACAAGUAAAUAAUAGAAUAUGAAAAUAUUUAGUGAAAAAUAAGCCAAGACCCCUUUUUUCCAUUCUCUGAAGUAAGGCAUUAAAAAAGAUUAAAGAAAUUAUGAUUGUUUCCGCACUUGGAGCAGGUAGAGACAAACUCUGGUCAUUUACUGUUGCCUUGGCACCAUUUGAAUAUGCCCUGCUUUUUUUUUUUUUGAACAGUCUUUAAGCAAGUUGAGAUUCAUGAGACUUAGCAAUUCCAUAAGCCUGAUCAGAACACCAGAUUUCUCAGGGGUUCCAAAUUUAAAGGACCUGGAUCUUGGAGGAUGUACAAGAUUGCGUAACAUUCACCCUUCAUUGCUACUUCAUAAGAAAGCUUAUUUUAUUGAACCUUAAAGACUUCAGUAAUCUUACUACUCUUCCGAGCAAGAUGAAGAUGAAAUCCCUAAGAAAACUUGUACUUUCUGGUUGCUCUAAGCUGAAGAACUUUCUGGAGAUUGUGGGAACUGCGGAAUGUCUGUUGGACCUUUUUCUUGAUGGAACAGAUAUUAUGGAACUACCACCAUCAAUCCGGUUUCUUUUUGGACUUACUUUGUUGGAUUUGGAAAACUGCACCAAUCUUGUGGUACUUCCAAGUACUAUAAAGGGUUUAACAUCUCUUGAAAUGCUGAAUCUCUCUGGCUGCUCCAAAUCUAAAAAUGUUUUAGAGAGUUCUGAAAAAGUAGAAAGCUUUGAGGAGCUUGAUUUGACUGGAGCGGCUUCAAGGAACCGAGUGUGGUCCAUAUUUUCUAUGAAGAAUUUUGAAGCACUGUCUUUUCUUGGUUCCAAAUUAUCACAAUCAUCAACGUCACGUUAUUUGCGCUUCCCCAUCAAUUGGUUUCAAUCAAGGAGUUCACGUCCUUUAUCUUUGAAGUUGCCUUCUCUGUCAAAUUUGUGUUCAUUAAGGAAAUUGGAUCUCAGUGACAGUAAUUUGGGGGAAGGAGCAAUCCCCAGUGAUAUUGGCAACUUAUGCUCAUUAAAAGAGUUAUGUUUGAGUAGAAACAGUUUUGUUUCGCUACUGGCAAGCAUUCUUAAGCUUCAAGAACUGGAGUUGGAAGAUUGCAGAAGGCUUCAAUUUUUGCCACAACUUCCACCCAACAUAGAGCACGUUUGAGUAAAUGGCUGUAUUUCGUUGGGAUCAUUAGCAGCUGAAUUGAAAUUAUGCAAGUCAGAGUACACGUUAAUUAGAUGUAUGGACUGCUUGAGAAUGCUCGGUACCAAUAAUCUGGCAUUUUCAUUACUAAAAGAGUACCUCGAGGUCAGCCUCUCACUUUAUAUCUAUCAGCUGUUUAGGCAAUGGCAUAUUUUUAUUUUUAUAGUUAUUAUAAUUAUUUAUUUUUUUUAUUUUUGGGUUUCAGGCAAUGUCAAAUUCACGAUUUAGCAUUGUUGUUCCGGGAAGAGAAAUUCCAGAGUGGUUCAUGUGUCAGAAUAAUGGUUCCUCAAUAACACACGGAUGGCCUUCAUAUAAGUAUAAAAAGAAUAAGGUGGUGGAAUAUUGCAUUUGCUGUGUUUUUCGUGUCCAUAAUCAUCUACCUCCUGCCAGAGGGAGAAUACACCUCAACGCAUAUCAGUUGAAGUUCCGUAUGAAAGAUGGAGGAUAUUUUAUUGAUUUUGGAAAGAAAUUCGGUCAGUGUGGGUCAGACCAUCUCUGGCUACUCUAUUUUUCUAUUCAAUACUGCAAUGACCAGAAUUGGCAUCUUGAGUCAGAUCUUGUUGAGUUGUCAUUUUGGCCUGACACGGGCCCAAGAUUGGAGGUGAUAAGGUGUGGUUUCCAUCCAGUUUAUAUGCAUCCAGUGAAGGAGUACAACCGAACAACGUACCAAUGGAAUCGUGUUACUGCUUACAAUCUGAAUGGAUGCCAUCAGAAUUUUGAUGGAUCAAAGCCAAGUCUUAUUGAAUACGUUGGGUCGGAAGCCAGAGGAAGCGACUGUUGUGAUGAUGAGGAACAGCAACAACGGCCUAAAGAGUUAGAGAACUCAAAUAAAAGGUGAAGCUUACGUAUUAUUCUCUGGAUUUGUCAGCCAGUGUGCAUUUGAACACAAUUUCAGUUUAUGAAUUUUGUCAAGAGUUGAAUUUUGCGAUUUCUCAUUAGUUGAAAAGUAAUGAAAGAGGGGAAAAAAAAACUUACAAGACUGAAAUGAAUCCUCUGUUUUUUUGAUUUUUUAUAAAUAUAGUACACAUUUAACUGAAAACCAUUAAUUUUACAACAACAGUACCUUUAUUUUAUUUGCAUCAAAGGCAUGAAAAUGACUCGCUGAGGGGUUUUGAUCUUGAAUGAGAUGAGGAGUUAACUAUGAGGUAAUGACUCACAAUCUUACAUUCCCUACUUAUUGCACGAAAGAUGCCGGAUGCAGAGCUAGUUUUCGGUAUACUUGAAGGGGCUGCGUAAUGAUUGAUUUAUAAAGGAAAAUGGAAUGUAAUAAUAAAUGUAAGAUUAAAAUUUUUCUAGUGGUGUUUAGAAGAUUUUCAAUGUUUAAACAGCUAAGCUAGCCUUACCAUAAGGAUCAUAUCAUAUAUUUGAUAUAAUAUCGUUUAUUUUUUUUUCUGUUUCAUUAAUCUUAUUUUAAGUUACAGUGUAUACAAAAUUUCCUGGAGGAUGUUCAGACGGCAGUUUUGUCAGCUAUUUAAUAAACUAAAGAAGCACAUCUUUUUCUUGAGAUAACGAGUGCCGUGCGAGGAUGAAAUUUUAUAAUAUUUAUUAAAUUCUUUGAAAUUUGUCAGUUUUUCUUUUACCCCCCAAGGAAUCUUCUAUUGAAACUUUUGAUUGGGCAAAAGAUGUGAAGCCUAUCACCUACUAAAUAACAAGAAGAGCAGACAAAGGAAAUAUGUCAAAGAAAAUAUGGAGGGGUUGGUUUGUUCCAUGUAUCUUCUUUGUCAUAAUAUUUUUUUAUUCAAUUAAAGUCUAAAUAUUUUUAUUUUUUGGCAAGACACUUUUGAUCUAACCUGCCGUUGGCAUGUAAAAGAAAAGAAAUAAUUAAUGUGAUUUCUGCGAAUUUUCAGGGACUUAAUCAUGAAUAUUAAAAGAGGCUCUUCAACUGUCACAGCUUCUUUCUCUUAUUGGCCGCAUGAUGUGUUCUUAAGCUUUAGAGGCGAAUAUGUCUGCAAGAACUUCAUGGAUCAUCUCCAUGCUGCUUUGAAUCAAAAUGGAAUUAAUGUUUUCGGGGAUGACAAAAAACUUGAGAGAGGAAAAGAUUGGUAUGGUUAAAUUGGAGUUAGUGUGAACGUAGUAGCAAAUCAAUUUCAUAGUAUAUAUAAAUUACUCCAAACUAUGCAAUAUUCAUUUCAUCAAAUUGAAGUCAUAUAAUUAAGUAACAUGCUAUAGUUACGUCAGAAACAAUUGGAACGAGAAAAUUCAAACCCAACACUACUACAAAAUUAUUUAAUUUCUUCUGCUAUUUUUUUCUCAAUUAUUAAUAACCAAUUAAACACAUCAUCUCCACUGACCAGCUUAGCCAUUAGAUCUAUUGGCUGAAUUAGAAAAGGACAUUGUUUGCAGUACCUUGAAACUGUAGCUGGACCCUAAUUUAUAUAUAUAUAUAUAAUAUUAAUACAGUACUUAAUUACAUUUCUGUUUCGUGUAUAAUUUCCUGGAAGAUGGUCCAACAGCAGCAAUAUUUUUAUAUUUUUAUUAUUUGAUCAUAUCAUCAUAUCAACAACAGCAAUAUUACUUAAAGUAUCAUCAUAUCAUAUGUUUGAUCUUAUCUCAAUUAUAUUUAUUUUUUUAUUAUUUCAUUUGUCGUAUUUUAGUUUCUUAGUAUUUAUUUUACAUAUAAAUAAUUCAUAAAUAUUUGCAUUUCUGUUUCACACAUACUUUCCUAGAAGAUAUUCCAACAGCAGAUUAAACAAACAAAAUGAACUGUUGUGUCACCUACUCAAGAACAAGAAGAAGAGACAGAAAAUAAAUAAAUAAAUAAAUACAAUAAAGAAAAUGAUCAGUGGGGAGGUUGGUUUAUUCCACGUAUCUUCUCUGUCAAGACUACUUUAAUUGUUUCAUUAAAUAGUCUAAAUUAUUAUUAUUAUUUAACUAUAUUUGAAAAAAAAAAGUUUCGGUGUUUAGAUUAUUGAAGCUUUUGGUAUCUUUGACUAUGUCUUUGAUUCCAUUCUCCAUCGUAGAUCAUAGUCACUCUUUAUAAUUAUCUUUUGCAAAAACUUUUGAGGAGACUUGCAACCGAAAAUGAAGGAAUUAAUUAGAAGGCAUGAAACCCUCUUGUUGAUUUCUUUGAAACAAACUUAAUUGGAAUCCAAAGUAAAGAAAGUUAGCGAAAUUACAAAAUUGCUAAGGUGCUUUACAAAAUUCGUGAUUUCCAAGCAUUGACAGAUAAUGCAUUAACUAAUGCAGAAAUGAUCAAAUUACAAGCCUCACAGGUUGCUAUGUUUCUCUUGAAGGAUGAUUCAAAUUCCCUAUGUUUGUUAGUUAAGUGGCUGACGUGGACUCCACUUACAAGUUUUAUCUGAGUUGAAUCUCUUGACCACUGCUUGUAUAAAAAUCUGAAAAAUAACUUACAACUUCUGAAGUUUGUAACCAAAGAUGCCUCCAAUUAUUUCUGAGAGAAAUGGACAGCUUUUGAAAGGAAUUUAGAUCUAUGAAAAAUAAAUGUAGGCAAUUAAAAAUCAAAAAUUAAUUUUCUGGAAGUACUGUUUACUGUUACUGUUUACUGCAACUGUUCACAAUUACUGUUUACGAUUACUGUUCAUCCGCAUAAAAAAUAUUAAUUUUCCAAAAACACAAUAAAAAGUAAAAUAAAUGACACGAAGAUUUUUACGUGGUUUGGAUUAAUCAAUCCUACAUCCACGAGGCCACGCCCAGAUGAAAAGCAAUUCACUAAGUUAAAAUGUUACAACCUAUGGAUUUACCAAACUUAAGACUCUGACUUACAGUUUAUCAUCAUACAGUUUACUUAACCUUAGACUGAAUUUGGUUCUCCUGAAUAAUUGCUACCCCUCUUGAUCCACGAUCCUCAAGGCACUUCGCAAAGUGAUCAAUAGCAAUUCUUCAAUUCUUCUACGUCUAGUGAUCCAAGAUCCACAUAGAUUCUUCACAGAGAUGAAAAGAAGAUAAGAAAACAAAUCAGAGAUAAGAAAACAAAUCAACACAACAUUAUGCGCCAAAUCCGGAUUCUCUAGGGAGGAGGCCGAAUUUUGCUUCUCUGCAUUAUGCUCUGUGUCGUGCAUAUAUAUCUUCAAUUAUGAAAUACUUCUCUUUAUAUAGGCACUAGGGUUUCACCAAAAUAGAAAGUCUUAAAAGACUUGGAUUCUUUCCAAAUAAGAGUUUCUUUCCUCUUAUAAUUCUCAUGAAUCUGAAUAGGAAUAAAUCUGAUCUUCUUGUCUUGCUUUCUCUCAAGAAAUAUCUAGAGCAUUUAAUGAACUUCCUGUUUGAACCAACUUCUUGCUCUAAAUAGAUCUCAUGCGUCAAGUAUAGAAUCCCACCAUUCAUUGACUUGCUAAAUUAGACAUCUAAUUAAAUUAGGAAACAAAUAUUCCUAAUAAAUUGGAAUCUCACUAAAUUAGGGAAUUAAUAAAUUAAUCCCUAUUACAAUAUAUGCAAUAAACAAACUUCUAAUUUAACUAGACUUGUCAUAAAAUACCAACUCUAUAAAUAAUGACCUUAACAACUUUAAACCUUUCUUCUCAAGCUUUAAGCAACUUCAAAGAAAAAUGUCAAGCCUUCAACCCUUACUUUCCAAUCUUUACUUAUUUUAAUGAGAAAUACGUCAAUGCUAAUUCGCAUAUUUUGAUGUUUGAUUAAUUAUUGAUAUCAACCGUUGGAUUCCAUUCCAUUUAAUGGAAUCCAAUGGUUUCAACAUGGGUAUUGAAGAGUGGGCGCUUCGCUUAAUCGGUUAUUUGAAAUCUUAUAAAAAUUUAAUAGAAAGAUUUACUAAAUGCAUACGACUAUUUUUAAAACUCACAAAACUUUUGAAAAUAAAUUUAUCAAACAUCUAAUUAAUUAUCUUUACAGAUGAUUAUUUAUACCACACAGUUAAUGACAAUUAAAACUACAACAUUAUUAAUUUGAUCCAACAUCUCCUAAGGACUCAAACGAAGUUUUACUAAUGAAAGGUUUCUAAUAAAAGGUUUACCAUUCCUAUAGAUUGCCGGCAAUUUAAAUAUUUUUAUCAAUUACUGAUAUCAACCGUUGGAUUCCAUUCCAUUUUAAUGAAAUCCAAUGGUUUCAACGUGGCUAAUGGGUAAUCAUAUUGAGUUGUCGUUUAAAUCCCCCUCAAUUCGUGAAUUGAAGGUGAAGAGGUGUGGCUUCCAUCCAGUUUAUGUUCAUGAAGUGGAGGAGUUUGACCAAACGACAAAGCAAUGGACUCACUUUACCUCUUAUGAUCUGAAUGAAUCCCAUCAUAAUUUUGUUGGAUCAAAUAUGGAAGUAGCCACAACAUCAAAGCGAAGCCUUGCAGAAAAUGGAGUGGCAGCUGAAGCCAGUGGCAGUGGUUGCUGUGAUGAUGAUGACGAACCACCACGUAAAAGAUUUAAACAACUCAAAUGAAGGGUAAAGCCUGGUGUAACAGUGAGAGUACGCAUCCCAAUUUCAAUUUAUGUUCUUUAAAUUUGCAUAUGGUAUUUCAUUUACUUUUUAUUUGUCCAUUUAUUGUAUCUACUUUGGCAAUUUAUUUUCGUGUUAAAUUGAAGCAUUGAAUUUUGUGAUUUCUCAUGAGUUGAAAAUUAAAGAAAGAGGGAAAAUUAAUCCUUUGUUUUUUAUACAAAGAUCAUAUCAUAUAUUUGGCCAAAAAGAUUUUUGGCAAAAAAAUAUUGUUCAUGGCUGUCUUCAGUGUGAACAUUUGUGAUUUUUAUCUCUUUUAUUUUGAUGUUGGAAUUUUUUUGGUCUGAAUUUAACUAUGCUUAUUUAAUUUAGGUUUUUUUACUUUUGUUGAACCGUGUUGAUUCUUUUUAUGUUGGAUUAUUGACACCCCUCUAAUCUUUUCAUAAAACCUUAUUAUUAUUAUUUUUUCCAAUUAUUCUUAUUUUUUAUUCCAAAAAUGUCCCUUUUUAAUCACUCAUCUAAUUUUUAAUCUUAUUUUCUUAUCGAAGUUGAGGUCUAGCUUCACAGCUAAGCUUUUCUAACACCUAGGUUCUCGUCUUGAUCUUUAAUGGAUGCGUGAGUUAAUUUAAAAAUGUCUUUUAUUAUUUUCUUGUUGAUUCUUUUCAAGGAGUUGGAUUAUUGCCACACCUCUAAUAUUCUCAUAAGACUCUUGUUUUUUUUUUUAAUUAUUCUUUCUUUUAAGGGAAAACGACAUGUACACCCCUAGGUUUGAAGAAAUGGUCACCAACACCCCUUUUUGACUAUUAUGCCAUUUUAAAAAGUUUUAAAUUUUUAAUAAAUUGAAAUAGUACAUAAAUAAUGUAAUCUAUGCAAUAGACUAAGAAUAUUAAAAUAACUUAAUAUUUUAAUAAAUUUUAAUAUGUAUAUUGUUAUAUUUAUUUACUAAUAUAUAUUUAUUUAUUUUAGAUAUUUUAAAUAAAUAUUUGCAUUAAAUAUACUUUACAAUAAAACAAUCUCACAUACUAAUGUUAUUAUUAUUUUACAUAAUAUUCAAAAUAAUUUAAAUUUUAAUACACUUGUUUUAAUAUUAUGAUUCUAUUUAUUAUAAAAUUUAAUGUUAUAUAAUAAAAUAUAUCUAAUAGAUUGUAAAAUAUUAAAAUAUUUUCUAAGUAUUGAAAUUAUUUUACAAUGUAUAUAUUAUUACAUUUAUUGGAGGAAUUAAUUAGAAAGCAUGAAAUCCUCUCAUUGAUUUCUUUGAAACAAACAAAAUUGAAAUUAUCUUUAUUGAGAGGAAUUAUCUUUGGCAAAGUAAAUUUUCAUCAUCUUUCAGUGCGUCCAACACGCUCAAAGCAUUACGUUUUCUCGCAGUUUUGUAUUCCAACAUUGCUUCCCAUGAAUGUUUUGUUGCGGAAGUGUGAGAUCCAGCAAUUACCAAUAUUACGAUGACUAUAACUUUUGGAGAAAUAUAAAUGUGACAAACAAAUACAAAAAAAAUAUGACACAAUAAUUUACGUGGUUCGGCGUAAUGCCUUUGUCCAUGAGCAAAGACUGUGAGAUAAUUUUACUAAUAAUAAGAAUUUACAAAAGUAGGAAAAAUUCACAAAAUCCACAACCCCAAUACACCCAAAUAGAACCUCAUUAAAACACUCAAGUGGAAACUCUCUCAAAGAACUCACUUGCAAUUGCUCUCUACUUCUCUCAAAUUGUAAUGCUUUACAAAUGCAUUCUACUACUCUAUUUAUAGGCAAAGCUUACAAUAUGAAUGCAUGAAAAAAAAAAAAAAUUUGCCAUUUUCAAUUUUAAUGGCUUUGGUGUGACUUUUAGUGAAGAGAUCAUGCUAGCACAUGCAAUUGGAUCACGCUAGCGCAACAUUGGUGUGCUUGAAAUUUGCAUGCUAGCUGGCUCAUGCAAGCAUGCUUGACUUUUCAACAUGUUUGUCUUACAUUAUUAUGUAUUAAGUGUUUUUUUUCUUUUUUUCUUUUUUUUGGAUGUGAUAGAUUAAGUGUUUCUAAUCACUCAAAUAGUCAAUAUUAGAGGAGAUUAUGUUCUCUUCUUUGCUGAUUUUGAUUAUUUAUGUACAGUUUUUUUGGUACUUGUUGAGUUGGAACUCAAUGUGAGUACACAUUUUUUUCCCCAACAACACAAAAAAACACAAUUGCUUCUUCAACUUCUUCUCUUAUUCAUAUGCUGAAAAAAAGAAGAACAUUGAACAAUCCAUUGAAGAAAGAAGGCAUUUAUAUUGUGAUCAAAAGGAGGUUUUCCACUUGUGAUUUCCUUUAAGCCAUUAACGUGAUCCAACAUUCGAUCAUUCCGCUACAAGACUCGUGAAGAAAGGUAGGGUCUUGAAUCCUUUUAUUUUCUUUUAAUUUAAGAGGCAUUUACUCAUAAAAAUCCUUUGCUUUUCAUCAAAACAAAUAUAUUUGCCUUAUUAGCUUAAGUUCUCUUUAAGCAAAGCACUUCAUUGGAAUUCAUUAACUUACAAAAAACCUCUCUAUUUAAGAUUUGCUCAGGCACACUCUUCCGUCAGGAUCUGAAAAGUCAAAUUUUCUAAUAUAGUUUGGGAUUUGUGGUAUGAUAUUUUCUUUUCUUUAAAGAAAGGAUAACAUAAAAUUGUGUAAGAUCAAUUAAAGUAGAAAUUUGAUUCAUACGUAACUAUAACUUAAGUGAUCACAUAAUAGUUGAUUUCUUUUUACAAAUUCGACAUGCUUAUUUCUUUUUUGUAUAAUUUUUAUUUUAUUUUAUUUUUACUAUAGUAAGCCGAAAAUUGAUAUUAUAUUUUAAAAAUAAAAAUAAAAAUAUUAUUAAUAAAAAUAAACUAAAUAUAUUAUAUUUUAAAAAUAAAAAUAAAUAAAAAUAUAUUACUAAUAUAAAUAAUAUAAAUUUAUUAUUCUUGACUAAUAUAAAUUUAAAAAUAAAUAUAAAUCAGUUAAGGGUUAGUGACGUGUCCAAGUUUGUUAACCGUGGUAGAGCGAAGAGUUAGAGAGGGUUUAUUGAGCUCACGCUCUUCCUUGUCAUUUCCUCGGUGAAUUUUUAUGGGUUUAAAUACUUGAACCUCGGAAUUGAGGCUACAAUGCUUAGUGCACAAUGUUGAAUUGAGGAUUUUAGGAAGACAGACAAAUAUCUAUAUGAAUAUGAUCGAUCUCAGCUUGAUUUGGGCUCAGAACAAACGAUAAAUAGACAAAGGAAUGAUUAUCUGGAAUUUGCAGGCCAGGUUCAAGAGAGGAGUUGUUGAGGAAUUAUGGUAUAAUUCUCGUGCCUAGGACGUGUUCGAUAAUAUGCCUACCAACGAAUGUGCAUCCCACCUGAUGUGUUGCACCAACUCUAUGGUUUCCCAAGCAAAAGCAAUCAAUCAACAAGGUCAAUUCGUGAAGGUUUGUCCUGCGUGAGUCAUAGCUAGUGAGCAGAUUCUGAGAGUCUUUAGUCUUUAACAGAAUUUUACCACAAACACAGUGCAAACCCAGUGUUUAUUUAAUCAAUUAUUUCUUUUCUAGCGGCUAACAUUUUUUCAAAUUUCUAAAUAAAAAUAUACAUGACAGAAUUUGAUUAUUUGUUGUUUCGUGACUGAUGUGGUAGAACGAAGGAAUUGUAUAAUUUCUUGAGUUUUAGACAUAAAACAGAGUCGGGCCAUAGAAUGAACGAAAAAAAUAUCAUCACAUUUGUUGGAAUGAUGCUGUGCUUUAUUCAAAAUUAUUUCUUCCACUUGCGAAGCAAUCAAUAAUAGUGUUAAUUCUUGAACCUGUGAAAAGCAAUUAAUUUUCUUCAUUUGUUUACAAGCAAUCUUCCAUAACCAUUGUGCUUGGCUGUGAAAUACCCCAUUUGUGGCUGAACAUAGAAUCUGUUUUUUGUUGCUUUUUGCGAUCUUUGGCUUAAUUUACAAUUCAUGGCAUGUCUGAAAAUGGGUCGAUGAAUAUGCUAAAUAUGGACUCAGAUCUAGAUCAGAUUUAUCCACGAAACAAUCAAGAGGAUUCAACAUUUGAUAUUUAUUUUUCCUUUCUCCACCCCCAUGUUUAAUUUUGGUCGGAGGACUUGGUUGAUAGGAAUUGACAACUAUUGAUUUUCCUUUUUUUUGUUAAACAACAGACCACAAUGUCAAUUUGAAGACUUUGUUGAUAAGAAUUGACAACUGUUGGUUCUUAUUAUUUGUUUUUGUUUAAUAGAAGAUGCCUUGGAAUUCCGCAUCAUUGACAUGUAGUUGAUAUUUAAAACUACAACUAUCGGAAUUCUUAUUAAGAAAAUUACUAUGCUGCUUGCAACAUAAUCAAAGUUGUAAGUUUUAUGCCAUGCAGUUCUCUUUAUUUUCAUUUAUGUUUUUGAAUUUUCAGAAUAAAUAUGGAGAAGAAGAUCAUUAAUUUCCAAAGCUGAGAAGAAAAUAUUUUCAGAAUUAUACUACAAUGACUAUAGGGAGAUCCUGAAAAUGAGAUUCUUGAUGUUCUUCAAAUAAGUUUUGAUGGGUCAAAAGAAACAGAGAAGAAAAUAUUUCUCGAUAUUGCAUGUUUCUGUGAAGGGAAGUAUAGAGAUUAUGUGAAAAAAAUUCUCAAAUAUUGUGAUUUUGACCCAAUUAUCGAAAUAGUUGGUCCUAUUGAAAAAUCUCUAUUAACUGUAGAUGAUUUCAGCGGACUGUGGAUGCAUGAGUAGCUACAAGAAAUGGGGUAGACAAAUUGUUAGGAGGCAAUCCCCUCAGGAGCCUGGAAACUGCAAUAGAUUGUGGAAGGAAGCAGAUAUAUGCCAUGUAUUAUCACAAAGCACAAGUAAAUGUUCAGUUAGGUUGAAAACUUGCAAUUUUGGGAUCAUGAUCACUUAUUUAACUAGUUAAACCUUUGCAUAGUUUUAUCAAUAUUUUCUUUCUUUCAUUUUUUUUUUUUUGGUUCCCACUUAUUUUUUGUUAUAAUGUUUAGGAAACUGAUGUAGUUGAAGCAUCAUAUUUGAUCGCUUUAACAACAAAGAGAUGCAUGUCAGUGCUAAUGCCUUUUCUAAUAGGACCAAUCAGACUUCACAAGAGUACCAAAUUUAGGGGAGCUGAUUUCUGAAAGAUUUACAAGGUUGCAGGAGAUUCACUCAUUUUUUCUGCGUCAAAGAAGCUGAUUUUGUUGAAUUUGAAAGGUUGUACAAGUCUUUCAACUCUUCCAGGCAAGAUCUUUAUGAAAUCUCUGAAGACACUUGUUCUUUCUGGUUGCUGGAAAUUGAAGAAAUUUCUAGACGUUGUGGGAAGUUCUUUCGGAUGGAACUGAUAUUAAAGAACUGCCAUUAUCAAUUGAACUUCUAUUUGGACUUGCUCAGUUAACUCUGAAUGGCUGCAAAAAUCUCGAGUGUCUUCCAAGGACCAUAAGUGCUCUAAAAUAUCUAUCAACUUUGAAUCUCUCCAGCCCUUUGAAAUUCAGAGAGUUCCCAGAGAAAACUUCAAGCAGGGAUCAGCUCUUGGAGCUUCAUUUGGAAGGAACUGCUAUAAGAGGAUUGCCAGCAUCUAUUGAACUUCUUUCUGGCAAUGUCUUGUUGAAUUUGAAAGAUUGUAAAAAUCUCAAGAGUCUUCCAAGUACCAUAAAUGGUUUGAGAUUGCUUAGAACAUUGUAUCUCUCUGGCUGCUCCAAACUAAAAAAUGUGCCAGAGACCUUGGGGAAAGUUGAAAGCUUGGAAGUUAGAUUGUCUUGUUAGAAUCAGGCAAAAAUGCAGAAUGACUUCAACUGUGUGGAACAGAGUGCAGUGGAGACAGUAACAAAGUUAGCAAAAGCAGAAUCGCUAAGGUACUUUACAAAAUUAAUAAUUUCCUUUAUAACAUGCAGUACCGUAUUACUUCUAUGUGCAUUCCUAACAUUAUCUUCGACAGAAAGAUUCAGAUUCAUGGAAGAAGAAUGUUGAUAAGGGCAUCAAGCUAUCCACAACAGCAAUAUCAGCUUGCUCACUUGCCUGCCAUAGGCUGAUUCAAACCUCAAGAGCCAUGCCAAGGGUUGAAUCAAAUAACAGCAAAUUCACAUCUUAGGUGGCCUUUUCUUCCAGCUUAGUCACUGCAUCAUUUUUUAUAGCAGGUUCAUUCUAUAAUAAUCUCAUAGGCACAUAUCAUGAACUUUGUUUUAUCAUGCUUGCAUACUUUAUUUACUUCUGCACAGUGAUAUACACAUUCACUAUCAAUUUAAGUAGAAAUUGAUUUUUGAAUAUGCUCUUAUCCUUUACUAAUCAUAUAAAAAGCUCAUACGUCAGGGUAUAUGACUAUUUACAGCUGUCUUGCGGAUGGAUUCGUAACCUUACUUAAGUAAUAUUAUCAACAAUUUUUGGAAUUGAUGAUAUCUAUUCAUCAAUUGCAUACAACUGCAGCAUUUAUUUGAUUUUAGAACCUGGUCUUAGAGUCCAUAAUGCAUUGACAAAUACAGAAGUGAUCAAAUUACUAGCCUCUGGAGUUGCUAUUUAUGUUAUUAUUGAAGGAUGAUUCAAAUUCUUUAUGUUUGUUAGUUUUUGUUUGGGCGGGAAAUUUAAGUUUUAUCUGAGUUGACUCUAUUGACCACUGCUCGUAUCAAAAAAAUCUGAAAAAUAACUUACAACUUGUGAGGCUUGUAACCAAAAGAUGCCUAAAACCAAUUAUUUCUAAGAGAAGUGGACAGCCGUAAACCUUUCUUCCCGAGCCUUAAACAACUUCAAAGAAAAAUGUCAAGCUUUCAACCUUUAUUUUCCAAUCUUUACUUAUUUUAAUGAGAAAAUACUACAAUUUAAAAAAAUUUGAAAGAUUGUACAGGACUUAUUCCAAAAGAAUAUUUUAUUCAUUUUUCCCUAAAAAAUGCAAUUACAUUUGAAAUCCUUUCUUUGAUGUGUAGAUUACUGAAGCUAGCUUUUGUCAACAUCAAAUAGACCAUGUCUUUUCUACACUAAAGACCAAAAUCAUUCUUCAUUAUUCCUUUCGGCACAUGCUUUAGACUAAAAUUGUUGUUUGAGAAAUUAAUUAGAACACAUGAAAAUCCUUUCAUUGAUUUCUUUGAACAAACUUAAUUGGAAAUUCAAGUAAAAAAUGUCGAGCCUUUAACCUUUACUUCCCCAUCUUUACUUCUGUUAACAAGAAAAUUCUACAAUUUAAAUAAAAAAAUUCUUAAAAGAUUAUAAUGGAAUUUUUACAAAAGAGUAAAUUCUUAAAAUAUUUUAAUGGAAUUAUUCCACAAGAAUAAAUUCUUAAAAGAUUAAAGUGGAACUCACUUUGCCCUAUAAAAUGCAAUUACAUUGAAGACACCAUUAAUAACAUGCUUUUGUCAACAUCAUGUCGACCAUAUCUUUAAUCCCAUGCGCCACUAAAGACCAGAAUCAUUCUUCAUAAUUACUUUCGGCAUGCACUUUUUAUUAAACUUUUUGUCUUUGAGGAAUUAAUUAGAACACAUAAUAAUGAAUGUACAAUAAAAAAAAAAAUACUUUUGUUGUGAUUUUCACGGACGAAUUAAAAAAAAAAAGGAUUAUAAAUGUAUUUAAACAGUCCAUUAGCCGGGUCCAGCUACUUUUUUUAACAACUUUUACAAGGCAUUUCCGACUUUCGGAGAACUUUUUUUUUUUUUUUUUUUUUAACGUUUGGAUUUGAUAGAAUCUGGAUUUGGACAAUGAUAGGAGUGGUACGAUACAUACCUCAGCUUAGGAUCAAGCUUCGGGUUUGAUAGCAGGUUCGUUCUAUAAUAAUCUCAUAUGCACAUAUCUUAAUACUUAUUUUAUGGGAGAUUCCCAAUUUUCUUAUGGUGCAAUCAAUAUUUACUAUUUGUCCCUUAUUGCUUUUACAAUCUCUCUUUUGCAUGACUACUAUAAAUUUAAGUGAAAUUUAUAAGAAUAAAUUAUUCUAAAAGAAUAAUUUAAUCAAUUGAGUUGUGAUUCAGAAUAAUUUAAUCAAUUAUUCUAAAACAUUUUUGCGCGAAUCUUGAAAUGCUAAAAGCAAAUUCCCCUUUUUAAGUCCAAUUUUGAGUAGUUUUACCGCCAUUAUUAAUCUUAGAACUUUUUGUACAGCUAAGUGGUACCAAUUACAUCGAAAGUGUAAUACUUGUGCGUUGCCUUCAUUGGUAAAAAACGAAGGUAAAACUUGCAUCCUUUUUAACUGUUACUAAUAAUUUGUACGUGCUUCUCUCUUCCGCAAUUUCAUGAAAGUAUGUAAUGAACCCAAGGGCAAAUGACAAUGAAAUUUCUUACGGACAAGCAUCCUCGAAUCUACAGAUCAUCCACAAAUCUCAGCGAAUGAAUUUUUAGAUCGUCGUUACCCCAUGCAAUACAUAUCAAAUGGUACUGACGAUCAAUCAUUUUGUAUUGAGCUCCUUGCAGCAAACGAUCACUUGAAAAUUAAUCACACAUAUCUUCCCGCAAUGCAUAAUUGAAGCUACCAUUUGCAUUUUGUGAAAACGCCCUUCGCAGCCACAUCUCAGAUCUUUCUUUAUUCACAAAAUAUACAACUUCAAAGAUUAAAAUUUUUCUUUAUUCACAAACAUACAACUUCAAAGAUUAAAAUUUUUCUUUAUUCACAAACAUACAACUUCAAAGAUGUUAAGCAGUCUCUAACAUCUGUUGAGUUUGCAUUAAGUACCAUCAAUUAAAGUAUGCACCAACCAAAAAACAAGACAUGAAUAUAUUUGUGAAAUCAAUAUAUCAAACUCAAUUGGGAAAACACAAACCCAUCCUCCCUUAUUUCCACAAGAAUAAAUUCUAAAAAGAUUAAAGCGAAAUUUUUAUAAAAGAAUAUUUUAUUCACUUUGCCGUAUAAAAUGCAAUUACAUUGAAGACUCACUAAAUAAAACGCUUAAAAAAAUCCUUGCUUUUGUCAAUAUCAUGUCGACCAUAUCUUUGAUUCCAUGCGCCAGUAAAAACCAUAAUCAUUCUUCAUAAUUACUUUCGGCAUACACUUUGGAUUAAACUUUUUGUUUUCACCACCAGUUAAGUAACAUUACAAAUUAAAUCAAUUUUAGGUCUGACAAAAAGCUGCAAAUUGAAGAAAAAGGGCACAUACUAUCUUAGAGGCUAGACUUAGCUCCAAUUAUAAUUUUUUCUGAGACUCGAGUUUUAGAUUCGAGCUCUACUUUACUUGCAUGCCACAAAUUUGAAAAAAAAUGUGCAUACUAAUUUUUUUUGGAGAAAAAUGGAAUUGAAUAAUAAACGUACAGUAAAAAAUUUACUUGUGUUGUGAUUUACACAGAUGGAUCAAAAACAAUGAUUGGCGGAUUGAAUAAUGAGUGUAAAAUAAAAUUAAAAAAAUUUACUGUUGUUGUGAUUUUCACGGACGAGGGGAUUAUAUAGAAUCUGGAUUUAGACAAUGAUAGGAGUUGUACAAUACAAACCUCAGCUUAGGAUCAAGCUUCGGGUUUGAUAGCGGGUUCGUUCUAUAAUAAUCUCCUAUGCACAUAUAUUAAAAUUUAUUUUAUCAUUCAUUAUAGCAAAGCUUUUCUAUUUCGCAUAAGUAUUAUAAAUUUAAGUAGAAAUUUCUUUUUUAAUAUGCUCUUAUCCUUUAUUAAUCACGUCAAAAGUUGUGAGAGUAAAUGUUCGAAUAGUCUAUAUAUUUUUGGUUAAAUAUAUGUUUAUUUUUUAUAUUUCGAAAAAUAUCUUAAGAGACCCUACUUAUUGAAUAUAUGUACUACUGCCCUUUGUUUUUCUUAUGUUUUAUAAUAAUGCCCUUAUUACAAUUUAGAGACAUUAAUUAAUUAAUCUAUGAAAAAUGUUAAUUAACAAAUUUAACCAUAGUUAUUUAUUAGCAAUAUAUAUAUAUAUAUAAAGCUGGGACUUGAGGAGGUGAUGUGGCAUCACCAUUUCUCAUCUUUGUAUAUUCUUUAUUAUCUAAUAAAUAGAAAAAUUUUCUUUUAGAUUUGGCUUUUCAUCUUCUCAUAAUUAAUUUGAUUGUUAUUACACAAUAACAAUUAUGUAAAGAUUUUAAUGAGGCAUAUUCUUUGUAAUGAACAUCCAAGGGGGAGUGUUAUGAAUUUAUUAAAAUAAAUGUAGAUGUUCAUAACAUUUAUCUCUUAGUCUCCCCACUAUCUCCCAUUAGCAAUCUUUGGCUUCCCUAUAACUCCUACUAUCUGACAAGGAAUUAUAAUCCAUAAUUUUUCAUUAAUUUCAUUGAGUGAUUAUGUAACUAUAAAAGGAGAGCUCAUCUUUUUGUUUUGUACACACACAAUUGGAAUGAAUAAAAUCACUCUAUAAUAUAUUCUCUCAUUUUAUUCUUUAUCUUGCGUUGCUUCUUUAUUUGUAUUGCUGGCAAAUAGUUUUUUUUUUUUUUUUUUUAUAAGGCUGCCUCAUCUUAAAAAAAAACCAAUUCAUAUUUUUUAUCAGUUUUAUCAAGUGUAAAGUAAAAAAAAAGAUAAUAUUAAAUUCUUUUUUUAAAGCCGCGUGAAAUGCGGUUCUAUUUUCUAGUUAACUAAUAAUUAUCAGUUUGAAUGAACUGGUAUUUUUCAUACUCUUAUGGCAAUCUUCUAAUGAUUUAAAAUAAAAUUAAUACUAGCUAACUUAAAGCAAUAUUUAAUACCCUUGCGAUUAUAGUCCCUGUAAUAAUUAUUUAAAAAAUUAAUCUACCAAAUUAAUUCCAAAAGUAAAAUAAAAAAUUUAUAUUUAUUUUUACUUUAACUUUCUUUAUAGAUAAAUUAAUUUACAUCCUCAAGAAUAUUGUUGCAAGUGUAUUCCUAUAAAAGUAAAGAAAAAACAAGUGCAUAAGUGUAAUAUACUUAACAACAGUGAUCUCUUGAGACACUUUUUUAAAAUAUAAAAACUAAACAGAUACUUAAACAAAAAUAUAUAGAUUAAACAAAUAUUUACCCAAAAUUGAGACAUCAACCUGUAUAAUUAUUUACAGCUGCCUUGCGGAUAGAUUCAUAACCUUAACAAUUUUUUGAUUGCAACGUAGAGUAGAUGCCUUCUCGACCGUCGGAUGCAUGUGUGAAGAAUCCAAAACGGUAACCCAUAAUAGUGAGACACGUGUGAUGAAGAUUCCGUCCAAUUGUCCUGAUGAUGAGACGGUUUGGAUAUUGGAAGCUGCAUUCCCGUUGUUGGUAACAAUUUAUGUUAAAUAUGUUCGGUAAUGCAACACGUAAAAUCGUAAAAAUAUAUGAUGAAGCAACAUUUUACUUAUUUCAACCUUUACUUACUUCAAUAACAAGAUUCUAUAACUUUAAAAAACAAAAAAAAAAAUCUUAAAGAUUAUGACGGAAUUCUUCCGAAAGAAUAAAUUCUUAAAAGAUUUUAGUGGAAUUUUUCCAAAAGAAUAAAUUCUUAAAAUGAUUAUUGUGGAAUUUUUCUAAAAGAAUAUUUUAUUCACUUUGAGCUAUAAAAUGCAAUUACAUUGAGGCCACCCUUGAUAAAAUACUAAAAGAAAUCCUUGCUUUCCUCAACAUCACGUCGACCAUAUCUUUGAUUCCAUGCACCACUAAAGACCAUGAUCAUUCUUCAGAAUUACUUUCGGCAUACAUUUUUUAUUAUACUUUUUGUUUUUUGAGAAAUUAAUUAGAACACAAAAAAUUUCUCUCAUUGAUUUCUUUGAAAGAAAGCUAGGUCCUCUUUCUUAUUGAGGUACUAUAAUUUUUAAGUUUAAAUUAUUAAAAAAAUUAUAAUUAUAAAAUAAAAAUUAAUAGUAUGUAAUAAAUAUAAUUUUAAAUAAUAAUUUUCACAAAAUUAAUAAAAAUCUAAUAUAUUUUUCAGCAUACAACUUAAGUUUUAAGAUAUAGUUGUGAGUAUUUAUCAAACACGUUGGUGUUGUAAUUUAAAAGUUACAGCUGUCCAACCUCAACUUCGAAUAUGGCCUUAAUUAGAAAUUCAAGUAAAAAUUUACCAUCUUUUAUUGCUUCCAAUAAGCUCAAACAUGCAAGUUAAUUUUCUUACAUUUUAAUUUUACUUGUAUCUCAGCGUUUGCUUUGCAAGAAUAAAUGUCUUACAUAUUUAUGUCUUAUUUUUUUCAUAUAUAAAAUUAAAUUUGAAUUAAUUUAAGAGGAAAUCUUGGUUUUCUGCUCCUUGAAUUUGCUGGUUGUGUGCUGAUUAUGAUUAUUUAAGAGCCAUUUAUUCAUAACAUUUCAUUUCAAAUAAAACUAAAAUGUCCAAUGUAUUAAAAUUUGUCAAAAGUUUAUGCUAAAAAUCAUUAGGAGAAAAAUGAUUAUUUUAGUCAUUUUGCGUCCCCCGACAGAUUUUGAGGGAGAUUGGAAUCUUGUGUAAUUUGCUGUACAGAGUUAUGAUGCAUCUUUAACGACUAUUCUGUUGACUGAACUUGAUUGACCUCCGAAUGCGACCUCAUGUAGGUCCGUCCGCUGAAUACGUGUUCUUUAAAGGAUCAACUCGACCCGUAUUUGCCCCGAUAUUGACCCGCGUUUGGUUUGACCGCAGGAUGUAUGUGACAUGUCUUGUUGGCCGUUGAUCCGCGUUGUGUGAGGGUACUGGAUGGUUGACGUUGUACCUAGACAUUAUUUUGAUUAUAUUGAACGCGGUCCAAGGGUUCUAAAGCUGCCACGUACACUGCUACUCCGAACCUUUGAUUUAAUUCAAUUUUGGUGGAUCCAACGGCCAUUUCCCUCAUCUCUUUAAAAUGUAAAAGCAUCAUUUUAAGCACUACAGGCUGUCGAUUUCGAGCGAGCUUACAAGUGUAUGGGAAAAAUUUAAAGUAGGAAAACUACGAGACUGUAGUUUGAUAUAAUUUUUCACUAUAUUAAUGAGAUUACAAUACAAAUUACUCUCUAAAUAAUGCUAGAGGCUACCAACAUCUAGAAUCUCAUUAUUUUUAGCUUAUAGUAAUCCCCGAAGAACUAUCUCUCUAACAAGUGGGUAUCUCAAAUAAUAGCCAACAAGAGGAUAAAAUAAAAAUCAAGACUAGUAGGAUUAUAGAGGGCGAUGCCAGGAAUUUACCCUCAAAAUUUAAGAGAAAAUGGAGUUAAUUUCGUCUUUUAAUCACCCAAUUAAAGAUUUAAAUAACUAUUCCCUUCUACUGGCUUUCUCUCUCUCUCUCUUGCCGCUUUUUCUUCUCUGCUCGUCCUUUUUAUUAAGUGAAAACUAGGGCUACUGCUUGCUUUUAUAGCCAAAUUACUUGGCGAUUUUCAUCGAAGUCCAAGGCUUAGUAAUAAUUACAAACCAAGCAAACUUAUUUAAAUUUUGGGCCCCAAAUGAGAUGGACCCAACAAGGAAGAAUUUAGUGACUUCUUACUUUUAUGUCCUUAAAAUUUACUUUUAAACCCUAGAUUUUUGAGAAAUACUUUUCUGAAGGGUUAGAAGCUAAUGUUUUAGAUUGGAUUUUUUUCAAACAUCAAGAAUUAAUUAGCAUUUAUUUUCUUCUCUUGUCUUUAGCUCCACCAAGUUCGUUGAUACAAGGUCUUUGAGCUUGAAGGUGUUAAAUUUAAGACGGAUUCUCUCACACCGAUUAUCAUUUUACCCUUAAAUUUUUCUCCUCAGCAAAUUUUGAUGUUUAACUCAUGUAGGAAAAAAAAUUGUGAGGACUGUGCGGAUUUUUUUUUUAAUUAAAAAACACUCUAAGGUGGGGGUUAGGCAGGACCCCCAUACCAAUAGAUUAAUAAAAUUAAAGAAAAUUCAUAUGGAGGGGGAGACAUAUUCCAAAACCUCUAAGCACGGGAACAAAUACACUCAACAAUUAGAAAAAUAACAAAAGCUUAGAAGAUACGAGUAAUUAACGCAACCGGCUACAGAAUAGCAUACAAUUCUUGGGCCAGUAACUAAUGUGAAACCUUUCUUAGAACCGGAGGCAUACAACCAGGCAAUACUAAAGUCAUCAACAUCACGCCCUCUAGUACCCUUAGGCCCAAAUGCAAAAUAUUCAUUAGUUGCAAGAUUCUCAUCAAAGCUAAACUCCUCAUCAGACUGAAAAGGGAUGUCCGUAGAAUGGCAAUUGAAGCCCACGACCAUGGAGCAAAUAUCCUCUACAACAGCUUGAAAAAAAAGUAGCGCCAAUGGAAGCCCUUUAAACACCCGGAUAAUCUAAAAAAUAAAGAGGAGGGUUAGAGACCUUAGAUGUCUGAACUCUUUUCAUAAAAACUGGAUCAUACCCAUCUUCUGUAGUAUCCUGAUAAAUAGGCGGCUAAGCAUCUACCGAAACAUCCUUGCCAGCACCAGGCCUCAAUGGCUUAACAUCUUCACGAUCCCCCUUUAAAUGCACAAUAGCAUCAUAUAUAGGCACCUUGCCUUUAUCACGAACAACAACACCUUGCACCUGACCAACAGGCUGCUGGGGCUCCUAGAGCCCAGGAUUAGCAACAAAACAAGCAUCAGCAGCUUGCCAAGAUGCUUACACGAGACACAAUAUAAAGGAACACACUAAAAAUUGACAAUCUUGCCAGCAACUGCCAUCACCCUCACCAGUCCAAAGUUUGGGCAACAACGACCGCAAAACAUCAUAUUCAAUCAGAAUUCUAGUGAUUAAGGGCCGAUUAACAAUAGUAGUAGCAUGGUCCACCCGUAGAGGCUUACCAAUAGCAUUAGCAGUAGAAAAUAAGGCAUCUUUGUAAUGAUUAAAAUGCAUUAGAAAAUACGACAAAGAAACCCAAACAGGAACAAAAGGAGAUUCCUCAGAGCACCAAAAUAACGUCUAUGAGACGUAGCUACAUGAGACUCAAACCCAAGACCUAAAUCUUGGUAAGGAUGCCCACCUAAAUCCACUUGGAAAAUGUUCAAAUGUAUUUUAGAUAACGUAUUUCAGUUUGUGAGGCUUAACACAAUAGAAUGUAGAUUCGAGAUAUUUACAGGUGCGAAGCUUUGUGAGUGUUGUUGAUCCACUUUAACUUACAUAUUUUCAUAGUGAAUUGUUCUGUCUACAAGUGGACAUAAUAACAUGUUGAGAUUUUUAUCCUAAAUCGUGAGGAUCAAAGGUUUCUUCGUAAAAAAAUCUUCGUGUUGCGGAUAUUCAUUUAUUUUGCAUAUUUAUUUUCAUUACCAUAAAUUGAUUUUUAAAUUUAUUCUAUUGAAUUAUCCUUACUAACUAGGAAAGUAAAUCAUUAACUUUAAAGAGAUUAUUAUUAUUACUAAUUAUAUUGAGAUAGCGAAAUAAAAAAUAAAAUUAAUAAUAAAAAUAUUUACUUUAAAUAUCAAUUAUUAUAUAUACACAAUAAAAAAUAAUUUAUAUGCAUAUUAUAAAUAUGUAAAUAAAUUUUAUUCAAAAUUGUGUCCACUUACAAUCAUUUACAUUCAUGUUAUUUACAAUAUUAUUAUAAUUUAAUAGUAAGAUUUACAAAACACAUACAAUUGUUUUUAAAAUUCAUAGAGCUUUUGAAAAUUGGAUCAAACGUUUAAUUGGUUAUCUUUAUAGUUGAUUAUUUCUAUAAUACAAUUAAUAGUAAUUAUUUUAAAAACUAUAAUAUUACCAAAAUGAUCCAAUAUCUUUUAAGGACCCAACUGAAAUCUAACGAAUAAAGGUUACCAUUCCUAUAGAUUGUCAAUAGUUUUAACUACUUUUAAUUAAUUAUUAAUAUCAACCAUUGGAUUCCAAUCCAUUUUAUAUUGCGUUUACUAAAUUGGAAUCGGAAUGGGUUGAAAUUAGAAUGAGUAAGAAUGGGAAUGAACUGAAAUGAGUAUGGAUAAUGGGAAUUAAAAUAAGGUUUUUACUUGAACUGCAGGAAUUAGAAUCGGAAUGAGCUGAAUUGCCAUUAAUGUAUUUACUUUGUCUUUAAAUUAGAAUAAGAAUGAGUUACAUUGUAACUUAUUACUAUAAAGUACAUAAUGAACUAUUCUCAUCAUUAUUAUUUUAUAUUUUAAUUACAGCGAUUAUUUAUUAAAAAUGAUGAUUAUUAUUAUUAAUUAUUGUUAAUAAUACAUAAUUUAAUUAUAUUUAUAUACUAAUUAUAAAAUAUAUUAAUUAAUAAUAAAUAUUAAUUAUUGUGAUUAUUUAUUAAAAAUUAUAACUAUUAACAAUUAUUGUUAAUAAUAAUUAAUAUAUUAAUUAAUAAUAAUAACUAUAUUAAUUCUUCAAUUAUAGUAAUAUUUUAUAAUUAUUAUUAAUUAAAUAUAAUUACUAUUAAUAAUUAUUGUUAAUAAUUAAUUAUAAUAAUAUAUUAAUUAAUCAUAAAUGAGGAUAAAAUGAACAUUUUGAUUUUUGGAGAGGGGUAAAAUGAUCAAUCCAUCAAAUAAGAGACUCACUACCACAUCCUCCUUAGAAUGAGUCUUCCAUUCCUCAUUUUCAAAUUGUGGUAGGGUAAAUAAUAUCAAUGAAGUCCUUCAGUUUAGUAAAAUUCUUCUGUUACCCACAUAAUUUUAGUUUUGAACAAUUUAAUCAUCCUUAGUUUUUCAACAAUUACUUCUAUGUGAAUUGCUUUCGGUGUUGUUCAACAUAAUAUUAUCAGACUCAUGGAACAAGAAUGUUGAUAAGGUUAGCAAGUAAUGAAAAGCAUAACUGGUCAAGGAAACUCAGGCUCAGAUUCUUACCAGUCCUACAAUUAACAACUGGAAAAGUUAAAUCAAAUAAUAGCAAAUUCAAAUCUUAUGUGGCCACUUCUUUUGGCUCAAUCACAGGUUCAGUUUUGAUAGUAGGUUCUCUAAUAACAUGAUCUUAAUUUUAUCAUGCUUGAAUGCUUGGCUUUACUUCUGGCACAGAUCCAUUUCCAUGCACAUUCACUUUCGCAAAGUUUCUCCGUUUUGCAGGACUACUUCAAAUUCAAGCAAAACUUACAAGCCUUAAUUGCCGAAGAAUGAUUCAAAUUCGUAAAGUCCGAAGUUUUGGUUUUGGCGGGAAAAUCAGAAGCUCAAGCUGCUAGCGCGGAUUCCACUUGUUAGGUUCAUCUCAUUUGGGGCCCCAAAGCCGAAAGUCCAAAUAAAUUUGCUUGGUUUGUAAUUAUUAUUAAGCCUUGGACUUGAGUGAAAUUUGCCAUGUAAUUUAGCUAUAAAAGCAAGUGGUAGCCCUAGUUUUCUCAUCACACAAAAGGAUGAGUGGAGAAGAAAAAGCGGCAAAAGAGAGAGAAAAGCCAGUAGAAGGUUGUAAUUUGGGAAUAGUAUUUUCAAUCUUUAAUUGGGUGAUUGGAAGUGAUUUUGACUCUGUUUUCUCCCAAAUUAUGAGGGUAAGUUCCUGGCCUCACCCUCUACAAUCCUACGGGUGUUGAUUUUUAUUUUAUCCUCUCUUUGGCUAUUAUUUGAUAUACACACUUGUUGGAGAAAUAGUAAUUAGGUUGUUACUUUAAGUUAAGAAUAAUGAGAUUCUUGAUGUUGAUAGCCUCUAGUAUUAUAUAGAAAAGAAUUUAUGCUGUAAUCCAUUAAUAUAGUGGAAGACUAAAUCGGACUAUGGUCCUGUGAUUUUUCUCGUUUUAGGUUUUCCAUGUAAAAAUUUAUACCUCUUGUAGUUGGUUUUUGCUUUGGAUUUAUUGGUUUAUUUUUCUGCCUAUUUAUUUGUGGUACACAUCUUAUUAUAAUCACACAAAGAGGGAAAGAGUUUUGUUUUUGCUAAAUUUACAAAUGUUUAUGAUAGUUCCUUUCCCAACUGAGUGGUAUCAGAGCCAUGUUGUGUGUUUUAUUACUUGUGUGGUUGAGAUGGAGGAAUCCUCGGCCUGCAUGAUUAAAGUAAAGUAAUGGAAUUAUUGUAUUUGAAAGUCUCGAAUGGAAGAUUUGUUAUACAUAAAAGACUUACAUGAACCCAUUAAAAGCGAAGAAGUUAGACACGCCGAUUUAGAUGAUAAGAAAUUGGCUCAAUUAAACCAGAAGGCUGGGGGUACUAUUAGAUCAUGGAUUGAUCAGAGUGUGUAGCACCAUGUCACGAAGAAAUCCAAGGCUGAUGUUCUUUGGAGAAAAUUAGACACAACUUAUGAGCAGCCGACAACACAAAAUAAAGUCAAUCUGAUGAAAAGACUUGUUAAUUUGAAAUACAAGAGAGGCGCAAUAUAACUGAACACACUAAUGAGUUUCAGUGAUUUGUUGAUCAGUUGACUACUAUGAAAAUUAUUCUAGAUGAUGAGUUACAAGCAUUAUUGUUGCUUAGUUCUUUGCUUGGCAGUUGGGAGAAUUAGUGGUUUCAGUGAAUAAUUCAGUGUCGAACAGAAAAUUAACCUUGGAUAUAGUUACAGAUAGGUUGCGGAAUGAAGAAUCUAGAAGAAAAAGUGUUGAAGCACUUUCUUCUAAACCAGAUGCACUUGUUUAAUAAAAGCAAGAAAGGUAAAGGAGAAGCCAAAGUAGAAAUUCCCACCAGCAGAAUAAUGAUAGGCCCAUAGGAAGAUCUAAGUCCUAGAGGAGAAACAUAAAGUGCUUUCAUUGUCAGAAAAUGGGUCACGUUAAAAGGGAGUGUAGAUUGUGGAAAAGAGAACAGGCGAAAGAAAAGGGUGAUACUUAGAAAAAUGACAAAGAAAACACUACAGCCAUAGUUGACGGUGAUUUAGGUAUUGUUUAUGAUGAAAACUCAAUAAAUCUCACUUGCCAUUCCAGUGAUUGGGUGAUUGAUUCUAGUGCUUCACUUCAUAUUACUGCACAUCGUGAUUACUUUACAUCUUAUGUUAAUGGUGAUUACGACCAUGUUCGGAUGGGAAAUGAAGGGGCAUCCAAGAUUGUAUGCAUAAGAGAUAUUUGCUUGGAGACCAGCACUAGUUGUAAGUUGUUGCUUACAGAUGUCAGACAUGUACUCGAUAUUCACCUCAAUUUGAUCUCUACAGGCAAAUUUAAUGAUGAUGGUUAUAUUAACGAAUUUGGUGAAGGAAAAUGGAAGCUCACCAAAGGCUCUCUAGUGUUAGUUAAGGGGAGGAAAGUAAAAACUCUAUAUAUGAUAGAAGCUAAGAUAAAGAAAGAAUAUGUGAAUGUGACUGUAAAAGAUUUUAACAUUGAGACAUGGCAUAAAAGACUUGGUCACAUUAGAGAGAAAGGGUUAGAAACUCUUGUCAGAAAAGGAUUUCUACACAGCUUCACAGGUAUGUCCUUCAAGACUUAUGUUCAUUGUUUAGCUGGAAAGACACACAGCGUAGCUUUUAAAAGUUUUUCUCCAUCUAGAAAGUCGCAAAUCCUUAAUUUGAUUUACACUGAUAUUUGCAUGAUGCAAAGUAGAUCAAUAUGAGGUGCACUUUAUUUUGUGACUUUUAUUGAUAACUAUUUUAGAAAAGUGUGGGCUUUUGCUUUAAAAUCUAAAGAUUAGGUGCUUGAUAUAUUUAAGUUCUUCCAUACUUAUGUUGAGAGAGGGACAAGAAGAAAGUUAAAAUGCGUUAGGGCAGAUAAUGGUGGUGAGUACAAAUGGCCAUUUGAGCAGUAUUGCAGAUCCCAUGGGAUCAGAUUUGAGAAGACUGUACCAAAAACCCUACAGCAGAAUGGUGUUGUAGAAAGGAUGAACAGAACAAUUGAAGAGAGGGUCAGAUAUAUGCUUUCUGAUGCGAAGCUUCCUAAAUCCUUCUUGGCAGAGGCUAUGCGUACUGUAGUUGACUUGAUUAACCUUUCUCCUUCAGCUCCAUUAGAGGGUGAUGUACCUGAGCGAGUUUGGACGGGGAAAGAUGUUUCUUAUAAACAUUUGAUAGUGUUUGGUUGCAGAGCAUAUGCUCACAUCCCUAAAAACGAGAGUUUGAAGUUUGAUGAUAAAGCCAAGGAAUGCAUUUUUUUAGGCUAUGGGCAUGAAGAAUUUGGGUAUAGAUUAUGGGAUCCAGUGGCAAGGAAAUUGAUCAGAAGUAGAGAUGUUGUGUUCCUUGAAGAUUAGAUAGUUGGUGAUGUAGUGAUGAGUGAUAAGUCUCAGUCAUCUCCAGAGAUUCUUAUUAUUCCAACUUCAGUUUCUCCACUUAUGAUUCAUGAUGAUCAUAGGGGAACUAAAGAGGAUAAUAAUGAUGGUCCAGCAAAAACAGUUGACCAGGCACCUCUAGAACCACCAACACCACCAGUUGAGCCAUAAUUGAGAAAAUUUAUCAGAGAACGGUGACCUUCUACUAGAUAUCCUCCACAUAAGUAUGUGAUGCUUACAGAUGUAAGGGAGCCAAAAUGUUUUGAAAAAGCCAUGUCUCACCAGCAUAAUAGUGAGUGGGUUAAAACCAUACAAGAAGAGAUGAAAUCCUUGAAUGAGAACCACACUUAUGACUUAGUGAAGCUUCCUAAGGGAAAGAGAGCACUGAAGAACAAGUGGGUUUAUAGGUUGAAGAUUGAAAACAACUCACAGCAGUGAUAUAAGGCUAAAUUGGUUGUGAAGGGUUUUGGUCAGAAGAAAGGUAGGUAUUGAUUUUGAAGAAAUACUUUCUCCUAUGGUAAAGAUGUCUUCUAUCGGAGUUGUUCUGGGACUAGCAAUUAGCUUGAACUUGGAGAUUUAACAGCUCGAUGUAAAGAUAACUUUCUUACACGGUGACUUGGAGGAGGAAAUAUACAUAGAGCAACCUGAAGGAUUCAGUGUCAAAGGUAAAGAAGAACUUGUGUGCAAGUUGAAGAAAAGUUUGUAUUGACUGAAACAAGCACCAAGACAAUUGUAUAAGAAGUUGGAUUCUUUCAUGGAGAAUCGUGAUUUCAACAAGACUAUGUGCGAUCAUUGUGUUUUUGUGAAGAGGUUUAGUGAUAAUGGUUUUAUUAUCCUUUUGCUUUACGUGGAUGACAUGUUAAUUGUUGGCCAGGAUGCUAGUAAGAUUGGCAAUCUGAUGAAGAAGCUUAGCAAGUCGUUUGCAAUGAAGUACUUGGGACCGACAAAAUAGAUUCUUGGCAUGAGAAAGGCGACGAGUGCUUGUUGCGAAUCCAAACUAAUUGCUCAACUUACAUGUUUAUGAUAUUUGUAACUAGCUAAUUGCUUCACUAUCUUUCAAAUUAUUUCUUUUUUUCUUUUGAAAGUGUUAAUUUUUUUUCCGCAUUGAAAUUAAGACCAAAGACAGUGUUUUAACCCAAAUCUAUUUUAGAAAAGUAUUACAUACUGUGAGAACACUUAAUUAUUUAUUUUUUAAACUCUUGGGUAAGUCUAAUCCAACCCCGUACUUGCAUGGAACACUUUGUUUCGUAUACAAAUACAAUUAGUUGUUAGUAAUAAGUUUCGGCCAAUUUGCUGUAAUUCUUUUCCUAACAAUUGUCUUUACCGGCCUUUUACCACUCUGGUUACUCUCAUGACCUACAUUAAUGGUGCUUUUACUCAUGGGACUUAAGAAUCAAAAUUCAGAAUUAGAAUGAUCCGUAGUGUGUACUUCUUAGAAUAGAAGAGGGAAUGGAAAUGAACUAGAGGGGCUCCUACGUUUCUGGAAAAUUUGUGAAAUUUGUUCAAACCUUUUGUGAAAUUUGUUCAUGGAAUUCCUAACUAGUUACCGCCAACAGCAGAGGUGGAUUACUAGCAAUAAGCAUACAAAUUAGAGUCAGCAAUUUUUAUAAUUUAUACAUAUGGCUAGUAAAUAAAAAGUAAAAUAAAUCAAUCAAUAUAAAAGUGGUAAAUUGAUGUUUUAAAAUUAAAAAUUAAAAAUACUUGUAAAAAUAAUAUAAAACUUAUAAAACAACAUUAAACUUUAACUAGACUAGAAAAUAGUUGAUUUAUUUAUAAAUUAUGCAAAAAAAUUCACUAAUCAAGCAAAAAAAAUCACUCAUUAACUGAAAAAAAAAACUGUAUUUAAAUAAUUAGAAUAAAUUUUAUUGAAUUGGUUUAACCAUGAAUUCUAUAUUUAUCCUUGGAAAUUUAUAAUUUUUUUCAUUUUCUAUCAUAAUAUUUGUUUACUACACAGAAAAAUUAAUUUUUUUUAAAAUGUAGAUCAAGCCAAAAUAAAAUAAAAGUUAUUUUUAUAUUACUAGACAUAUAUGGUAUAUGAAUAAAAUUAGAAUUAAUUUUCAGUUUUAUACAUACUUUAUCUAGUUUUAAACUUUACUUCUUAUACUUAAAGAUCAUUUAGGGUUAUUGCCGAAUAAGUUUAGAAGGAUGCAAAAUUACCUUAUCUUAUAAAUAACUUUAAAAAAACAUAAAAAGAGUUUUAUUCUCUCAAAUACAAGCUUUUAGCGCGGCAUGCAAAAUACACCCCGUUUAAAUCUAAUCACACCUCUCUAAUUUUUUUCUUUUUUUCGCCACUAUGAGGUAAUGAAGUAGUUAAAAAGUAUAACCUUUAGAAUUUAGAUUCCUUUCGCUUUUUUGCUUUUUUCACCCCCACUUUCUGAGAUGACCAAGACUUGCUUUUGGAAUACAUAUAAAUUAAUCUGGGGCAGCUGGAAGUUGCAUUUUCUUUUCCAAAAGAAACAUAUUUGCCUGAGAUUAACUUCUUUCCUUUGAAUCAAGACACUUCAUUGGAGUUGAUCAGAUCAAUCAGGUGGCUUCGUUCAACACACUUAAAGCUGUAAGUUUUAUUUUAUACAUUUCUCUUUUAUCCUCAGAAUUAAUUUGCACAUCCUGGAUGUUUAAAAAAGGAAAUAAAUAAAAUUGGAAGAAAGCUUUGAAUGGUAAUUUAAUUUGUAUUGUAUCAACUCCUUAAUUUGCUUCAUUUUGAGGCUCUAAUUAAGAUUUACUUAAGUAAAAGUCGGCAAACACGCUCUCCAAUCAUCAUCUGAAAAACUUUUUUAUUGUAUUUUGGAAGUAAAUGAGAGGCUGUCAAUUAGUUUGUUUAGUUAAGAAGAAGAUCAUUAAUUUGUUGUUCAAUAAUUUUAUGUUAAAAGAAAUUAUUAAAGUAAUUAUGUUACAUUAUUUUUCUCUUUCUCUCUAUUUUCUCUUUUUUAACACUAAUAAUUAAUAAUUUUUAUCUCCUUGAAUUUCGUAAGUCUCGAUGAAUCUUCAGGUUUGUAAAUUUUUUCUUUAGAUCUCGAUAAAUAACAUUUGACAAUAUUUGUUGAUCAGGCUGUGUUAUAAACAACGCAGAUUUUAUAAGUUAAAUCAAUUUUCACUGGAAGCUUUUAAACAGUAAUUACAGUUUAGCAUAAUUUUUUUUAAGUGUAUGGAUUUUGCAUCUUUCUAUGAUAAAGAACUUUAAUUUUUCUUUCUGUAAGGGUGGUCAUCCAACCCCCCCACUAUUGAUUAGUUUAAAAAAAAUCAAACCAACCAAUCAAAUAAAUAUGUUCAACCCAACCCAAUCUUAUCCUUAAAUCAUUGUGCUGGGUCAAUCGAAUUGAUUAAAACUAAAAAUGAAACAAGUUCAAACAUAAAAGUUGAAAAAAAAAAAAAGCUAUUUGCUACUUAAAAUCAAAUUCAAACAGUAAAAAGCAUAUUGAUUCCCACCUGGCUGGACUCCAUUAAAGUUUCAGUAAUAAAGAUCAUUAUGUUUACCAUUAAUUCCUAUAGAUUGCUGAUAAUUUUAAUAUUUUUAAUUAGUUAUUAAUAUCAACCGUUGGAUUCCGCUCCAUUUUAAUGGAAAUAUGGAAUCCAAUGGUUUCAACACGGCUAAUGGGCAGAAUGGCAAAGAUGCGUAUACAAUUGAAAAGCCUGAUAAUUUUCGUUUAGAUUCCUUGAAGCUUCCAGGAAGUUCGAUGCUAAGUUCAUCGUGUGAGUAAGCAGUGACAACAUUUAUUGAUUAUUAAAGAGGCCACUUUUUGACAACAACACAACUCCUAUUGCUUAAUUUAUUUUUUCCCAAAGGAUAUUUACAUGAAUAAAUUCUUUGAAUCAAACACUGCAUCGGAGUUGUGGUAAUAAUAAUAAUAAUACUGCAUUGGAAUUCAUUUAAGGGCUUCCUGCAAUACACUCAAAAGCUGUAAGUUCUAUCUCAUAAAUCUCUCUCUUUUAUUUUCAGAAUUAAUUUUGCACAUCUUGAUGUAAAAGAAAAAAAUGUAAAAAUUGAAAGAAAUCUUUGAAUGUUAAUUUCGUACAAACUCUCUGCUUUCUUUUAGAGGCUAUAAUCAAGAUUUGCUUAAGCAGAGAUUGGUGUGCACACUCCCCGAUUAGCAUCUAGAAAAAAUUUAUAUUACAUUUUGGGGUUUAUCAUGUGUAAAGAAUUUAGAUCUAUUUUAAUCAGCAUAAACAAAUUAAAACGGUAGAUAUAUUAAUUUUUCUAAUUAAUUAAUCCUGAAAUUACUGUUCACGGAUUACUGUUUAUACAAUAUUGUUCAUGCAAUACUAUUUAGACUCACUAUUCAUACGAGUUACUGUGUAGGUUGUCAAAAAAAGUAGAAUUUAUAUAUAAUUUAUAAAAUUUUCAUUUUUGUGAUGCCCAUAAUUUUGAAUGAAUCUUAUUGUUUGCAUAGUAUUGUGCGUUCACUGGAUUUCACUUGAUUUAUUCUAAAUUUUCAGGAACAAAUUAAUAUAAUGGCUUUCACGAGCUGCCAAGAUGUCUCUCAUAGGAAAUACGAUGCCUUCUUAAGCUUUAGAGGAGAAGACACCCGUCAAACGUUCAUAAGUCAUCUCUAUACUGCUUUGAACGAUAAAGGAAUUUAUGUAUUCAGGGAUGACAAACAACUUGAGAAAGGAGGAUCCAUUUCACCAAAUCUCCUUAAAGCAAUUGAAGAAUCAAGAAUUUCAAUUAUUGUUCUCUCAAGAAACUAUGCUUCUUCCACUUGGUGCUUGGAUGAACUUGUCAAGAUUGUUGAAUACAAAGAUAGAGAGGAUCAAAUUUUUCCAAUUUUCUAUGAUGUGGAACCAACUGUUGUAAGGAAACAGACAACAAGUUUUGGAGAAGCUUUUACCAAACACGAAGAAUUUUUCAGGGAUAAUAUAGAAAAAGUACAAAAGUGGAGACACGCUUUAAAAGUGGUGGCCAAUAAAUCAGGUUGGGAAUUGAAGGACAGGUAAUCAUUCUUAUUCUCAAAUAUUAUUAUUAUUAUUAUUAUUUUGUUCUGCAUGAUUAGUAUUCAUGAUUCAACAUUGUUUUCAAUUUAACAGCUUCUGUUUAAUAUGUAUAUAUAUCAUAUGAUGUGUCGUUAUUAAAGUAGUAGUGCUAUAAAUGCAUUAAUAUUUGCAAAUGAAUAGAUAUGGAUGUUGAUACUAUAAAUUAUUGUGUUCUGAACUAUUGAAGACUAUACAUAUGUAUCUUGUGUUGCUUUGUGCUCUAUUAAUCACAUCUAAAAAAUAAAAAUAAAACAUUACUCUUAGAUUGACUCUUUAGUAACUGUUAAUAAUAACAAUGACAAUAAUCGCAAGCCCAAUGAUACCAUCAAUAUCAUUACAUAUUUAGCUAAUUGUAGUGCUACACAUCUCAAAUUUUUUAUUUCAAAAAACCAUCCCAAAAUGAUGUGACGUCCAUCAAUUAGUUCUUGAAAUAAUAUAAUUAACUCACUCGAAUCUUCUAAAGAAUUAUCAACCACUUAUUAAAUGACACAUCAUUUGGGACAUUUAUCAUCAUCAUCUAAUUGAUUUCAUGUGAGCAAUAAUUGUUCUUAUAAAAAAUUGAUAUAAAUUCUCUUUUAAUCUAAUUUAUCCUCCUACAGAAAGAAAUAAUAUGUACAUGAGAAGAAAACAGCAAAAGAAAUUGAAUUUUCUCAUUCUUGUUGUUUCUAACCCACGCGAUAAUAUAUGUUACUUGCUUAUACGACUUCAAUUUGAUGAAAUGAAUAUUAUAUAGUUUGGAUUGUAUGCAUAAUAUGGAAUUGAUUUGUUACUAUGUUUACACAAACUUUAAUUUAACAACAGUAAUCUUCUCUUGUUGUUUUCAAUUUGCAGCAAUGAGUCAGAAUUUAUUGAGGAAAUUGUCAAUGUGAUAUCAAGUAAAAUUCGUACAGAGUCAGAGAUUCUUAAGGAGCUAGUAGGAAUAGAAUCACGCUUGGAGAAACUGAAGUUUCUUAUGGGUGCAGGGUGCAAUGAUGUUCGUAUGAUAGGGAUAUGGGGUAUGGGAGGUCUAGGAAAGACAACUCUUGCAAGAGUUGUUUAUGACUUGAUCUCCCACGAGUUUGAUGGUAGUAGUUUUCUUGCUGAUGUUAAAGAAAAAUAUGAUAAAGAAGGCAGUGUAAUCUCUUUGCAAAAGCAGCUCAUUUCUGAUUUACUGAAGCUUGCGGAUAAUAACAUACGAAAUGUCUAUGACGGUAUUAACAUGAUAGGACGUAGGUUGCGACAAAAAAAGGUCCUUCUCGUGAUCGAUGAUGUCGCUCAUGUUGAGCAACUACGAAGAUUAGCUGGAAAGCGCGAUUGGUUUGGCCCGGGCAGCAGAAUCAUAAUAACAACGAGGGAUGAACAUUUGUUGAAGUUGCAUCGAGUCGAGGAAGUUUUUAAGCUUGAGGCACUAACUUAUGAUGAGGCAUUCCAACUCUUUUGUUUGAAAGCUUUUGAAACCCAGAAGCCCAGGGAAGAAUAUGUUCAUCUAUCUCAACUUGUUGUAAAUUAUGCUGGUGGUCUUCCAUUAGCUCUCAAGGUUUUGGGUUCUUUUUUGUUUGGUAGACCUGUGGACGAGUGGACAAGUACCUUGGAAAGACUAAAAAGAGAACCUGAAAAUGAGAUUCUAGAUAUACUCCAGAUAAGUUUUGAUGGCUUGAAGGAAGCAGAGAAGGAAAUAUUUCUCGAUGUUGCGUGUUUCUUUAAAGGGGAGAAGAGAGAUUACGUGUCAAAAAUUCUCGAUAGCUGUGGUUUUGAACCGGUAAUUGGCAUUGGUAUUCUUAUUGAAAAAUCUCUAUUAACAAUAUGUGAGAGCGACAGACUAUGGAUGCAUGAUUUGUUACUAGAAAUGGGUCGACAAAUUGUUAGGAGGCAGUCCCCACGGGAGCCUGGAAAACGCAGCAGAUUGUGGGAGGAAGCAGACCUAUGCCAUGUAUUGUCACAAAACACAGUAAGUGACUAAUAAAGGGGAUCGGAAAAUUUUUUUUCUUUUACCCAGUAAAAUCUCUAAUGAACUAUUUUGUUGAUAAUAUUUAGGGAACUGAAGUAGUUGAAGGAAUAAUACUUGAUGAUUAUUACUUUCUCCAAGAUAAGGUUUAUUUAAGUGCUAGUCCGAAAGCAUUUUCAAAGAUGACCAACCUACGAUUGCUCAAAAUCUGUGGUCUGCAACUUCCUCAAGGCCUUGAACACCUCUCUAACAAGUUGCGGUUACUUGAUUGGCAUGGAUAUCCUUGGAAAUCUUUGCCAUCAAAUUUGGAAUUGGAUAAAACUGUGGAGUUUAAAAUGUGUUACAGCUGCAUUGAAGAAUUAUGGAAAGGAAUCAAAGUAAGAUCAAUGUUUUGUCACUAAUUUUUUUUUUUAGUGAAUAAUUGUUGAUGACAAUUUUAUUAUUAUAGCUGUAUAUAAAUUAAGAAAUAUCAUUUCAGCUCCUUUUUGUUUUCAACAGCCUUUAAACAUGUUGAAAGUCAUGGAACUCAGCCAUUCAGAGAAUCUGAUUAAGACUCCAGACUUCACAGAGGUCCCAAAUUUGGAGGAGUUGGAUGUUGAAGGAUGUACAAGGUUGCGUGAGAUUCACCCAUCUUUACUGCUUCACAAUAAGCUGAUUUUGUUGAACUUGAAAGGUUGUACAAGUCUUACAACUCUUCCGGGAAAGAUUUUUAUGAAAUCGCUUAAAACACUUGUUCUUUCUGGUUGCUUGAAAUUGAGGAAAUUUCCACACGUUGCGGGAAGUAUGGAGUGUCUGCGGGAACUUCUUUUGGAUGGAACUGAUAUCAAAGAACUGCCACUAUCAAUUGAACUUCUAUCUGGACUUGUUCAGUUGACUUUGAAUGACUGCAAAAGUCUCGUGAGACUUCCCAGCAAUAUAAACGGUUUGAAAUCACUAAAAACUUUGAAUCUCUCUGGCUGCUCCAAACUUGAAAAUGUGCCAGAGACGCUUGGGCAAGUAGAAAGUUUGGAAGAACUUGAUAUAAGCGGAACAGCUAUAAGACGACCUCCAUCCUCCAUUUUUCUUAUGGACAAUCUUAGAACACUCUCUUUUUUUGGGUGCAAUGGGCCACCAUCAGCUGCAUCAUGGCAUUUGUUCCUUCCCUUCAAUUUGAUGGGAAAGAGUUCAUGUCCUGUGGAUUUAAUGUUGCCUUCUCUGUCAGGUUUGUGCUCUUUAACAAAAUUAGAUCUCAGUGACUGUGGUCUAGGGGAAGGAGCAAUCCCGAGUGAUAUUGGCAACUUACACUCAUUAAACGAGUUGUAUCUGAGUAAAAACAAAUUUGUUACGCUGCCAGCAAGUAUUAACGGUCUUUUAAAUCUUAAAAACCUAGAGUUGGAAGAUUGUAAAAGGCUUCAAUCUCUGCCACAACUUCCAUCUAGCAUAAACGUAGUUACAGUGAAUGGUUGUUCUUCAUUGGUGACAUUAUCUGGUGCUUUAAAACUAGGUAAGUCCGACCACACAAUGAUUAAUUGUAUAGAUAGCUUGAAAUUGCCCGGGAACAACAGUUUUGCAAUUUCGAUGCUACGAGAGUACCUUGAGGUCAGUCUCUCACUCCGUUUCUUCCAGCUAUGCCAAGAUUAUGCCUGAGAAUUAAGCAAUGGUAUGGACCUGUUCAUUUUUUGUUUUUCUGUUGCAGGCAGUGUCAGAUCCAAGCCAUAAAUUUAGCAUUGUUGUUCCAGGAAGUGAAAUUCCAGAGUGGUUCGUGUAUCAGAAUGAGGGUUCUUCAAUAACAGUCACAAGGCCUUCAUAUUUGUAUAAUAUGAAUAAGGUUGUGGGAUAUGCUAUUUGCUGUGUUUUUCAUGUCCCUAACCAUUCAACUGGUACCUAUUUAUGGCGUUCGUAUUCCCAAGUUGAGUUACACUGCUCCAUGGAUGGUUCUAAUGUCAGUCAUUUUAUUCGUUCUAGAGGGAACUUCGGUCAUGCUGGGUCAGACCAUCUUUGGCUAUUCUAUUUGUCUCGACAAGAAUGCUACAAUGAUAAGUGGAAUUUUGAAUCUAAUCAUUUUAAGUUGUCAUUUAUUGAAGAAGGUCUAUAUCGGCGAGGUACUGAUUUGAACGUGAAGAGGUGUGGCUUCCACCCAGUUUAUAUGCACGAAGUUGAGGAGUUGGACCAAGCAACAAAGCAGUGGACUCAUUUUACUUCUUAUAAUCUGUAUGAAUCCCCUCACGAUUUUGUUGGAUCUAAUAUGGAAGUAGCCACAACAUCAAAGCGAGGCCUUGCAGAAAAUGCUGGGACAGCUGAAGCCAGUGGCAGUGGCUGCUGCGAUGAAGAUGAGGAACCACCACCUAAAAGAUUUAGACAAUUCAAAUGAAGGGCAAAGCCUAGUGUAACAGUGUAAGUACACAUCCCAAUUUCAAUUUAUGCUAUUUAAAUUUGCACAUGGUAUUUCAUUUAGUUUUUAUUUAUUCUAAUCUUGCAAUUUAUUUUCACGUUAAAUUACUAGAAAUGCUCUACUUGGAUUCAGAAGUUGGUCAGAAUCAGAAUGUGUUGCUCGACCAAAUUGAAGCUUUGUAUUUUGGGAUUUCUCACGAGUUGAAAAUUAAAAAAAGAAGGAAAGUUAGUCCUCUGUCUUGCAUUCUUACUUGUUUCUCCGUUUCAUUGCAGCAUUCUGUCAUUUUGUAUCCAUUAUUAAACGUCCGAGUUUUUGGGUACACUUGAAAGGGCUGAGGACUGGGGUCAUAAUUGAUGAAUUGCAUACAAAUUGCUAUGAGUGAACAAUAAAAUAAGUAUCUCAUUGCAAUCUGGUUAAAUAUAUUCUUUUAUUAUUAUUAUUAUUAUUUUCACUCUUUUGGCGUACAGCUUCUACUGUUCUUUCUAUUUGAGUAGGCCAACUAAGCUUAUUCUAAAUUAUACAGCACGUGAAGCUGAUAUGGAUUUUCGCUUGUUGAGAUUCUUAUUGAAUUUGCAUAGAUUUUACCCUAGAAUAACACUAGCACCUUCUGAUUUGACAUUUCAAAUUAAAGCAAUUUUAAGUCUCACAAAAAGCUGCGAAUUAAAGAAACUGUACAAAUUAUAACAAUUUAUAGAGAAAAAUGAAAUUGAAUGACAAAUGAACUUUGAUGAAGUAAAAUUAUCAUUUAUGUAUGAAGAUCAUAUCACAUAUUUUUCUGUACAAGGAUCAUAUCACAUAUUUGACCAAAAAGACUUUUGACCCAAAAAAAAAUAUGUUCAUGGUUGUCUUCAUUGUGAACAUUUGUGAUUCUUAUCCCUUUUAUUUUGAUGUUGGAACUUUUUUGGGCCUUCAUGAGUUCGUUGAAUUUAGCUGUGCUUAUUUAAUUUGAGUUUUUUUGACUUUUGUUCUUUUUACGCUGGAUUAUUGACCCCCCGAUCUUUUCAUAAAACCUUUUUUUAUUACUUUUUUUUUCUAGUUAUUCUUAUUGGUAACUCCCAAAAUAUCCCUUUUUUAAUCACUCAUCUAAUUUUUAAUAUUAUUUUCUUAUCAAAGUUGAGGUCUAACUUCACCGCUAAGCUUUUCUAAGACUUAAGUUUUAGGUUCUUGUUUCAAUAGAUGUGUGAGUUAAUUGUAAAAAUAUUUUUUAUUAUUUUCUUGUUAAUUCUUUUCACGGAGUCGCAUUAUUGACACCCCUCUUAUAUCCUUGUAAGACCUCUUUUUUUUUUAAAAAAAAAAGAUUAUUCUUACUUUUAAUUUAAAAAAUGUCCUUUUUUUAUACACUCUUCUAAUUUCUUUCUUUCUUUCUUUUUUUAGCAGUGUUGUUAAUUUCAAAUCAAUCCUACAAACGAAUUAAAAAAUUUUAUCGGUGAUGAAUUUUUUAAUGUUAAUCAUUGACUUAAAUUUAAAAUACUUUAAAUUAUAAUUUAUUGAAUUAAAUUACACAUAUUUUAAAUUAUAAUAUAAUUGUACGUAAUCUGUAAUUAAAAAAAAUUAUUCAAUCAAUAAGAACUACAAAAAGAAUAAUAGAAUAUUUUAAAUUUAAGAAAAUUUAAUUUCAAUACGCAGGAAGUCAUGACAAAUUAAAAAAAAAAAAGGGACGUUAAUGAAUACAGUUAAUUUGCAGGAAAAAAGAUCUAAUUGGUUGACUAAUUGUUAUUUAUCCUUAUAUAUAGUUGUAUUUGAAGUUGGGUUUUUUUAAGAAUGACAAAGGGGUGCUCAUAGGUUCACUCUUUCUACAAGUGUGCUCGACAGCUAUUCAAUUUAUUGAUUCUAAGUUCUGAACAGCUUGUAAUCCAUAAUCAAGAAGAGUCAAGUUUUUGACACCCCGAAAGUCUCUAAAAUAAUCUCAUACGCGCAUAUCUUUAUCAUAAUUUUACUUAUUUAUUUUUUUGAUAUGAUGAGGCUCUAAAAAGAGCUAGAAUAAAACAGAACGCGGGUAAGCCACCCCAUACAAGUCAUGGUACAAAAGAGGAGUCACACCAGGUGGGGGAUUAGCAGGAUGAUGAACACCUAGAGGAAGAGAUAGAGCAUAAUUAGCGAGAUAGUCUGCUGUGAAAUCUGCCUCACGGUAGACAUCGUUAAUGAUAAUGUUGUUCCAAUUACGCUGGAUAACCUCCUCGAUAGGCUGAAGAAGGGAAGUGUACUCAUUGUCAGUAUCCACAGGCUUCCUAACCAGUUCAGUGACACAUAGGCUAUCAAUUUCCACCACCAGCCACUUUAUCCCAUGCUCCCAUGCCAGUUUUAGACCAUGAUAUAAACCCCAUAACUCAGCCACCGUAACAGAGCAAUGCCCUAUAUUCAUUCCGAAGCCAAAGAUCCAAGCCCCUUUGUGAUCACGAAUUACUCCAGCACUUGAUGCUUCUGUUCGCUUACAAGCUCCGUCAGUGUUCAACUUGCAUCAUGGCCAAGUUGGGGCAUCUCCAUGCAGUCCAUUUGUUUACUCUCCCGAUGUCGUGACUAGGCCUGUAUUAUUUAUGCAGUUGAUUUUCUCUGCUCUGGUUCGAAUGUCAUGAAGCAUACUCAGGUUGUCAACAGAGGUAUGCUUAAAUUGAAAUUGAUUGCGUCAGAACCAGAGACGCCGACUAGCGAUUUAUUUUUUAUUUGUAGACAUAAUUUUGAUAUGUAUAACAUUAUAUUACUACUGUGCUUACAUUCCUGUUUCGUACGUAAUGUAUAACAUUACAGCAAUAAUGUUUUAGAUGGUUUUCUCAUCUGGUCAAAUGACUAGCCUACCAUAAACAAUAUUGUUUACUUAGUAUCAUCAUAUCAUAUAUUUGAUCUUAUCUUAUCUCAUUUAUAUUUAUAUUAUUUCAUUUGUCUUAUUUUAGUUACUUAGUAUGUACUGUACAUAUAAAUAAUUCAUAAAUAUAAUAUUACCUGUAUAUUUACAUUUCUGUACUUUCCUGGAAGAUGCUCCAACAGCAAAUUGAAUAAACAAAAUGAAAUGUUGUGUCAUCUACUAAACAACAAGAAGGAGAGACAGAGUAAAAAAAAAAAAAAACACAAUAGAGAAAAUGAUAAGCGGAGAGGUUGGUUUAUUCCAUGUAUCUUAUUUGUCAUAAAUACUUAUUGUUUCAUUAAGUAAUAUAAAUUAUUAUUUAACUAUACUUGAAGAAAAGUCUCUGUGUUUAGAUGAUCGAAGCUUUUGUUACCUUUGAUAAUGUCUUUGAUUCCAUUCUCCACCGUUGACCAUAGUCACUCUUUAUAAUUAUCUUUUGCAAAUACUCUUGAGUCUUUUCUUUCUUUCUUUCUUUCUUUUUUUUUUUUUUUUUGGUUGUUGAUGGGAUGGAUUAAGUGUUUGUAAUCUCUCAAUAAUCAACUGUAAGUGAUCACAUAAUAAUUGACUUUAAGUGUUUCAUUUUGCGCUCCCCCCCCCCCCCUCCAAAUUAUACUCUUGACCAUGUAACCCCAAAUUUGGUAUUAUAUUUUAAAAAUCAAUAUAAAUAUAUUAUUAAAUGAAUUGGCAAGCUUGGAUUGAGGAUUUUAGGAAGAAAGACAAAUAUCUAUAUGAAUAUGAUCAGAUGAAUUGGCAAGCUUGAGUUAGGUUCAGAACGAACGAAAAAUAGACAAUGGAAUGAUCAUAUGGAAUUUGCAGGCCCGGCUGAAGAGGGGAGUUGUUGAGGAAUUAUGGUAUUAUUCUCAUGCCUAGGACGUGUUGGAUAAUAUGCCCACGAAGGAACGUGCAUCCCACCUGAUGUGUUGCAUCAGCUCUAUGAUUUGCCAAGCAAAAGCAAUCAAUCAACAAGGUCAGUUUGUGAAUGUUUGUCCUACACGAGUCAUAGCUAGUGAACACAUUUUGAGAUUCCUUCACUAAAUAUGUAUUGUUUUGAUUCAAUAUAGUGAGCACAAGCCCAGUGUUUAUUUAAUCAAUUACAAUUAGUUUUUCUAGCUACUAACUUUUUUGCAAUUUUCUAAAUAAAAAUAUACGUGACAGAAUCUGAUUAUUUAUUGUUGAAUGAACGAUGUGGUAGAACAAAGGAAUUGUAGAAUUUCUUGAGUUUUAGACAUAAAACAGAGUCAGGCCAUAGAACGCAUGUAUGAAGAAAUUAUCAUCUUCCGAUGAUUGAAAAUUAUCAUCACAUUUAUAGUAAUGAUGCUGUGCUUUAUUCAAAAUUAUUUCUUCCAAUAGAGAAGCAAUCAAUAAUGGUAUUAAUUCUUGAACCAGUGGAAAGCAAUUAAUUUUCUUCAUUUGUUUUCUUGCUUGGCUGUGAAACAGCCCAUUUGCGGCUGAACACAGAAUCUGUUUUUUGUUUCUUUGUUGUUUUUUGUGAAUAUUUGGCUUAAUUUACAAUUCAUGGCAUGUCUGAAAAUGGGUCGAUGAAUCUGUUAAAAUAUGGACUCAGAUCUAAAUCAGAUUUAUCCAUGAUACAAUCAAGAGGUGUUAAGAGUGCAAUUUAUGCACUAGUUUUGCAUUGUUUACUUCCCUUAAUAUCGAUAUUUUGCACUUAAUAAUAGUGAUUUACUUGUGUUUUACUUUUGUAGGUACAAUUCUAUUGAUUGGUGAUAAAAUUGAGCUACAAGAUGAUGUUUAAGGAUGAUUGUUCUCUUGGAGAAAUUAUGAGCGUCAGAAGAACUUUGUUGAUAAGGCGUGGGCGCGUGCUGUCAACUACGGACCUGUAGUUUUUAGUUUAACGUGUUUUGUAAUUUUGGUUAUUUUUGUAAUUACGAAUUUAAUAUUUCAGAUAUUAGUAUUUUAUUUUAAAUAGAAUUCUAGAGGAGAAGAGAGAGAGAGAGUAUUUAAGGGAGGAAUCUAUUGUGAAAAAGAGGGACUUUUGGGGAGAAAAGGGAGAAACCCUAGAUCUAAAUUUUUCUCUUCUCUCUAUGAAGAACUAAACCUAUUAUUCUGGUUGAAGGUUAAUGAAGCUUUGAUUCAUCACUACUGUGAGAUCUUUCUUAUGCUUUAACUGCUUUAUUAUUUUUUGGGUAUUUUUUUAUUCUCUGAAUUAUUAUCAUGAUUAUGCUUGUUAAUUAGAUAAUUGGCCACUAUUUAAUUAUCAACUUAAUCUAUUGUCAAUUAAAGGAUUCAUCGUAUGAAGAUUUUAAUGUUUGUGACAAAUAACAUAGCAGAGAGUUGUGUUGUGAGAAUAAACAAUCUAAUUUAAAUGAACCAUCGUAUGUGUUUGUAGAUUAGGAUUUGGGUCUCUCUGGUUUUUCAGGCUUUCAAUUAAUUAAAUCCUAUGAUCGUAUCUAGGGUUGUCUAUUGAUUAGGGAAAUAACCAACGGUCGUACCUUGGUUAUCGACUAGUUAAGGAGAGAUUGGCUAUUAGAGGGUCUCAGUAGCUAUAAUCAGUCUAUUCAUAAGUAGUAAUAAUUUAUAUUUGAAUCAAUGAUCAGUAGUCGAAUUAAGCUGAGUUAAUUCCUUCAACCAGAGCUUUCUCCAAUUUGAAUUACAACUUUAAUUUGCAUUCUUGUUAUUUUAAUUUGAUUUUUAUUAUUGUCAACAAUUCCCCCAUUUUAUGUUUCACAUUUUAAAAGGAUUUAAAUAAUUACCGAUCUCUGUGGACACGACCCUGCUCAAUCACUAUACACAAUUUAUUUAGAGUAUGUAUUUAUUUUUGCUGGCUUCAACAACCAUCAAAGUUUGGCGCUGUUGCCGGGGAUUGGUGUCAUUUAUUUAAUCCUUUUUACGUUUUACUUGGUGUAUGGUUCGUUCUUCUCGUACAGGUACACUUUCGUUUGAUCCUGAAAUUGAGAAGACAGCUUGCCAGCUGAGACAGCGGAUGAAGCGAGCUAAGCAACGAUCCUCAUCGCCUUUGCUUUCUGAAAUAGAUACGGUGCCUGAUUUAGUUGAAUCAUCUAGCGAUUCAAAAGAAAAAGUGAUGGAUAGAGCUGCACAUGUAGAAAGAACUCUUAGAGAGUUAGCUAAACCAGACUUGAAUUAGCAACCACUCUGCAUUCAAUAUGUAGACUUGGAGGUAAAUUUUGAAUUAAAGUCUGGUCUUAUUCAUUUAUUACCCAAGUUUCAUGGUUUUGUAGGUGAAGAUCCUCAUAAACAUCUCAAGGAGUUUCAUGUUGUGUGUUCAAGUAUGAGGCCACAACAUGGAAUUAGAUGGACUAGCUAAAGACUGGUUGUACUACUUGCCUCCUGGAUCGAUUACAACAUGGAAUGGUUUGGAGAAGCAGUUCCUUGAGAAAUACUUUCCUGCUUCAAGAGCUGCCAACAUCAGAAAAGACAUUUGUGGGAUCAGACAACUUCCUGGGGAGACUUUAUAUGAGUAUUGGGAGCGAUUUAAACAAUUGUGUGCCAGCUGUCCUCAACAUCAGAUUUCUGAUCAACUUCUUAUUCAAUAUUUUUAUGAAGGACUAUCAUUAAUGGAUAGGAGUAUGAUAGAUGCUGCUAGUGGAGGCGUGUUGGUGAACAAGACCCCUACUCAAGCAAGGGAGUUGAUCUCAAAUAUGGCUGCCAAUGCACAACAAUUUGGCAGUAGGCAAGAUUCCACUUCAAAAACGGUGAAUGAGGUAAAUAUUUCUUCUGUUGAACAACGUUUAGAUAAACUUACUUCUCUUGUGGAAAAGUUUGUUGUAGGUAAUGUGCAACAAGUGAAGACUUGUGGCAUUUGUUACAAUAUGGGUCAUUCAACUGAUAUGUGUCCUACACUUCAAGAAAAACCCGUUGAACAAGCAAUGCAGUUGGAGGAUUUCCAGGCAUGCCUCAGAGGAGGUUUUCUUCACAAUCUGAGGUGAAUCCAAAGUAAACAUUAGUGCUGUCAUCCUUAGAAGUGGGAAGGAGUUGCAAGAGCCUAGUGAGAAAGUGACAAAGCAUGUAGAAGAUGAGCUUGAAAAGAAUGAAUUGAUGCCUAAAUCUCAAGAUGCGCAACCCACCAAAGCAAAACCCCUACCUAUUGUGAUACCUCCUCCUUUUCCAAGCCGGUUUGCAAAAUCCAAGAAGGAGGAACAAGAGAAAGACAUCCUUGAGACAUUUCGCAAGGUUGAGGUAAACAUUCCUUUAUUAGAUGCUAUAAAACAAAUACCUCGAUAUACUAAAGUCCUUAAGGAACUGUGCACCUCCAAGAGAAAAUUAAGAGGAGAUGAAAAAGUUCACAUGGGGGAGAAUGUUUCAGCAGUUCUCCAAAAGAAACUACUUCAUAAGUGUAAGGAUCCAGGUAUGUUUACUAUCCCUUGUAAAAUUGGUAGUGUUAGAGUUGAAAAGGCUAUGUUAGAUCUAAGAGCUUCUAUUAAUGUCAUGCCUCGUUCCAUUUAUUCAUCUUUGAAUGUUGGUCCAUUAAAAGAAACUGGCGUGAUAAUUCAACUAACUGAUAGGUCUAAUGCAUAUCCUGAUGGAGUAUUAGAAGAUGUCUUAGUAUAAGUUAAUGAGUUGGUUUUUCCUGUCUUUUUUUAUGUAUUUGAUAUGGAAGAGGAUGACUCCUCUAAUUCUGUCCCAAUUUUGCUAGGAAGACCAUUUCUUAAGACUGCUAAGACUAAAAUGGAUGUACAUAAAGGGACUCUCACUAUGGAGUUUGAUGGAGAGGUUAUAGAAUUCAAUAUGAAUGAUGCCAUGAAAUAUCCUAGUGAGGAACAUUCGGUAUUUUCUGUGGAUGUUAUUAACCCUAUAGUGCAGGAAGUUUUUUAUAAGGAAAAAACGAAGACAUUUCAUGAUAGAAUGAUUUUGAGAAAGGAGUUCUCUGUUGGUCAAAAAGUUCUUCUUUUUCAUUCUAAGCUUAAACUUUUUCCGGGUAAAUUACGUUCUUGCUGGGUUGGACCUUUUAUUGUUACUAAUGUUUUUCCUCAUGGUGCAGUUGAGAUUCGGAGUCCGACCUCUGACAAAGUUUUUAAGGUUAAUGAUCAUCGCUUAAAACCUUUUUAUGAAGGUUUUUGAUGUAGCUGAAGUUUAAUGUUCAAAAUAUUCCGUUGAUUCUAGAGAAUACCGAAAUAAAAGAACAACUAAAUUCACGUUGAUUCAAAAGAAUACCGCGAACUUAGGGAUUUAAGACUCGUUGAUUCCGCAGAAUACCGAGAAUUAACUGUUCAAAUACUCACAAAGAGAUUUGAAAAUUGAAAUAUUAUUGAACUCAAAAUUAUGCCUGUAAAAACUACAAAACACACUUAUUUAUACUAAGUAAGACUUGUCCUAAUAUGAUUAGAAAACCUAUUUUAAUAAGACUUAUACCGAAAUUAGAAAUAUUACCCAAAUAAGCAAUACCUAAACAAUAAGACUCUAAAUAGGAAACCAAAUUAAACUAGAAUACAAAUUAAUUAAAAUAUUCCUAAAUAUUAUACAUUUAACUCUAAUUUGGAUUUCUUCAAUUUCUUGCUCUGCAUCAUUCCCGCCAAGCUGGAGAAAGUUCGUCCUUGAAUUUUGUAUGUUGUAGUCUUCAAGAACAUCUUCAUGUGCACAAGGAUUAAUUUUUAAAACAGAGCUUUGACAUAGACGAUGAACUUUAAAUUUUCCAACUUUUGUAAUAACGUCCAUCCAAUCACUCCAAUAGCGUAAAAUAAAUUCUUCUAUCAACAACUUCUCCAAUAAUGUCUUCUCGUAUUGUUCGUAUCGAACAUCAACAUAGUUGAGGAAAAACGAUUUCUUCUCAUAAUCCAUUAAUUGUUGAAAAAUAUCACAACUUUUUUUGUCUUCUUUUGGCAAAUCAAGAGAACAAUAAGAGAUUGUAUCAACAACUAUCUCUCUUUCCUCCACAAGAUCAAAAGAUGGAUGAACAAUUACCUCUUCUCGUCCCACAAUAUCAAGAUACUCAUCAAAUUUCGGCAAUUGAUCCAAAUCAAUGUCUUUGUGUUGAGAAUUUGUUGUAGACAUGAAUGGCCAAUUAAUAUUCUCCUCGGAAGGAAUAAUAUUGUCGAGGGAAACCAAGUUACCAUUUUCCUCAUUAUCCUCACAACAAAUAUCAUCAUGAACAACUUCAUCAAAUCCAUAUGCCUGCUUUAUGUGUAAAGAUUUUAUAUCUUGAAGUUUCUCUAAAUCUUGAGAAAUCAAAAGUAAAAUCCUCAACAUUCUAUUUAAAACUUCUUUCAAGACAAAAUCUUCGCGGCGAUGUUGUCGUUUCAUGAAUCAAUUUUUUUCUUCUUUUUUGUUUUCUAUCUCUUUUUUUUUUAAAUAAUGAAGCUAAACAGAAAAAAACAAAAAUGAGAAAAGAAAUGUUUGGUGGUAGAUGGGAUUAGAUAAGUAAUACCAGGUUUUGGCUCUGAUACCAAACUGAUGCAGCAGAAGUUUAAUGUUCAAAAUAUUCCGUUGAUUCUAGAGAAUACCAGAAUAAAAGAACAACUAAAUUCACGUUGAUUCAAAAGAAUACCGCGAACUUAGGGAUUUAAGACUCGUUGAUUCCGCAGAAUACCGAGAAUUAACUGUUCAAAUACUCACAAAGAGAUUUGAAAAUUGAAAUAUUAUUGAACUCAAAAUUAUGCCUGUAAAAGCUACAAAACACACUUAUUUAUACUAAGUAAGACUUAUCCUAAUAUGAUUAGAAAACCUAUUUUAAUAAGACUUAUACCUAAAUUAGAAAUAUUACCCAAAUAAGCAAUACCUAAACAAUAAGACUCUAAAUAGGAAACCAAAUUAAACUAGAAUACAAAUUAAUUAAAAUAUUCCUAAAUAUUAUAUAUUUAGCUCUAAUUUGGAUUUCUUCAAUUUCUUGCUCUACAUAAGUUUUUCAGUGAAUAUUGUGGAGGAUGUGGCUCUCGAGAGUCCCAAUUACGGAGAUUGAUGCAUAAAUGUGUCUAGCCAAAGACAUAAAACAGAGGCGCUUUUUGGGAGGCAACCCAAAUGAUUUAUUUAUUUUGGUUUUUGUUAUAUCUUCUUUUAAUUUUGAUUCAGAUUUUUUUUAAAAAAUAAUGUGUUUGCUUAUUUUGGCCAGAAGAAAAUUUUUGAUAAGGCGUGCCCACGUCUUAACUAAUAAGUACUUCUGUGAUUUUUAAAGUAAAAUGGUUUUAAGGCGUGCCCACGUGCUUAUUAGAAAAGUACUUCUGAAAUUUUUUUUGUGUCUUAAAGUGAUUCAUCAUUAAAAAAAAAAAUAUUUAUUUAUUUGAAAAUGAAAAAAAUGAAAAAAAAGGUUUUUUUCCUUUCUUUUCUUUCUUAUAUAUAUAUAUAUAUUUGAAAAAAAAACAAAAAAAAUUACUGUUUACAAAAUCCCUAAUUCACAGAAUUGGUUUUCUUCUCCAGCCUUCACCGAGCAGCCACGCAGCACCAGCAAUCCACCAUCGCGCACCAGCCCACGCAGCAGCAGCAGCAGCCGUGAGCGCAACCAGCACCAUCUCGCGCGCUCGCAGAUCCAGCCUUCACCGAGCAGCCACGCAGCAACCCACACUCGCAGAUCCAGCCUUUACCUAGCAGCACGCAGAACCAGCAUCAGCCCAGCUCUCGUGUGCAAUCAACCCUAGCGCACAGAUCCAGCAGCCCGCGCGCGCAGCAGAAUCAGUCCCAGCCCGCACACGCAACGCAACUAGCGUCACUAGCGCAGCAGAACCAGGCCCAGCAGCGCGCAUCAGAAUCAGGCCCAGCGCACAGCAUCCCGCACGCAACCAGCAUCACCAGCUCACAACCAGCAAUCCACCAUCGCGCCAAACUCCAACUGAGCAGCAAUCGUCCGCAACCAACCUACGCCCUGUAUUCCAACCAGGUGAAUCGAAAUUCGUGAGUGAAAUUAUUGUAACAAUGCCAAAGAGGAAAGCAUCAACUUCCAAGUCAUCUAAAAAGACACCUGGCGCAAAGAAAUCCAAGAUUGCCGCUCCCACUACGGUUCCAUGGAACACAGUUUCAAAUUCACGCCAAGCCGUGAGACAAAGAUCGAAACAUGGAAAAGGCAUGAGUGUUUUGCCACUUGCGGAAUCCAAUCUCGGAGGGUGCCUCGCAUUCACGACUCAACAAGAGAAAGAAAGGUAUAAAGAUAUUUCCAAGCGAAAAAUACUUCCAGCUAAGUAUAUUCAUUACCCGACUCUUGAAAAAUUGAAUAUUAAGGAUAAUUUUGAUUCUUUGAUAGAUAAGAUUGGUUUGCGUAAGUUUGUUGAUGUUGAUUGUUUGGGUUAUGUUGAGUUGAUUAGGGAGUUCUAUGCUACUUUUCAAUUUAAUAUACCGAAUGAUUUUACUUUGCAUAUCCCGGAUGUUAUAAAGUUUAGGUUAAUGGAACGAAAUUUUUCACACUCUAUCACGAAUUUUAACCUAGCUUUAGGAUUCAUUGAUGAUGAUUAUUCUUCUAGUGAUGCAUAUUUAGGAACAACUUGUGACUUUAGCGAAAAUUUUGAGCCUUAUGGUCUUUGGCGUAAUUUAUUUGUUGAUCACAAUGCCUAUGACCCGAGUAAAUCAAAGAGUUCUUUCUUACGUGAUCCUGUUUUGAAAUACGUGCAUCGAUUCUUGGCAUAUAAUUUUUUAGGAAAGAAAGAUCACUUAGGAGUUGGCUGGUUCGCGCUGCGUUACAGGGGCUGUGUGACGCUGGUUGCUUUGCUGGGGAUUGCGUUGCGCGUGGGACUGAUUGUGCGGGGCGCGCGGGCUGCUGGUUGCAUUACGUUGCGCGCGGCUGCUGCUGCUGCGCGAUGGUGACGACUGGAUUGAUUUGAGCUGCGCGCGGGAGCUGGAGUCGAGGAUCUGCGUUGCAGGGCGUGUUCGUCUACUGCUGCUCGGCUGCGUUGCGUGCGCGGGACUGAUGCGCUACGCCAUGGUGAUGGCUGGGGCUUGCUGCGCGCGGGCUGGUGGUUGCAGGUGGGACUGAUGCGGCUACUGCUGGUGAAAACGAUAAUCAACAGUGAAUUUUUUUUUUUGAAUUAGGGAUUUGUGAACAGUGAUUCCAAUCGUACCUAAAAGCUUAAGCUGUUAGGAGGGGCGCUACUUUAUACUUAAGUAGGUAAUCCGCCUAACACCAGGUAACGCCUUCACGUUAAUGCCACAUCACCCACAUGGAUGUUGGUAGAGUCACCACCGUGGUGGUGCGGGCCCCAGUUACAGUGACUGGGAUAUAUAUAUUAAGCCUAUUCCUCCCCCGCGGCUCGAACCCUGGCUGGCUCUGAUACCAUCUUAAGGCGCUUACCAAUCGUACCUAAAAGCUUAAGCUGUUAGGAGGGGCGCUACUUUAUACUUAAGUAGGCAAUCCGCCCAACACCAGGUAACGCCUUCAAGUUAAUGCCACAUCACCCACAUGGAUGUUGGUAGAGUCACCACCGUGGUGGUGCGGGCCCCAGUUACAGUGACUGGGAUAUAUAUAUUAAGCCCAUUCCUCCCCCGCGGCUCGAACCCUGGCUGGCUCUGAUACCAUCUUAAGGCGCUUACCAAUCGUACCUAAAAGCUUAAGCUGUUAGGAGGGGCGCUACUUUAUACUUAAGUAGGCAAUCCGCCCAACACCAGGUAACGCCUUCACGUUAAUGCCACAUCACCCACAUGGAUGUUGGUAGAGUCACCACCGUGGUGGUGUGGGCCCCAGUUACAAUGACUGGGAUAUAUAUAUUAAGGGCUCAGCAUCAAGCUUUGCAAAAUUUAAGCUUAAGCUUUUAGGUACGAUUGGUAAAAAGUCUUUAAAUGUUUGAAAUGUUGAUCGAUGGUUUGAGAGAAAAUCAAGACAUCAUCAAUAUUUGCCAAAAUCCUGACUUCAUGUCAAAUUUUGAAAAUAUGAAUGCAGAAUGCAGUUUUUGAAGCAAAUCCUUUUUAUUUAUUAUUUUAUAUAUAUAUAUAAAAGAAAGAAAAUAAGGAAAAAAAUAAUUAUUUUUUUUUUAGUGAUGAAUCACUUUUAGACACUAAAAAUUUCAAAAGUACCUUUUUAAUAAGCACGUGGGCACGCCUUAAAACUAUUUUACUUUAAAAAUUUCAGAAGUAUUUAUUAGUUAAGACGUAGGCACGCCUUAUUAAAAAUUUUCUUCUGACCAAAAUAAGCAAACACAUUAUUUAAUUUUUUUUUAUUCGAAUCAAAACUAAAAGAAGAUAAAACAAAAACCAAAAUAAACAAAUCACUUGGGUUGCCUCCCAAAAAGCGCCUUUGUUUUAUGUCUUUGGCUAGACACAUUUAUGCAUCAAUCUCCAUAAAUAGGACUCUCGAGAGCCAUUUCCUCCACAAUAUUCACCGAAAAACCUUCAUAAAAAGGUUUUAAACGAUGACCAUUAACCUUAAAGACUUUAUCAGAGGUUGGACUCCGAAUCUCAACUGCACCAUGAGAAAAAACAUUAGUAACAAUAAAAGGUCCUACCCAACGAGAACGUAAUUUACCAGGAAAAAAUUUAAGUUUAGAAUGAAAAAGAAGAACUUUUUGACUAACAGAGAACUCCUUUCUCAAAAUCAUUCUGUCAUGAAAUGUCUUCGUCUUUUCCUUGUAAAAUCGCGAACUCUCAUAGGAUUCAUUUCUAAUCUCCUCCAACUCUUGCAGCUGCAACUUCCUCUGCUUUCCCGCUUCAUCCAUCCGCAUAUUGCAUUGCUUAACCGCCCAGUAUGCUCUGUGCUCAAGUUCUACAGGUAAAUGACAAGGCUUACCAAAUACUAAACGAUAAGGAGACAUACCUAUGGGAGUUUUGUAAGCGGUGCAAUUCUCCCAUAAUGCAUCAUCUAAUCGCAAACUCCAAUCCUUUUGAUUUGGACUAACUGUCUUUUCAAGAAUAGACUUGAUUUCUCUGUUUGAUAUCUCAGCUUGUCCACUUGUCUGUGGAUGAUAGGCGGUAGACACUUGGUGGGUAACAUGAUAUCUUUUGAACAAAGCUUCCACCACUCGAUUACAGAAAUGAGUGCCUCUAUCACUUAUCAUCGCUCUUGGUACACCAAACCUGGCAAAAAUAUUAGACUUGACAAAAUCUACAACAACUUUAGCAUUGUCAGUCCGGGUGGCCUUAGCCUCUACCCACUUAGAAACGUAAUCCACUGCUAAAAGAAUGUAAGCAUUGCCAAAAGAUGAGGGAAAAUGUCCCAUAAAAUCAAUGCCCCACAUAUCAAAUAUUUCACAUACAAGAAUAGGGGUAAGUGGCAUUUGAUUUCUAUGACUUAAAUUACCAGUCUUUUGACAAUUCUCACACGACUUACAAAACAUGUAUGACAAUCCUCAAGCCGGGAAAGCUUGGAGGCGUGGACGGAGGCGAGGUUGGCCGAACCACGUAAAAAUCUCUAUGUUUGAAUCCCUCUUCCCUUAUCUUUUUAUAUUGUGAUCAACUUAAUUGUUAUUGCUUUGAAUUUGGAUUAUAUUUGCAUUAAGUUUUUCUUUAUAAAUUGAAUAGUUUUUAGAAUCCCAAUUCACCCCCCUCUUGGGUUGCAUACUUGUAUUUCAAUUGGUAUCAGAGCCUUGUUCUCUUGUUAAGACUUAAUCGUCUAGAGUAAAAGAUCCAUGGCAACCCUAAAUGACUCAACCUUUAGAGAAGGGCAAUCUACAACUUGACCACCAUUCUUUGAUGGAAAUGACUAUGCUUAUUGGAAAACUAGAAUGAGAAUCUACUUGCAAGCCUUAGAUUAUGAAAUUUGGGAAGUUGUUUGUGACGGUCCAUUCAUGCCUAUGUUUAAAGAUGAAGUAGGAGAUGAUAUUCCUAAACCAUCAAGUCAAUGGAGUGAGUUAGAAAAGAGAAAAAUGUCUCUAAACUCCAAGGCUAUGAAUCUUUGUUUUGUGCCCUUGAUAAGAAAGAAUUCCAUAGAGUAUCUAGUUGUGAAAGUGCACAAGAGAUAUGGAACAAACUUGAAGUUGUCUAUGAAGGGACAAAUCAAGUAAAAGAGUCUAAAAUCAGUAGAUACACUCGUCAAUAUGAGCUGUUCCAAAUGGAACAAAAUGAAAAUGUGUAUUCUAUGUAUACUAGAUUCACGGACAUAGUGAACACCCUAGGUGCCUUAGGGAAAACCUUCUUAAAUAGUGAGAAAGUUAAGAAAAUCAUUAGGUCACUUCCAAAAGAAUGGAGACCUAAAUGAACCGCCAUUGAAGAGGCCAAAGAUUUAAAUACUUUACCUCUUGAUGAUUUAAUUGGUUCUCUUAUUUCAUAUGAAGAGGAUUUAGCUGCAGAAAAAGGACAUGAGGAGAAGAAGAAAAGCAUUGCUCUCAAAGCUUCAAAAUAUGAGAGUGAUGGGGAAAGUGAACCGGAUGAUGAAGAGCUAGCCAUGCUAGCAAGGAGGUUCAGAAAAUUCUUCAAGAAAACCAGAGAGAGAAGAAAUUUCAGAAACUUCAAGAACUAUAGGGAGAAGAAGGAGGCAAUUACAUGCUAUGAAUGCAAGAAGCCUGGACAUAUAAGAUCGGAGUGCCCACUUAUCAACAAACUUAAGAAGAAAGCAAUGGUUGCAACUUGGGAUAAUAGUGAGGAAGAAUCAAGUGAUGAAGAAGGAUCGCAAGAAGUAUCAAACCUAGCACUCAUGGCAAUAGGAGGGGAUGAUGAUCUCAAUGAGGUAAGUGAUCCUACCUAUGAUGAAUUGUAUGAUGCUUUCAAAGAUUUGCAUAAUGAGUUAAUGAAGAUUGGUAAAAAGAACGUAUGUCUUAAAAAGGAAAUGGUAAAGCUUAAAAAUGAAAAUGAAUCUCUAAAUGCAAGAAUUGUAUGCCUAGAAGUAGGGAACAAAACAUUGCAUGAUGAAAUUGCAUUAUCAAAUGAGAAACCUAGCAUCUUACAUGAGCAUUUAGAAUCACACAUAGAUGAGUUGAAAAAUGAGAACGAAAUGCUCAAGAAAAAGAGUAAUGAAUUGAAUGAAAUUGUUUUGAAAUUUACAAAUGGGCAAAAGAUGUUGGAUAAUAUGCUUAACUCACAAAAAUGUGUUUUUGAUAAAGGAGGACUUGGGUAUAAGCCUAAUUUGAAGCAAAAGUAUUAUAAGAAUUAUUUUGUUAAAGCUACCUCCACAAAUGAUCAUAAGAUUGUAUGUUAUUAUUGUAAUCAAAAUGGUCACAUGAAAUAUAGAUGUCCCGUGAAAAGGAAUGCAUAUUAUGGUGUCAAAUGCAUUUGGGUUCCAAAAGGAACUGUUGCUAACUCUCAAGGACCCAAAAAGCUUUGGGUACCUAAAACUUGAGAUUUUUUCUUGUAGGGCUUGAAGAAGAAGAAAAAUAAAUGGUACUUGGACAGCGGUUGUUCAAGGCACAUGACCGGAAACUAUGCAUGGUUCUCAAGCUUCACCAAAAUUGAAAAUGGUGGAGACGUAUCUUUUGGAGACAACUCAAAAGGAAAAAUUCUUGGAAUUGGAAAUGUUGGUAAAGUCUCUUCAACUCUAAUUGAGAAUGUAUGUUUGGUUGAGAACUUGAAACACAACUUAAUUAGCAUUAGUCAAUUAUGUGACAAAGGUUAUAAAGUUAUCUUUGAUAAAUUUAGUUGUGUUAUUGAGAACUCAUGUGAUGGCAAAACCUUGUUUGUUGGUAAUAGAUGUGGUAAUGUUUAUACCAUUGACAUAGAAUGUGCAUCUACUCUUGAUAAAUGUUUUUCCGCAUUACAUGAUGAUAGUUGGCUAUGGCAUAGAAGAUUAGGACAUGCAAGUAUGGAUUUGAUUUUGAAAAUUUCGAAAAAUGAUUUAGUUAAAGGUCUUCCGAAAAUUGGUUUUCAAAAGGAUAAGAUUUGUGAAGCUUGUCAAUUUGGAAAAAAAUCAAAACCUCUUUCAAAAACAAAAACCAUAUCUCUACUUCAAAACCUCUUAAACUUCUUCACAUAGAUCUAUUUGGACCAUCUAGAUAUGCUAGUCUAAAUGGCAAAUAUCAUGCAUUUGUGAUAAUGGAUGAUUAUUCUAGAUAUACAUGGGUAUUAUUCUUAGCCAAUAAGGAUAAUGCUCUUGAUGCUUUUAAAGUGCUUUAUAAGAAAUUACAAAAUGAAAAAGGGUGUGACAUUAUAUGCAUUAGGAGUGAUCAUGGAGGAGAAUUUGAAAAUCAUGCAUUUGAGAACUUUUGCAAUAAUCUUGGCAUUGAGCAUCAAUUUUCAUCACCUAGGACUCCACAACAAAAUGGAGUUGUUGAGAGAAAGAAUAGGUCUAUUCAAGAAAUGGCUAGGACCAUGUUAAAUGAAAAUGCAUUACCUAAAUAUUUUUGGGCCGAAGCCGUCAACACCGCUUGCUAUGUUUUAAAUCGGGUGUUGAUUAGACCUCAUCUCAAUAAAACUCCCUAUGAGCUUUGAAAAGAUAGAAAACCCAACAUUGGCUAUUUCAAAGUUUUUGGAUGCAAAUGUUUUAUUUUAAACACAAAAGAUAAUCUUGGUAAAUUUGAUCCAAAAUCUGAUGUUGGCAUCUUUCUUGGGUAUUCAAACUCAAGUAAAGCUUAUAGAGUUUAUAAUAAAAGAACUUUAGUUGUGGAAGAAUCCAUGCAUGUUACGUUUGAUGAGUCUAAGCCCUUCUCUACGGAGAAAGGAGUUGCUAAUGAUGAUGCAGAUGGAGACUUACAAGAGGAAUCAUCAAAAGAGAUUCAAGAAAAUGCACCAUAAGAAAAUCAAGAGGAUAGACAAGAAGAACAAACCAAUACGGAGCUGGAGCAACAAGAAGGUAUUUCUCAAACACUCCCCAAGGAGUGGAGGUAUGUCUCUUCUCAUCCUAAAGAUGUAAUUUUAGGAGAUCCCUCACGAGGUGUUACAACUAGAUCAUCUCUUAAGAAUACUUGUGAGCAUAAUGCAUUUAUCUCUCAAAUUGAACCCAAAUCCUUUGCGGAUGCGGAAAAUGAUGAAUCUUGGAUUAUGGCAAUGCAAGAGGAGUUAAAUCAAUUUGAAAGAAACAAUGUGUGGGAAUUAGUUCCUAAACCGAAACAUCAAUCUGUCAUAGGCACUAAAUGGGUAUUUAGAAAUAAGAUAGAUGAAUCCGGGUUGGUUGUAAGAAAUAAAGCUAGAUUAGUGGCUCAAGGUUACAACCAAGAAGAAGGAAUUGAUUUUGAUGAAACUUUUGCACCUGUAGUAAGGUUAGAAUCCAUUAGGAUGUUGUUAGCAUAUGCAUGUCAGAAGGAUUUUAUUUUAUAUCAAAUGGAUGUCAAGAGUGCUUUCUUAAAUGGAUAUAUUAUGGAGGAAGUUUAUGUGAAACAACCUCCUGGUUUUGAAAAUGAAAAAUUUCCAAAUCAUGUUUAUAAGUUGCUUAAAGUCUUGUAUGGAUUAAAACAAGCACCUAGAGCAUGGUAUGAUAGACUUAAAAAUUUUUUGCUAGAAAAUGAUUUUUCUAUGGGUAAAGCGGAUACUACUCUAUUUGUUAAGCAUAAGAACCAAGACAUACUUAUUGUUCAAAUUUAUGUUGAUGAUAUUAUUUUUGGUUCUACUAAUGAGUUGUUGUGUAAAGAAUUUUCAUCGUGUAUGAGCAAAGAAUUUGAGAUGAGUAUGAUGGGAGAGUUGAAGUACUUCCUUGGACUUCAAAUCAAACAAAACGAGGAAGAAAUUUUCAUAAAUCAAGCCAAGUACAUAAAAGAUCUACUCAAACGAUUCGGCAUUGAUGACUCAAAGACCAAGAAUACACUAAUGAGCACAACAACCAAGCUGGACAAAGAUGAAAAAGGCAAAGAAGUUGAUAUCAAAAUGUAUCGAGGUAUGAUCGGAUCCCUACUUUAUUUGACUGCAAGUAGACCCGAUAUCAUGUUUAAUGUAUGUUUGUGUGCAAGAUUUCAGUCAUGUCCCAAGGAAUCUCAUUUGCUUGCUGUUAAAAGAAUUUUUCAUUAUUUGAGUGGAACCAUAGAUAUUGGCCUUUGGUAUCCUAGGGGAACUCAUAUAGAUUUAACAUGUUAUUCGGAUGCGGACUUUGCCGGUUAUAAAGUAGAUAGGAAGAGCACUAGUGGUACUUGCUAUAUUCUAGGACACUCUUUUGUUUCAUGGUUUAGCAAGAAACAAAAUUCUGUCGCAUUUUCAACUACCGAGGCUGAAUAUAUAGCUGCCGGAAGUUGUUGUGCACAAGCACUUUGGAUGAAACAAACACUUAGAGAUUAUGGCAUUAAUCUUGAACAAAUUCCUAUUAAGUGUGAUAAUACUAAUGCUAUAAAUCUUUCAAAGAAUCCCAUUCAACACUCUCGAACCAAGCAUAUAGAAAUAAGACAUCAUUUCUUGAGAGAUCAUGUUCAAAAGAGAGACAUUGCAUUAGAGUUUAUUUCUACGGAAAAACAACUUGCCGAUAUUUUUACAAAACCACUUUGUGAAGAACAAUUUUCCAAAAUUCGGCAUGAACUUGGGAUGAUGAAAUUUUCACAUUAACAUCUUCAUUCAUGCUAUUGAGUGUAUUAACAUUGAUUGAUCUAUGACUUGAUGCUUUAAUAUCUAUGAAAUGCUCAAUCGUAAUAUACAUGUGAUGUGUAUGUAUAAUUGAAAAUGUAUGAAUUAAUUUUGCAAUACAUAUAUAUGUUCAUGAAUUAUGCAUUGAAAUGGCACUCAAAUCAUUUUGGAUCAAUAAAAUGAUCUUGAAAUGUAUUAAUAAGUAGCCAAAUAUCAAAAUACAUGUGCAAAAUCAUAAAUUGUAGAAAACGGAUUGUCGUUAUUUCAAUAAACGGCUAACCGUUUUGGGCAGAAACAAUGGAAAGUUUUCUGGGCGCUAUCGGUUCGCCGAUAACUAUCUAUCGGCUCACCCUCCUAAUACAAAAUUUUGAGGAGACUCCCUAGACCCUAUCGGCUCGCCGUUUUGAUGAAAUAUUUUAGAGGACUCUCUGGACUCUGUCGGCUCGCCGUUUUGAUGAAAUAUUUUAGAGGACUCUCUGGACUCUGUCGGCUCGCCGUUUUCUUUAUAACGGCUCGCCGUUAUCACGCGUUAAUUGAACAGUCCUUCGUCUUCCUCCUCAUUUCAGUUUCUCUUUCUCUCUCCCUCUCACUCCAACCCGUGACUGCACCAGUUCUCUCCUCUCAAUUCCAUCACUUUUCUUGUCAUUUUUCACCAAAUUGAAGGAUUACAAAUCAUUUUCAUCAUCUCUAGCAUCUUUUAACCGAUUAAAAUUCUUCUUUUUCUUCAAAAUUUGAAAAAUCUCUUUUUAAAACCCUAGAACCAGCCGAACCUCAUUUGCUCAAAUUUGACCUAAAUUUCUUCCUUUUUCCAACCACAUUUCCACCCACAAUCACUCUCUCAUCUCUCAAACUUCAUUUCCCCCGAUCUAUUUUCCUUCUAACACAUCCAUGGCGGAACGACCACAAAGGCGUGCUCAAACCAAGCACACUGCUCCACGACGUUCUAGUCCACCCAGGUCUCCUCCUCAAGACUUCGAGAGUCUUCAUUUUUCCGAUGCCACCUCUGCUCAGCGAUUUCGUGAGAAAUUCAUGGGUAAACCCGUAACUCCCUCUUUUUCUCUUAACAUUUCGGAGUUUUCGGAUAUUACUGUUUGUGGUCACUCCAUUGCUCAAAUGCUUAGUCAUUGGAAGCAAGCUUUAAGUAUUGAAGAACCAAUUUAUGAAAAUCUAGUUCGAGUCUUUUAUUCUAACAUAGAAUUCCCCUCUACUCGUCGUGACGAGCUUCAUACAUAUGUAGGAGGAAUUCGCAUUGAACUUGAUGAACCCGAAUUAUGUAGUAUUCUAGGAAUAGCUUAUGGAGGUUUAGAUCUGUACACCGCUAGGAAAGAACUAUCUUUUAGUGAUUUUCGUCAUGUGGAUGGUGUACGGAACAUUUGUCGUCGUCGGGAUCUUUCCGAUGACAUCUGCUCUCUGUCCUUUAGGUCUCAACUCCUCCCUUUUCAGAUUCGAAUACUUCACAUUAUUCUCCAACACAUGGUCACUCCUAGACAGGGUCACACUGAUGAGGUCACUAGGCUUGAUACUGGUCUAUUAAAUUCUCUUAUCCGUAGACGCCAUGUGAGCUUAUCCUACACUAUUCUGUGUCAUAUGAUGUCCACUCCUAAAGUCUCCAAUCGAUCUCUUCUUUAUGGCAGCAUCAUUACUAAAAUCUUGAACCACUUUCGAGUUCCUAUCAUCGAGCCUGUUUUUCUCGAGACUCGUAAGCUCGGACGAGAAAUUAUUUCUGCCAUCGGAUUCUUUAAGAAGCGUGGGAAAUGGGAGAAGACCACAUCCUCUAAAAACCCAGAGGAUGAUCGUAUGUUGAAUGAUGUCUACUCCGAGGAUGAGUUACCUGAUUUCUGCCUUGGGGCUAGACCGCAUGUUCCUCGCCGAGCAACAGCUGCAUCUUAGGAUGACGAGCCUACCGAGACUGCCGUCCCUCCUGCAGCAUCGGCUGUUCCUGAGGAUCGCUUCCAGCAGCUUCUCAACAGAGUGGAUACUCUGUCCCAGCAGCAGCAGCUUCGAUAUGAUUUUGCAACCUUUCGGAAGCAAAUUUCAAAUCAGCAGAUGGAGUUACUUGCGGGCCAGCAUCGCAUUCUCGACUACUUUGGAUAUGACCCCGGCAGCUCGUCUUCACAGCCUCCAUCUUAGCUUUUCUGCCCCUCUGAUAUUCGCACAGACAUUUCUCAUUUCAUGUUAUUUGCCUUAUGCAUAUGAUGUUAUUUGUUUUGUGUUUAUGCUUCUGAUAUCUCAUGUUAGACAUGUGCACUUGAUUUAUGUUUGAGUUGGCCUUGGUAUUAUAUUGUUUAUCUUGCUCAUUAUGGAAGUGUGAAAUUGUUGGUAUGGAGAUUGGUUGAUAUGGUGGCAUAUUUAUAUGGAAGUGUUUUUUUCUUUUUAACUCUGUGUAUUGUUGAGGUAAUGCUUAUAUUUAAGGGGAGAUUCGGCCAAAGUUUUUUCAAGCAUAAGUCAUUCCUCAUGCCUCUUUCUUUUUUAUGAUGAAGGGGGAGAUAAUUGGCAUUGGCAUAAAAUUAUUUAUUUCUUCCAAUCAAUCUGUUUUAAACUUGUUUGAGAUUAAAGUUAAAUGAAUUUUUUAAGGGAGAUUAACAAGUCUUUCAAAAUCUCACUUAGGGAGAGCUCAUAUUUAGGGGGAGCAAAAUUACACAAGUAUUUUCUUGAAAAGUUUGUCAUCAUCAAAAAGGGGGAGAUUGCUAACAUAAAUAAUUCCUUAUUGAUUUUGAUGAUAACAAACAUGAUUAAGUUUGAUAAAUCUUUUGAGGACUCAACAUAUUUUUUCAUCUAUUUUUGACAAGUUUCAUAAAGUAUUGUUUAUAAAGAUUUGGAGUCAAAACAGUCAUCUUGCAAAAUAGAUCACUACAGCAAUUUUUGUGGAAAGCGGCGAUCCGAUAUGUGUAAUAAACAGCUCACCGAUUUCAAGCAGAAAUGGAGAUUAGCCUCUGGACGUAAACGGCACACCGACAUGUGUGAUAAACGGCUCGCCGAUAUCAACCAGUAGCCUCUGGACCUAAACGGCGAACCGAUAUGUUGCUAAACGGCUCGCUGAUAUCAACCAAAACUAAAGGGUAGUCUCUGGACCUAAACGGCGAACCGACAUGUGUGAUAAACAGCUCGCCGAUAUCAACCAGUAGCCUCUGGACCUAAACGGCGAUCUGACAAUUUGAAAAAUCAGCCCAACGGUCAUAUUGAUCAGUCAAACGGCGAUCCGACAUCUAGCUAACGGCGAUCCGUCCGUGUGCAGAAAGUUAAUAACGGCUAGUUUUCAACAGCAGCUAUAAAUAAGCUCAUUCAAAUUCAAACAAAAGCUUAUCACAACACGACUACUGAGCAUAUAAUUGAGAGUACAAUCUUCAUUGAGCUAUUAAAAUACAUUCUUGCUUCAUCUAUCUAUAUAUUGGGUAUCAUUGUGUAAUUUUAUAUAUUGUGAGAGGCAAAACAAUUUGUAAUCUUUUACUUUGAGUGAUUGUAAGUGUUGGGAUACACUUGGGUUAAGAGAUUGGGGAUAAUCUCUUGUUGUAAAGGUUUAUUGACACCUUGGAAGUCAAGUGUAAGCAUUUGAAGCCUUGGAGGCUUGCUUAGUGGAAUCCUCAAGCCUGGAAAGCUUGGAGGCAUGGACGUAGGCGAGGUUGGCCGAACCACGUAAAAAUCUCUGUGUUUGAAUCCCUCUUCCCUUAUCUUUUUAUAUUGUGAUCAACUUAAUUGUUAUUGCUUUAAAUUUGGAUUAUAUUUGCAUUAAGUUUUUCUUUAUAAAUUGAAUAAUUUUUAGAAUCCCAAUUCACCCCCCUCUUGGGUUGCAUACUUGUAUUUCAAGGACAUGUGAAGGUAGUCUUCUCCUGAUCCUCAGGCGCAACUGGUAUCUGAUGAAAACCUAAAUAGCUAUUAAGACAACAAAAGUGAGAUUUUCCUGCUAACCUUUCAAGCAUCUGAUCAAUAAAAGGAAUAGGAAAAUGAUCCUUUCUAGUAAGUGAAUUAAGCUUUCUAAAAUCAAUACAAACCCUCCACCCAUUCUGAACUCGGGUAGGUACUAACUCACCAUAAGAAUUCUCAAUAAUUGUUAUAUCAGUUUUCUUCGGUACUACUUGUACCAGACUUACCCAUUUGCUAUCCGAAAUUGGAUAGAUUAUACCUGCAUCAAGAAGUUUUAGAAUUUCUUUCUUCACUACUUCCAUUAUGAGUGGAUUCAAACGGAGUUGAGCUUGAAUUGAAGGUUUGGCAUCUUCCUUCAGCAGUAUUCUAUGCAUGCACGUAGACGGACUUAUCCUUUUAAUAUCUGCAAUUGUCCACCCAAUAGCCUUUUUGUAAUCCUUCAGCACUCUAAUAAGUUUCUCUUCCUCUAAAGUACUAAGCUUUGAAGAGAUGAUCACCGGAAGUGUCUCAUCCUCUCCUAGAAACAUGUACUUUAGAUAACUCGGCAAUGGUUUAAGCUUUAUUUUCGGUGCCUACAAAAUAGAUGGAAGAAGUUUUGCAUGAGAUGAAGGUAAUUCAAUAUUAGACAUAUGAUGAGUUAAAGUUCUCAAAGAAUUUAAUUCAUAAAUUGUCUCUUGCAAUAAAAUUUAAAACAAACUCAUUUUCAUCCUUUUGCAAUCUUUCGAGGCCCAAACUGUUAUUUAAAGCAGCUACCAAUGAAUCUUCAACAUUCAAAUAAAAAACUUCCUGCACUAUAGGGUUAAUAACAUCCAUAGAAAAUACCGAAUAUUCCUCACUGGGAUAUUUCAGGGCAUCAUACAUAUUGAAUUCUAUAACCUCUCCAUCAAACUCCAUAGUAAAAGUCCCUUUAUGUAUAUCCAUUUUAGUUCUAGCAGUCUUAAGAAAAGGUUUUCCUAGCAAAAUUGGGACAUAAUUAGAGGAGUUAUCCUGUUCCAUAUCAAGUACAUAAAAAUCAGCAGGAAAAACCAACUUAUUAACUUGUACUAAGACAUCCUCUAAUACCCCAUCACCAUAUGUAGUAGACCUAUCAGCUAGUUGAAUUAUCACGCCAAUUUCUUUUAAUGCACCAACAUUUAAAGAUGAAUAAAUAGAAUGAGGCAUGACAUUAAUAGAAGCUCCUAGAUCUAACAUAGCCUUUUCAACUCUAACACUACCAAUUUUGCAAGGAAUAGUAAACAUACCUGGAUCCUUGCACUUAGGAGGUAGUUUCUUUUAGAGAACUGCGGAAACAUUCACUCCCAUGUGAACUCUUUCAUCUCCUCUUAAUUUUCUCUUGGAGGUGCAUAGUUCCUUAAGGAAUUUAGCAUAUCGAGGUAUUUGUUUUAUAGCAUCUAAUAAGGGAAUAUUUACCUCAACCUUGCGAAAUGUCUCAAGGUUGUCUUUCUCUUGUUCCUCCUUCUUGGAUUUUGCAAACCGACUUGGAAAAGGAGGAGGUAUCACAAUAGGUAGGGGUUUCGCUCUGGUGGGUUGCGCAUCUUGAGAUUUAGGCAUCAAUUCAUUCUUCUCAAGCUCAUCUUCUACAUGCUUUGUCACUUUCUUACUAGGCUCUUGCAACUCCUUCCUACUUCUAAGGAUGAUGGCACUAGCAUUUUACUUUGGAUUCACCUCAGAUUGUGAAAGCAACCUCCCUGAUACUUGAGACUCUAGACGGCUCAUCGUAGUUGCCAAUUGACUCACUUGGCUCUCCAAAUUCUGAAUGCUUGUUGUGGUUGGCUACUGAAAUUGUUGAGCGUUAGUCGCAAGUGAUUUAACAAUUUCUUCAAGAGAUAUACCUGACUUGGAGUUUGAUUGUGGAGGUGCUGGUUGUCUUGGUGGAUAUUGUUGUAGGAAUCCUGACGGCCUAACUCCAUAGCUGAAGUUGGGGUGAUCCUUCCAUCCCGGAUUGUAUGUUUGUGCAUGAGGAUCAUACCUCCUCUGAGGCAUGCCUGGAAAUCCUCCAACUGCAUUGGCUUGUUCAACGGGUUCUUCUUGAAGUGUAGGAUACAUAUCAGUUGAAUGACCUAUAUUGGAACAAAUGCCACAAGUCUUUACCUGUUGCACAUUACCUAAAACAAACUUUUCCAUAAGAGAAGUAAGUUUAUCUAAACGUUGUUCAACAGAAGAAAUAUUUACCUCAUUCACCAUUCUUGAAGUGGCGUCUUGCCUGCUGCCAAAUGAUUGUGCAUUGGCAGCCAUAUUUGAGAUCAACUCCCUUACUUGAGUUAGAGUCUUGUUCACCAACACACCUCCACUAGCAGUAUCUAUCAUACUCCUAUUCAUUAAUGACAGUCCUUCGUAAAAAUAUUGAAUAAGAAGUUGAUCAGAAAUCUAAUACUGAGGACAGCUGGCACACAAUUGUUUGAAUCGCUCCCAAUACUCAUACAAAGUCUCCCCAGGAAGUUGUCUAAUCCCACAAAUAUCUUUUCUGAUGUUGGCAACUCUUGAAGCAGGAAAGUACUUCUCGAGGAACUGCUUCUUCAAACCAUUCCAUGUUGUAAUCGAUCCAGGAGGCAAGUAGUACAACCAGUCUUUAGCUAGUCCAUCUAAAGAGAAAGGAAAAGCACGCAACUUAAUCUGCUCUUCAGUCACGCCUUGUGGUCUCAUACUUGAACAUACAACAUGAAACUCCUCGAGAUGUUUAUGAGGAUCUUCACUUGCAAAACCAUGAAACUUGGGUAAUAAAUGAAUAAGACCAGACUUUAAUUCAAAAUUUACCUCCAAAUCUACAUAUUGAAUGUAGAGUGGUUGCUGAUUCAAGUCUAGUUCAGCUAACUCUCUAAGAGUUCUUUCUACAGGUGCAGCUCUAUCCAUCACUUGUUCUUCUGAAUCGCUAGAUGAUUAAACAAAAUCAGGCACCGUAUCUGUUUCAGAAAGCAAAGGUGACGAGGAUCGUUGCUUAGCUCGCUUCGUCUGCUGUCUCAGCUGGCUAGCUGUCUUCUCAAUUUGAGGAUCAAACGAAAGUGUACCUGUACGAGAAGAACGAACCAUACACUAAGUAAAACGUAAAAAGGAUUAAAUAAAUUACACCAAUCUCUGGCAACGGCGCCAAAAUUUGAUGGUUGUCGAAGCCAACAAAAAUAAAUACCUACUCUAAAUAAAUUGUGUAUAGUGAUUGAGCAGGGUCGUGUCCACAGAGAUCGGUAAUUAUUUAAAUCCUUUGAAACGUAAAACGUAAAAUGGAGGAAUUGUUGACAUUAAUAAAAAUCAAAUUAAAAUAACAAGAAUGCAAAUUAAAGUUGUAAUUCAAAUUAGAGAAAGCUCUGGUUGAAGGAAUUAACUCAGCUUGAUUCGACUACUGAUCAUUAAUUCAAAUAUAGAUUAUUAUUACUUAUGAAUAGACCGGUUAUAGCUACUGAGACCCUCUAAUAGCCAAUCUCUCCUGAACUAGUCGAUAACCAAGGUAUGACCGUUGGUUAUUUCCCUAAUCAAUAGACAACCCCAGAUAUGAUCAUAGGAUUUAAUCAAUUGACAGCCUGAAAGACUAUAGAGACCCAAAUCCUAAUCAACACAUCCGAUGAUUCAUUUAAAUUAGAUUGUUUAUUCUCAUAACACAACUCACUGCUAUGUUAUUUGUCACAAACAUUAAAAUCUUCCUACGAUGAAUCCUUUAAUUGACAAUAGAUUAAAUUGAUAAUUAAAUAGUGGCCAAUUACGUAAUUAACAAACAUAAUCAUGAAAAUAAUUCAGAGAAUAAACAAAUACUCAAAAAGCAAUAAAACAAUUAAAGCAUAAGAAAGAACUCACAGUAGUGAUGAAUCAAAGCUUCAUUAUCCUUCAACCAGAAAAAUAGGUUUAGUUCUUCAUAGAGAGAAGAUAAAAGUUUAGAUCUAGGGUUUCUUUCUUUUUCUCCAAUCUCCCCUUUUUUUCACAAUAGAUUCCUCCCUUAAAUACUCUCUAUCUCUUCUCUUUUAUACUUCUAUUUAAAAUAAAAUACUAAUAUCUGAAAUAUUAAAUUCGUAAUUACACAAAUAACCAAAAAUACAAAACACGUUAAACUAAAAACUGCAGGUCCGCAGUUGACAGCAUGCGCCCACGCCUUAUCAAUAAAGUUCUUUUGACGCUCAUAAUUUCUCCAAGAAAAUAAUCAUCCUUAAACAUCAUCUUAUAGCUCAAUUUUAUCACCAAUCAAUAGAAUUGCAUCUGUAAAAGUAAAACACAAGUAAAUAACUAUUAUUAAGUGCAAAACAUCGAUAUUAAGGGAAGUAAACAAUGAAAACUAGUGCAUAAGUUGCACUCUAACAAAUUCCCCCACUCCAAGAUGAUGCUUGUCUUCAAGCAUAUAACUCAAGAUUAAUCCCAAAUCUCCACUCAAUUCUCAUCUCAACUCAUCCAAAAAUAAUUUUAAGUAAGCAUACCUCAAGAAAUUAAGUCGAUCAACAUUCGAGAGACAAGGAUUUUUAAAGCAUAGAAUCUCAUAAGAUAGAAUAAGAACAUUCAACCACCAAGAAGAUCCAUUCAAAAUUCAAGUGCAACAAGAUUUAAUAGCCCUCUCAAUGACUUCACUCCAUGCACUCAAAGUGUUUAGGGUAUCAUUUAUACACUCAAAUCAAAUCAAAGAAUGCUAUUACCAUAAGCUUGCUCAUAUAUCACAUCUCAAUCCACAAAAUAUGAAUAAAAUGAAAAAUCUAAGGGUCUUAAAAAGGUUGUAAUGGGGUUAAAUAGGUUAAAUGAAAAUGAAAGGUCUACGAAAGAAAAAGAGAUCAAAAUGAGAAUAAUGAACUCAUUGAAUGAACUUAUGAUAUUAAAAUGCUUAUUUCUAUUCAAGUCACCAAGAAUGUAAACAUUUUUUUUCGAUCUUUUUUUUUUCUUUUUCUUUUUCUUUUUUUUUUUUUUUUUUUUUUUUUUUUUUUUUUUUUCUUUUUUUUUCUUUUUCUUUUUCUUUUUUUCUUUUUUUUUGUUUUUUUUUUCGAAUCAAACAAAAGAAACGAACCUUGCACAAUUUAAUUCAAGCAUAAUGCUUGUUGAUCUAAUUGAGAAACUUUAAUACAAGGUAGAAAAAGCAACAAAAUAUAUCCACACAAUGAGUCCAAAAAUCUCCUUAAAUUGAGGCUCAAAAAGAAGAAAAAUGGUUAAGUAGACGGAGAGAAUUAGAUGGGUAAUGGUUAAGGCUCAAACAAAGAUAGCAAAUAAAGGUCUUCGGGUAGAGAAAAAAAAACGCGAGAAUAGAAAAAUGGAAAAGGGUUUGCCCUUAUCAUUUUAAUGCAUAAAAUGCCAUAAUGUGGCUUUAACAUGCAUAACAAAGCAAGUUCUAGAAUAAACAAACUAAGAUUGAUAUUCACAUAACAAAAAUAUUAGAGCAAAGUGGUUGCUCAUAGGCUCAAAUCCUCAUAAAGUUGGUAAAUUUGCCAUCAAAUCAUGUACACUCUUCAAAUGAAUCAACCAUCAAUAGUGGUAUAGAAUGAGAAGAAGGUAUAAGUGAUAUAUAAAAGGAAAGGUAAAAAUGAUAAGAAGUGAGAAAGAUGUAUGUAGUAAUAUGAAAAGUGAAAGAUAAAAUGUGAGUGAUGAUAGAGUAUGAUAGAAUAAAAAUAGAUGUAAAUAAUUUGAUAUAGAUGGGAAAAGAGUAGUGAGAAAGAAAAGAAAAGAAAAAAUAAUAUAUGAAGCAUACUAACUCCAAAAUCAUUUAAGGAUGAGUAGAGUGAAAAUACUACUUCCAGACAUCAAUAAUGCAAAAAUCCCUCCCCCACACCAAGAACUUACAUUGUCCCUAAUGUAAGAUAAUCAAAGCUCACAUAAAAAUUAAAGCGUAAGGAUAAAAGAUUAAAGACAAAAAAAACUUUCCUGAAUUGUGAGCUUUGAUCCACAUAACGUCCAUGGGCUUGGGGGAAAUGGUGGGAUAAAUCCCACACUCUCGAAGCAAUCAAUAAUGGUAUUAAUUCUUGAACCAGUGGAAAGCAAUUAAUUUUCUUCAUUUGUUUUCUUGCUUGGCUGUGAAACAGCCCAUUUGCGGCUGAACACAGAAUCUGUUUUUUGUUUCUUUGUUGUUUUUUGUGAAUAUUUGGCUUAAUUUACAAUUCAUGGCAUGUCUGAAAAUGGGUCGAUGAAUCUGUUAAAAAUUGGACUCAGAUCUAAAUCAGAUUUAUCCAUGAUACAAUCAAGAGGAUUCAACAUUUGAUUUUUAUUUUUCUUUUCGCCACCCCCGUAUGUAAUUUUGGUUGGAGGACUUGGUUGUUAGGAAUUGACAACUACUGAAUUUUUUUUUUCCUUUAAACAACAGAGGCCGCAAUUUCAAUUUGAAGACUUCGUUUAUAAGAAUUGACAAUGGUUGAUUCUUUAAAUAGAAGAUGCCUUGGAAUUCCGCGUCGUUGACAUGUAGUUGAUAUUUAAAACAUAUUGGAUGUUAGGGCUUAGAAUGUUUGAGGUCGGAAUUCUUAUUAAGAAAAUUCCUCUGCUGCUUGCAACAUAAUCGAAGCUGUAAGUCCUAUGCUAUGCAGUUCUCUUUAUUUUCAUUUUUGUUUUUGAAUUUUCAGAAUUAAUAUGAAGAAAAACAUCAUUUAUUUCCAAAACAGAACCAUUAUCAAGUUUCAUAUUUUUGUACAGGUAAACUUUGGUCUUUGAGAAAUAUUUGCGUCUACAACUCUUGAUUAAUUUUAGUUUUAGUUUAGUUUAGUUUUAUUUUUUUUCCCCUAAGGUGGAGAUGAGAUGAGAAACCUCAUUCACUAAAAACCAAAAACUUAGUUUUGUAAAGUUUUAUUUUUUUCCCCCUAAUGCUGGUGGUCUUCCAUUAGCUCUGAAGGUUCUGGGCUCAUUUUUGUUUGGUAGAACUAUAGCUGAACAGGAAAGUGCACUACAAUGACUACAAAGAGGUCCUGAAAGUGAGAUUCUUCAUGUACUUCAAAUAAGUUUUGAUGGGUCAAAAGAAAAAGAAAAAAGAAUAUUUCUCAAUAUUGCAUGUUUCUAUGAGGGAAGUAUAGAGAUUAUAAGGGUGUUCAGAAUCUAAUCCGAUCCGCUCAAUCCGAUCCGUAUAAAUCCGAUCUGUGGAUUGGUGGAUUGGAUAUGGAUUGAAAAUUUAAAAAUCCGCAGUCGAUGGAUUGGAUAUGGAUUUACUUAUGUAAAUCCGCAAAAAUACGUGAAUCCGUCAAUAUAUAUAUAUAUAUAUAUAAUUUAAUUUAAAAAAUUAUAAAUGUGAGAUUACAUAGUUACAUAAGCACUAUAACAUAUCUUAGCCAUUACCUAAUAAUAAUAUAAAAUGAAAAAUAAUUAAAUAAUCAAAUACACAAAUAUAACUUGUAAAAAUUGUAAAACAAAAUAAAAACAAAGUCACAUGUACUAGCAAAAGUAAAGUAACAUAACGCCAAGUCACCAACAAUUUGCAAAGUCACCCAAAAACAAAAUAAUAUGACGCCAAGUCACUAACAAUUUGCAAAGUCACCCAAAAAUAAAGUAACAUGACGCCAAGUCAUCAACAAUUUGCAAACAAAAAACCCUAAGCUUCCAUGCCGUCACACACACUAGCAACACUCAAUACUGGUUGGAUAUACUCUCGACACAGAUUUGAAGGACAUCGGCCGCGCGAUUCCGGCAAGAGCAAGCCAUCUUCUUUCCCAAGUCCAUCGAGCCACUUCACAUUCACUGGUUCCAGCUGAACAAUUGCACUAUCACAACCUUCAAGAUCGCCACCCGUACAGCUUCUCCUGGUUCCCAUCAUGGACGGCUCCGUAAUCACCACUUUUCGACAAGCGCAUCAGCCCUGGUAAAGGAUCAGAUUGUGUUUGGUUUCUAAAACUUCGCCAUUUCAAUUAAUUGUGGCUUUAUUUGAAUAAUUAAUUUCGGUGUUAUAUUAACAUAUUAUUGUAACUUUAUUUGAACAAUUAAGCUUGGUGUGUUAUAUUUUGAAACUUUGAACGUGUUGUUGUAGCUUUAUUUGAAUAAUUAGUCUCGAUAUGUUAUAUUUUAAAAUUUUAAAUGUAUUAUUUUAGGUUUAUUUAAACAAUUAAUUUAUUUAAAUUUUAUUCAAUUUUAAAUUUAAUUGGUAGCAAAAUUAUUUUUAUAUUAGUUUUUUUUAUUUCAUUAGUUGGAGAGAACUAAAAAUUUUUAAUUCGAAAACUAAUGCACAAAAUGAUGGAUUGAAUAUGGAUUGAGUCAAAUCUGUAUUCAAUCCGUAGACGUGUGGAUUGGAUAUGAAUUGAGUCAAAUCCGCAUCUGAUCUGCAGAUAUAUGGAUUAGAUUUGGAUUGAAUUUUAUCAAUCCAUGGAUUGGAUUGGAUUGAAAAAUUAUAAUUCACAAAAUGAUGGAUCGGAUAUGGAUCAAUGUCCAAUCUGUAAAAUCCGAUCCGCGAACAGCCCUAAGAGAUUAUGUGAAAAAAAAUCUCAAAUAUUGUGAUUUUGACCCAAUUAUCAAAAUUGUUGGUCCUAUUGAAAAACCUCUAUUAACCGUAGAUGAUUUCAGCGGACUGUGGAUGCAUGAGUAGUUACAAGAAAUGGGGUAGACAAAUUGUUAGGAGGCAAUUCCCUCAGGAGCCUGGAAGCUGCAUUAGAUUGUGGGAGGAAGCAGAUGUUUGCCAUGUAUUAUUACAAAACACAAGUAAAUGUUCAGUUAGGUUGAAAACUUGCAAUUUUGGGAUCAUGAUCACUUAUUUAACUAGUUAACUCUUUGCAUAGUUUUAUCAAUAUUUUCUUUCUUUAAUUUUUUUCCCCACUUAUUUUUGGUUAUAAUGUUUAGGAAACUGAUGUAGUUGAAGCAUCAUAUUUGAUUGCUUUAGCAACAAUGUCAGUGAUAAAGCCUUUCUAAUGUGACCAGUCAAACUUCACAAGAGUAGCAAAUUUAGAGGAGCUGAUUUCUGAAGGAUUUACAAGUUUGCAUGAGAUUCACUCAUUUUUUCUGCUUCAAAGAAGCUGCUUUAAAAUUCUACAAUUUAAAUAAAAAAAUUCUUAAAAGAUUAUAAUGGAAUUUUUCCAAAAGAGUAAAUUCUUAGAAGAUUUUAAUGGAAUUAUUCCCCGAGAAUAAAUUCUUAAAAGAUUAAAGUGGAAUUUUUCUAAAAGAAUAUGUUAUUCACUUUGCCCUAUAAAAUGCAAUUACAUUGAAGACUCCCUAAAUAAAAUGCUUAAAGAAACCUUUGCUUUUGGCAAAAUCAUGCCGACCAUAUCUUUGAUUCCAUGCGCCACUAAAGACCGGAAUCAUCUUCAUAAUUGCUUUCGGCAUACACUUUUGAUUAAACUUUUUCUCUUUGAGAAAUCAAUUAGAACACAUAAAAAUCCUCUCACUAAUUAAUUUCUUUGAAACAAACUUAAUGAGAAAUUUAAGUAAAAAUUUAUCAUCUUUGACUGCUUCCAAUAAGCUCAGACAUGUAAGUUAAUUUUCUUACAUUUUCAAUUUUACUUGUAUCUCGGGGUUUGCUUUACAUGAAUUUAUUUGAACUGCACUAGCGCCUUCUGAUGUAAUGGCUGCUGUUUGUUCACCACCAGUUAACAUUACAAAUUAAAUCAAUUUUAGGUGUGACAAAAAAGCUGCAAAUCGAAGAAAGGCUGAAAGGGCACAUACUAUGUUAGAGGCUAGAUUUAGAUCUAAUUAUAAGGGAAGCCUUUCUAACACUCAGGUUUUAGAUUCAAGCUCUACUUUAUGUGCAUGCCACAAAUUUGAAAAAAAAUGUGCAUACUAAUUUUUUUUGGGAGAACAAUGGAAUUGAAUAAUAAAUGCACUAUAAAAAAUUUACUUGGUUGUGAUUUUCAUAGAUGGAUUAAAAAAAUAAAUUUUAUUCAAAACUAUGUCCAAUUUAAUUAUUUACAUUUUUGUCAUUUACAACCAAACAUAUAAAUUGUUUUUAAAACUCACAGAACUUUUGAAGAUUGUAUCAAACGUUUAAUUAGUUAUUUUUAUAGUUGACUAUUUUUACAAUACAAUUAGCAGUAAUUAUUUUAAAAACUAUAAUAUUAACAAAAUAAUCCAACAUCUUUUAAGGACCCAGCUGAAAUUUAACUAAUAAAGGUUUACCAUUAGUAUAGAUUGCCGGUAGUUUUAACUAUUUUUAAUUAAUUAUUCCAUUCCAUUUUAAUGGAAUCCAAUGGCUUCAACAUGGGUGAUGGGCAGAGUGGCAUGGACGCGUAAUCAAUUGAAAAGCCAGAUAUUCUUUGCUUAGAUUCCUUGAAGCUUCCGGCAAGCUCGAUGCUAACUCCAUCGUGUGAGUAAUCGAUUGAAAAGCCAGAUAAUUUUCAUUUAGAUUCCUUGAAGCUUCCAGGAAGGUUGAUGGUAACUUCAUCAUUAGAGUAAACAGAGACAAUUUUUUUGAAUUGUUAAGAAAGUCGCUGUUUGACCAAGACUUGCUUUUGGAAAUACACACAUUGCAACGCAACUGAGGCGCUGGAAACCGUGUAAUCGCUUUAAUUUUCCAAAUUAAACAAAAAAACCUCUGCCUUCCCUUGAAAGAUAGGUGCGCACGUAAAAUUCUAUCAUGUCGUAAUUAAUUGCGACAUUAAUAAGUAAUGAAUAUAAUUUUUUAUAAUUUAUACAUACAACCAGUACAUAAAAAGUAAAAUAAAUAAAUUAAUAUAAGUGUGGUUAAUUGAUAUUUUAAAAUUAAAAAUAAAAAAUACUUGUAAAAAUAAUAUAAAAUUUAUAAAUCAACGUUAAACUUUAACUAGACUAGAAAAUAGUUUAUUUCUUUAAUUUAAUUAAGAAAAAAAUCGCUAAUUAAGAAAAAAAUCGCUCAUUAAUUGAAAAAAAAUUGUAUUAAAACGACUAGAAUAAAUUUUAUUGAAUUGGUUUAACCAUGAAUUCUAUAUUUAUCCUAGGACAUUUAUAAUUUUUUUUUCAUUUUCUAUCAUAAUAUUUGUUUACUACACAAGUUACUUAAGCAAAAUUAUUAUUAUUUUUUUUAAUGUGGAUCAAGCCAAAACAAAAUAAAAGUUAUUUUUAUAUUACUACAAAUAUAUGAUAUAUCAAUAAAAUUAUAUCUAAUUUGCAGUUUUAUAAAUAAUUUAUAUAGUUUCAAACUUUACUUCUUUUACUUAAAGAUCAUUUGGGAUUACUGUCUAAGAGGUUUAUAGAGGGAUGCAAAAUUACCUUAUCUUACAAAUAACUUUAAAAAACAUAAAAAGAGUUUUAUUCUUAAUAAAAUUUUACAUAUAUCGUAUUACAUAAGCCCAAAACUAUCAUGAUUCAAUUUAGAAACAAAAUCAGUUAAAUACAUAAGGUAGUCAUUAUUAUCAUUAUAUGAAUUUAUUUAUUUUACUUUCUAUUGAGAAGCUUUAUAUUCUUAUUACAUAAUUUAUGUUUUAUUUUAUAUUUAAUGUUGAUUUAUAAGUUUUAUAUUACAUUUAUAUGUUUUAUCUAAAUAAUUAAUAUUAAUUAUAAUAUGCACAAAUAUGUUUCACUGAUUAACUUAGCUUCUUUGAAGCAACACUUCAAUGAAAUUCAACAGGUAGCUGCCUGUGCAAUUAAUACACUCAAAGCUUUAAGAUUUAUUUUAAUUUUUAUCUUAUACAUGUUUCUCUCAAAUACAAGCUUUUAGCGCGGCAUGCAAAAUACACCCCGUUUAAAUCUAAUCACACCUCUCUAAUUUGCACAUUCUGGAUGUUUAGAACAGGAAAUAUAUAAAAUUGAAAGAAAGCUUUGAAUGUUUAAAUUAAUUUGUAUCGUAUCAACUCUUUAAUUUGCUUCUCUUUGAGGCUCUAAUUAAGAUUUGCUUGAGUAAAGGUCGGCAAACACACUCUCCAAUCAGAAUCUGAAAAACUUUUUAAUUAUAUUUUGGAAGUAAAUGAGAGGCUGUUAAUUAGUUUGUUUAGUUAAGAAGAAGAUCAUUAAUUUGUUGUUCAAUAAUUUUAUGCUAAAAGAAAUGAUCAUAGUAAUUAUAUUAUAUUAUAUUAUUUUCAUUUUUGUGCUGCCCAUAAUCUUGAAUGAAUCUUAUUGUUUGCAUGGUAUUUUACGCUCACUGGAUUUCACUUGAUUUAUUCUAAAUUUUUAGGAACAAAUUAAUAUGAUGGCUUCCACGAGCUUCCAAAAUGUCUCUCAUGGGGAAUAAGAUGCCUUCUUAAGCUUUAGAGGAGAAGACACCCGUAAAAGGUUCAUAGGUCAUCUCUAUACUGCUUUGAACAAUAAAAGAAUUUAGGUAUUCAGGGAUGACAAACAACUUGAGAAAGGAGGAUCCAUUUCACCAAUCUCCUUAAACCAAUUGAAGAAUCGAGAAUUUCAAUUAUUGUUCUCUCAAAAAAUUACGCUUCUUCCACUUGGUGCUUGGAUGAACUUCCUAAGAUUGUUGAAUGCAAAAAUAGAGAGGAUCAAAAUUUUCCAAUUUUUUAUGAAGUGGAACCAACUGUUGUAAGAAAACAAACAGCAAGUUUCGGAGAAGCUUUUGCUAAACAUGAAGAAUUUUUCAGGGAUAAUAUAGAAAAAGUGCAAAAGUGGAGACACGCUUUAAAGGAGGUGGCCAAUAUAUCAGGCUGGGAAUUGAAGGAUAGGUAAUCAUUCUUUUUUUCAACUAUUAAUUUUGUUUGUUUUGCAAGAUUAGUAACUACAAAACAGAUUUUAAUAAUCAUUCAACACUAUUUUUAAUUUAACAACUUCUAUUUAAUAUAUAUGUAUAUCGUAUGAUGUGUAGUAAAAGGGUUCCUCCUGUGAAUUGAAUAUCUUUAAAUUAUACUUUUACUUUUGAAAACCUUAAUUUACCUCCCAUUUUUGUUAAUAAUACAAAAACAUUUCAUCAACUCACCCCAUUUUUCCUUCUCUUUUGAACAAAAAUAGGGUAAUUGAGGUGUUCAGAAGGGAGUGAUUUGAAGAUAUUCAAAUCUAAAUGGAGAAUAAUCUAAAUUUUAUGAAUGAAUUAAUAUUUGCAAUCAAAGAGAUAUGGACAUUGAUAUGUUGAAUUAUUGGAUUUUGAACUUUUCAUGACUAAAAGCUUUUAUGUUGUGAUGCUUUGUGCUAUCAGUUUUGCAAAAAAAAAAAAAAAGUAAAAUAAAACUUUAUUCUUAGAUUAUUGCCCAAGCUUAGGCAUAUCAAUAUAAUGAUUUAAGCUUGUGAUUAUAAUUUUAGUCCAAAUUUAUUUACUAGAUUAAUCUAUCCCCGUCCUUGCUUGCAAACUGCUCUGUUUUGUGUCAUUUUCUAUUUAUUUUAAUAUAAUUUUCUUCUAUGAAUUGACUCUUGACCUAGAUUGCCAAAUACUAAUAAUAACAAUGGCAAUAAUCGCAAUACGAAUGAUAUCAAUAUCAUUACAUAUUUAGCUAAUCUAAUUGAAUUAAAUUGUCUUUUAAACUAACUCAUCCUGUUGUAGAAAGAAAUAAUAUAUAAAUUUUGAAAUUACCAAUCACAAUGCAACCCAGUCCAAUCCAAUUCUUAUUGGGUUGGGUUUGAAUUUCUCAUUCCAAUUGUUGUUGACUGAUGUAAUAAUAUCAUAUUAUUUAAUUAUAUGACUUCAAUUUGAUGAAAUGAAUAUUGCAUAGUUGGGAUUUUUUAUUCAUAAUAUGGAAUUGCUUUGUUACUACGUUCAUACUUACUUCAAUUUAACAACACCAAUCUUUUCUUGUUGUUUUCAAUCUGCAUCAAUGAGUCAGAAUUUAUUGAGGAAAUUGUCAAUGUCAUAUCUAGUAAAAUUCGUUCAGAACCGGAGAUUCUUAAGGAGCUAGUAGGAAUCGAAUCACGCUUGGAGCAACUGAGGUUUCUUAUGGGUAUGGGGUCUAAUGAUGUUCGUAUGAUCGGGAUAUGGGGCAUGGGAGGUCUAGGAAAGACAACUCUUGCAAGGGUUUUUUAUGACUUGAUGUCUCAUGAGUUUGAUGGGAGUAGUUUUCUUGCCGAUGUUAGAGAAAAAUCUGAAAAAGAAGGCAGUGAAAUCUCUUUACAAAAGCAGCUCCUUUCUGAUUUACUGAAGCUUUCAGAUUAUAGCAUACAGAAUGUCUACGAUGGUAUUAGCAUAAUUGGAAGUAGGCUGCAACGAAAAAAAGUUCUUCUCAUAAUUGAUGAUGUGGCUGAUGUUGAACAAUUACAAAGGUUAGUUGGAAGGCGUGAUUGGUUCGGUCCAGGCAGCAAGAUUCUAAUAACAACGAGAGAUAGACAAUUGUUGGUGGCGCAUGAAGUGGAUCAAGAGCAUAUUCUUGACCUUGAUGUACUAAAUAAGGAUGAAGCUCUUCAACUCUUUAGUAUGAAAGCUUUUAAAAGCCAUUAGCCUAUGGGAGAAUAUGUGGAGCUAUCUGAACGUGUUCUGGAGUAUGCUGGUGGUCUUCCAUUAGCUCUAAAAGUUUUGGGAUCCUUUCUAAUUGGUAGAUCUGCGGAUCUAUGGAGAAGUGCCCUAGAAAGACUGAAAAAAGAUCCUUCAAAUAAGAUUAUGAGUAUACUUCAAAUAAGUUUUGAAGGACUACAAGAUUCAGAGAAGAAAAUAUUUCUGGAUGUUGCAUGUUUCUUUAAAUGGUGGGAUAGAGAUUACGUGGCAGAAAUUCUAGAGGGAUGUGGUUUUUCCCCAGUCAUUGGGAUAGAAGUUCUUAUUGAAAAGUCUCUAUUAACUGUUGAUGGUUGCAACAUACUGCAUAUGCAUGAUUUGUUACAGGAAUUGGGACAACUGAUUGUUACGAGACAAUCCCCCGAAGAACCUGGGAAAUGUAGCGGAAUAUGGAGGGAAGAAGAAGUGCGCCAGGUGUUGACAAACAAUACGGUAAGUGAAUUAUUAAAUGGAAAACUUGUUGAUGCUUGCUACUUUAUUUUUCCCAAUUAUAUCUCUGACGAAUUUUCAACAUCUUUACAUUAUUGUUUUAGGGAGGUGAAGUAGUGGAAGGAAUAAUAGAUUAUUACUCUUCCUACUUUCCUGAAGAUAAGGUUUACUUAAGUGCAAGUGCUGAAGCAUUUUCGCUGAUGACCAACCUAAGACUGCUCAAAAUCAGUAAUGUGCAACUUUCUAGAGGACUAGAAUACCUCUCUAACAGGUUGCGAUUACUUGAUUGGCGUCGGUAUCCUUUGAAAUCUUUGCCAUCAAAUUUGCAAUUGGAUGAUAUUGUUGAAUUUAAAAUGCAUUACAGCUGCAUUGAAGAAUUAUGGAAAGGAAUCAAAGUAAGAUCAAUUUUUUUUGUCACUAAUUUAUAUUUUUCAGUGAAUAAUUGUUGAUAACAAUUUUAUUAUUAUAGUAGUAUAUGAAUUAAGAAAUAUCAUUUUAUCUCCUUUUUUGUUUUCAACAGCCUUUAAACAUGUUGAGAGUCUUGGAACUCAGCCAUUCGGAGAAUCUGAUUAAGACACUAGACUUCACAAAGGUCCCAAACUUAGAGGUGUUGGAUCUUGAAGGAUGUACAAGGUUGCGUGAAAUUCACCAGUCUUUGCUACGUCACAAUAAGCUGAUCUUGUUGAAUUUGAAAGGUUGUACAAGUCUUACAACUCUUCCGGGUGAGAUUUUUAUGGAAUCUCUUAAAACGCUUGUUCUAUCUGGUUGCUCAAAAUUGAAGAAAUUUCCGGACAUUGUAGGAGGUAUGGAGUGUCUGCAGGAACUUCGUUUAGAUGGAACUGAUAUCAAAGAACUGCCAGUAUCAAUUGAACUUAUGUCUGGCCUUGUUUCGUUGAAUUUGAAAGAUUGCAGAAAUCUCGCGAGUCUUCCAAUUACAAUAGGCAGUUUAGAAUGUCUACAAACGCUCGUGCUAUCUGGUUGCUCGAAAAUAGUGAAAUUUCCAGAGACUGUGAUAAGUGUGGUAGAUCUGUCAGAGCUCUUUUUAGAUGGAACUUCUAUCACAGAAGUGCCAUCAUCUAUAGAGCUUUUGACCAAACUUCAAUGGUUGAAUUUGAAUGACUGCAGAAGUCUCGUGAGACUUCCUAGCAGUAUAAAUGGUUUGAAAUCCCUCAAAACUUUGAAUCUCUCAGGCUGCUUCAAACUUGAAAAUGUGCCUGAGACGUUUGGGCAAGUAGAAAGUCUGGAAGAACUUGAUAUAAGUGGUACAGCUAUAAGGCAACCUCCAUCGUCGAUUUUUCUUAUGAAGAAUCUUAAAGAACUAUCUUGUCGUGGGUGCAAAGGAUCACCAUCAUCUGCAUCAUGGUUUCUGCGCUCUCCUAUCAAUUUGAUGCGAUGGAGUUCAGAUCCGGUGGCUUUGAGUUUGCCGUCUUCUCUGCCAGGUUUGUGUAGUUUAACGAAAUUGGAUAUCAGUGACUAUGACCUAGGGGAAGGAGCAAUCCCAAGUAGUAUUGGCGACUUAUGCUCAUUAGAAAAGUUAUGUUUGAGUAGAAACAGUUUUGUUUCGCUACCGGCAAGCAUCUACCGUCUUUCUAAUCUUCAGGAGAUUGAAUUAGAGGAAUGCAAAAUGCUUCAAACUCUUCCUCGACUUCCAGCCAGUAUACAAUGGAUUUUGUUAGAUGGUUGUGUGUCGUUGGAGACAUUAUCAGAUGUAUUAAAAUUAAACGAGCAUCGACUCCCGUUGUUAAGCCUUGAGUGUGUGGAUUGCUUGAAAUUGACUGGCAACUAUGAUUUGGCAACAUUAAAAAUUCUGAGGUCAGUCUCUCACUCUCACCUGUUCUAACAUUAUGCCUAAAACUUAUGCAAUAGAUGUUAUGUCUUUUUAUUUUGUUUAUUUACUCACUUUUUUUUUCCGUGGGGUUGCAGAAUAUGUCACUGUCAGACAAGUACUGUAGUAGAUGGCCUCAUGUUAGUUUCUUACACUGUCUCUCACCUGUUGCUAAAAUUAUGCCUAAAAAUUAUGCAUUGGUAUGGCUUAUAAAAUACAAUUACAUUGAAGCCGCCCUUGAUAAAAUACUAAACGAAAUCAUUGCUUUCCUCAACAUCAUGUCUACCAUAUCGUUGAUUUCAUGCACCACUAAAGAAGAUCAUGAUCGUUCUUCGUAAUUGCUUUCGGCAUACACUUUUGAUUACACUUUUUGUUUUUUAGAAAUUAAUUAGAACACAAAACAUUCCUUUCAUUGAUUUCUUUGAAAGAAAGUUAGGUCUUCUUUCAUAUCGAGAUACUGUAAUUUUUUAGUUUUAAAUUAUUAAAAAAAUUUAUAAUUAUAAGAUAAAAAUUAAUAAUAUAUAAUGAAUAUAAUUUUUAAAUAAUAAUUUUUACAAAAUUAAUAAAAAUAUAAUAAAUUUUUCAUUAUACAACUUAAUUUUCAGGAUAUAAUAGUUAAUAUUUAUUAAACACUUUAGUAUUGUAGUUUAAAAAUUAUAGCUUCCCAACCUCAAUUUCAAAUAAAACCUUAAUUAGAAGUUCAAGUAAAAAUUUAUGAUCUUUAUUGCUUCCAAUAAGCUCAAAAAUGCCAGUUAAUUUUCUUACAUUUUUAAUUUUACUCAUAUCUCAGCGUUUGCUUUGCAAGAAUAUUUGUCUUACAUAUUUAUGUAUUAUUUUUUUUCACAUAUAAAAUUCAAUUGAAUGAAUUUUAAGAGGAAAGUUUGUUCUCUUGGUUUUCUGCUCCUUCAAUUUGCUGGUUGUGUGCUGAUUAUGAUUAUUUAAGAACCAUUUACUGAUAGCACUUCAUUUCAAAUAAAAUUAAAAUGUCCAAUGUAUUAAAAUUUGUGAAAACUUUAUGCUCAAAAUCAUUAGGAGAAAAAUUAUUAUUUUAUCCAUUUUGAGUCCCCCGACAGAUUUUGAGGGAGAUUGGAAUCUUGUGUAAUUUGCUGUACGGAGUUAUGAUGCAUCUUUAUCGACUUUUCUGUUGACUCAACUUGAUUGACCUCUGAUUCUGAAUGCGACCUCACGUAGGUCCGUCCGCUGAAUACGGGUUUGACCCGAUAUCAACCCGCGUUUGGUUGGACCGCAGGAUGUGUGUGACGUGUCCUGUUGGCCGUUGAUCCGCGUGUGUUAGGUUACUGGGUGGCUGACUUUGUAUCCGGACCAUCAUUUUGAUCAUGGAACGCCGUCCAAGGGUUCUGAAGCUGCCACGUACUCCACUACUUCAACCCAUUGAUUUAAUCCAAUUUGGUGGAUCCAAUAGCAAUUCCCCCAUCUCUUUGAAAUGUAAAAGCAUCAUUUUAAGCUCCACCGGCCGUCGAUUUCGAGCGAGCGUACAAGUGCUAAGGCCAAAAAAUUUUAUCUUGGAGAAGAAUUGAGUGAGUGACUUCUUAUUUUUAUGUCCUUAAAAUUUAUUUUUUAAAAUUUAUUUUUAAACCCUAGAUUUUGGAGAAAUACUUUUCUUAAGGGUUAGAAGCAAAUGUUUUAAAUUGGAAUUUUAAUGAGUGCAAACUAUGUUAUUGUCAGACAUCAAGAAUCAAAUUAGCAUUUAUUUUAUUCUCUUGUCUUUAGCUCCAUCAAGUUCGUUGAUGCAAGGUCUUUGAGAUUGAAGGUGUUAAAUUCAAGACGGAUUCUCUCACAUCCAAUAUCAAUUUACUCUUAGAUUUUUCUUGUGAGCAGAUUUUGAUGCUUGAUUCACAUAGAAAAAAAAUUGUGAGGACUAUAAGGAUUUUUUUUUAAAUUAAAAACCACCUUAAGGUGGAGUGUGGGUUUAGGCGGGAACCUUCACUAGUAAAUUAAUAAAAUAAAAUAAAAUUCAUAUGGAGAGAGACAUAUGCCAAAACCUCGAAGUAUGGGAACAAAUACAUCCAAUAACAGGAAAAAUAACAAAAGCAAUGGAAGAUAGGACUAAUUAAUGCAACCGCCUAGAGAAUCGCUUCCAAUUCUUGCGGCUAGUAACUAAUGUGAAACCUUUCUUAGAACAGAGGCAUGCGGCCCGGCAACACGAAAGUCAUCAAGAUCAUGCCCUCUAGUACCCUUAGGCUCAUAUGCAAAAUAUUCAAUAGUCACAGGAUUCCCAUCAAAGCUAAAAUUCUCAUCAAACUGAAAAAGGAUGUCUGUAGAAUGGGGUUUGAAGCCCACGAUCAUGGAGCGAAUAUCCUCUUCAGCAACUAAAAAAAAAGUAGCGUCAGUGGAAGCCCUCUGAACACUCGGAUCAUCUAAAAAAGGAGGGUUAGAGACCUCAGUGCAUCCAGCAGCAUCUCCUAAAGUAGUAGGAUCCUUCAAACCAUCAUCAGUUUGAAUUCUUUUCAUAGAAACCAGAUCAAACCCAUCUUCUGCAGUAUCCUAAUAAAUAAGUGAUUGAGCAUCUAGAGGAGCACCCUCACUACCAUUAGGCCUCAAUGGCUGAACCUCUUCGCCAUCCCCUUUGGAUGCACAGCAGCAUCAGACAUCAACAUCUUGCUUUUAUCAUGAACAACAGUAUCCUGCACCUGACUAAUAGGCUGCCAAGGUUCCCAGAGCCCAGGAUUGGCAACAAAACAAGUAUCAGCAGAGUGCCCAAGAUGUUUACACGAGGCACAAUAUAAAGGAACAUGCUUAAAAAUGACAUUCUACUAGAAACCGCCACCACCUUCAAUCCAAAGCUUGGGCAACAACGGCCACGAAACAUCCAACUCAAUUAGAACUCCAGCGACUGAGGGUCGAUUAACAGCAAUAGUAGCAUGGUCUACUCACAGAGGCUUACCAAUAGCAUUAGCAAUAAAAAAUAAGGCAUCUUUGCAAUGAAUAAAAUGCACUGGUGAAUACGGCAAAGAAACUUAGAUAGGAACAAUAGGAGAUUCCUUAGAGCACCGAAUUAAAGUCUAUAAGACUAUACUACAUGAGACUCAAACCCAAGACCUAAGUCUUGGUAAGGCUAUCCACCUAAAUCCACUUGGAAAAUGUUCAAACGUAUUUUAGAUAAUGUGUUUUAGUCUGUGAGGGUUGGCACAAUAGGAUUUAGACUUGAGAUGUUUAGGAUUGCGAAGCUUUGUAUGUGUUCUUGAUCCAUUGUAAACUCACAUUAUUUUCAUAGUAAAUUGUUUUGUCUACAAGUGGACAUAAUAAUAUAUCAAGAUUUUUGUCUUAAAUCGUGAGGAUCAAAGGUUCCCUCGUAAAAAGAUCUUCGUGUUGUGGAUGUUCAUUAUUUUGCAUAUUUAUUUUCAUUACCAUAAAUUGACUUUUUAAAUUUAUUGAUAGUGUUUAUAUUGAAUUAUCUUUAUUAACUAGGAAAUAAAAUCAUUAAUUUUAAAGAGAUUACUAUUAUUAUCAUCAAUUAUAUUGAGAUAACAAAAUAAAAAAUAAAAUUGAUAAUAUAAAAUAUUUACUUUAGUUAUCAAAUAUUAUAUAUACACACGAAAAAAUAUUUUAUAUACAUAUUUAUAAAUAUGUAAAUAAAUUUUAUUCAAAAUUAUGUCUAGCUUAAUCAUUUACAUUCUUGUCAUUUACAAUCUUAUGAUAGUUUAAUAAUAAGAUUUAUCAAGUACAUACGACUGUUUUUAAAACUUACAAAAUUUUUGAAAUUCGUAUCGAAUGUUUGAUUGAUUAUCUUUAUAGUUGAUUAUUUCUAUAAUUCAAUUAACAAUAAUUAGUUUUAAAAAACUACAAUGUUACCAAAAGAAUCCAACAUCUUUUAGGGAUCCAACUGAAAUUUAACUAAUAAAGAUUUACCAUUCUUAUAGGUUGCUAGUAGUUUUAACUAUUUUUAAUUAAUUAUUAAUAUCAACCGUUGGAUGCCAUUCCAUUUUAAUGGAAUCCAAUGGUUUCAACGUGGCUAAUGGGCAGAGUGGCUUGGACGCGUCAUCAAUUGAAAAGCCAGAUAAUCUUCGCUUAGAUUCCUUGAAGCUUCCAGCAAGUUUGAUGGUAACUCCAUCAUGUGAGUAAACAGUGACAAAUGUCUAUUAAUUAUUAAGAAAGUCACUUUUUGACCAAGACUUGCUUUUGGAAAUACAUACAUAUUUGCUGAUUGCUUUAUUUUUCGCCAAAAGAAUAUAUUUGCAUGAUUAAAUUCUUUGAAUCAAAUACUGCAUCGGAGUUCAUUUAACUAGCGUCCUACAAUACACUCAAAAGCCGUAAGUUCGAUCUUAUACAUCUCUCUCUCUUUUAUUUUCAGAAUUAAUUUGUAUAUCUUAAUGUUUAAAAACAAAUAAAUAAUGAUAAAAUUGAAAGAAAUUCUUUAAUGUUAAUUUUGUACAAACUCCUCUAAGAGGCUUUAAUCAAGAUUUGCUCAAGUAGAGAUCGGUGUACACACUCUCAAAUCGGCACUUGAAAAACAAAUACUUUACAUUUUGGGAUUUAUUAUGUAUAAUUUUAAUUUUCUUUUUGGUAAAGAGAGUAAUUGAGAAGCUGAUGGAUUAUCUGUUUAGUUUGUUUGAGAAUAAGAUCAUUAAUUUGAAUUCAGAACCAUUGUCAAGUUUAAUAACUUUUUAUUUCAAUAAAUUUUUACUUUAAAAAUAUUUGGGCCAAUUUAUUGUCAAUUAUUUUUAAUCAAAUUCACCCUCCCCGUCGAGGUCUGAAAAAAAGAAUACAAUUAUUAUAUAUUUGUCCAUUUUUAUCGGGUUGUUGAAAGGAAAUGAAAAAGUUUCAGUUUCUCUCUCAAAAUCUCUUUGCUUAUAUAUAGUUUCGAUGAUUAGUUAUUGCCUUAAUAUUUUUGUUUUUAUUUUUUUGGUGAUAAAUAUGUAACUCUGAUUUCUUUUAAGUUAUUGUAGAUAAAUCUUUUAUAAAACAACAUACAAAGAGGUACCUAUUGAACUUCUUUAUUUUCAUUAUAUAUUAACCACCAAUCACAUAUUAAAUCAUAAGAGAAUUCUAAUUCAAUCUGAUAUUGAAUAUUAUUAUUUAAAAAUUACUUCAAAAACUGUAUUUUAGCAUUUAACUGUUUAUUAAAAUAAUAAGUUAUAAUCUAGUUAGAAAUUUAAGGAAAUAGUUAUGUAAAGUCCCAAUUUUUUAAUAAAGGACGCCAAAAUCUUUUUUCAGCUAUACUGCUUUUGUAGAGAGUAACUAAAAUACAUAUAUAAUUUAAUAUUUUAAUUUUUCUAAUAGACCAAUAAUAUUAGAAUAUUUUAAAAAUAAAAUAAUUUUAAAAAAUGUAAAUUAUUAUAUUUUACUAAUAUAUUUGUAUUUAUUAUAACAAAUUUAAAUAAAUCAUUAGGUUAAAUAGAUUUUACAAUUAAAAAAAUGAUUUCAUGUAUUAAUAAUAUUAAAAUUAUUUUUAUAUAUUUAUCUUAAUAUUAUAAUUCUAUUUAUUACAAAUAUUUUUUAAUAGAUAUUGUUACAUUUAUUUAAUAUCGUAUUUAUAUUAAUUAUAAAACAUUGAAAUUAAUUUUUUUGAGUUAUUAGAGCUAAAUGGUAUCAUAGUUAAAAGAGGAUUUUAGUGUUUCUUAUUGAAAAUAUGGUGUCUACACAACCAUUUUUUUCCCAAAUCUUGGGGUGUAAGUGUCAUUUUACCUAAAUUUAAAUAAGAUAUUUAAAUCAAAUAAUAUGAAUUAAAUAUAAAUAAAUCCAAAUAAUAUGAAUUUAAUAUAAAUAAUUACACACUUUUUUUUACUUUUAUUAUAUAAAAUCAUUUUUAUUAUUUUACUUUUAUUAUGUAAAAAUAAUUUUAAUCAAUUAUUUUAUUAAUUAACACAUUUAUAAUUUACUUUUUUUAGAGAGAUUUAUAAUUUAAUUAAAUAGAAAUAGAACUACCUCAUUAAUGAAGUUUUUAUUUUAAUAAUGAAUUUAACCAAUAAAUUUAAUAAAAUAAUAUUAUAAAAAAAUUAGAUAAACAAGAUCAUGCAUAUACCGCAAUAAAUAUGGCACUGUUUUAAAGGUUAAUGUAAUAUUGCUACGCAAUAAAGCUCAAGCAAUAUAAUUAAGUAUUAUUUAUUAAUAAAUUUUUAAAUUUUAUUAGUCAAAUAAUAAAAUUGAUAAUAAUAUUAGUAUAAAAUAUUUAAAUAAACACUAUUGUACAUACUACACUAAAACAUAGUACUGCGACAUAAUGUAGUGCACCAAACACUCCCUAAGCUAGUGUAUACGACUUUGACACUUUGAGAUAAUCCAUAACUCUAGAUAAAUGUUGUUGUUUACAUAGUAUUGUUCCUAGGCAAUCAUUUCUUUUUUUUAAAAAAAAUUUCAGAACAAAUUAAUAUUGUAAUGGCUUCCUCGAGCAUACAAAAUAUGCCUCAUUGGCCAUAUGAUGCCUUUUUAAGCUUUAGAGGAGCAGACACCCGUAAAAGCUUCAUAAGUCAUCUCUAUGCAGCUUUGAAUGGAAAAGGAAUUUAUGUAUUCAAGGAUGACAAAGAACUCGAGAGAGGAACAUCCAUUUCACCUGGACUUCUUAAUGCAAUUGAAGAUUCUAGAAUUUCAAUUAUUGUUUUCUCUCAAAACUAUGCUUCCUCCACUUGGUGCUUGGAUGAACUUGUUAAGAUUGUUCAAUGCAAGAACAAAAACGAUCAUCAACAAAUGGUUUUUCCAAUUUUCUAUGAUGUUGAACCCACUGUGGUAAGGAAACAAACCGGAAGUUUUCGAGAAGCUUUUUCUAAACAUGAAGAAGCUUUUAGGGAGAAUCUAGAAAAGGUGAAAAAUUGGAGAGACG
Molecule: long non-coding RNA, 289831 nt
Filed under: Citrus maxima (pomelo)
Lineage: Eukaryota; Viridiplantae; Streptophyta; Magnoliopsida; Sapindales; Rutaceae
Description: long non-coding RNA (CMAX_LNC001930)
Rfam family: Plant small nucleolar RNA R71 (bases 150188-150294)
Source: RNAcentral